UUUUUUUUUUUUUUUUUUUUUUUUUUUUUUUUAAAUUCUGAUCCCUUAUUUGUUUAAAUCCAUCAGAAUUUGAAGUUCAGUUUCAUCACCAAUUCAAUUGUGAAGGACAUAACUUCCUUGGACAGUAAAAAUUUCCACAUCAAUCUUUUGGGUUGCAAGAAUGUUACUUUUCAACACGUGACAAUCAGUGCACCAGAGAAUAGUCCCAACACGGAUGGAAUUCACAUAAGUAGCUCUGAACAGAUAAACAUUCUCGAUUCAAAAAUCUCAACUGGAGAUGAUUGUGUGUCUGUUGGAGAUAGCAACAAGCAAGUAACUAUUACUAAUGUAACUUGCGGACCAGGACAUGGCAUUAGCGUAGGAAGCUUGGGCAAGUACACCAAGGAAAAGGACGUGGUAGGAGUUACUGUGAAAGCAUGCAAAUUAAUCAAUACUACCAACGGUGUCUAGAAUCAAAACAUGGCCAGAUUCUGCCGGUGCAUUCAUAGCCUCUGACAUGCACUUUGAAGAUAUUGAGAUGCAAAACGUGAGCAACCCUGUCAUUAUAGACCAAGAAUACUGUCCGUGGAAUCAAUGCAACAGAAAGGUAUAUAUUGUAUUGAAAUUAUACUUUAUUUUGUUUAUUAGUUAAACUUCAUGAACUAAACAAAUACACUUUUGGGACCAUUAAUAUUUCAGGUUCCAUCCAAGAUUAAGAUCAGCAAAGUGAGUUUCAAAAAUAUUAGAGGCACUUCUGCUACUCCUAUCGCAGUGAAGCUUGUUUGCAGCAAAAGUAUACCAUGUGAAGGUGUAGAAGUCGCUGAUAUUAACCUCACUUAUAGUGGAAUACGAGGACCGAUUUUGUCUGAAUGUGCAAACGUGCAGCCUCUCAUUACUGGAAAGCAAAGCCCUCAAAUAUGUGCUAAGCCUGCUCCUGCUGGUGCUCCAUCAACAGACUAAUCUUUUCAACCAAUGCCACACAAAGUCUGCAAAACCAUAUGUGAAAGUUUAUCACAUAUCUAUAUUUAAUUCACAACAUUAUUCUGUAUUCAUUUUUAACAUUCCAUAGGUUUGAUCCAUUCUUUGAUGAUUCAUGAAGCUGAUCAUGUACCUUUUUUCUUCCUUCCAUUUUCUUCUGGGGAAUGAAAUAUAUAAUGAAAAUAAAUCAUACAAUUUUAACUAUUCUAUCCCUUUAGACGUAGACCUACAUGAGUCGUGUUAUAACAUUCAAUUCUACGAAUGUUUUUAUAACUCUUAACAACCUGAAAUGUGUUAUCAAACGUUGUUGAGUUUUGGAAUUUUUAAAAUUAAUUUCUUAUGUAUUUAGCAAAAGCACUGAUAUAAUUAAUUUUUACAUAGUUGAAAUUAAUAUUCAAUCAAUCAAAAAUCAUAAUUUAAUUAAUCAAGCUAGUACUAUAAUAAAAUCUCUAAGCAUCCAAUAAUAUCAUCGGAAUGUAUUAAAACAUAAUUGAAUGAUCAUCGUUAAGUUCAAAAUCUCAAAAAUAUGUUGAAGUAGGUAAAAUAAUCCUUCGUACCCAAGCUAGAGUAUAAUCAAAUUUGAAAUGUAAAAAAAAUCACAAAAUGAUAUUGCUUAUUGAAUUAAUUAAUUGUUUUUGUCAACUUUUGUAGUUUUGUUACUUGUGAAACAUAGGCUUUGAAAUAUGCAUGGAUCAAUGACGCAUGUGCAUCUGUUCGUCCAAGUGCGGUGGUUCUUCUAAGGAGAAUAUUUAAAGUAAGAGAAGGAGAAUUUAAGGCCCUUGUAAUAGCCUAUUGAAUUGCGAUGGAACAUUGUCGGCUCCAAAACACUUUCAUGAAGAUAGUUGAAUUACUUUGCAUAUGUUGAUAGAAUGAGACUAUCAAAUGGAGUUUUUGAUGGCCAAGGAAAGGCAUGUUCGGAAAAGAAUGAUUGCCAUUAACGUAUAAAUUUUUCUAACCUCCGUAUUGUAAGUUCUAUACCUUUUGUUUUCUCUUCCAUUAACCCCAUUCGUCUUUUUUGAUUCUGGAAGGGUUCGUUAGAUUUUAUUCUCUAUUAUUUUCAUUUUUACAAUUUGGUAAAUGUGUUGUUAGUACCAUAUGAUGAUUAAGAAAUAAAAUAUUGAACUAAAUUUAACCAUAUAAAAUUGAGGCAAAAGAGCUAACUUAUUUUAAAAAUAUAUAUAUCAAGACUAAUAUUUAGAGAAAACUCAUAUUUUCAUCCCUCCCUAAAAGUUUGUGUGCAUUAUUGCUUUCUCACCGUAUCUCUUACACGACUUAUUGAUCAUAUAAAAUGAUCAAAGUUUAAGAUUUGAUUUCAUUACCAAUUCAAUUGUGAGGAGAAUAACAUCAUUCGAUAGCAAAAACUUCCAUGUCAACAUCCUAGGGUGAAAGAACCUCACAUUCCAAGGUGUUAACAUAAUUGCACCAGAAGAUCGUCCGAACACAGAUGGAAUACACAUUGAUCGAUCAAUUGGGAUCUCAAUCUUAAAAUCUCGAAUAACAACAAGAGACAAUUGCAUCUCACUUGGAGAUGGAAGUAAACAAAUAAAAGUCACUAACGUGAUAUGUGGGCCAGGUCAUGGAAUAAAUAUAGGAAAGUCUUGAAAAAUACACAAAUGAAGAACCUAUAUCGAAAGUGUCAUAGUAAAGAACUGCACAAUAAUGAACAUCACUAAUGGUGUUAGGAUCAAAACAUGGUCAACCUCUCAUGUUGCUGGUAUUGCCAUCAACAAGAAUUUUUCAGACAUUACAAUGGUCAAUGUUAGCAACCCAAUUCUCAUAGACCAAGAGUAUUGUCCAUAGAACGAUAGAAAUCGUUAGGCAUUGAUCACAUUCUUAAAAUUUUGAUUUGAAAAAUUUUCAUGCAUGUCAACUUCAUGGAUAAACUUUAAUUUUCACUCUCAUUUUUUUCAGAUUUCGUCAAAGAUUAAGAUUAAUAAAGUGAGUGUCGCCACGUGCCCGAGACGAUGUGAAACGGCCGACAUCCUCAAAAGAGUUUGUUUAAAAAGAAAAUAAAAGUCGUCACCAAUUUUUUUUACGGUGUUAUUGGACACCGAAAUAAAGUAAACGAUUUAAAAAAAAUAGUCUGCAAAAAAUAGAGUUGAGUUCGAGAGCCAUUUGUGUGUGAGGAAGGUAUUAGCACCCCACAACACCCAUUUAGAAAAGCGGUGGUCAAAUUUCAAAUUUUGAAUUGAAAAUAUUUUAAAUUUAUUUUAAAACUAAUGUCUUAUUUUAACCCUCAUUACUCCAAUAUUUGAAGCAAUGAUCUCAUAAAAUAAGUGGAACAAUAUUUCAUUAAUUAGACUUAUAUAUUGAAGAAAAGUUUCUCACCUUAGGAAAAUGAAAUUUUAUUAAAACUUCUCAAAAUCUAUCAUAGGCUAGUAUUGGAAUAAAGUUUUUUUUUAAAACAUCGAUUAAAUUCAUUUUUUCUUGUGAUCACAUCUUUGACUUCGAAAGAUGUGAUCCCUCACCUUAAGAAUUCUAGAAAAUCGGAUUCCCAAAUUUUAUAGAUUCCAUCAUAGGAUUUUAUUUAAGAAAAAACGAUAUAAGUUUUUUUAGAAAAGACUGAUUUAGAAAACCUUAUGAAAUCUUGGGUUAAUUUUGAAGGUUUUGAAAGAAAUGAAACAUUUAUAAUUAAAGACAAAUUUGGUAAAUGAUUAAUUUUUUUUUUAUUUUAAAACCUAAAGAAUUUUAAAUUAGAAGGAUUUUAAAACAUUAAACCAUUUUAAUAGAAAGAGAUACAUUUAAAUUCAUAUAAACAAUCAUUAUGAUAGUGACCUGAAUAAGUGAAGCAUAAUAACAAUAUAUAAGAUAAGGAAAGAAACGAAAAAAGGAAUGAAUAAAGAAAGAAAAAUGGUUGAUAGGUGGCGACCCAUCAAAUAAAUAAAAAUAAUAAUCAUAAUAAAAAUGAUAAUGGUAAUGAUAAGAAGUGAAGCAGAACAAGAAGAAGAACAAGUAAAUAGAAAAAGAAAACCAUAAUAGUAAUAAAAUAUAAUAUAAUAAUAAAAAACGAUAAUAAUAAUAAUGGUAAUAGUCGCUGUGCCCGAGACGACGCGGAGCGGCCGUAAUAACGAUGAUAAUGAUAAAAUUUUCUCUAUCCUCAUUCUUUCCCUAUAUAUUUUAGAGAAAAGAAAAUAAAGGUUAAAAGUUUGGAUUUUUUUGAAAGAAUAACGAAAUACGGAUAAAUAAAAAAAAGAACAUUUUUCUUAUGUCCUUUUCUUUCUUCCUAUUUUUUUUAGAGAGAAGAAAAUGACUAAAUAAUUUUUUUUAAGUGAUGAUAAAAGAAAAAAAAAGUAAUAAAAAAAUACUAAAAUUGUCCUACAUUUUCUUUUCUUUCUCUUUCUCUUUUAGAAAGAGAAGAAAAGAAAAAUAAGGAUUCGAAUCCCAAAGAAAUUACUUCUUGUAUGAGGUGUGCAUGCUUGAAAUUAAAUCCGUACCAAAUGUAACAUUCAAUUAAGUUUAUUUUAACGUGCGAUUUGAUUUGGUUAAGAUAAAGUAAAAAAAAAAAAAUAGAGAUAAUAAAGUAACAAAAAGAAAUAAGAAAAAAAUACUCACAUUUUUCCGAAUUUUUUUUGGAGAGAUUUGCUCUAAAUAAUAAAUUUUUUUUUCUAAGCACUCUAUCUAAAGAAUUAUUUUUCUAAGCAAUUUUCUUCCCCUUCUGCAAAUGACAAAGGUCUUUAUUUAUUUAUAGAUUGGGAGUGUACCACAUAUUAGGAAAAAAUAAUAACAAUAAAAUCAAAAUUUGAUAUUAUGUGAAUAAAAAUAAAUUUUUAUUUUUCUAAAGUAAAUUAAAUGAGAUAUUUUGAGAUUUUGUAAAAAUAAAUCAAUAAAUCAAAUAAAUAUUAUUUUUUUUUCCUAAAAUGAUAAAAGUGAUAUUAGAAGAUUUAAUUUAAAAGAAAUUCAUUUCUUUUUUCCUAAAAUAGUAAAAAUGUGAUAUGAAAAGAUUUUUUAAAAUAAAUUGAUUUAUUUUUGUUUCCUAAAAGGAUAAAAAUGAAAUAUUAUAAGAUAUUAUUUUAUUACUAAUUUUUUACCUUUAAACAUAAAUAAGUAGUCAUUACUAAUAUUAUUAUUAUUAUUUUUAAAACAUGUGUAGAAUAAAAAUAGGUGGCUACAGUGAGCUUCAAGAAUAUAUGAGGAAGUUCUGGAACUCGAGUGGCAGUCAAACUUAUUUUUAGUAGCAACCUACCAUGUGAAGAAGUAAAAGUAGCCAGCAUUGACUUCGUUUAGAAUGAACGCCACUAAUCAUUUUAAAUACAAAUUCUUCCAAUUUGCUCUUCAAUCUUACACUACCACUUCAAAAUUAUAUGGACAAACUUAAUUAGACUAUGUAAGACAACUCCUUUGUCUCUUUUAUUUUUCUUUUGUUUUUUACUUUUCCAAAUAAAUUACAAAGAAGUUGGAAUGUUUGAGGGAAGCUUGGUAACCCUAGGUUUAUUAAUGAAAAUUCUUGGGUAAUUAAUAUAAAUAGUAGUCCUAAAUUUAUAUUCCUUUUGUCCCUUUCAAUAAAAUGCCAAUAUUUGUUCAAACAAUUUUAUCAAAAAUUAUGAAACAUUUUCUUUUACAUAUAUAUAUACCUGCGAUGCACGUGCAAAUCACACACGAAAAAAUUAUAAUUUUAACUUAACUUUUAAAAUUGGAAGAGUCAUUUCAAUAUUUUCAUAUUUAUAUUCUUUUUAUAUUCACAUAAAGAGACAACGUUGUCAUCUUUCGAAUGUAUCUUUGAAUUUAAUUUGUUUUCACAAUUCAAAAUUCAUUUCUUAUUAUCUUGAACUUUCAUGUUACAAACUUAACCAUCUAAUCUAUGUAUAUCCAAAUAAAGUGGAAGAUAGAAAAGUUGUUAGUUGUGUAAUAAUAUAUAGCAUUAUGUAAUGUGAGUUACGUGGAAUAUGGAAAAGUUACAUUAUGACCCUAAUGAUAUAGAACAUUAACUAAUACGAGUUAUGAGAUCAAAACUUUUUUCUUGUUUAAAUAAGAAGAUGAAAAGUUAACAACGCGUAUAACUUCUAUCUUGUUGAAUGUGAAAAUGACCACACACAUUAAAUGGAUGUGAAUAUAAAAUUGCCACUAAAGCAAACUAAAAAAAACUUAUAAUGAAAGAAUAAAACAUCCACCAAAACUAAAUCAUAUUUCUUUUGAAUUUAUGAAAUCAUAAUUUUUUUUUUAAUGAUUUUGUAGGUAAAAAAAUUUAAGGAAAGACUAAUAUUUCUUGCUUUACACCUAAUAUUAUUUUUAUUUAUACUUAAUAAAUUCCAACAAUAUUUACAUUGUUUUAAAAGAAUUAAAGUAUAAGCCACUCAACCGUCAUUAAUAUACUAGCUUUAAUAAAAAAUAUUAAAUGAAAAAAAACAUGAGCAAUAUUUAAUGGUUACAUUAGAAACAAAUUCUCAAUAUUACAUGAUUUAAACAUUAAAGAGCAUAGACACAUGUACAUGUCAACCACGAAGUUGGUGGUUCAAGUUUCCCCAACUUAUUUUGUGUACUAAAAAGAAACCUAUAAAUGAAGAAAUAAAAGCAUACUUCUAUAUAAAAAAAUACACAACAAAAUUUAAAGAAAGAAAAAGGAAAAAAGUAGAAAAGAAUACAAAAGCAUGAUUUAAUUUCUUCUUCAUCUUUAGCCUUUUGUUUUGACUCGUGAACAUGAAUGAAAAAAAAUAAUAAGAUAUUUAUAACCAAGAUUUGAAGAGAAGAAUUUAAAAGGUUGAAAGAGAUAUGGAAUGUGAAUAGUUAGGAGAUAGAAGAUUAAGAGGGAGAGAGAAAUGUGAAUGGAUUUGGAUAAAUUUAAAUGACAUAAUUAAUUGGAGUGAAAGUGACACAAACAUUAAAUAUAUGAAAAUGACAAAAUUGUUCCUAAAGCAAAACUAAAAAAAGUUAUAAUGAAAUGGUAAAAUGGGGCUAAAAAUUUUCUCUACUUUUAUAUAUACUAUAGAUAGAUAUACACAUGAAAUCGUAAUGGACUUAAAAUAUAAUAAUUCUUUACAAGCUUUACUUGGACUAUGCUUUCAUAAUCAAUAUCUCAUGAUGAUCUCUAUUCAUUCGUGUAUACCCUCGUAUAAAUUCAAGUGUUAUAAACAAAAAAAAAAAAAAUCAAAUAAAUAUAAAGUAAAAUCUUGUACCUUUCAUAUUAGAGAGAAUGUGAGUUAAUUUAAAAUAUUUUUAUUUUAGAAAAUGAUACAAUAUGAUGGAUUAGUAGGUACACCCGAAUAUCUUCAUUAGGUAGACACCUCCUUUAGCACAUUCAUCAUCCUCACUUCAUUAAUAUAUAAAACUAAAUACACGAGAAGCAAAGGGAUCAACCCAAACAAAAUACAAAAGGCUAGAGAGACAAGCCUCAAGCAAGUACAAACUAGUAGAAACAUUGAAGAUUGAAGCAACAAAGCUAGAGCUAUAGUUGGUAAAUAAAGGAAAUCUACUAGCUAAUUUAUUUUAUAUCCAUAAAAGAUAUACUAAUCCUUGAUUUUUGUUUCAUCAUUUUUGUUUUUAAUAUAAUCUAAAUUUUGACUCACUCAUCCUUCAUUAUCAACGAGAAUUUAAUAUCACAUAAUUGUUAUGUCGUAGAUUUUUAUAUUGUCGAUUGAAACAUAUAUAGAUCUAUUUUUGUUCAACUUGUUAAGCCACCUGUGUUGCACACUGUCACGUUUGAACAUGUGUGAUCUCAAACAGGAAUUUAAGGAAUGAAUUUUAUUGGGAUUUAGAGAAUUUAGAAGUACUUCAAAAUUUCAAGGGAUUAUAACUAAUUUUUGACAAAUAUAAACCAUGGUUAUUUAACUUCAACCAUUCAUCGAUCUUUGCCAAAUAUAGUAAAUAAAAUUUGGAGGAGAAUUUUUCAAACACUAUUGAUCUUCUUCUCCUAUAUAAAGAGGGCUGAAUGAAAGUGCAUAUUCAAACCCAUUCUUUUCAAGUUAGCCAUUAGGACAAUAUAUAAGUAAAUAAAUAAAGUAUAGAAGGCGUAGUAGUGAUGGGAUUGGCAUUACUACCUUUCUUUUUAUUGUUGGCAUCUACUAUUGAAGCCCAAUCCCUUUUUGAUGUUACAAGAUAUGGUGCCAAACCUAAUACAGAUAUUACUCAGGCAAGUAUAUAUGCAAAACUGAUGAAUUUUUUUUUUAAUUUAUUAGGAAGAAGACUUUAAUUUGAUGAUAGAACUAAACUUUUGCAGGCCUUAGCAAAUGCAUGGAAGGAAGCAUGUAUGUCCACAACUCCUAGUAAAUUGUUGAUUCCAAAAGGAGUAUACCAAUUAAGUCAAUCUUAUCUUAAAGGACCUUGCAAGAGUGUUCCUAUUCAAGUCCAAGUCGACGGAACACUAAAAGCUCCUCUCCAUCCAAAUGGAGAUGGGUUGGUUCUUUUUGCAUACAUUGAUCAACUAAUGUUAUCAGGCACGGGAGUUUUUGAUGGUCAAGGAAAAGCAGGUUGGGAUAAGAAUGAUUGCCACAAAAAGAAGAUAUGUACCAAACUUCCCAUGGUAAAUUGUUUAUAUAUUAUUUCAAACCUUUUGCCUCAUUUUAUAUACAAUUUAAAUCUACAUAAUUUCAAUUACAUAUGCGUCGUUUUAAAUUGAGAGUUUUUUUUUUUUUUUUUUUUAAUUCUGAUCCCUUAUUUGUUUAAAUCCAUCAGAAUUUGAAGUUCAGUUUCAUCACCAAUUCAAUUGUGAAGGACAUAACUUCCUUGGACAGUAAAAAUUUCCACAUCAAUCUUUUGGGUUGCAAGAAUGUUACUUUUCAACACGUGACAAUCAGUGCACCAGAGAAUAGUCCCAACACGGAUGGAAUUCACAUAAGUAGCUCUGAACAGAUAAACAUUCUCGAUUCAAAAAUCUCAACUGGAGAUGAUUGUGUGUCUGUUGGAGAUAGCAACAAGCAAGUAACUAUUACUAAUGUAACUUGCGGACCAGGACAUGGCAUUAGCGUAGGAAGCUUGGGCAAGUACACCAAGGAAAAGGACGUGGUAGGAGUUAGUGUGAAAGCAUGCAAAUUAAUCAAUACUACCAACGGUGUUAGAAUCAAAACAUGGCCAGAUUCUGCCGGUGCAUUCAUAGCCUCUGACAUGCACUUUGAAGAUAUUGAGAUGCAAAACGUGAGCAACCCUGUCAUUAUAGACCAAGAAUACUGUCCGUGGAAUCAAUGCAACAGAAAGGUAUAUAUUGUAUUGAAAUUAUACUUUAUUUUGUUUAUUAGUUAAACUUCAUGAACUAAACAAAUACACUUUUGGGACCAUUAAUAUUUCAGGUUCCAUCCAAGAUUAAGAUCAGCAAAGUGAGUUUCAAAAAUAUUAGAGGCACUUCUGCUACUCCUAUCGCAGUGAAGCUUGUUUGCAGCAAAAGUAUACCAUGUGAAGGUGUAGAAGUCGCUGAUAUUAACCUCACUUAUAGUGGAAUACGAGGACCGAUUUUGUCUGAAUGUGCAAACGUGCAGCCUCUCAUUACUGGAAAGCAAAGCCCUCAAAUAUGUGCUAAGCCUGCUCCUGCUGGUGCUCCAUCAACAGACUAAUCUUUUCAACCAAUGCCACACAAAGUCUGCAAAACCAUAUGUGAAAGUUUAUCACAUAUCUAUAUUUAAUUCACAACAUUAUUCUGUAUUCAUUUUUAACAUUCCAUAGGUUUGAUCCAUUCUUUGAUGAUUCAUGAAGCUGAUCAUGUACCUUUUUUCUUCCUUCCAUUUUCUUGUGGGGAAUGAAAUAUAUAAUGAAAAUAAAUCAUACAAUUUUAACUAUUCUAUCCCUUUAGACGUAGACCUACGUGAGUCGUGUUAUAACAUUCAAUUCUACGAAUGUUUUUAUAACUUUUAACAACCUGAAAUGUGUUAUCUAACGUUGUUGAGUUUUGGAAUUUUUAAAAUUAAUUUCUUAUGUAUUUAGCAAAAGCACUGAUAUAAUUAAUUUUUACAUAGUUGAAAUUAAUAUCAAUCAAUCAAAAAUCAUAAUUUAAUUAAUCAAGCUAGUACUAUAAUAAAAUCUCUAAGCAUCCAAUAAUAUCAUCGGAAUGUAUUAAAACAUAAUUGAAUGAUCAUCGUUAAUUUCAAAAUCUCACAAAUAUGUUGAAAUAGGUAAAAUAAUCCUUGGUACCCAAGCUAGAGUAUAAACAAAUUUGAAAUGUAAAAAAAUUCAUAAAAUGAUACUGCUUAUUGAAUUAAUUAAUUGUUUUUGUCAACUUUUGUAGUUUUGUUAUUUGUGAAACAUAGGCUUCGAAAGAUGCAUGGAUCAAUGACGCAUGUGCAUCUGUUCCUCUAAGUGCAGUGGUUAGUCUAAUAAGAAUAUUUAAAGUAAGAGAAGGAACAUUUAAAGGCCUUUAGAAGGAAAAUUCAAAGGCCCUUGUAAGAGCCGUAUUGAAAUGCGAUGGAAUAUUGCCGGCUCCAAAUUGAAACACCUUCAUGAAGAUAGUUGAAUUACUUUUGCAUAUUUUGAUAGAAUGAGACUAUGAGAUGAAGUUUUUGAUGGUCAAGGAAAGACAUGCUGGGAAAAGAACGAUUGCCAAAAACGUAUAAAUUGUGCUAACUUCCUAUUGUAAGUUCUAUACCUUUUGUUUUCUUUUCCAUUAACCCCAUUUGUCUUUGUUGAUUCUCAAGGGUUCGUUAGAUUUUGCUCUCUAUUAUUUUUAUUUUUACAAUUUGGUAAAUGCGUUCUUAAUACCAUAUGAUAAUGAUUAAGAAAUAAAAUAUUGAACUAAAUUUAACCAUAUAAAAAUUAGGCAAAAGAACUACCUUCUUUUUAAAAAUAUAUAUAUCAAGACUAAAUAUAAAGAGAAAACUCAUUUUUUCGUCCCUCCCUAAAAGUUUGUGUGCAUUAUUGCUUUCUCAUCGUAUCUCUGACACGACUUAUUGAUCAUAUAAAAUGAGCAGAGCUUAAGAUUUGACUUCAUUACCAAUUCAAUUGUGAGGAGAAUAACAUCAUUCAAUAGCAAAAACUUUCAUGUCAACAUCCUAGGAUAAAACAACCUCUCACAUUCCAAGGUGUUAACAUAAUUGCACAGAAGAUAGUCCCAACACAGAUGGAAUACAUAUUGGUCGAUCAAUUGGGAUCUCAAUCUUGAAAUCUCAAAUAGCAACAAGAGACAAUUGCAUCUCACUUGGAGAUGGAAGUAAAUGAAUAAAAGUCACUAAUGUAAUAUGUGAGCCAGGUCAUGGAAUAAGCAUAGGAAAGUUUUGAAAAAUACUCUAACAAAGAACCUUUUGAAGGUGUCAUAGUAAACAACUGCACAAUAAUGAACACCAUUAAUGGUGUUAGGAUCACAACAUGGGCAACCUCUUCUGUUGCUGGUAUUUCCAUCAACAAGAAUUUUUGAGACAUUACAAUGGUCAACGUUAGCAACCCAAUUCUCAUAGACCAAGAGUAUUGUUCUUGGAAUCAUAGCAAUCAUCAGGCAUUGAUCACAUUCUUAAAAUUUUGAUUUAAAAAAUUUUCAUGCAUAUUGUCAACUUCAUGGAUAAACUUUAAUUUUUACUCUCAUUUUUCAGAUUUCGUCAAAGAUUAAGAUUAAUAAAGUGAGCUUCAAGAAUAUUAGAGGAAGUUCUGCAACUCCAGUGGUAAUCAAACUUAUUUAUAGUAGCAACCUACCAUGUGAAGAAGUAAAAGUAGCCAACAUUGACUUCGUUUAUAAUGGAAUAAAAGGUUCUAUUACAUCUUAAUGCAUAAAUGUGAAACUAAUAUCAUUUUGGAAAUACAAAAUCUUCCCAUUUGCUAUUCGAUCUUACACUACCACUUGAAAAUGAUGGACAAUCUUAAUUAGAAUAUGUAAGACAACUCCUUUGUCUCUUUUAUUUUUGUUUUGUUUUUUACUUUUCCAAAUAAAUUACAAAGAGGUUGGAACAUUUGAGGGAAGCUUGGUAACCUAGAUUUAUUAAUGAAAAUUCUUGGGUAAUUAAUAUAAGUAGUAGUCCAAAUUUAGAUUCCUUUUGUCCAAUGUCAAUAUUUGUUCAAACAAUUUUAUAAAAAAUUAUGAAACAUUUUCUUUUACAUGUACAUAUACAUAUAUACAGUAGUAAACAACAUGUGCGAUGCACAUGAAAAUCACACACGAAAAAAUUAUAAUUUUAACUUAACUCUAUAAAAUUGGAACAAUCAUUUCAAUAUUUUUAUAUUUAUAUCCUUUUUAUAUUCACAUCAUGAAUAAAAAAUGAACUUAUUCAGUGAAGAGACAAUGUUGCCAUAUUUCGAAUGUAUCUUUGAAUUUGAUUUGUUUGCACAAUUUAAAAUUUAUUUCUUAAUAUUUGAGCUUUCAAGUAGCAAAACUUAACCAUCUAAUCUAUUUAUAUCUAAAUAAAAUGAAAGAUAGAAAUGUUGUUAGUUGUUUAAUAACAUAUAGCAUUAUGUAAUAUCAUAAUAUGGAAAAGUUACAUUAUGACCCUAAUAACAUAGAACAUUAACUAUCGGUUAUUGGAUCAAUACUCUUUUUUUUAAAAAAAAUAAGGAGAUGAAAAGUUAAAAAAGUAUAACUUCUAUCUUGUUGAAUUUGAAAAUGACCACAAACAUUAAAUCAAUGUGAAUAUAAAGUUACCACUAAAGCAGAGUAAAAAAAACUUAUAAUGAAAGGAUAAAACAUUCACCAAAAUCAUAUUUGUUGUGAGAUUAUGAAAUCAUAAUUUUCUUUAAUGAUUUUGUAGGUAAAAAAUUAAAGAAAAGACUAAUAUUAUUCUUGCUUAAUUUACACGUUUUAUUAUUUUUAUUUAUACUUAAAUAAAUUCCAACAAUAUUUACAUUGUUUUUACAAAAUUAAAGUAUAAGUAACUCAACCAUGUCAUUAAUAUAAUAACUUUAAUAAAAAAAAUUAAAUGAAAAAAAAAACAUGAGGAAUAUUUCAUGGUUACAUUAAAAAAAAUUCUCAAUACUACAUGAUUUAAACAUUAAAGAGCAUAGACAUAUGUACAUGUCAACCACGAAGUUGGUGGUUCAAGUUUCCCCAACUUAUUUUGUGUACUAAAAAGAAACCUAUAAAUGAAGGAAUAAACACAAGCAUACUUUUAUAUAAAAAAAUAGACAACAAAAUUGAAAAAAAUAAAAAGAGAAGAAUUAGAAGAGAAUACAAAAGCAUGAUUUGAUUUCUUCUUCACCUUUAGCAUUUUGUUUUGACUUAUGAACAUAAAUGAAAAGAAAAUAAUGAGAUAUUUAUAACCAAGAUUUGAAAAGAAAAGAAUUUGAAAGGUUGAAAGAGAUAGAGAAUGUGAAUAGUUGAGAGUUAGAAGAUUAAGGAGGGAAGAGAAAUGUGAAUGGAUUUGGAUAAAUUUAAAUGACAUAAUCAAUUGGAGUGAAAAUGAUACAAACAUUACAUCAAUCGGAAUGACAAAAUUGUUACUAAAGCAAAACUAAAAAAAGUUAUAAUAAAAAGGUAAAAUGGGGCUAAAAAAUUUCUCUUCUUCCAUCCAUUUAUAUAUACUAUAGAUAGAUAUACACAUGAAAUCAUAAUGGACUUAAAAUAUAAUAAUUCUUUUCAAGCUUUACUUGGACUAUGCAUUUAUAAUCAAUAUCUCAUGAUGAUAUCUAUUCAUUCAUGUAUACCCUCGUAUGAAUUCAAGUGUUAUAAACAAACAAAAAAAAAAAUCAAAAAAAAAUAAAGUAAAAUCCAUAUACCUUUCGUACUAGAGAGAAUGUGAGUUAAUUUAAAAUAUUUUUUUUUUUGAAAAGGAUACGAUACGAUGGAUCAGUAGGUACACCCGGACAUCUUCACUAGGUGGACACCUCCUUUGGCACACUCAUCAUCCCCACUGCAUUAAUAUAUAAAAUAAAUACACGAGAACUAAGUGAUCAACCCAAACAAAAUACAAAGGGCUAGAGACAAGCCUCAAGCAAGUAUAAACUAUUAAAAAACAUUGAAGAUUGAUAGCAAUAAAGCUAGCGAUAUAAUUGGUAAAUAAAUGGAAUAUGCCAACAUGAGUUUAGUUUAACUGACACCUCUAUGUUCCUAUGGACAAGAGGUUCCAGGUUCAAAUCAUCACCCCCAGCAUUUAUUACAAUACCUUUGGAGAAAAAAAAAAUCCUCACAGAACAAUUUUGGUAUUGAAUUUAAUGAUGUCUUUUUUAACUUGUUUAACGUUUUUGGCGAGAUAACACUUUCCGCGACAGUUAUUUGAUAUCAUAGAAAAAUCAUAAAAUAAUUUUUUAUUUUUAUUAAAAUAAAAAAUUUAAUUAAAAUUACAAAUUUAUAAAAUCUUUUCCCCAAAUCUAAAACCCUUCAUCUUCCCAAAUCCUCCCACAAAGAAGGCCAUCUCCAAUCCAACCAUCUUCCGACCCCAUCACCACCACCGCCCCCUCGUGGCCCGUCUGUUCAAUCGGGCGCUGCCACAACCUUCUUCUUUUUCUUCCUCUUUUUCUUCUUCAGACUUCAAUUCUUUCUCGGAAACCCCAAUUUCUCAUCCCCUUCAUUUCUCAAUCCUUCGAUCUGUUUAUUCUUGCUUCCAGCACUUGUUUUCCUCCAGGUAUUGAUCACCCUUCUCUUUACUCUCUCAAUUACUUUCAUAUUUUCUUUUCAAUUCAUUCAAAACCUUCUUCACUCUUGGAUUCUUUCUGUGUUGGCUUCAUUUUCUUUUCUGGCUUCUAUUUUUCUUGUUGGAUGUUGAGAUGGAGAUGGGGUUUAUUUUAUUUGUUUUGUGAUUGUAGCGAUUUGAUGCUUGGUUUUAUGUAGAUGAGUGCACAUGAAAUGUGCUAGUGAUAGAGUGUUAUGAAUCUUUCAAAAAUGUCCUGAAUGUUCUGGUGGUUGGAGAAAAUGAGAAAAGGUUCCAAGCUACCGUCCUACUUAUUGAACCAAACAUCAUCAAAUAAUCAUAGUUUUCCUUUCCUGCCCAUAGAAAACUUGAAAAAUCUUAACCUUUUGUUCUUUAUCAUUUGUAAAACCAAGAACCUACGUCAACUGUUUUCAUGAAUUCUUAUUCCACUUUGAAUUUUACAGGAUUAUUGGGACCAUUAUUAAAGAAGUUGAAAAUAAUAUUGGAAAGAACACACUUCUUACAAACUUCAAAAUGGAUCCAUUACUCAUUUUGUGCAAGAAAUUUGUGGAACUCGUGGAGAUCUUGGUAAGUUGUGAUGCAAUUCUGAAGUAUUUUGUUGGUGUGGAAUAGUUUAUCUUGCAUGUACCUAACACAAUGAUUAUGUUUGCUUGAUUGUAUUUCUAUUUUUCAUUUUCUUUUGCUUUUCUUAAAGGUUUUGAGUGAACUCAAGUUUAUGGUAGAUUGGGGUACAUUAAAGUUUAUUAACUUAUUCAUCAUUGUCCCAUUGCAUAAUGUCCUAUAUAAGAUUAUGAAUUUCUCAGUGGAUUAGUUUAAAUCAUUCCUCACAUUUUAUAUUUGAUACUUUAAUUGUGAUCUUGUCACUUUAAUACUUUGCUUUAGCAGUUUUUAGUCCCACCUUAUUUUGUCAAAGGUGUGUAUAUAUAUAUUGUUAUAUUUUUUAAUUUUUCUUAAAGUUUAUAAAGCAUGGAAAGUAAGUUGAAAAGUAGUUUCUCGUUAGCUUUUGUUUCUAGAAACAUGUCUUUUAUGUACAUAGUUCUCUUUAGGGUUUGUUGAAAUUGGUUUGUUGUGAAUAUCUAUAGAUCGUAUGAAAGUCACAAAAAAGAAAAAAAAAUUGGUUUGUUUGUCUUUGAAUAUCUUUGAAAUUUUUAUUUCAAUGUUUGUUUGUUUAUUGAUUUUAGGUAUAUGUUAAUUCUUCUUUGACUUAUUAUGCCUAGCUAAUUAUGAAGAACAAUUUAAGUUAGGAACUUAUUGGAUGCGUUCAAGGUUAUAUUUAAGUAUCUACGACCUUUAAACCAUAGUUUAAUGUUUAUGGUUCAAGUAUAUGUUAAAGGUUGGAAUGAGACUUAAGUGUCCAAAAUCUUAAAAGGUUGCUUAUGUUAAUUUUGACUACAAAUUAAAAGCCUUCAAACCAUAAGUUUGAACCUCUGGGUACGUAUUGUCUGAUGUUCAUCUUUUAAGGACUAGAACUACGAAUCAGUACAACUUUUACACUGUUACCAACACAUUUGUUUUGAUAAGUCUUCUGUCUAGCUAAUUUAAUUUUGUAGGUGAUACAGGUUAUAAUGGUUGAUUUUGUCUUGUAAAAUAUUAAAAGUGCAGUUAUCCCACAUUGUUCUUGUAGUGUACCCUUUUGAUAAAUUAUGUUAAUAACGUGUUUCGAAAUUGGAGCUUUUGCAUUUUGUUAUGUCGCUUGUUUAUUGAUUAAUGGUAAUUUGUUGUAUAAAGUCUACCCUAAUCUAUUUGUUUAUUGGAGGAGAUUGUUGAUUUUUCUUCCCCGUAUUUUAUUUCUUCAAGUUAAACUAAAUGAAUAAUGAACCCCAUUUUAUUCAUUUUUGCUAUUUGGUAUCUCAUUGUAUUUUUUUUUUAUUAAAAUGAAGUUUGUUUAAUGAUCAAUAGUAGAUUAAGAUAUUAUGAAUUGUUUGUAUCUGUAAAGAAGAGUGAAGGGAAGGGAUUUGAAAAGAUUCAGAAUUAGCCCCCAUUAUAACCAUAUCGUUUUUAGUCUGCGACAUUUAAUUUAGGUUAGGUUUAUCAUCAUUUCUUUAGUAUUGUCUUCACCUUCAAGAAGAAAGGGUUGAAUUAACAAGUUUUUGAACAUUAGAAACUAGUUUUCGUGUUUUAAAUUUAGCUACAAAUUCGAACCUUUGUCUAACGAAGAUGAAAAAUAUUGUACAGAAAAUGUGAGAAAACAAUUACACUUUUAAAUAAUUAAAAAUCAAAUGAUCAUUAAACUGAAACUUUAAUCUUUAUUUUCCGGAUGAAAAUUGUACUUUUAUCCAUUUGCUGGGCAAAUAUUUGCUUUUGGGCUUUUCCUGUCACCUUUGUAAGUUCUAGUUAUCUGCUCUACUAGACUUUCUAGAUAAGUAAUGGUGGUAGACUUUAUAUGCUCACCUUUGUAAGUUUUAUGAAAAUGUAACAUUGAAAAGGUAUUACUUAUGGGUAUUUAUGUUCAAUCUUAUUUUGUUGUGAGUAAUUGAGAUGCAUAAUAUACACUAGAAAUUUGUUAAAGUGUUAGACUUAUCUGUUUUUUUUUUUUAUUAGGGUUAGAAGGACUUCAAAGUACGUUUUGUUAAAGCAAAUUUGAUCUUUAUAUGGCUAGGUUGAUGAGUUUCCAAUUUCAAAAGUCUACCUAAAGCUCUAUUGUUUUUUUAACUCAAAGGUAAAAAAGAGUAAAGUCUAUGGACUUGCACCGAAUAGAGUCAUAGUAAGUUUCCAAUUUCAAAAGUUUACCGAAAGCUCUAUUGUUUGUUGAUGAGUUUCCAUAGAAUUUUGAAGGUUUUAGAAGAGUUGUGGAAAUUUGGGACAAUACCACCCUCCUUACUUGUAUUUAUUCUCAUCCUUAUUAAGUUUUUCUAACUACGUUUCUGUGAAAUUACCAACUAGUGUAACUAUGUUUUUUUUAGCUUGUGGUCAUAUGUCGAUUUCUCAAUGUCAAUAAUAUUUGCAAACUUACAAUUGGUUGUUAUCCAAGAAGAAGAAAACUCAAACCUUUUAUUUGAUUAUUUUGUUUGGUUUCUAGCAUUUAGUACUACUUUACUUUUUGGUUGAUGGUUGUGAUUUUUUUAUGUCAGUUUGUCCUAGUAUGAAAGAUUUAACCAUGGUUCAAGCAACAAAGAAUAUUUUCAGAGGUGAAUGAUUACUGGUUGGUUGUUUAUGCUUGUACAGAAAAUCAUGUUUUAUGUAUUAUGAUGGUUCUUACACUAGUUUUGAUUAAGGACUGUAAUUUCAUACUUGUAAAUCGUUCAAACUUGAUUGGAAAUGUACGAAUAUUGCAAAGUGUAUUAUAGUGUAUAUAUAUUAAAAUGUUGACCAUUUGUUUCUAUAUGAGCGUUAUAUAUUUUAACAUUAUUGUCGUUCAAAUGGUUCGUGUAAUGGCGGAGCGACAAGAAGAACAAGGAAAAACGGUAGUCAUUGAAGAAUUUGCAACAGGAAAUAAAUGUCAUAAUAUAUAAAUUCGUUACACUCCAUAAUUGUCGUCAAUAUUAAAACAAUAACAUUUUUUAUAAGAAAAACUGUCACGAUUGCCCUAUAUUUGACAGAAAAAAAUGUCGUCAAUAGCAAAACAAUGUCAUUUAAUUUCUAAAAAAACUGUCACAAUUGACAUAUACAUGACAUUUAAAAAAUGUCAUAAUAAACGAAUUCACGACAUUUUUAAACUGUCGUUAAUAUGCAAAUGAUGACAGUUAUUUGUUGUCAUAAUAUAAAAUAUGACAGUUAUUUGUUGUUAUAAAGUAAUAAUUAACGAAUUUAUUUUCUGUCAUGAAAAAACUUAUUGUGUCAGUUUUCAAAAAAUUUUAUGGAAUGACUUUUCAUAACUCCCGCUUCUAUGACUGUAAAUAAUUGUCACAGAUUUUAUUCGCGAAAGAAAAUAAUUAUCAUCGUAGACCACUUUUCUUGUACUGAUCGAACAUUUGUUGAACCAUCACUUGAUCGCUAAUCUUUUCUAGAAUGACACACACAUGUCAUCACACAAACACAUUUGUGAAAUCCAUAUAUCUUACAACAACAAUAUUGCUAUACGUUUGAAAAUAACAUAGGUUUAAUUUGCUCCAUUUAUUUAAGAAUGAAUGCAAUGGAUGAUCAUGCACAUUCUUUCAAUAAUAGUAUAUACAUUCUUCAAAGUGAUAUUACAACUCUAGCUAAUUUAUUUUAUAUCCAUGUAAGAUACACUCAUCCAUGAUUUUUGUUUCAUCAUUUUUGUUUCUAAUAUAAUCUAAAUUUUGACUCACUCAUCCUUGAUUAUCAACGAGAAUUUAAUAUCACAUAAUUGUUAUGUCGUAGAUUAAACAUAUAUAGAUCUAUUUUUGUUCAACUUGUUUUAAGCCACUUGUAUUGCACAAUGUGAGGUUUGAACAUGCGUGGUUUAAAGAGGAAUUUAAGGAAUGAAUUUUAUUGGGAUUUAGAGAAUUAGAAGUACUUCAAAAUUUCAAGGGAUUAUAACUAAUUUUUGACAAAUAUAAACCAUGGUUAUUUAACUUCAACCAUUCAUCGAUCUUUGCCAAAUAUAGUAAAUAAAAUUUGGAAGAGAAUUUUUCAAACACUAUUGAUCUUCUUCUCCUAUAUAAAGAGGGCUGAAUGAAAGUGCAUAUUCAAACCCAUUCUUUUCAAGUUAGCCAUUAGGACAAUAUAUAAGUAAAUAAAUAAAGUAUAGAAGGCGUAGUAGUGAUGGGAUUGGCAUUACUACCUUUCUUUUUAUUGUUGGCAUCUACUAUUGAAGCCCAAUCCCUUUUUGAUGUUACAAGAUAUGGUGCCAAACCUAAUACAGAUAUUACUCAGGCAAGUAUAUAUGCAAAACUGAUGAAUUUUUUUUUUUAAUUUAUUAGGAAGAAGACUUUAAUUUGAUGAUAGAACUAAACUUUUGCAGGCCUUAGCAAAUGCAUGGAAGGAAGCAUGUAUGUCCACAACUCCUAGUAAAUUGUUGAUUCCAAAAGGAGUAUACCAAUUAAGUCAAUCUUAUCUUAAAGGACCUUGCAAGAGUGUUCCUAUUCAAGUCCAAGUCGACGGAACACUAAAAGCUCCUCUCCAUCCAAAUGGAGAUGGGUUGGUUCUUUUUGCAUACAUUGAUCAACUAAUGUUAUCAGGCACGGGAGUUUUUGAUGGUCAAGGAAAAGCAGGUUGGGAUAAGAAUGAUUGCCACAAAAAGAAGAUAUGUACCAAACUUCCCAUGGUAAAUUGUUUAUAUAUUAUUUCAAACCUUUUGCCUCAUUUUAUAUACAAUUUAAAUCUACAUAAUUUCAAUUACAUAUGGGUCGUUUUAAAUUGAGAGUUUUUUUUUUUUUUUUAAAUUCUGAUCCCUUAUUUGUUUAAAUCCAUCAGAAUUUGAAGUUCAGUUUCAUCACCAAUUCAAUUGUGAAGGACAUAACUUCCUUGGACAGUAAAAAUUUCCACAUCAAUCUUUUGGGUUGCAAGAAUGUUACUUUUCAACACGUGACAAUCAGUGCACCAGAGAAUAGUCCCAACACGGAUGGAAUUCACAUAAGUAGCUCUGAACAGAUAAACAUUCUCGAUUCAAAAAUCUCAACUGGAGAUGAUUGUGUGUCUGUUGGAGAUAGCAACAAGCAAGUAACUAUUACUAAUGUAACUUGCGGACCAGGACAUGGCAUUAGCGUAGGAAGCUUGGGCAAGUACACCAAGGAAAAAGACGUGGUAGGAGUUACUGUGAAAGCAUGCAAAUUAAUCAAUACUACCAACGGUGUCAGAAUCAAAACAUGGCCAGAUUCUGCCGGUGCAUUCAUAGCCUCUGACAUGCACUUUGAAGAUAUUGAGAUGCAAAACGUGAGCAACCCUGUCAUUAUAGACCAAGAAUACUGUCCGUGGAAUCAAUGCAACAGAAAGGUAUAUAUUGUAUUGAAAUUAUACUUUAUUUUGUUUAUUAGUUAAACUUCAUGAACUAAACAAAUACACUUUUGGGACCAUUAAUAUUUCAGGUUCCAUCCAAGAUUAAGAUCAGCAAAGUGAGUUUCAAAAAUAUUAGAGGCACUUCUGCUACUCCUAUCGCAGUGAAGCUUGUUUGCAGCAAAAGUAUACCAUGUGAAGGUGUAGAAGUCGCUGAUAUUAACCUCACUUAUAGUGGAAUACGAGGACCGAUUUUGUCUGAAUGUGCAAACGUGCAGCCUCUCAUUACUGGAAAGCAAAGCCCUCAAAUAUGUGCUAAGCCUGCUCCUGCUGGUGCUCCAUCAACAGACUAAUCUUUUCAACCAAUGCCACACAAAGUCUGCAAAACCAUAUGUGAAAGUUUAUCACAUAUCUAUAUUUAAUUCACAACAUUAUUUUGUAUUCAUUUUUAACAUUCCAUAGGUUUGAUCCAUUCUUUGAUGAUUCAUGAAGCUGAUCAUGUACCUUUUUUCUUCCUUCCAUUUUCUUCUGGGGAAUGAAAUAUAUAAUGAAAAUAAUUCAUACAAUUUUAACUAUUCUAUCCCUUUAGACGUAGACCUACGUGAGUCGUGUUAUAACAUUCAAUUCUACGAAUGUUUUGAUAACUCUUAACAACCUCAAAUGUGUUAUCAAACGUUGUUGAGUUUUGGAAUUUUUAAAAUUAAUUUCUUAUGUAUUUAGCAAAAGCACUGAUAUAAUUAAUUUUUACAUAGUUGAAAUUAAUAUUCAAUCAAUCAAAAAUCAUAAUUUAAUUAAUCAAGCUAGUACUAUAAUAAAAUCUCUAAGCAUCCAAUAAUAUCAUCGGAAUGUAUUAAAACAUAAUUGAAUGAUCAUCGUUAAGUUCAAAAUCUCAAAAAUAUGUUGAAAUAGGUAAAAUAAUCCUUCGUACCCAAGCUAGAGUAUAAUCAAAUUUGAAAUGUAAAAAAAAAUCACAAAAUGAUAUUGCUUAUUGAAUUAAUUAAUUGUUUUUGUCAACUUUUGUAGUUUUGUUACUUGUGAAACAUAGGCUUUGAAAUAUGCAUGGAUCAAUGACGCAUGUGCAUCUGUUCGUCCAAGUGCGAUGGUUCUUCUAAGGAGAAUAUUUAAAGUAAGAGAAGGAGAAUUUAAGGCCCUUGUAAUAGCCUAUUGAAUUGCGAUGGAACAUUGUCGGCUCCGAAACACUUUCAUGAAGAUAGUUGAAUUACUUUGCAUAUGUUGAUAGAAUGAGACUAUCAAAUGGAGUUUUUGAUGGCCAAGGAAAGGCAUGUUCGGAAAAGAAUGAUUGCCAUUAACGUAUAAAUUUUUCUAACCUCCGUAUUGUAAGUUCUAUACCUUUUGUUUUCUCUUCCAUUAACCCCAUUCGUCUUUGUUGAUUCUGAAAGGGUUCGUUAGAUUGUAUUCUCUAUUAUUUUCAUUUUUACAAUUUGGUAAAUGUGUUGUUAGUACCAUAUGAUGAUUAAGAAAUAAAAUAUUGAACUAAAUUUAACCAUAUAAAAUUGAGGCAAAAGAGCUAACUUAUUUUUAAAAAAUAUAUAUCAAGACUAAAUAUUUAGAGAAAACUCAUAUUUUCAUCCCUCCCUAAAAGUUUGUGUGCAUUAUUGCUUUCUCACCGUAUCUCUUACACGACUUAUUGAUCAUAUAAAAUGAUCAAAGUUUAAGAUUUGACUUCAUUACCAAUUCAAUUGUGAGGAGAAUAACAUCAUUCGAUAGCAAAAACUUCCAUGUCAACAUCCUAGGGUGAAAGAACCUCACAUUCCAAGGUGUUAACAUAAUUGCACCAGAAGAUCGUCCGAACACAGAUGGAAUACACAUUGAUCGAUCAAUUGGGAUCUCAAUCUUAAAAUCUCGAAUAACAACAAGAGUCAAUUGCAUCUCACUUGGAGAUGGAAGCAAACAAAUAAAAGUCACAAAUGUGAUAUGUGGGCCAUGUCAUGGAAUAAGCAUAGGAAAGUCUUGAAAAAUAAACAAAUGAAGAACCUAUAUAUCGAAAGUGUCAUAGUAAAGAACUGCACAAUAAUGAACAUCACUAAUGGUGUUAGGAUCAAAACAUGGUACACCUCUCAUGUUGCUGGUAUUGCCAUCAACAAGAAUUUUUCAGACAUUACAAUGGUCAAUGUUAGCAACCAAAUUCUCAUAGACCAAGAGUAUUGUCCUUGGAAUCAUAGCAAUCAUCAGGCAUUGAUCACAUUCUUGAAAUUUUGAUUUUAAAAGUUUUCAUGCAUAUUGUCAACUUCAUGGAUAAACUUUAAUUUUCACUCUCAUUUUUCAGAUUUUGUCAAAGAUUAAGUUUAAUAAAGUGAGCUUCGAGAAUAUUAGAGGAAGUUCUGCAACUCCAGUGGAAAUCAAACUUAUUUGUAGUAGCAACCUACCAUGUGAAGAAGUAAAACUUAUGUUUCAUGCUUUUUUUUUCUAAUAUAAUCUAAAUUUCGACUCACUCAUCCUUGAUUAUCAACGAGAAUUUAAUAUCACAUAAUUGUUAUGUUGUAGAUUUUUAUAUUGUCGAUUGAAACAUAUAUAGAUCUAUUUUUGUUCAACUUGUUUUAAGCCACUUGUGUUGCACACUGUGAGGUUUGAACAUGCGUGGUCUCAAAGAGGAAUUUAAGGAAUGAAUUUUAUUGGGAUUUAGAGAAUUAGAAGUACUUCAAAAUUUCAAGGGAUUAUAACUAAUUUUUGACAAAUAUAAACCAUGGUUAUUUAACUUCAACCAUUCAUCGAUCUUUGCCAAAUAUAGUAAAUAAAAUUUGGAAGAGAAUUUUUCAAACACUAUUGAUCUUCUUCUCCUAUAUAAAGAGGGCUGAAUGAAAGUGCAUAUUCAAACCCAUUCUUUUCAAGUUAGCCAUUAGGACAAUAUAUAAGUAAAUAAAUAAAGUAUAGAAGGCGUAGUAGUGAUGGGAUUGGCAUUACUACCUUUCUUUUUAUUGUUGGCAUCUACUAUUGAAGCCCAAUCCCUUUUUGAUGUUACAAGAUAUGGUGCCAAACCUAAUACAGAUAUUACUCAGGCAAGUAUAUAUGCAAAACUGAUGAACUUUUUUUUUUAAUUUAUUAGGAAGAAGACUUUAAUUUGAUGAUAGAACUAAACUUUUGCAGGCCUUAGCAAAUGCAUGGAAGGAAGCAUGUAUGUCCACAACUCCUAGUAAAUUGUUGAUUCCAAAAGGAGUAUACCAAUUAAGUCAAUCUUAUCUUAAAGGACCUUGCAAGAGUGUUCCUAUUCAAGUCCAAGUCGACGGAACACUAAAAGCUCCUCUCCAUCCAAAUGGAGAUGGGUUGGUUCUUUUUGCAUACAUUGAUCAACUAAUGUUAUCAGGCACGGGAGUUUUUGAUGGUCAAGGAAAAGCAGGUUGGGAUAAGAAUGAUUGCCACAAAAAGAAGAUAUGUACCAAACUUCCCAUGGUAAAUUGUUUAUAUAUUAUUUCAAACCUUUUGCCUCAUUUUAUAUACAAUUUAAAUCUACAUAAUUUCAAUUACAUAUGCGUCGUUUUAAAUUGAGAGUUUUUUUUUUUUUUUUUUUAUUCUGAUCCCUUAUUUGUUUAAAUCCAUCAGAAUUUGAAGUUCAGUUUCAUCACCAAUUCAAUUGUGAAGGACAUAACUUCCUUGGACAGUAAAAAUUUCCACAUCAAUCUUUUGGGUUGCAAGAAUGUUACUUUUCAACACGUGACAAUCAGUGCACCAGAGAAUAGUCCCAACACGGAUGGAAUUCACAUAAGUAGCUCUGAACAGAUAAACAUUCUCGAUUCAAAAAUCUCAACUGGAGAUGAUUGUGUGUCUGUUGGAGAUAGCAACAAGCAAGUAACUAUUACUAAUGUAACUUGCGGACCAGGACAUGGCAUUAGCGUAGGAAGCUUGGGCAAGUACACCAAGGAAAAAGACGUGGUAGGAGUUACUGUGAAAGCAUGCAAAUUAAUCAAUACUACCAACGGUGUCAGAAUCAAAACAUGGCCAGAUUCUGCCGGUGCAUUCAUAGCCUCUGACAUGCACUUUGAAGAUAUUGAGAUGCAAAACGUGAGCAACCCUGUCAUUAUAGACCAAGAAUACUGUCCGUGGAAUCAAUGCAACAGAAAGGUAUAUAUUGUAUUGAAAUUAUACUUUAUUUUGUUUAUUAGUUAAACUUCAUGAACUAAACAAAUACACUUUUGGGACCAUUAAUAUUUCAGGUUCCAUCCAAGAUUAAGAUCAGCAAAGUGAGUUUCAAAAAUAUUAGAGGCACUUCUGCUACUCCUAUCGCAGUGAAGCUUGUUUGCAGCAAAAGUAUACCAUGUGAAGGUGUAGAAGUCGCUGAUAUUAACCUCACUUAUAGUGGAAUACGAGGACCGAUUUUGUCUGAAUGUGCAAACGUGCAGCCUCUCAUUACUGGAAAGCAAAGCCCUCAAAUAUGUGCUAAGCCUGCUCCUGCUGGUGCUCCAUCAACAGACUAAUCUUUUCAACCAAUGCCACACAAAGUCUGCAAAACCAUAUGUGAAAGUUUAUCACAUAUCUAUAUUUAAUUCACAACUUUAUUCUGUAUUCAUUUUUAACAUUCCAUAGGUUUGAUCCAUUCUUUGAUGAUUCAUGAAGCUGAUCAUGUACCUUUUUUCUUCCUUCCAUUUUCUUCUAGGGAAUGAAAUAUAUAAUGAAAAUAAAUCAUACAAUUUGAACUAUUCUAUCCCUUUAGAUGUAGACCUUCGUGAGUCGUGUUAUAACAUUCAAUUCUACGAAUGUUUUUAUACUCUUAACAACCUGAAAUGUGUUAUCAGAUUCUCUUGAGUUUUGGAAUGUUUACAUAGUUGAAAUUAAUAUACAAUCAAUGAAAAAUCAUAAUUUAAGUAAUCAAACUAGUACUAUUAUAGAAUCCCUAAACAUCCAAUAAUAUCAGCGAAAUCUAUUUAAACAUAAUUGAAUGAUCAUCGUUAAGUUCAAAAUCUCAUAGAUAUGUUGAAAUAGGGAAAAUAAUCCUUCAUACCCACUAGAAGAAAAACUAGCUUCUAUGAUAGUUCAAUGCAACCCAAAUUAAAGAGAGGGAAGAAAAAACUGUCGUAGAAUGUCAAAACACGCGUUUUUGGCAGAAAAAAACGCUGUUUUCGGGUUCUACCUUUUUGUGACAGUUAUUUGAUGUCAUUAAAGUAAUUGAUUUAUUUAAAUUUAUUAAAAUAUAACUUAAUUUUAUAUUCCAAAAAAGACAAAACUCACACGCCCUUCUCCAAAUCGUCUUCCUCUUCGACCCUCACUCCGCCGACCAGACCAUCAGACGAACAACCACCGUCGAUCUCUGAAAAUGUCGUUGACCGUCUCCCAAUGUUGUCUGUCACUGCCAAUCGUCGCCCACUAUCCAUCUUUGGAACCAAACGCCCACCGUCGACGUUGGAGACAUUUACUAAGGUUAGGUUUUGUUACUGUCUCUGAUUCUUCUUCUUCUUCCUUUCCAUUUCUUUCUUUUUGUUUUUUUUGUCUCUGUAUUAAAACUUAUUUGUUGAGGAACACUAGUUUUGAUUGAAUUUUUUUAGGGUAGAUUUUGUUUUACCAAAGAGAUGAACACCAGUCCAUAUUAAGCCAUGGAAUUCUUUGAUUGUAAAAUCUUCACCAAAAUUUUCAUAAUUAUUUUUUAUGGUGUCAUUCCAAUUGUUUGUUAGUGUCGAUUUCUUUGCAAUCUUCAGAAUUCUUUUCUUUGUUUUCAAGAAUUUGUGUAGGUUGGUAGAGAUUUGCACUUGUGAAACAACACAAGAUUUUGUUAUAGUUUAAAUCUAUAAAAAUUAGAGAAUCUAAGAAGUGUGAUUAACGAUAACAAUCUGAGGAGCUUGAGAGGGUAAUUGCAUCCAAUGUGUGUGGAUCAUUAUUUAACAAAUAUGAGGAGCUUUUGAUGAGAAGAAAUAAUUGCAUUGCAGUUAUGAAAUCUGUUCAACAAUCCAUGAAUUUGCUUGGUCUUCCACAAACUACAAAUAAAAGAACCAUUGUGAAUUUCUGUUUUCAGAAUGCUUCAUUGUUCUUUUGCACGGUUUCGGGUACGUUUAAGUUGUAUUUGAAGUCAUUAGAGCCAUUGAAGGCUUUGGUGAUUGAUGAAACAGCACAGUUGAAAGAGUGUGAGUGUGUUAUUCCAAUGCAACUGGCUGACAUAAAGCAUGCAAUCCUCAUAGGUGAUGAGUGUCAAUUGCCAGCAUUGGUUCAGAGCAAUGUAAGAAAGUUUCUCCCUUUAUUUAAUCACAUUUGUUUUAACAUAUAUUGACACUUCGAUACACACUUGUUAAACAUGAUAAAUACCUUUUGAACACUCACGUACACAUAUGGAUAACCUAAACAUUUCAUAGACUUAAAAUUCCCAUACCCUAUUUGAGAGGCUAAGCUCAUUGGGGCAUCCAAAACAUCUUCUCAAUGUGCAAUACAGAAUGCAUCCAUCCAUAAGCCUUUUCCCAAACUCAAAAUUCUACUCAAGUCAGAUCUCAGAUGGUCCUAAUGUCAAAGCUAAAGCCUAUGAAAAGACGUUUCUUCCGCGACCGAUGUUCGGUUCGUAUUCUUUCAUAAACAUAAAUGGUGCACGAGAAGAAAAGGAUGAAAUUGGACACAGUUUGAAAAACAUGGUAGAGGUUGAUGUUAUGCUCAAAAUUGUUCAUUCUUUGUCUCAAGGUAUAAUAUUUUCUCUAUUUGAUCUUUGUUUUCGGCUUGGUUACUUCUGUGUCAGAUGAAAUUUUCUCAAAUUGUUAUAUACAUUAUUAUUUUGCUAUUUUUAUGUAAAUCUCUUUCGUUUUCUUAGGAGCAUGAAAGCAUUUCAACUUGGUUAGUGUGUCUUUCACAUGUAUGUACCAUACAUAUCGAAUAGUUUAGUUUGCCUACUGCGUUUGACCCUAAGAUACUAAAGCCUAAAUGUAUAAGACCCUUGUUGGUAGAAAAGAUUUUAUCUCACAGUAGUUGUAGGAAAUCAAAAUAGCACUAAAAUAUGUUAGACAUAUAUUUAAUGCUUAUUUCGUACUAAAUAGACCGUAGAUAAAAUAGCAAAACUAGAGAGUGAAAUACAUGGUGUGUCAAAGUAAAAUUUGAAAUAUAUUGUUAAAUUGCAGAACUCAUAGACUAUAAUUUUUCAUUUGUAAAACAGUAUGUCUUCUAAAAACAUUCAUGUCCAUGUUGUGCCCAUGGCGUGUCAUCUUGUUUCAUGUCGAAUCUUUAAUACAUAUAUAUUUUUUAAUAUAAUAUAUGUUUGUAGCAUGUGUUGACUCAAAAGGAAAGAUGAGCAUUGGUGUAGUGUCCCCAUAUUCAGCUCAAGUCGUUACCAUUCAACACAAAAUUGGGAAGAAGUACAAUUGUAAUGGAUUUAAUGUGAAGGUGAGUUCAGUUGAUGGCUUUCAGGGAGGGGAGGAAGAUAUCAUUAUUAUUUCCACUGUUUGGUGUAAUACAGGAUCGUCCAUCGGGUUUUUGUCGAGUAAUCAAAGAACAAAUGUCGCACUUACAAGAGCUAGGUAGCUGCUUUCUAGUUUCUCUAUGCUUACUCUCUUUUUGUUCCUUUACUUCAACAUGUAUAAUUCAAAUUAAAUUAAACGCAGGGUGACUUUCAAGUUGUUUAUUUGGAGUGAAAGGAGCUUUUAGCUCAUUAACUAAAUGAAAACAAUUUUCAAAAUUAAUCAUCAUAUGAUGUUUUUUUUAUUUAUGAUUUUUUCCUUCCGAUUGACCAUUAUAAUGUAUUUGAAAACUAGUCCUUUUCUUUGACUUAAGAGUAGGUACUGUUUGUAGAUAUUGGGAAACUUCAAAACACUGUCAAAGAGUAACUCGGUUUGGGAAGAGUUGGUUAUGGAUGCCAAGAAUCGUGGCUGUUUCUUCAAUGCUAAUGCCAAUGCCAUAACCAAAGACAUCCAACAGAUAGUUCCACUACUGGAUUAUUUCAACUCCAAUGAUGAAGGAAGAAGCUUGGAGAUAAUGGAGGGAAAGAACGUAGAAGAUCAUGAAUCCAAGGCCAAGAGGCUGCUGCAGUUGUUGUGGCAAGAUUAACUUCAUAAAAAAUGGAGAUGGAGGUAUUCUUAAAUGCUUAUAACCCUAAAAAUGACUUCAACACUUCUAUUUAUGAAUUUCAUGAAGCCACUGGGCUGAUUUUAAAUUGCUAGGAUGAUCAACCUGUUGAGGAAGGUAACAUUAAUCUUGUUUUGUUUACAUUUGAACUACUCAAAUUUCUAUCACAUAAAAAUUAUCAUUCAUGAACAUAAUAAAGUGGAUCUUAAAGAUGUAGAAAAUGACUUUUGUUUAGUGUUUAAUUGAACGGAAAAUUUUGGGUAAAGUUCUUUCUUGUAAUAUUUUUUUUACUUUGGUUUUAAUUUUUUUUCUGUGAAGAAUGCUCCUCCUUCCUUGUUCUCAAUUUUUAUCUACAACAUAUUUUUGUUUUUCUUAGUAUUUGAACAUUUUUGUAUUCGUAGCAACCUAACUUUGUUGUUUCUCUUAGUUUGGUUGUGAUUUGAGUAUUUUAUAUUUGGGGUUCAGGAAGGGCAGUAUUUGUUGAAGGAAUUCCCCGUGAACUGGUUUCUUGUAAGAAGUAUUGUAAAGUUUUAGAAGUAUUGUAAAGUUUUGAAGGUUGGGUUGUGGUAAUGGAAGCACCGUUAUUCCAAUCUUGUUGUAACCUCCAAUGUAUUCUAUUUUCCCUCUACUUUACUUCUUAGUCAUGUUCCUCAAUUUUGUUUGUUUUUUUUUUUUUUAGAAAUUUAGUUGAUAAAUACUGUUUGUGUUUGCUUUGUGCUUGCUUAUAUGAGAUAUUAUUAAAAAAAUCUUAUCGUUGAAAUUAAUUCGAAAGUAGAGAAAAAUCAGUGUCAACUGGAGGAGUCUUUUAGAACAGAAGAAUAAAAAGGCAAAUGUUAUUGAAUGGGCUCUUAAAGCUUCCACAUUUUCUAUCUUGCUCUUUACAUUUUACUGUUUAGGUUAGCUUUCAUAUUCUAUAAAAAAAAAAAAAUAGAAAUAAUAUGAACGUAUUCAACCAAAGUUUCAUUAUUUCUAUUGUUUGUAGUUGUAUAGUAAUAUGUGGUUGUGACAUUGCUUUCUUUUUUUUCCUGUUUCUUUUGUAUUACUCUAUUUUACAGCAAGCUAAUUUUAAAGGUGUGAAGUGUAUUUUGAUGUAUUUUGAUUUUGGGGAAGAAUUCAGAUGACAAAAGCAUCAAGAAGUCGAUCGUCGGUCUGAAAAGUUAGUGAUAAACAUCUAGGUUGAUUGUUACAAUAUAAAUCUCUUAUUUGUUAAUGUCUUUUCCUUAUCUUAUCCAUCCUCUUUCAACAUAUCUUGCUAAUUUCAUAAGCUAACAUUGGUUGCGAUAGACUAUAAUGCUAGUGAUUCUGAUUCAGAUGAAUUGACUCGUGAUUCUUAACCACACCAGUGUUGUUGAUUUCUCUAUGUCAUGUCAAAACAACCACUUGUAUCUCCUCCACGACAUGUCGUUUUAGAAAUUUAAUUAACUUGUAAUUCUUUGAAUUUAUGUGUGGCAUCAAUUAUUCUUUCUUGUACAUGUGAGAGUAAAGCAUGCAUAGUUUAUUGUUUGUAGUCAUUCCUUCUGUCAUCAAUAUUUUUGCUUAUGCUGAUUUUUUUUUUUUUUUUUGCAGUAAUUUAUGUGUUCUUUGGGUUUUAUGAUUUAAUUGUUAUGUUGUUUUCCUGAAUUUAUAGGUUGGAUAUGCUUCAGCUAAGUUAAAGUUAGAUGGUCGUAUCAGGUACGAUUUUCUCAAAUAAUCCCCAGAUUUUUGUUUUUCGCUCAUUAACUUGUCUAGUUUGUUACUGAAUUCUACCUUCCAAUUCUACCAAUAAUAUUCAACAAGGUAUUUAUUUGGAUUAAACUUGCUCUGAGAUAAAAUUUCUAUGGCUGGGCUGGGAUGCAGGGGAAGGAAUUCAUUAGGUUGUUAUUAGCAAAUACCACUAUUUGUUGGGCUGUGAUGCAUAUUGUUGCUUAAAAACUCUUUCUUAACGCAACAAAUUUUAUCAAUGCUUUUAACUCAUUCCUCCAUUUGUUCAUGGAAUUAUGUAAUGAUGAUUUGAUGUAAAUCCUUACUAAUUAAGAAUCUUGGCUACAAUCUUCUUCGCUUGACAUUCAGCUAAGUUAAAGUUAAUUGUGAAAUCUUCAUUUCUUUCAUUUAGAGUUCUCUUGGCCUAUCGUUAGUUUAGUUGAUAUGUUUGUUUGCUACCAUUCAUUAUUGUAGUUUUUCACCAUUCUUCACUUAUGGAUUAUUUGGUAUGAAGUUUUAUGAGAUAAUCCUUUGUGGAAUGACUAGGUGAUUGUUAGGACAGUUCUUAUGCAAUUUUUGUAUGCAUAAGCAACCUUCUUCUCCCCUUCCCCAUGAUUCUUUUCAAUUCUGAAAACGUAGGUAGCUUCUAUGUUUUCUUUCCUCUUCCCAUGAUUACUCUUUUAUGUUUUCUUUCAUCAUCGUCCCAUGUUUACUCUUCUAUGUUUUCUUUCCACUUUCCAUGUAUACUCUUGUGUUUUACUCUUCUAUGUUUUCUUUCCUCUUUCCAUGUAUACUCUUGUGUCUUCUCGUAACUAUAUUUCUAUAUCUAUACCUUUUGUUCUUCUUUUAUCACAACUUUUUGGUGCACUUUUCACCUUCCUUGAAAACACAUUUGAAUCCUAAGUCAUAUUUUAAAAAAAAUAUGAAGCGAGUUGUACUCUCUUGUCCUAUGAUGGAUGCUUAUAUUCAUGUUGUCUUUGUAGGUUCAACUGGAGUCGACAACUUCAUGAGUUUACUUUCAAAGAACAUUUUCAGAGACGAAUGUUCUCGGUUGGUCGUUUAUGUUUUAGCAGAAAAUCUUGUUAUAUGUAUUCUGAUGCUAUUUAAAAUAUUUUUUGAUUAAGGGCUAGAAUUCCGUACUUGUAAAUUGUUGGAAGUUGAUUGGAAAUGUAUGAAUAUUAUAAAUUGUAUUAUAGCGUAUAUAUAUUAAAGUGUCGGCUAUUUUUUACUAUAUGGGUGUCAAUAUUAUAAAUUCAAAAUUGUCAUUGUCGGCUACAUUAUUGUCAUUCAAAUGGUUCGUGUAAUGGCGGAGUGGCAAAGAGAAUAGAAAAAAAUUGUAGUAAUCGAGUAAUUUGCAACAGGAAAAACAUGUCGUAAUAUAUGAAUUUGUGACAGUUAUUAAUUGUUGUGAAUACCAAAACAAUGACAGUUUUUUUUUACAAAAUCAAUUGUCACGAUUGCCCUAUCUUUGACAGAAAAAAAAUGUCGUCAAUAGCAAAAUAAUGACAUUUCUUUAAAAAAAACUGUCGCGAUUGACAUAUCUGUGACAUUUAAAACAUAUCACAAUAAACGAAUUCGCGACAUUUAUUUAACUGUCGUUAAUACAUAAAUGAUGUAGUUAUUCAUUGUCAUAAAAUAAAAUAUGACAGUUAUUUGAUGUCGUAGAAUUCUAACUAACGACAUUUAUUUUAUGUCAUGAAAUAAGUUAUUGCGACAGUUUUUGAAAACUGUCAUGGAAGGACUUUUCAUGACUCCCGCUUCUAUAACUGAAAAUAACUGUCAUGGAUUUUGUUCGCAACAGUAAAUAACUGUCGUCGUAGACCAUUUUUCUACUAGUGACCCAAGCUAGAAUAUAAUCAAAUUGAAAUGUAAAAACAAUCACAAAAUGAUAUUGCUUAUUGAAUUAAUUAAUUGUUUUUUCUAACUUUUUUAGUUUUGUUACUGGUGAAACAUAGGCUUUGAAAGAUGCAUGGAUCAAUGACGCAUGUGCAUCUGUCCGUCCAAGUGCGGUGGUUACUCUAAGGAGAAUAUUUAAAGUAAGAGAAGGAGAAUUUAAAGCCCCUUCACUACGAGAAAAAUGACAAUUUCUAUACAAUCCAAAUUAAAAGAAGAAAAAAAAAAACUGUCACAAAUUGUCAAAAUGCGCAUUUUUGGCGUGAAAAGACGAAAAUUUUCGGAUUGACCAAAUUUAUGACAGUUUUUUAAUGUCAUAAAUCUAUGACAUUUUUUAACUAUCAUUAAAUAUUAAUAAUAAAAUAAUAUUUAUUUGUUUCAAGUUAAAAGAAAGGAAAUAAAGAAAAUAAAGGAAAGAAAGAAAAGAAAGGAAAGCCUCUAAAUUUCAAAAACGCUCUCCCCCUCUCUUUGCGAAAAUCACAGCUGCACUUCCCUCACUGCAAUCUUUCUCAAUCUCUCCACUGCCUACGUCGGUGGCUUCUGCGACUGAGCGCUGACCAUCCAAACGCACCGCUACCACCUAUCGCCGGCGUCUUCUCCCUCACUCUCAGGUUUUCUUUUCCCGUCACGCGUCCGUGGCUCCAUUUCGACUUCAUCCUAUUUUUACAUUAGAUUCAGGUUUUGGAGGAGUUUAUCGUGUUGUCCAGCAAAUGUUAAUUACAUUUUGGGGAAUUUCCAGUAAGUAUCGAAAUUUUUUUUCUGUCCUUUCGAAAUUCACUGCAAAUUGCUGAAAAUUGGGUUUUAAUAUUUGAAAUUUCAUUAUGCCUAGGUUUGAAUUGUGUUAAAUUAAAGGUUUUAGAGAAGUUUUGAAUAAAAAAUAGGUUGGGCAAAUUUUUUAAUGUUUGAUGGGAAUUCUCAUUACCCAAAUCCCAAAUUGCAAAAUGGAUGAAAUUUUGAUUUCCAAUUCCACUUUGUCUUUGGUUGUUUAUGUGAAUGCAAUUUACUCUCCAAUCGCUUCAGAACUCAUCUCCUAUAUGUUGGAUUCCAUGCGAAUGAGUCAAUGUGAUAUGUUGAUGGUUCUUUUUAUGAAAAACAUCCCUCAUAGUUUUGAUUUGAUUUUAUAGGAGAUAUGUGUUUGUUUUGUCUAUCAUCAUAUUCAUCAUAUUCAAUAUUGUUGUUUACGAUCAUUUUUCUAAUGUGAAUCACAUUUUUUCUUUAUGGUUGACUAUGUGAUGAAGCAUUUUGGUAGCUUACAAUAUGUUUGAUUACAAUGUGUUUGAUGAAAUGUCUCAAUGAAGCAUUUGAUUGAUUUUUAAUUGAUUUUUGUUCAUUUGAAUUAGGAAAAUUCUAAGAAACGUUUUAUUUUGUUGAGAAUACAAAGGGAAAAAGGAGAUUGUGUUUGCUUUUGUUCUCUAAAAGUUGAUCAACUUCUUCAUCCAUAUGUAUUUUGCAGGUCAGACGACCUACGGGGAUUAUUUGUGCAGUUUGGUCCUCUUAAGGACACUUACUUGCCACAAGAUUAUUAUUUUGGGUAGGGUACUUUGGAAGAUUGUUAUAUUGAUUUUGUAUGCAUUUGGUGUGUAUAUGCGGUAGCCACCUAUUUUUAUCCUAUACAUUAUAUCUUUUUUAAAAUACUAAUAUUAGUAAUAAUGACUAAAUUAUUUAUUUAUCUAUUUACUUUAAAAAAAGCUAAAAAAAAUAAUAACAUAAUAUUUUAUAAUAUUUCAUUUUUAUGAAACAAAAAUAAAUCAAUUUAUUUUUAAAAAAUAUUUUAAUAUCAUAUUUGUACUAUUUUAGGAAAAAAGAAAUGAAUUUGUUCUAAAUAAAAUCUUCUAAUAUCAAUUUUGACUUACUUAAAUCAUUUUAGGAAAAAAGAAAAUCAAUUUUAAAUAAAAGUAUUUUAAUAUUCAUUAAUUUAUUUUUCACAAAAUCUCAAAAUAUCUCAUUUAAUUUAUUUUAGGAAAAUGAAAAUUUGUACGGUCUAUUAAUAGGGACCAUUGUCAUUUCAAAGAAAUGAGAAAGAGUUUUUUUAAACAAAUAAUUCUUUGGAUGAAAAUUUUCUUACAAAAAGUCUUUAAGAAAAUUUUGUUAGAGAAUCUCUGCGAAUUGGAAAAAAAAAAAAUUCUGCAAACGUAAGUAUUUUAUUAUUUAUUUAUUUGUUUAUUCUUACUUUCUUUUACUUUGGUUGUUAUUAUUUUUAUUUUCUUAAAAAAAAAAACCUUAGUCUUUUCUUCUCCCUAAAAAAUAGAGAAAAAGAACAUAAGACUUUUUUUUUUAAUCUUUACUUUAUUCUCUUUAAAAACACACACAUAUAUAAAGAAAAUUUCAUUUACUUAUUAUUAUUAAUAUAAUUUUAUUUGUUAUUAACUUUUUUUUAUUACUGUUUUUCUUAACUUUAUUUAUUUUAACUUCUGUUUUUCUUCUUUUUAACUUUAUUAUUAUAACUAUGGCUUUCUAUGUAUUUAAAACUUAUUAUUAUUGAUUUAUUUAUAUAAUUACUAUUUAUUUAUAUAAUUACUAUUUAUUUAUAUAAUUACUAUUUAUUUAAUUAUUUAUUUGUUAUAAUAAUAAUUAUUAUUAUUAUUUGGCCUUGCGGCCACACUUCUUGUUUUUUUAAAAAAAUGUUUUUCUUUCUCUUCUAAUUCCUUUUAUUUCUUUUGUUUCCUUAUUUCUUCUUUCCUUUUUCCUUAUUUAUUUAUUUCUUUCUUCUUUAUUUUUAUUUAUUUAUCUAUUCAUUUUCGUUAUCUGCAUUUUCUAUUUUCUUUUUAUUUAUUUUAAAUUAUUUUUAUUGCAUGCAUAAUAAUUAUUGUUAUGUAGUUUUAAACUUAUCAAUAUUUUUUUCACUUUGCAAUGUUACCAUGAUAUUUUAUAACAAUUAUUUUUCUUCUUCUUAUAUCGUAUUUAUCUUUACAUUUUAUCAUUCUAAAAAAAUCCGACAAUGGAAUUAGAAAUAUCUGGGAGUCCGUUAUUUCUAAAUUUUUGAGGUGAGGGAAUCUGUUCUUUGGGAGUCCAAGAUCGAUUCCCAAUAUUUUUUUAAAAAAAUAAAAUCUUAUCUUACUUGCUUAAUCUGUCGUGUGAUAUAUUUGAUUCCAUUGUGCAUUUCCUAUUGACCUAAUUUUGAAAUCUUUCUUAAAUUUCCCUUUUUAACCGUUUAGAAAUUUUUACUUUAAAACUAUUCCUUUUAAUUUUUUAAAAAAAUGUUCAAAAUAUAAAUCUAUAUUUCAUAUGUUUUCCUUAAUCAACUUUUUUAAUAACUCACUUCUAUUUCGCUAAAAUUAUUCCUAUGAUGGAAUCUAUAAAAUUUAGGAGUCCGAUUUCCUAGAAUUCUUAAGGUGAGAGAUCACAUCUUUGGAAGUCCGAAAUUUGAUCCCAAGAAAAAAUGAAUUUAAUCAAUGUUUUAAAAAAAAAUCAAAGACUAGCCUAUGAUAAAUUUUGAGAAAUUGUAAUAAUUUCUCAUUUUCUUAAGGUGAGAAACUUUCUUUCAAUAUAUAGUCUAAUUAAUGGAAUAUAAUUCCACUUAUUUUAUGAGAUCAUUGCUUCAAAUAUUGAAGUAAUGAGGGAUGAAAUAAAACAUUAGUUUUAAAAUAAAUUUAAAAAUAUUUUCAAUUGAAGAUUUUAAAUUUGGCCACCGUUUUUCUAAAUGGGUGUUGUGGGGUGCUAAUACCUUCUCCACACACAAAUUACACCCGAACUCAAAUUCUAUUUUUCGUAGACCAUUUUUUCAAAAUUGUUUAUUUUAUUUGGUGUCCAAUCACACCGUAAAAAAUAUUGGUGGCGACUCCUAUUUUAUUUUAAAACUAGCUCUUUUGAGGACGUCGGCCGCUCCGCGUCGUCUCGGGCACGUGGCGACAUAUGCAUGUCUGAAUUUUUUUUUUUUUCUGGAUGUUAACUCAUUUAGUCCUUUAGUUUUGGACGUAUCCGAUCUACUUUACAUAUUUGUAAAUAUGUUUUUAUUGAUGGUUGGUCCUAUAGUGAUUGCUUAAUGGUUUGGAAAUGGUCCUAUGUUUUCAAUUAUUUGGUUUUCCAAUAAUAACAUACAAUCUGUUUAUGGACUUUGGUUGUUUUUAUUGAAAGUGAUAAUGUUUGAAGACACCCAAUGAAGUAAUAAGAGUAUCUUGUGGAAUACAAGAAGCAUGAAUUUUUUUUUGUGUGUUGAUGACAUUCAAGUUCUGAUGACUUAAUGUUUACGUGUAGAUUUGGUCGAAGUUGGGUUACAGUACAUUGAGAAGUUCAAGUCUUGAAGAAUUUCAUCUCAGUUUUUUCUUAGCCACUCAGAAGGUUAGCAUGGUGAUGUUAAUAUUCUCUUGUUAGAGCUCUCUGUCGAUGUUUCUGCCACUCCCAAUCGAUAGAUUAAUGAUCAAUGAUAUCACUGGUUUAAGUGACAUUUUGGAAAAAUAUGCUAAGUUCUUUUUUUUUUUUUAAUUUUUUAUUAAGAUUCUCUGUAAAUAUUAAAUAUUAGAGGUGGGUGUGGAAAUGGAUGGAGAGCUUGGAAAAUGAAAUCUGUCUUCUUUUUUUUUUUUUUCUAGAGGGGGGAUUUUCAAGAUGAGCGUAUAUCAAAAGACGAAUGAGAUAUUUAAAAAAAGAGUAAAAGAUAAAAAAUAAAAAAAAAGGAGAUGAGUAUCUUUUCUUUUUUUGUUUGUAUAGGGUUUUAGCAAAUUCACAUAUUUUAAUCGUUAGCUGUAUUUUGUGGAGUUGUAAACUCUUUAGGAUUGUAUCAAGGAAAGAAAAAGAUAAACGAUAUAUUAUUAUUUAUGAAUGUAUUGAAAUGCUAAUGAUGUUGUGUGAUUGUGUUUGUCCCGAUAUAGGAUAUUUGAGUCACACAACAAGCCUUGAAUUAUGUUAUUUAAUACUUCUUCUGUGCUCAUCACUAAUUUUUAAGAUUAUAUGACAACAAGUUUUCUUUAUUAUUUUCGUAAAAAUAUCAUUACCUAUUCAUUGAUUUCUGAAUUUUUUAUGGUUAAUUUGCAUUAUUUAGUAGAUUUUAUGGCAAGGAAUUGGAAAUGGUUUUCUUUUGAAAUAACACUUGAUUUGUUCCUUGAAUGUUGUUGAGCUAUUUCCUUGAGUGACCUCGUUUUUUCUCAUUAUUGGUGUUUUUGAGUGAGUGGGUAAAUUACAAAUAUAUAGACUUAGUGGGGUGGAGUAGAGAAAGGGGAGAGUGAAUUUGUCUUUUAUUUAUAUUAUUUUAAUGUAGAUACGGUUCAUUAAUGUUAACUUGUUUGUAGUUUGUUACUCCUUUGAACUAAUCGAUUUCAUUGGUUCAAGGAAGUAGAUUUUUAAAUUGAAAAUUGUGGGUUCCAAUCUACAUAAGUAAUUUCCAUGUUUGCACAGUAAGUUUACAUUACAAACAUGUUUGCACAGUAGGAUAAUUAUUGGUGUUCAUUGGAAUUAUAAGUUAUGCUAUUAUUCAGGAUCUAGUUGCAAAUUCUUAUUUUUUUAGGAUCUAGUUGUGGGUAAUGAUGUGCUUAAUCUUCAUGAGAUUUUGUUUAUUGCAUGUUCCUAACUUCAUGUUAUGUUACUCUCUGUCCAAAAUUCUAUCUACUUUGUUGAUGUUAGUUCUUUUCUCCAUAUUUGCAGUGGGGAAUCUAUGUUACUGGUUUGUGAGAAGAGAUUGUUGCUUCUUUUGAGAAAGUUAAUUUCAAAAGAAUACAGUCUUUUGCUUCCUCCUUAAAGAGCUCAUUGGAAUUUUCUUUUGUUUCAAAAUUUAUUUUAUAUUUCUCAACCCUUGGGUUAAUAAUUCUAAAAUUCUGAUUGAGACUGAAGAGUUGAAUAGGGAGCUCAAUGGAAUUUAACCCCUUUGAUGCUAUUAUUUGCUUUAUAUAUGUGUUUUUCUGAAUGGAACACAUUGGGUCAUGGGAGAACAACAGGAAAGCAGCUCUUGAGGCUGAACUAAAACAAAUUGAGGUAAUUAGAAAAUAAAAUAUAUGUAAUGUGUUUAAGUUUUAUUUGUAUAGUAUGUAGAUGCUAUUUACGAUUUUAGUUCUAGAAUUUUAGAAAAAUUCAUUAAAUAUAAACUCACAACCUCAGUGAAGAUUCCAAAAUCUGUAAUUCGAUAUUUCUCUUCAUUGACGGAACUGCUCUUUACAACUAUGUUUUUUUUUUUUUUUUGUCGAUUUCAUUUGGAUUGAUUUUGUAAUGAGAGCAUGAAAAAUUUGAGAAGAAGAAGGGUGAGUAUAUAGAGAAAAUGAAGAACAAAAUAGCAUUGAUACACAAAACAACAUAAGAAAAUAAGGUUGUUAAUUGAAGCAAAGCAUAGAGAAGAAAGGCUGAAGGCAAAGGCAGAGGAAAUUGCUGCCAAACACAGAGCUACUGGAACUGCUCCUAAGAAGAUUUUCAAUUGUUUCUAAUUUUAAAUUAAACCAUAUAUGUUUACAAUAAUUUUAAAGCUGAAAUGUGCUUGAUUUUCUGUAAUGGUAUGCUCUUGUUUCCAUUUCUUAUUGACUUGUUAAAAGUUAAGAUGUUCAAAAAGCUAACCACAAAAGUUCUUAUAUUAGAUAUUUUUUAUCUCUGACAGACUAUCGGUUCCAAUUUGUAGGAACGGUGUAUUUAGGUACUUUAGAACCUCAACUACCUUCAAGUAGAUUGUACAUUGUAAGGAAAUCAUAGUAAGGUAUCCAUAAACAAUAUUCAUCUCUAUACAUUGAAUCUAGGAGAAGAAUUUGUGCAUGUCAUCAUACUCGGGUGUAUAAAGAUUCAGAAUUCAUUUAGAAGUUUUAGUUUUCUUAUUGUAAACAUAUUACGUUGCAUAUCUACAUUUGUGCUUAUUAUUUUGCAUGAUCUUAAACGUCCAAAUCCAAUCACUAAAGUUUGAUUACAUGAUGAAAAUGUGAUUCAGCCUUCAGAUGUAUGAUCAUAGAGAAUUGGGAAGCAUCCAAUAGAAAUGGAGCACGUCAGACAAUAAAGGUAUAUAUCUUAUGAAGGCUAACAACUCAAGAGGAUACCUCUAAUGUUAACAUGUAAAGAAGAUAAGAACAAUCUAACGAUAUAGUUAACAGGUAAUAUUUAUUUCAAAGUAUAUACUCUUACAACUUUAGUUUGUUGAAGUUAUUGGCUUUCCAUUUUUCACUCUUUGAUGAUUUGUCAUUAUUCAAUUUUAGUGGUUAUAUAUGCUAAAACAAACUAUUGAACUGUUGCUUUACGAAACAAGAUAAAUACUUGAAAACAAUCGAUCGAUACCAACAAUAUACCUGCUAGGAUGCUACAAUUUUUUUUUUAUCAUGGAUAGUAUGCUUAUACCGGUUGACUAUUGCUACUUGUGUAAAUUGCCAUGGGUGUUAUGUCUAUACUUAUUGCUAUUGCUAAAUUGCUACUUGUGUAAAUUCUCAUGGAUUUUAUGUUUGUACUCAUUGGUAGAGCUUUUUUUAAAACAAUCCAUAACAUUUUUUUUUUAAUCAUGGAUAGUAUGUUUAUACCGGUUGACUAUUGCUACUUGUGUAAAUUGUAAUGGGUGUUAUGUCUAUACUUAUUGCUAUUGCUAAAUUGCUACUUGUGUAAAUUGUUAUGGAUUUUAUGUUUGUAAAAAUUUUUAUAAGAAACUAGGAGACCUUUAAUUUUUGUCAAGCCAUAAAUGAUACAAGUUGUUCUAGUUUCAUUUUCCUAGUACCUUAAUAUUUCUUGGCUUCAUUAACUGAAGUGGAUUGCAAAUGAAAACUGUCUUCUUUCUGAUAUUUGUAGAUUUGAAAGUGUUUGACUCCUUAAGAUGGAAACUUUUCGGUUCUUGUUGGAUAACGUUUCUUCCAACCUUAGUUUCAUUCAUCUUGAUUAUUACUUAUGAUUACUUAUUCAAUAAUUUUCUUGUUGCUUACUUAUUUAUAUCCAGCUAAAUUUUCUAAAGAGUAAUGAUACAAGAGCUGUAAUUUGUAAAAAGUUCCAAUACUGUAGACCAAGUGGAUGUUAAGGUGAUGCUGUUAUUCUACAUGUGUGCUAUGCUAUGUAGUUGUUUCUCUUAUCGACGUAUGUGGUGAUAGAUAAUGCUCAAUGUUGAAAUUUUCUAUAAGAGUUGUACUCUCUUGUUCUAUGAUGAAUGCUAAUAUUCAUAUUGUCUUUGUAGGUUCAACUGGAGUCGACAACUUCAUGGGUUUACUUUCAAAGUACAUUUUCAGAGACGAACAUUCUCGAUUGGUCGUUUAUGCUUUAGCAGAAAAUCUUUUUAUAUGUAUUUUGAUGUUGUUUAAUAUAUUUUUUUAUUAAGGGCUGAAAUUCCGUACUUGUAAAUUGUUGGAACUUGAUUGGAAAUGUACGAAUAUUAUAAAUUGUAUUAUAGCGUAUAUAUAUUAAAGUGUCGGCUAUUUUUUUCUAUAUGGGUGUCAAUAUUAUAAAUUCAAAAUUAUCAUUGUCGGCUAUAUUAUUGUCUUUCAAAUGGUUCGUGUAAUGACGGAGUGGCAAGGAGAACAGGAAAAACUGUAGUAAUCGAGUAAUUUGCAACAUGAAAAACAUGUCGUAAUAUAUGAAUUUGUGACAGUUAUUAAUUGUUGUGAAUACGAAAACAAUGACAGUUUUUUUUACAAAAUUAAUUGUCACGAUUGCACUAUCUUUGACAGAAAAAAAAUGUCGUCAAUAGCAAAACAAUGACAUUUAAAAAAAAAAUGUCACGAUUGACAUAUUCGUGACAUUUAAAACAUGUCACAAUAAACGAAUUCACGACAUUUAUUUAACUGUCGUUAAUACAUAAAUGAUGAUAGUUAUUUAUUUUUAUUUGAUGUCGUAGAAUGCUAACUAACGACAUUUAUUUUAUGUCAUGACAUAAGUUAUUGCGACAGUUUUUGAAAACUGUCAUGGAAGACUUUCCAUGACUCCCGCUUCUAUGACUGAAAAUAACUGUUAUGGAUUUUGUUCGCGACAGUAAAUAACUAUCGUCGUAGACCUUUUUUCUUGUAGGGCUUGUAAGAGCCCUAUUGAAAUGCAAUGGAACAUUGCCGACUCCAAAUUAAAACACCUUCAUGAAGAUAGUUGAAUUACUUUUGCAUAUUUUGAUAAAAUGAGACUAUCAGAUGGAGUUUUUGAUGUUCAAGGAAAGGCAUGCUGGGAAAAGAAUGAUUGCCAAAAACGUAUAACUUGUUCUAACCUACCUAUUGCAAGUUUUAUACCUUUUGUUUUCUUUUCCAUUAACCCCAUUCGUCUAUGUUGAUUCUGAAGGGUUCGUUAGAUUUUGUUCUCUAUUAUUUUCAUUUUUACAAUUUGGUGAAUUCGUUCUUAAUAUCGUAUGAUAAUGAUUAAGAAAUAAAAUAUUGAACUAAAUUUAACCAUAUAAAAUUGAGGCAAAAGAGCUAACUUAUUUUUAAAAAAUAUAUAUCAAGACUAAAUAUUUAGAGAAAACUCAUAUUUUCAUCCCUCCCUAAAAGUUUGUGUGCAUUAUUGCUUUCUCACCGUAUCUCUUACACAACUUAUUGAUCAUAUAAAAUUAUCAAAGUUUAAGAUUUGACUUCAUUACCAAUUCAAUUAUGAGGAGAAUAACAUCAUUCGAUAGCAAAAACUUUCAUGUCAACAUCCUACGGUGAAAGAACCUCACAUUCCAAGGUGUUAACAUAAUUGCACCAGAAGAUCGUCCGAACACAGAUGGAAUACACAUUGAUCGAUCAAUUGGGAUCUCAAUCUUAAAAUCUCGAAUAACAACAAGAGACAAUUGCAUCUCACUUGGAGAUGGAAGCAAACAAAUAAAAGUCACUAAUGUGAUAUGUGGGCCAGGUCAUGGAAUAAGCAUAGGAAAGUCUUGAAAAAUACACUAACAAAGAACCUAUUGGAGGUGUCAUUGUAAAUAACUCCACAAUAAUGUACAUCAUUGAUGGUGUUAGGAUCACAACAUGACCAACCUCUCAUGUUGCUGGUAUUGCCAUCAACAAGAAUUUUUCAGACAUUACAAUGGUCAACGUUAGCAACCAAAUUUUCAUACACCAAGAGUAUUGUCCUUGGAAUCAUAGCAAUCAUCAGGCAUUGAUCACAUUCUUGAAAUUUUGAUUUUAAAAGUUUUCAUGCAUAUUGUCAACUUCAUGGAUAAACUUUAAUUUUCACUCUCAUUUUUCAGAUUUUGUCAAAGAUUAAGUUUAAUAAAGUGAGCUUCAAGAAUAUUAGAGGAAGUUCUGCAACUCCAGUGGAAAUCAAACUUAUUUGUAGUAGCAACCUACCAAGUGAAGAAAUAAAAGUAGCCAACAUUUACUUCGUUUAGAAUGGAAUAAAAGAUUCUAUUAUCUGAACGCGCGUAAGUGUGAAACUUAUUUGUAGUAGCAACCUACCAUGUGAAGAAGUAAAACUUAUGUUUCAUGAUUUUUUUUUUCUAAUAUAAUCUAAAUUUCAACUCACUCAUCCUUGAUUAUUAACGUGCAUUUAAUAUCGCAUAAUUGUUAUGUUGUAGAUUUUUAUAUUGUCGAUUGAAACAUAUAUAGAUCUAUUUUGUUCAACUUGUUUUAAGCCACUUGUGUUGCACACUGUCAGGUUUGAACAUGUGUGGUCUCAAACACGAAUUUAAGGAAUGAAUUUGAUUGGGAUUUAGAGAAUUUAGAAGUACUUCAAAAUUUCAAGGGAUUAUAACUAAUUUUUGACAAAUAUAAACCAUGGUUAUUUAACUUCAACCAUUCAUCGAUCUUUGCCAAAUAUAGUAAAUAAAAUUUGGAAGAGAAUUUUUCAAACACUAUUGAUCUUCUUCUCCUAUAUAAAGAGGGCUGAAUGAAAGUGCAUAUUCAAACCCAUUCUUUUCGAGUUAGCCAUUAGGACAAUAUAUAAGUAAAUAAAUAAAGUAUAGAAGGCGUAGUAGUGAUGGGAUUGGCAUUACUACCUUUCUUUUUAUUGUUGGCAUCUACUAUUGAAGCCCAAUCCCUUUUUGAUGUUACAAGAUAUGGUGCCAAACCUAAUACAGAUAUUACUCAGGCAAGUAUAUAUGCAAAACUGAUGAAUUUUUUUUUUUAAUUUAUUAGGAAGAAGACUUUAAUUUGAUGAUAGAACUAAACUUUUGCAGGCCUUAGCAAAUGCAUGGAAGGAAGCAUGUAUGUCCACAACUCCUAGUAAAUUGUUGAUUCCAAAAGGAGUAUACCAAUUAAGUCAAUCUUAUCUUAAAGGACCUUGCAAGAGUGUUCCUAUUCAAGUCCAAGUCGACGGAACACUAAAAGCUCCUCUCCAUCCAAAUGGAGAUGGGUUGGUUCUUUUUGCAUACAUUGAUCAACUAAUGUUAUCAGGCACGGGAGUUUUUGAUGGUCAAGGAAAAGCAGGUUGGGAUAAGAAUGAUUGCCACAAAAAGAAGAUAUGUACCAAACUUCCCAUGGUAAAUUGUUUAUAUAUUAUUUCAAACCUUUUGCCUCAUUUUAUAUACAAUUUAAAUCUACAUAAUUUCAAUUACAUAUGCGUCGUUUUAAAUUGAGAGUUUUUUUUUUUUUUUUUUUAAUUCUGAUCCCUUAUUUGUUUAAAUCCAUCAGAAUUUGAAGUUCAGUUUCAUCACCAAUUCAAUUGUGAAGGACAUAACUUCCUUGGACAGUAAAAAUUUCCACAUCAAUCUUUUGGGUUGCAAGAAUGUUACUUUUCAACACGUGACAAUCAGUGCACCAGAGAAUAGUCCCAACACGGAUGGAAUUCACAUAAGUAGCUCUGAACAGAUAAACAUUCUCGAUUCAAAAAUCUCAACUGGAGAUGAUUGUGUGUCUGUUGGAGAUAGCAACAAGCAAGUAACUAUUACUAAUGUAACUUGCGGACCAGGACAUGGCAUUAGCGUAGGAAGCUUGGGCAAGUACACCAAGGAAAAAGACGUGGUAGGAGUUACUGUGAAAGCAUGCAAAUUAAUCAAUACUACCAAUGGUGUCAGAAUCAAAACAUGGCCAGAUUCUGCCGGUGCAUUCAUAGCCUCUGACAUGCACUUUGAAGAUAUUGAGAUGCAAAACGUGAGCAACCCUGUCAUUAUAGACCAAGAAUACUGUCCGUGGAAUCAAUGCAACAGAAAGGUAUAUAUUGUAUUGAAAUUAUACUUUAUUUUGUUUAUUAGUUAAACUUCAUGAACUAAACAAAUACACUUUUGGGACCAUUAAUAUUUCAGGUUCCAUCCAAGAUUAAGAUCAGCAAAGUGAGUUUCAAAAAUAUUAGAGGCACUUCUGCUACUCCUAUCGCAGUGAAGCUUGUUUGCAGCAAAAGUAUACCAUGUGAAGGUGUAGAAGUCGCUGAUAUUAACCUCACUUAUAGUGGAAUACGAGGACCGAUUUUGUCUGAAUGUGCAAACGUGCAGCCUCUCAUUACUGGAAAGCAAAGCCCUCAAAUAUGUGCUAAGCCUGCUCCUGCUGGUGCUCCAUCAACAGACUAAUCUUUUCAACCAAUGCCACACAAAGUCUGCAAAACCAUAUGUGAAAGUUUAUCACAUAUCUAUAUUUAAUUCACAACAUUAUUCUGUAUUCAUUUUUAACAUUCCAUAGGUUUGAUCCAUUCUUUGAUGAUUCAUGAAGCUGAUCAUGUACCUUUUUUCUUCCUUCCAUUUUCUUCUGGGGAAUGAAAUAUAUAAUGAAAAUAAAUCAUACAAUUUUAACUAUUCUAUCCCUACUAUUCUAUCCCUUUAGACGUAGACCUACGUGAGUCGUGUUAUAACAUUCAAUUCUACGAAUGUUUUUAUACUCUUAACAACCUGAAAUGUGUUAUCAAACGUUGUUGAGUUUUGGAAUUUUUAAAAUUAAUUUCUUAUGUAUUUAGCAAAAGCACUGAUAUAAUUAAUUUUUACAUAGUUGAAAUUAAUAUUCAAUCAAUCAAAAAUCAUAAUUUAAUUAAUCAAGCUAGUACUAUAAUAAAAUCUCUAAGCAUCCAAUAAUAUCAUCGAAAUGUAUUAAAACAUAAUUGAAUGAUCAUCGUUAAGUUCAAAAUCUCAAAAAUAUGUUGAAAUAGGUAAAAUAAUCCUUCGUACCCAAGCUAGAGUAUAAUCAAAUUUGAAAUGUAAAAAAAAUCACAAAAUGAUAUUGCUUAUUGAAUUAAUUAAUUGUUUUUGUCAUCUUUUGUAGUUUUGUUACUUGUGAAACAUAGGCUUUAAAAUAUGCAUGGAUCAAUGACACAUGUCCAUCUGUUCGCCCAAGUGAGGUGGUUCUUAUAAGGAGAAUAUUUAAAGUAAGAGAAGGAGAAUUUAAGGCCCUUGUAAUAGCCUAUUGAAUUGCGAUGGAACAUUGUCGGCUCCAAAACACUUUCAUGAAGAUAGUUGAAUUACUUUGCAUAUGUUGAUAGAAUGAGACUAUCAAAUGGAGUUUUUGAUGGCCAAGGAAAGGCAUGUUCGGAAAAGAAUGAUUGCCAUUAACGUAUAAAUUUUUCUAACCUCCGUAUUGUAAGUUCUAUACCUUUUGUUUUCUCUUCCAUUAACCCCAUUCGUCUUUGUUGAUUCUGAAAGGGUUCGUUGGAUUUUAUUCUCUAUUAUUUUCAUUUUUACAAUUUGGUAAAUGUGUUGUUAGUACCAUAUGAUGAUUAAGAAAUAAAAUAUUGAACUAAAUUUAACCAUAUAAAAUUGAGGCAAAAGAGCUAACUUAUUUUUAAAAAAUAUAUAUCAAGACUAAAUAUUUAGAGAAAACUCAUAUUUUCAUCCCUCCCUAAAAGUUUGUGUGCAUUAUUGCUUUCUCACCGUAUCUCUUACACAACUUAUUGAUCAUAUAAAAUUAUCAAAGUUUAAGAUUUGACUUCAUUACCAAUUCAAUUAUGAGGAGAAUAACAUCAUUCGAUAGCAAAAACUUUCAUGUCAACAUCCUACGGUGAAAGAACCUCACAUUCCAAGGUGUUAACAUAAUUGCACCAGAAGAUCGUCCGAACACAGAUGGAAUACACAUUGAUCGAUCAAUUGGGAUCUCAAUCUUAAAAUCUCGAAUAACAACAAGAGACAAUUGCAUCUCACUUGGAGAUGGAAGCAAACAAAUAAAAGUCACUAAUGUGAUAUGUGGGCCAGGUCAUGGAAUAAGCAUAGGAAAGUCUUGAAAAAUACACUAACAAAGAACCUAUUGGAGGUGUCAUUGUAAAUAACUCCACAAUAAUGUACAUCAUUGAUGGUGUUAGGAUCACAACAUGACCAACCUCUCAUGUUGCUGGUAUUGCCAUCAACAAGAAUUUUUCAGACAUUACAAUGGUCAACGUUAGCAACCAAAUUUUCAUACACCAAGAGUAUUGUCCUUGGAAUCAUAGCAAUCAUCAGGCAUUGAUCACAUUCUUGAAAUUUUGAUUUUAAAAGUUUUCAUGCAUAUUGUCAACUUCAUGGAUAAACUUUAAUUUUCACUCUCAUUUUUCAGAUUUUGUCAAAGAUUAAGUUUAAUAAAGUGAGCUUCAAGAAUAUUAGAGGAAGUUCUGCAACUCCAGUGGAAAUCAAACUUAUUUGUAGUAGCAACCUACCAAGUGAAGAAAUAAAAGUAGCCAACAUUUACUUCGUUUAGAAUGGAAUAAAAGAUUCUAUUAUCUGAACGCGUGUAAGUGUGAAACUUAUUUGUAGUAGCAACCUACCAUGUGAAGAAGUAAAACUUAUGUUUCAUGAUUUUUUUUUUCUAAUAUAAUCUAAAUUUCAACUCACUCAUCCUUGAUUAUUAACGUGCAUUUAAUAUCGCAUAAUUGUUAUGUUGUAGAUUUUUAUAUUGUCGAUUGAAACAUAUAUAGAUCUAUUUUGUUCAACUUGUUUUAAGCCACUUGUGUUGCACACUGUCAGGUUUGAACAUGUGUGGUCUCAAACACGAAUUUAAGGAAUGAAUUUGAUUGGGAUUUAGAGAAUUUAGAAGUACUUCAAAAUUUCAAGGGAUUAUAACUAAUUUUUGACAAAUAUAAACCAUGGUUAUUUAACUUCAACCAUUCAUCGAUCUUUGCCAAAUAUAGUAAAUAAAAUUUGGAAGAGAAUUUUUCAAACACUAUUGAUCUUCUUCUCCUAUAUAAAGAGGGCUGAAUGAAAGUGCAUAUUCAAACCCAUUCUUUUCGAGUUAGCCAUUAGGACAAUAUAUAAGUAAAUAAAUAAAGUAUAGAAGGCGUAGUAGUGAUGGGAUUGGCAUUACUACCUUUCUUUUUAUUGUUGGCAUCUACUAUUGAAGCCCAAUCCCUUUUUGAUGUUACAAGAUAUGGUGCCAAACCUAAUACAGAUAUUACUCAGGCAAGUAUAUAUGCAAAACUGAUGAAUUUUUUUUUUAAUUUAUUAGGAAGAAGACUUUAAUUUGAUGAUAGAACUAAACUUUUGCAGGCCUUAGCAAAUGCAUGGAAGGAAGCAUGUAUGUCCACAACUCCUAGUAAAUUGUUGAUUCCAAAAGGAGUAUACCAAUUAAGUCAAUCUUAUCUUAAAGGACCUUGCAAGAGUGUUCCUAUUCAAGUCCAAGUCGACGGAACACUAAAAGCUCCUCUCCAUCCAAAUGGAGAUGGGUUGGUUCUUUUUGCAUACAUUGAUCAACUAAUGUUAUCAGGCACGGGAGUUUUUGAUGGUCAAGGAAAAGCAGGUUGGGAUAAGAAUGAUUGCCACAAAAAGAAGAUAUGUACCAAACUUCCCAUGGUAAAUUGUUUAUAUAUUAUUUCAAACCUUUUGCCUCAUUUUAUAUACAAUUUAAAUCUACAUAAUUUCAAUUACAUAUGCGUCGUUUUAAAUUGAGAGUUUUUUUUUUUUUUUUAUUCUGAUCCCUUAUUCGUUUAAAUCCAUCAGAAUUUGAAGUUCAGUUUCAUCACCAAUUCAAUUGUGAAGGACAUAACUUCCUUGGACAGUAAAAAUUUCCACAUCAAUCUUUUGGGUUGCAAGAAUGUUACUUUUCAACAUGUGACAAUCAGUGCACCAGAGAAUAGUCCCAACACUGAUGGAAUUCACAUAAGUAGCUCUGAACAGAUAAACAUUCUCGAUUCAAAAAUCUCAACUGGAGAUGAUUGUGUGUCUGUUGGAGAUAGCAACAAGCAAGUAACUAUUACUAAUGUAACUUGCGGACCAGGACAUGGCAUUAGCGUAGGAAGCUUGGGCAAGUACACCAAGGAAAAAGACGUGGUAGGAGUUACUGUGAAAGCAUGCAAAUUAAUCAAUACUACCAACGCGUGUCAGAAUCAAAACCUGGCCAGAUUCUGCCGGUGCAUUCAUAGCCUCUGACAUGCACUUUGAAGAUAUUGAGAUGCAAAACGUGAGCAACCCUGUCAUUAUAGACCAAGAAUACUGUCCGUGGAAUCAAUGCAACAGAAAGGUAUAUAUUGUAUUGAAAUUAUACUUUAUUUUGUUUAUUAGUUAAACUUCAUGAACUAAACAAAUACACUUUUGGGACCAUUAAUAUUUCAGGUUCCAUCCAAGAUUAAGAUCAGCAAAGUGAGUUUCAAAAAUAUUAGAGGCACUUCUGCUACUCCUAUCGCAGUGAAGCUUGUUUGCAGCAAAAGUAUACCAUGUGAAGGUGUAGAAGUCGCUGAUAUUAACCUCACUUAUAGUGGAAUACGAGGACCGAUUUUGUCUGAAUGUGCAAACGUGCAGCCUCUCAUUACUGGAAAGCAAAGCCCUCAAAUAUGUGCUAAGCCUGCUCCUGCUGGUGCUCCAUCAACAGACUAAUCUUUUCAACCAAUGCCACACAAAGUCUGCAAAACCAUAUGUGAAAGUUUAUCACAUAUCUAUAUUUAAUUCACAACAUUAUUCUGUAUUCAUUUUUAACAUUCCAUAGGUUUUAUCCAUUCUUUGAUGAUUCAUGAAGCUGAUCAUGUACCUUUUUUCUUCCUUCCAUUUUCUUCUGGGGAAUGAAAUAUAUAAUGAAAAUAAAUCAUACAAUUUUAACUAUUCUAUCCCUUUAAACACUUUAGUGUAGACCUACGUGGGUCGUGUUAGAAAAUUCAAUUCUACAACGGAUGUUUUUAUACUCUUAACAACCUGGAAUGUGUUAUCAAACUCUCUUGAGUUUUGAAAUUUUUAAAAUUAAUUUCUUAUGUAUUUAGCACGGAUAUAAUUAAUGUUUACAUAGUUGAAAUUAACCUACAAUCAAUUAAGUCAAUUUAAUCAAAGUUGUAUUAUCAUAAAAUCCGUGAGCAUCUAAUAAUAUCAUUAAAAAAAUCUAUUAAAACAUAAGUUUAAAAUCUCAAAAAUAUGUUGAAAUAGGGAAAAUACUCCUUCAUACUCAACCUUGACAAUAAUCAAAUUGAAAUGUAAAAAAAAUCACAAAAUGAUCCAAAAUUAAGCAACAUUAGGUAGUACAUUCUUGGUGUUAUCAAACACCACCAACAAUUAAUCCGGCCUUCAUCCUUCUGAGCAAGGUAGAAUAAAGCAUACACAGUCACAUUAAACCUCGAUUAAGUAAGUCACUUUCUCAUGCCUUAACAGUCAACAAGAACCCAACAAACACUCAAUCUUUAAUAAUAUACAAAUCCAAGAACAAGCAAUAUGCACAUUAAAAUUCCUAACAAAGGCAUGGCCCUUCUACUUAAGUCCUAACAAAAUUAAAUUUGGAAUAGAUUUAAAGGACCCUCAAUUCACUUUUCUCCUACACAAAGUGGCAAAUGCAUGCAAAUUUUGAACAAACCGACUUCAUUUCUUUCUUAUCAAUAUUUUUCUGUAUUUUUCUAAUUUUUAUUCAUUAGCUACAAUAAUUCGUCCUGGUCGAGGAUUAUCAUACCACAGUAACAUUGAGCAACCCUAACUGAUCAUGAGGGAGAUUUGUUUUUAAACAAGCAAAAAAGUUCGGUUGGUUGUGUCCUAGUCAUGAAUACAUUGCUAAAUUGAUAUGGAGCCGGAAAAACGCUACUUAGCCUAGGAUAUAGCCAGGUGAAGGACUCAAGUGUGCAUGAGAGAUGGAAGAGAAAUUUUUUAAAAUAUGCUUAAUUAAAAUCAUACUUAGUAUUUUCUCUUCACAAUGCUUCAGUACACAUACAUGACUCAAAAAGUGUAUCAUAGGCAAGUCAUAGAAAAGCACAAGAUAACAAAUUAGCAAGCAACAAAGAAGCACAUACAAUAGUCCAAGCACAAAUGCUCAAAGGCUCUAGCCAGAACAUUGACGGUAUCCCAUCCCAAACUCAAAAUCUAACAUUGUCUCCAUCCUAAUAGAAAGGAUAUCGAAUCGGUCUAUAUCGCGAUGGCAUUGUGACUGAUCUUCUCCUAAGAAUACGAAUAUAUGAUAAGUAAAUAAGUAAAUUUUGGCACAUAUUUUUAACCUCUUACAAAGAAAGUGAUUUAAGAUAUGUCAAAAGUGGUUUUAUUUUCAGUACAUGGGAAGCAGAUUUAAAUUAAUACACCUCAUGGUUACUAAUAAUCUUGUCUGCCAGAUGAAUUUUUGCUCCAUUUGACAUAUCAAAAGUGACUUUAAUCAUUGACAAAUUACUCUCCUACAUACCCUUUAACUAACUAUAGAAAUAUUUGAGCCACUUCAUAUAAUAAUAGAGACGAGGUUAUAAAUUUUUUUCAAUUUCUCAGAGGUUGUUUUUCAAUCAAAUACAAUCCUAAUUAUGUCAUAUGUUUUUUCACUAAAAUUAUCCGUUCUUCCUUUUUUCAGUUGGUCUCAAACAUAAAUUUUAUUGAGGUGAGGAAAUGAUUAGUAAAUUCCAUUUGUUAUGAAAUGGCUAUUUUUAUGACGGACAGCCUAAUGGUUUAGCUUCAAUCUUUCAACGAUCUUUUUCCAAAUUUAGCAACCAAGAUUUUUUGGAAUAUAUAAAGAGGGGUUGGAUGACUGCAUAUUUGAAUCAUUCAUUCCCAUUUUCAUAGUUAAUUAAAUUAGAAUAAAGAGAAAAUCAUAAGCAAAAAGUAGAAGACAUACAUAAAAAUGAUGGGAUUGAAGUCAAACAUUAUGGCAUUACUAUUACAUCUGUUGUUAAUGUUGGCAUCAACCGCAAAAGGUCAAUCCAUUUUUGAUAUCACUACGUAUGGUGCCAAACCUAAUACUGAUAUUACUCAGGUAAAUAUAUAUUAGCUUGAUAAAUUUUGCAUUUUAUGUAAUUUUUUUAUCUAAUGAAAUAAUUCAAUUUAUAGGCUUUGGCAAAUGCAUGGAAGGAUGCAUGUGCAUCGACCAAUUCUAGUAUAUUGUUGAUUCCAAUAGGAGUUUACCAACUAAACCAAUCCAUUCUCGAUGGUCCUUGCAAGAGUACUAUUGACUUUCGGUUGGAAGGAACAUUACAAGCUCAUCCCAAUCCAAUAGGAAAUAUGAUGGUUCUUUUUGAACAUAUCGAUCAAUUGACAGUGUCAGGCACUGGUGCUUUUGAUGGCCAACGAAAAAAGGGUGGAGACAAAAAUGAUUGUCGCUUGGAAAAAACAUGCGCUAAAUUUCCCCGGGUAAAUUCUCUAGUUAUAUUAUCUUCUUUCUCUUUAUUCUUGAAGAAUACAUAAUUUUUCAAUUAAUAUAUGCAUUUUUUUCUAACUCGGAUACCUUAUCUUUUGGGCGGGCCGACAUUAAAUUUGUAAGAAUGUGAAGUUCAAUUCCAUAAACAAUUCAAUAGUGAAGGACAUAACUUCCUUGGAUAGUCAGAAUUUUCACAUCAAUCUUUUCGAUUGCAAGAAUGUUACUCUCCAAAAUGUGACAAUUAUUUCACCAGAGAGUAACCCCAACUCUGAUGGAAUUCAUGUGAGCAGUUCAGAAGAGAUUAACAUUCUCAAUACACAAAUCUCAAACGGAGCUGAUUGUGUAUCUGUUGGAGACAGCAGCAAGCAAAUAACUAUUACUAAUGUAACUUGCGGACCAGGAGAUGGCAUUAGUAUAGGAAGUUUAGGCAGGUACGCUAAUAGAACAGAGGUGACAGGAGUUACAGUGAAAUCAUGUAAAUUAAUCAAUACUUGGAAUGGUGUUAGAAUCAAGUCGUGGCCAGAUUCUGCAUCUGCAUACACAGCCUCUGACUUACAUUUUGAAGAUAUUGAAAUGGUUAAUGUUAGCAAUCCUGUCGUUAUUAACCAAGAAUAUUGUCCAUUUGAUCAAUGCGACAAAAAGGUACAUAUGUAUUGAAAUUGCUCCUUAUUCAUAAUUUGCAACUAAUUAAUUUACUUCAAGUAAUAUUUUUCUUAUAUAUAACGAAUGCAAAACUAACAUGAUUUAAUUUUUGGUUUCUUAUGUAUACGUUUGUUCAGAUUCCAUCAAAAAUUAAGAUCAGCAACGUUAGUUUCAAGAAUAUCAGAGGCACUUCUGCUACUUCGGUUGCUAUUCAACUUAUUUGUAGCAAAGAUUUACCGUGCGAAGAUGUGGAAGUUGCUGAUAUUGACCUAACUUACACCGGAACUCAAGGACGGAUUACGUCUCAGUGUAGAAACGUGAUUCCCAUCAUUACUGGAAAGCAAAAUCCUCGUGCGUGUGUCGAAGCUGCUCCUAUUAAUGCUACAUCCACAUCCACGUCAAUGGCAGAACUCUAAACCCUAAAUUUGCCGUUAGCUAUAAUAAAACUUGAAAUUUAUAGCCAUUUUGUUUUAGAUUGAAAAACACAUUUUUCAAACUGUUUUGUAUUCUGAAAACAAAUAUCAUCUGUGUCUAUCUCUGUAUGUUUUGUAUUGCUUAAUUGUAUCUUUAUAUGUUUUUUUAUUACUUAAUUGUUGAUUUUGUAACUUCUUUUUCAACCUUUCUAUUUUAAAUCUUUUAUUUAUGAAAAAUUGUAUCAAAUGACAAAAAAACAUUUAGAAAAAAAUAGUCUAUGGCAUCAAUUUUUCUUGCAUAUUGGAAAUAUAGGAUAUCGACUAUUAGAGGGUCAUCCAGCUGUAAUCAUAGAGCUAUCAGAUAGUCAUCAAUUUUAAAUUUGCUAUUGAGCUCUAUUAUCAUAAAACUCUUUACUAUUCUUGCAAAAGCUCAUUUAUUAAUUUUCUUUCUUUAAAUCUAUAACUAAGUUUUUUUAGAAGGGGUGCAUCAAGGUAGGUCACAAGUUAGUACUGCAUCCAAGCACGCUUAAAUUAAUUAAACUUAGUACUACUCUACUCUUGCCCAAGCACAUAUAGUGGAGUUCUAACCGACUUGGUACUGUUGAGUGGCGGAUCCAUAAAUUUUAUAUAGGGCACUGGACAUUAUAUAAUAAAUACACAAUAUCUCGACAUUUCACUAAUGCUCCAAUAACAUUCAUUAGCAAUAAAGAAUAACAUUCAUUAGCAAUAAAGAAAGAAAGACUAACAAUUUUCACAUGAUUUUUUGUAAUGUAAAUAUGUAUAUUUAAAAAUUGCAUAAAAAAAUAGUACAUUUUUCAUAGAAUAUUGUCGAGAGUGAAAGUUUGGACCACCAACUUUGCAUUUUUUUUCUAAAUAUUGGUUAGAUAACAAAUGUGAGCUAGAAAAUAAGGUAUCUUAGAUAGGUUUUUUACUCUUUUUAAAAAAUUAUAUUCUUUUAGGAAAUUAAAUUAUCUUCCAUUUAGAAAAUCAUUAAAAUUUAGAAAGAAAAAUCAAAUUAUCUCAUUUUAGAAAAAUCAAUCCUCGUGAUUUUAUAGGGGCACAGCCACUAUACCAAAACUAAAAUUUAGCUAAAUUAGAAUAUUAUUUAAUGUAUAUUGUAAUCUGACAUUUUAAUACAAAAAUUGAGAAUGUGGAGGUAGAAGGAGCACGUGCCUCUAAUCCCUUAAUAAAUUCGUCCAUCUCUGUAGAAGUUGUGAUGGGAUCUGGUGUACUGGUAGAGUUGUGCAUGUCACCAUUUUUAAAUUAGAGCUUUCUUAGCUUGUUGAGAUGUUUUUGUUAUAUUUAUUUAAUUUCUUUGCUCUUGUAAUGAAAAUGUCAAUCAAUGUUGUGUUUACAGAGAUAUGAAUCCUUACCUAAAUCCAAACUUCCUCCAAACCAUAGAGACGUAUUUUGUAGGUAAUUACUCCACGAGUCACUAGUUUUCAGUUGUCUAAAAUAAGAAUUAUAUUCCUUUUCUAAAUCUGCUACCGAAAUCACGUAUCUGCAUGGUAAAGAUAACAUGCAUCAAAAUUGUUGAGUUAUUAAGGUCAAAUGACAGAACAGAAGUCCCUAAACCCUGAACCCUGAAACGAUCUUCCAAAAAUUUGGGGAUAAGUGUUUGAUCGAGAUCUUGUUGGUACUUUGAUCUGUUUGAUUUUGGAGUGAUUUUAGAUUCAAUUUCUGGUAGAUUUCCCCUUAAUUUUAGUGAUCUGUUACGUAUUAAAAUAGAAUGGUUUGAAAAAAAAAAUGGUCAUUAAUUGAACUUCUAACAUUAAAACUAACGUCAUAUAGCCCCACACUGAAAGAUUGAAUUAUAGUUUUUCUUUUUUUCCAAUUUCUAUACUAAAAGUUCUAAUCACAUUUAUUUCAAAUCUUCACUGUCAAAUUUCGUUAAACUUACAAAUUGGAAUCUCUGUUGAAAAUGUUAGGGAACUCUUAUUUUAUGUAAAAAAUAAGUUUUUUUUUUCUUGGGAAGACAGAAACAGGGUACCAAGGAGUAAUCCUAUCUAACUACUUGUAUGUAUAAAGGUAUAUUAAACUUUUUUUUUUAAGUCUAUGUAUAUGCAUUGAAACCUAGUUGAGAUAAUAAGGUACAUUUUUUAUGACUUGUUAAAAAAAAAAGGGUGAACUAGUGAUAAUUGAAAUUUAGUACUCUUAGGGUCAAAAAUCCAAAUUCUGCUACUCCGAUUUGAUAUAAUAAACAAAAAUUAUGCAUGCUUAUUCUAAACAGCUAGGGUUAGAUGAUAUUUUGAGAACCAUUCAACUAAAGAAAAGCUUCAUAUUUCACCCUUCAUCUUCAAUCUCUAAGAACAAUGGCUGCCGAAGCAGCAGCGACGGCCACCGCCCGCCAUACUUCCCUCCACAUUGCGAUGUACCCUUGGUUUGCUCUUGGCCAUCUCACUCCAUUUCUCCAUCUCUCCAAUAAACUAGCCAAAAAAGGCCACAAAAUCUCUUUCUUCAUCCCCACCAAAACCCUUCCCAAAUUUGAGCCCUUAAAUCUCUUCCCUAAUCUCAUUACAUUCAUUCCUGUCAUUGUUCCUCAUGUCCAUGGCCUCCCACAUGGUGCAGAGACCACUUGUGAUGUCCCUUACCCUCUCCAUAACCUCAUCAUGACCUCCAUGGAUCUCACUCAACCUCAAAUCACUCUCCUCCUUCAAACUCUAAAACCCCAUCUCAUCCUCUUUGAUUUCACUCAUUGGUUGCCAAAAUUAGCUAGCCAAUUAGGUAUCAAAUCAAUCCAUUAUUGUGUUACUAGUGCAGCCAUGAUUGCUUAUACUCUAACCCCUUCAAGGCAAUUUUAUAAAAAUGAGUUAACUGAGGAAGAUCUCAUGAAACCCCCAGUUGGUUAUCCCAGUUCCACCAUAAACCUUCAUCCCCAUGAAGCAAGAGUUUUUGCUUCAAAAAGAAAAUGGAAGUUUGGGAGUGAUGUACUUUUUUAUGAUCGCCAAUUUGUAAGUUUUAGUGAUUGUGAUGCAAUAGGGUUUAGAACAUGUCAUGAGAUUGAGGGAGAUUUUGUGAAUUAUCUUCAAUUUGAGUUCAGAAAACCUGUUUUGCUUACUGGGUCUGUUUUGCCUGAAACACUAAACCCUGAAGCUUUGGAGGAGAAAUGGGAAAGUUGGCUUUUAGGUUUUAAGGAGGGCUCAGUGGUAUAUUGUGCAUUUGGGAGCGAGUGCACGUUACAAAUGGAGCAAUUUCAAGAACUUUUGAUGGGGUUUGAGCUUUUAGACAUGCCAUUCCUUGCUGCACUCAAACCGCCUUUCGGGGCAGAAACAGUUGAGGCUGCGUUGCCGGAGGGGUUUGCAAAAAGAGUCGGGGGACGAGGGGUGGUUUACGGUGGGUGGAUUCAACAAGAGAGGAUUUUGGAGCAUCCAUCCGUGGGAUGCUUUGUUACACACUGUGGUUCUAAUUCUUUAAAAGAGGCAUUGGUGAAUAAGUGUCAAUUGGUGCUGUUGCCUCAAGUUGGGGAUCAAAUUAUCAAUGCAAGGAUGAUGGGGAACAAUCUUAGGGUUGGGGUGGAGGUGGAAAAAAGACAAGAAGAUGGAUGGUUUACAAAGGAAAGUGUUUGUAAAGCUGUGAAGAUUGUAAUGGAUGAAGAUAAUGAAAUUGGAAAAGAAGUUAGAACAAAUCAUUCUAAAAUAAGGGAUCUUUUGUUGAAAAAAGAUUUGGAAGAGUCUUAUAUUGAUAGUUUUAGCUACAAUAUUUGUGAUUUGGUGGCAUCUAUGGAAGUAACAUCCAAAAACAUGUAGAAAAAACAGGUAAAAGCCACAACUUUUAUUUUUCGUAUGAGUUGUUGAGAAUGACGAAUAUGCUUAAGCCUAUUGUGCUUCCAAGACUUGAAUCUUGGCUUUAGUUCUGUUGUGUUUUCUUUUCCUAAAAUGUUCUGAUUCUGGCACUUCAAUGAAAAUCUAGGGUAUAAAAUUUUUUAUCUUUUGGAACAAUUUUUAAAUGUUGUUAAUCUUCUUUUACCAUUAUUUACAUACAUUUGUUUACAUCCAACCAUUUGAUUAUUAUUAACCAUGAAAUUAGUGUGGAUAUCCUAAAUGGUGCUCUGAUAACACACCAUAUAGGAGGAACCCCUUGUACUUUUGAUAAUUAAUAUGAGAUUUCUUGUCUGUGUGGGUUCAUAUACUCCUAACUUAUUGAUUAUUAAUUUAUUCAUAAUAAUUUAUUGUUAUUGAUUGAUAGCUAAUGGUGGAUUAUGCAAUUUCGUGUUUAAUUUAUAAUAAGUGUAAUGUAAUUAUUUGUUAAUCACCUCUAGAAAGUAAUAUGUUAGAUAGACUUGUAAUUUGUUAGAUAGACUUGUAAUUUGAUCGACAACAACGAUAACAUAUUCUUCUAUCGAUCUUGCAUAAAUCAUAUUUAAUUUUUUAUUAAACAUUUCCUAUUAAAAAUUUAUCCCCAGCCCAAUUCCCAAAGUAUAGGAAUUAAAUUAAAUUGAUUAGGAUGUGAUUCCAUUCCUCUGGACUAGAAUUUGAUUGCAUUUAAUUAAUAUAUUCUACAUUUACUGCUUUGAUGCAUGUUUUUACUUUCAUUACACAUUUCAAUCUCAAACCACAUAAAACACCCCAUUUAUCCCCUUAACUAAAUAAUUUACUUCCAAAAACUAGUCUUUAUGCUUUCUCGUGGAUCUACCUAAUGAUCCUUUUUUUGAAGUACUUAGUAGUAUAGAUAGAAUUGAGCGGUAUAUUAUAAAUUUUAUUUGAUUGGUCAUUUACAUACGAUAGGAAAAGGCUAGCUACACCGUGGAUUUUAGAAUCAAAACAUGGUUAGCCUCUCCUAUUUCUGGUAUUGUCACCGACAUAUACAUUUUUCAGACAUUAUAACGGUGAAUGUUAGACCAAGUACUUUCAUGGAGUCUGUGUAAUAAUUAUUAAAAAGGUAUAGAUUGUUCUCAAAACUUUGGUUUUGAAAUACUUCAAGACAACUUUACAAAUAAACAUAAAUAGAAGUUUCAGAUUGGGUAAAAGUUUAAAUAAAUUUGAUUAAAGUGAGCUUCAACAACAUUAGAAAAACUCUUCUGCAGCAGUAGAACUUAUUUUGCCAACCACAACUUGCCAUGUGACGAGAAAAGGUAACCAACGGGAAACCCAUCAUUUGAGCCUGCUCUUCCCAUAUCUCUUCCCCAUGAUUUGUUCAUUACCUUACUACUUCAAAAUCAUGGCCAACCUUAAUUAAUUUAAAAUAUAUGUCUCCCUUUAUCUUUUCUCUCUUUUGUUUUCCUUUCUCAAUGUUUGGGGGAAGCUUGUAACAUUGGUAUCCAUCCUAUACUUUUCUUAUAUAUAUAAAUAUAUUGAAGUCUUGUGUGUCUUGAAACAUGUAAUUAUUCUAAUAAUACCACACUUGUUUGACUCUACUUUUUGCCAACAAUUAUAAACCAAACAUUUUAUCAAUAUCAUUCUCUACUUCCCAAAUUUAUUAAAUCAACACAAAAAAAUAUUGAUUGAAUCAUUUAAAUUUGUAUUCCUUAUCUAGCAAGUGUUAGUCCUUAUCAAGACAAUAAUUGUCACUUGAUAACAUACUCUAUUCCUCUCUCUCUCUAUUAUGUCAUUUUCAAACUUAUAUUUAUGUUUGUAAAAGCUUGAAAAAUAGAUGUGGUUGGAAUUGAAGCCGACCACUUACUUGGGAAAUCGUAUUCCUUAAGCAAGAGAUAAGAUUUUUAAAGCCCAUUUUUCUAAAUAUAAUUUUAGUAAAAAGCUACUUUUUCCCACCAUAAAUAUGUUACUUUAUUUAUAGUGUGGUUUGGCUUAAUUAUAUUGAUCAAUAAUAAUGUUCUUAAAGAAAUCAAUUUUUCAUGAUUCUUCUUAGUUUCAUAAAUCCAGCAAUAAAAAUUAUUUUAGUUGAUGUUAGAUUGAAAUAUCUACUAAUAUUAUCGACUAAUCGAACCCUUCGAUAUCUUUUAAAUAUAUUUAUGUAAGCAUCUCUAUUAAUUCCAAAUAUGAAGAUGUGAUUUAUACUAGAAGAAAAACAACUUAAUUAUUAGUUUAAAUAAAUUUUGUUAUUCUAUUUAUAAAAAUAUGUAUUGAUAUCAAUAUUUAAUAUUCAACCACUAUAGUGAGAAUUAUUUUGAAUCCUUUCAUUUGCAUAAUUUUUCAUUGAAGGGAAAUAUUGGACAUUUUUCUUAGGCGAAGAUGUAAAGUUUUACCAAUUAGGUUUAUAUUAAAUAUAUAUAAAUACUUCAAAUUUGAAAUUUAACGUACAAGGGAAAGAUGGAAGGUUGGAAAUCUUGAUGUUUAUAAUAUAUAUAAUUUUCUUAACAUAAGACAAGGGUGAGUGGGGAAAUUAUGUGUUAGAUAACCUAAUAAAAAAACCAUAGUUGGAGUUGUAUGUUGCUUAGAGGUUUAUAAACUUUGUUAUGAGUGGUUUUUGAGUUAAAUAAUUGAAAUGAUACAAUGGAAAAAAAUAACGUAAGAGAACUAUCAUACUAAGAAAAUGAUGAUAAGCAUAUAAGUAAAAAUGGAUCAAGAAGAGAUGAGCUUAAGGAAAAUGGCUAAUUUAAUUUGACUUUGAGUCAAAAUGAUCCACUCAGCCUCGACCUUCAUUUGCUAAAUUAAGCAUGCACAGUACAACUUGAUUGGGUCUUGAGAAGAAGAUAAUUUGGGCCAAAAGUAAAAAUUGAUCUACAUGGCUUCGGUCUCAAUCAAGGAUGAGAUUGUGAGUACUUAGCCUCCAAACUUAACAAGCAAAACAUAGAUAUUCAUUUGGCUCAAUACUUAACCUAAUGUUACUAAAGAAUAUUACUCGAACAUGGAUGUCAGUAGAUCAAGAUUUUACUAUAUAAUCAUUAUGACUACAUAGAAAGUUAUAAACUUAUUCUAAAUAAUACUCAAUCAAUAUACUCUUCAUGCUACACAUAAUUACACUUUUUGACUUUAAGUAUUGAAGUCUAUGUCGUCACAAGCACCAUACCGGUGUGUAGAUUUUACAUCCUACAUAUCACAUUCUUCACCAAAUUACAUAUUUAACGUUAUUGUUGUAUAAACAUGAGGAACUUUUUUUUUUCAAAAAAAAUCUUAAUUUAAAAAGAAGAGAUGGAAUCUUAAAUAAAAAAAAGAGGAAUUAAAAGAAAAUGGGAAGUAAAACCCUUAUGCACAAAACCACCCUUAUAAUAUAUAUAUAUAUACAUUUGUUUGUUCCUUCAAAGGUUAAGGCUUUCAAUCAUUUUCUUGGUCUCCCAUUCCACUGUUUUCCCACUUAUCCCUUUUAACUUUUCUCCAAAGGUUUGAUUGCUGAGAAAAAAAAAAAAGAAAAGAAAAGAAUGAAAAGACAAGAAAGUAAUAGUGGAAGCAAGAUAGAAAAAAAAAUCAUUUUAUAUUUGGGAACAUCCAAUGGCCAUUUCUAUCAUAAUUUUCAUAUGUUUAUACUUAUAAAUUAAUGCAAUAUGCACAUAAAACAAAGUGCUAUUCACAAAACCACUAUAAUUAUAUAAAUCCCAUUUGCAAUUAGAAAUUUAAAGAGGAAAAAAUUGAAGCAUAGUAAAAGAAAUUAGAGCACUUGUAAGCAAUUAUAAGCAAAUAUAGCUAACGAUACAUAUUUUUAUAGAGUUUAUGUCAAGGAUCAUCAAAAACGUAAAUAGAUCAAAAUCUCACCAUAACGAAAAUUUCAUACUUGAUCAUUUAAUAUUAUACAACAAAUUAUUCUAACCUAUAUAAUGAUUAUUACAAAGAAGUCAUUUUUUUACUCAAUUCAAAAUUUAAUAAAUUAAUUGACCAUUUAUUUUUCGAUAUUAUUAACUUUUAUAUUAAUGAUAAACAAAUUGUUACGGACCAUAUUGUCCUUUUCUUUUCUAAAGUAAAUCACUAAUUCACAUCACGACAAUGAAUGUUUUUAAAAAAAUGUGAUAUUUUUAUAAAUAAUUAAUUCAAUUACUUUUUUGGAAGAGAAAAAGUAUAAAGUUUGUGUCUUCAUAUAAUUUUUAAAUACUUAAAUCUACUUCUUUGCUAUAGCUAUAUAGCUAGCCUUUAUCUUAAGCAUGCUUUUAAUAAAUUAAUAAUUAUCUUACUAAAAUUCCAUCCUUGAUGUGAUGUUCAUAAGUACAUAGUACAAUUUGGUAAAAUUUUCUCCAAAGUUUAGGGUUUGUUUUGGUAUCUAUUUUUAUUUUGUGUCAUAAUCUCUGAAAAAAUUAAAAACAUAAAAAGGUGAAAGAAGCUAUAAAUACAUGUAGCUAACUUAUUUUAACGUGACAUUAAUUCAUUAAUUUUCUUAAUAAUUACAACUUAAAGACAAAUUUUAAACUUCAAAACAAGAACUCAAACUAGUCAAAUUUUUUUUAUAACCCAAAUAGAGAACCAAAGAUUCCCUUAUGGAAAUCUUUAGAUAUGAUUUGUUGGCCAGAGAAUUAGCAUAAGAGAAACUACCACCAAAGAAGGGGUUUGGUUUAAUAAUAAAUAAGUGUUCUCUAUUUGUGGAGCAUGAAUAAAAAAUUUAGAGCAAAACCAAAAGAAAUCAAAAGAAAUCCUUCCCCACAACACAUGAAUAUAGUGAAGAAUAUAUUGAGAGGUUGAGAGAAUAAUAAUAAUAAGAUUCAAUUUUUAAAGAAAAAAACAGAGAAAGAGAGAUGGAUAGUUACAUUUGUAUAAGAGAAGAGUGGUAGUCACUACCACUACUCCCACCACUACACAAGUGCACAUUAGUCCCCAUUAAAACCAAAGUUGGAGGCUGUUGACUCUCUUUUUAAUUUAUUUUGUUAUUCUUCCCACCUAAUUAUUAUGCACCCAAUAACCCCUAAAAAGAAAACUUUCCCCAUUUACCUCUUCAACUUAUCAUCACUUUGGAUCUACAUUCAAUUUUGACCUCUCAUCCAACUCCCAAAUACAUUUGUUUUUUCGCCUAUUGUUAUUGCGUUUUGUAAAAAAAAGAAUACUUCCAGAAAACUUCAAUUAAUAGUUUAACCAUCGUAAUUUAAUAGAAGCAACCAAAGUGACGAUAAUCGCUUUUUUUUGUUGUCUUUUAUUGAAGAGAUUCUGUUGAUUCGCUCAAAGCAAAUGAAUCAUAUCAUUACACUCAAAUAAAUUUACUUUUUCUUUUUUAACUUCUCUUUUGAUUCAUUUUUUUUCAUGAGCUGAGACAAAUUAGAAUGUUAUUGUCAUUUCAUUCAAGCUUUUAGUAGGCACAUGGUUUUUGAAUCCCUAUGUGCUUCUAAUUCAAAUUAAAAACAAAAUAUACAAAAGUUAUUACAUUCAAACUCUUUUGUGUAACUUUUGAACUAAUACAUUAUUGUAUACAAGAACAUAUACGUACAUAUAAGAUCACUAAAUUUCAAAAUUCAAGUCAAUUUUAAACCGUCAAUUCAAGCAUAACUGACUGUAACGUUACACACCCACAAUUUGUUAUACAAUAUUCUAACACAAAAAGGAAACAAAAAAGAAAAAAGAAAAAGUAAAACCGAUCAAAGUAUAUGAUACCAAUUAAUAAUUCUAUAGCAUUCGAUUUGUGACUCUUUUUGAAAACCAGAUCCAAUCGAAAUUACUACAGAGGAGGAAGAAACCCCAUUUAUUUAUUUUAUUUACAUUAAUAUUGCAUAUCUCAUGCUGUCGCUUACCAUAAGAUGAUUAACUUCCGAGAUUCUUGGAAACUCGCCGGAGACCCACAUCCCGUCGACCCCAUUAACGUGUGGUUGAGAAAAGCAAGACAGAAUCGAAAAUGGGGUUCGAAGAAGGCUGUAAAUCAUAGAAAACCCAUAUGAAUUACCUUCUCUUCGGUCACCGUCCACCACCGCCCCCACCCUUCCGCCACCGUCAACUCCGCCGCCGUACAUGCUUUCAUCUGCCACUCGUGGGCUCUUCCUUAUGUUGUGGAGGUUUCUUCUAACUGCCGCCGCCAACCGCCACAUCGGUUUAAUUAUUUUUCUUCUUGAGAAUUUGUAAUACAAAAAAGAAGAGGAUUUUUGGAGAAGAAAGUUUAAUAAGGAGAGAUUUUUGAAGAUUGUGAAGUUGGUGUGUGUUUAUCAUGAAGGUUUAUGGUCACCUUUUUAAGGACCUUUGAUUUUUUUUUUUUUUUUUUUUUUUUGGUGUAUCAAUUUGUUUGGGGUCCAUUCAUAUCCAACCCAAUAUGCCGACAAUGUUACCUAAUUUAUUCACAAAUCCAAAGCUUUUGUUUUAUGUAUUUAUUUAUUUAUGUGGGUUUUGGUAUAUGUAAACAAGAAACUUAUAUAUAUAUAUAUAUAUAUAUAUAUAUAUAUAUAUAUAUUGAUGAUGGAUUGAAAUAAUGUGACUGAUAUCGUUAGUCGUUCUACAAAAUAGUUUUUUGGGAAUGUUAUAUUGAUGAAUGAAGGUUAGGGUUGUCAUAUUCAUGAUAUCGGUAUCUUUGAUAUAUCUUUACUAAUGCUCAUGUAGAGAAUAUAGAAUUGGUUAACAAGAUUUAUAACUUAGUUUCAUAGAGUAAAAAUAUAAUUACUUGGGUCAUUAAUUUAAUUUUGUUAAUAAGAUUUUCAUUUAAAGAAACAUCCAUUUAUGUCAAAUAAGUAUGUUAUUACGUGUAGAUAGUGUUUAAAUCUUUUGACUUUAAAAAGGGAUUUGUAUGUCAACUAUUGGGUUGAAUUUGCUAAAAUUUUCAAGUAUAUAUUGUAUGAAUUAUGAUUUUUGACUUUUAACAAAUUUCCUUGCUAUACAAAAUUUAUUUCCUUAAAAGUAUAUAAUAUAUCUUUAUAUGAUUAUCUAUAAUAAUAUUGUAAAGGAUAAUGGUAAUAGGUAGCAAUUUUAAGAGAUAAUAAUUAAGUGUAUAACAAAGCUAACGAUAUACUAAGAGAGAUAUAUAUAUUCUAAUAUUGUAAUUCGGAUAGCUAUACAUGUAAUUAUAUUAUUGCAGGUAGAGAACCAUUUAGAUUUGAUUAAAGAGACUUCUCCUACCCUCCCAAAUUGCUUUUAAAUUUUGUGAAAGUCUUACUAUACUAAAGGUCUAGUAGUCUUUAUGCCACAAUAUUAGAUGUUCUCUCAUAUUUUCGACUUUAUCCUCUUAGAAUAUUUGGGUUUGAGUGUUAGAAUUGAAUCUUGAAGAACAAGCUCAAAUUUCCUCUCUUUGUGCGAGAAUAUCAUCCUUCUUAUUAGUUUCUGCCUCACGGUGCUCCACAUCUAGUGGUCUUUUUGUUUUAUUUAUUGCCAUACUUUGAUUCUUGGGAGAGCUUUUCUCUAACACUUCUCCUACACAUUUCUUUUUAUCAUGGAUGAAGUAACUUCUUUUCAAUAGAGUAAGCAAUACAUUUGGAUCAAUUUCACAUAUAGUAUAUGGUUUUACUUCUCACCGUUCUUGCUUCCUAAUUUUGUUAGUGAAAUAAAAGAUGAAGGUUGAAAUUAUAGAGGCUGCUAGACUCAUUUGAUAUGUUAAUCGAAUUAUACUCAUAUUUAUUUUUGUAAAAACUAAUUAAUUUAAAAGAUUUUAAAUAUAUAUGAUAAUGACAUGAUAAAUCUAAAAUUUUGAGAGGAUAUAUUGAAAGGUAUAAAAUAUGCGAAAGAGGCAAAGGUGUAUUUGAGUAUUUCAGUUGCAGAUAUAAUAGAAUUUGUUGUGGGAUAUGUUAUAAAUAAAGACAUAUAGCUCUAGGGUUAUAAAGAAAUAAAUUAUUCAUUUUUUUAUUGUUUUGAGGACAAGAAAUAAAUUAUUCAAUUUUAAAAACAGUAAAACUAUAAAUAACAACAAAAAUAGUACAUGUAGGCUGAGUUAUGAGUAGAUUUUUUUGGUAGCUAGGUUUGACCAUUAAUCUAUCAAGUAUAUCAAUAAUACAAAUUCUAAUAAUCCUAUUUUAUAUUUCUUACUUAUUAAUUAAUCUUUCACAUUCACUUUAAUAAAACAAUAAUAUAUACUAAACCAAAUUUUAAACUCAGACAGGUAAGAAGGUGUUUGGAAUUUCUUUUUCAUUUAAAAUAAAGAAAGAAAAUAAAAAAAGCAUUACCUUGCAUAGUUUUCUUUUAGAAGCAUUUUGCUAUUUAGCACCCUAUUCUAUUCAUAUUUUUUAAAAAUCUAUCGUUCUACUUAACAUGAAAAUGAAAGUUUAGGAUUAAUUAGAAAGAAAAUUGAUUAAUUAAAAAUAAAAUUCAAUAAGGUUAAAAGAUGAGUUAAGUUUAUUUUGUAAUAAAUAUAUUUGAAGUUUAAAAAUUAUCUAAUAGACCCUAUAAUUUAAUAAACUAAAUUUGAUUUAUAAAAAAAGUGUGUGGAGUUUAAAAAGUUUUAAAUAAGCCAAUUAAAAAAUUUAAAAGCGUAGAACUCUAUUACACAUACUAGUUUUUAUUCUUUAAAAACAAAAUCAAAAUUUAAUAAAUAAGCAUAUAAUUAAAAGUUUAGAAAUGUAUUAUAUAUUAGAAGAAUUUAGCAACUCAAACUUGUCAAAUAAUCUUACUUAAUUUAUUUUUAAACCUUAGCUUGAUUUGGUUUUGGAGUGAGAGGAGAGUGUUAUAGAAGUAUUAAUGUAGUUAAGAUGUUUUUGAUGGAGUUUGUGAUUUUGAUUAUUAUUUAAUUGUUGUUGAUAGAUAAGCAUUUGGAAAGGAAAUGUGGUAGGUCAAUUUUGGAGUAGGGGAGAAAUUUCCAAAAGGAAAAGUGGUGGAAGAAAGAAGGAAAGAAGGGAAUAGGGGGAUGCAAGUGUUGUUUGUGAUAAGGACUUGACCACAAAACCCAAAAAAAUAAAAAUACAGAAAAUGUGAGUGCUACUCCACUAUAUACCCAUCUUAUGUUGCUGUCAACUUUCACUUAAUUAUGUCCUUACAAUUUUAUAACAAUUACAUAUUCAACUUUGUCAAAUGUUUUUCUUUAUUAAUACCACAACUUACAUUUUAAUUAUAUAUAAUGUAUGUUUAUAUAAAUAACAUCAACCUCUACACCCACUUUCAACCACAGCUUUAAUAAUCUAAUUUUAUUAUAUGUAGUUGAUAUAUAAAAUCAGAAACUUCUGGUGAAAAAUCAAACAUAUAUUCUAGUUUUUGUAUUUUCUAAUUAGUUUAUUAUUGAUUCUUUUUUAAAAGAAAAUAAAUAUAUGGAAAGUAGGUCCUUCCACGAUCAAUUUUGAAAAUAUAUUGACGUUGAGUAUUUUUUAUGAUUAUUAUUAUUUAACUAAUUUACCUAAGGUAAAAUUUUGAUUUAUUAGGGUUUAGAGCUCGAAGAAUACAAGGAACAUAUAUGAUUACUUUUUUUAUAUAUAAAACAACCAUGAACUUAUUGAUCAAGCUAGCUAGGCAAGUAUUCUUGUGGAUAUUGAUAUUUCCUUUAAUUUUAUUCUUAUAUACUUUAAUCUUAAUUGUCCCUAUGCCUCUUAGAUCAUGUAAGAUAUAACUAAUAUGGAUUAUUGAUGAUGUAAUGCUGAUAUAUAUGGUCAAUAUGUAUUGUAUUGACCUAACUAUAAAAAUAUAAUGAUGUGGUUAACAUCAAAAACACAACUAUGAAAUGUAUAUUUUAAUAUAAUUCAUAAUGAACAUAACUAAUUGUGAGUUAAUAAAUAUUAAAAUUAGAAUGAGAUAAUUUUAAUAAAUUCCCAUUAUAAACCUUCAAUAACUACAAAAAUGUGAGAAUUAAAUAGUUAAAUAUAGGUGGUGAGUGGUCGACUAAAAAAGUUGUCAACUAAGUUCAUGAAUUUGCAUAAUUCCAUAUUAUUGAACAAAAUACAAAGUGGAUUUUUUUCCUUUUUCCUUUUUAAUUUUUCAUAAAAUUUUCUAAUUAUGUUUAUUUAUUUUUUUCCAUUUACUUCUUAAAUUUAAGUCAACGUUAUUUUUAAUUAAUGAUGAAUUUAUAUUGCAAAAUGGGAUUAAGCUAUUAAACCUACCGACACAUUAUAUUUGAAUAUGGUAGACAAUGAAAAGGCAUUUUCAAUAAUAGCCAAUUAUUUUCUUAUGACAUUGGUUUGGAGUGCUUGACCACUAAUAUUUGUUGAUUUUCAAUUUUUUUUGUAGUACAAGACUUUGAUUGAUUGAUUAGAAAUUUCAUACCAUUUAAAUGUCUUUCUUUUCCUUUUUUUUCCUUUAAAAAUUUUAGUAAUUUAUUCAUAAGAAAAAAAGUGAAAAAUUAGAGAGUCUAAAUUUUCAAUCAAGUUUAGUUUGGAUCAAUUCAACUAGGUUGGAAAAGGAAGAAUUUAAAUUUAUAUAUUAUUGAAUUAAGAAAUGGUACAUAUAGUGUUGUAGAUUUUAUAUUAUAUUAAUAUAUAAUUUCAUAUGAUUUUAGAUCAAAUUAUUCUAUGCAGUUGUUUAGAAGGUUGAAUUGCCCUUUAAUUUUUUUGGAGGUGCACACAUGCAUGUAUUGUUGCUGGGAGUUUUGAAAAAAAAAAAGGUUUAAGGUCUCCUUUUGGAUCAUGUAUUUUAAUUGUUUUUAACCAAUCAUUUUACAAAUUUAUUUUUAAUUAGUGAAAUGUGUGAUUGUAAUAUACAGGAAAAAAAGAAGAAGAAGAAGAAGCAGAACAUCUAGGGUUUAAGGCUUUUUAUAGCAUCAUAUAAAUGGUAAGUUGGUAAGUUAGGGUGUUUCGGUCCAAGGAAUUUAGAUGUAGGAGUUGGAAAGUAGGAAGUUGUGAACUUCAUUCCUUAAUUGGCUUAAGUAGUUUGUGGAUCUCACCACCAAGAACGUCAAUUUUAUACCUUAUUAACUCCUUACAUUGUUGUCCCAGGAGUUCACCAUUACUCCUUAGACUUCAUAAUUAACUCCCUACUCCUCACUAUCCAACUCUUUUACCUCAAGAUUCUUUACUAUACUAGUUUAUGUCGUUGGUGUUGGAAAUGCAGUAAGAGCCCAUAUUAUAUCUAGAUAAAGCGAUAAUCAUGAGUAUAUAAGAAGAAAAAAAACAAGUAUCACCAAUCAUAUAAGUCAUUUUAGGAGAAACAAAAAAUAAAACCAUUAGAGUAUAAAGAAUAUAACGUUGAGUUGGACAUCAAAGGAAAUUGUUGAAGAUGAUUGUUGGAGAGUUAGUUAUUGAAGGUGGUUAUGUUAGAGUUUGGCUGUUGGAAGUGGUUAUCAAAGCAUGUCAUAGACAAUAAUGCUUGUUGCUAGAGUUGGGUAUAUCAAUGGUGGUCGCCAUAGAUGGUGGUCGCCAUAGAUGAUCUCGAGCAAAGGUGGUCAUUAGACAAGUCACUAAUAAUAAUCGUAGAUAGAGUUGGUCAUUAGCGAUGACCACUAACAUGUAGAGUCAUUAGAAAAAUUAAAGAGGAAGAGAGAGAAAGGAAAAAGAUACAGUUUCUUAAUCGGUGUUGCAAAAUGUUGUUAAACUUUGUUACCAUAUUGGAUAGACAUAAAAAAAAAUUCACAAAAUCAAUUUGAAUAAUCAACUUUUCUUAUAAAAAUGAUGGUCUCUCAAUGAAUACUUCUAAUAUAUGGAAUCCUUAAUGUUACAUUAUGUUGUUGGAGAUAAAAAUAAAGAAAAAGAAAAGUAAAAGCAUUUACAUCUCUAAAGACGUGGUAAAAAAAAGUUAAACUUUUAGAAGUAAAAUAAAUACUUAUAAAUUAAUUAUUUAUAUUUAGAGACAAUUAAAAAUUGUCAUAAGAUUGAUGAUACUUAAAAAAAUGUCAUAAAUUCUCCAAAUCCAAAAAUGUUAAAAAUAAAUUGAUGUUAAACAAAAUUUACAAAAAAGAUAAAUGUGAGAAAAUUAUUAUGGAAAAAAAAAAUCAAAAGCAACUUGAAGAAGAGACAAUUUUACUGCUAUUCGUGGUCAUUCAAAUAGUCUCCUCUUCUUUAAAUUGAUUAUUUUUGAAAUGACAUGUUCAUUCAUGAAGUAAUACAAUUCUGGAUCAAUUGUCACAUUCUAUUUAUUCUAACAUUUUAUGUUGCUUAUUUUAACUUAGUUAGUGGAUAAAAAUAUAGAGGAUCGUCCCAAAUAUCAAAAUUCAUUUUUUCUAUCUUAAAAAAAGAAACUAGAACUUUUGUUAAAGAAAGAAAAAAAAAAUCAAAUAUAGUGAAAAUUUCAACUUUUUAUCUCCACUUUUGUCUUUUGUCUUUUAAACUUUAGAAAAGAACUUAUUGAUAUAUUCUUAAGUUUUAAAAAAGGUUUAAUAGACUACUAAACUUCCCAAAUUUUAUCAAUUUAAGGUAAAGGGAUCCUAAUUAGUGACUCAAAAUAUUUUUAAAUCACAUAUCUACUAACAUAAAAAUAAAUAAUCUUUCAAAAAUAUAUUCAAAACCAUAUAUAAUAGUGAAAGAGGUUGUAACAAAUCUCUGGAUGUAGUCCUUUCCAUGGUUGAACCUAUAGUAUGAUAUAGAAUUAAAAGUUAAAAAGAAUUAUUACACAAAUAUUAAAUAUAAUAGGGCACAAAAUUAAAGAUUAUCCACUCUAAUCAAACAUUUUAGAAACUAUUACCCUCUUUUAACUUUAUUGUAAAACAGAAAACAAUGAUAUAUAUUUGUAAUAAUAACAAUGUUUUUGUAUUAUUAAUUUUUUAAUUGAGGAAAAGUAAUAUAUAUUUGUUAACAUUUAGAAAGGUGAAAAAAUUGUUUAGACUUUUAUGAAUAGAUCAAACAAUAGAAGAUGCAAUGGUUGGUCUCUCAAACUACAUACAAAAUUUCUAUUUAUCUUUAUACUUUGAUUGUUUCCUUUAUAUAUUCACUUAUUCGAUCUUGUUGGCUUCUUAACGACAAGUCCGAAUAUUUUUAUUUGGAGCCAUAUAUUCCAUGCAUUUAAACACCAUAACUUUAUAUUAUUGUUGAUUCUAAAUUCCCAUCUUGUAAACAGAAAUUUAUAUUCAAGAAGAAUGUUUUCUUUUAAAUACUAUAUUUUGUUAUCUGUGUGUGAUUUAAAAUUUCAAACUAUAUAUUAAUCUUAGAAAGAAAGUUGAAUUACAAAAAUCAUCCAUACAAUAUUAUUGUAUUCGUAAUUAUACACCCAAAUUUGAUUUUUAAAAAAACAGUCUUUUAUCACAUUAAAACCAACCCUAACUUAUAUAGGUUAAUCCAAACUCAAUUUUUAUAAUUAAGAAAUCAACCCAAAGUGGUUUUGUAAUUUGUCAAAUUUUAUAUUUAGUCCUCUAAUUAAGUUUUAUCAAAUUGGUUUGACAAUGAUAAUAACAAUAAUAAUUCAACAUCUUAUUAGAAAAACUGCAAAAAUGAUUAAUAGAUCAAACAAUAAAAAAAUGAAUAUAAUUGAUUCAUUUUUUUCAGCAAAUUAGAGAAUGGGAUACAACAAUACAAAAUCUCAUUCCCCAACAUAUAUAAACACAAGUUCCAACCAAGAUGAAAAUAUUAAAAUAUACAUCUUGAUAUGAUGAACAUAAUGGCAGCAGUUCCACUCCUUAUAAAAAUACAUCUCAUAUAUAAUUAAAAUUAUGGGACAAACCCCAAUUUUGCCCUAUACCAUUACACAACCAAAAGCCAAACCAACACUUUAUUUGCCACGUGGAAAAUGACGUGUCAAGAGACUCUUUAGGUGGCUUCCAAACUUCCAAACUUCCAAACAUAUAUUCCACACACUAAUAUUUUAACACACAACUCUAUCCCAUCCCAUGCAUCAUAUUGCCUAAUUUUUAUCCCAUAUUUCCUUACUCUUUCUUCUCCUCUGCGGCUUCAUCUUUCUUCUCAUCUUCUUCCUCUGCCUCCUCUGAUACUACAGCUUUGGCUUCCGGUACGACCGAUGACUCGUCGGGUUUGUCGUUUUCUUCCUUGGCUACUUCUGCAGCUUCUUCAUUAUAUUCUAAUUCCUCGACCUCGUCAUCAUCUGUUAGAAUAACAACCUCAUCUUCCUCCUCUUCCUCUUCAGCCGUUGCUUCAACUUUUUCAUUUGGAACAACGGCUUCUGAAUCAUCUGACGAUUUUUCAUCAACAACUUCGUCAACUUUAACACUCUCUUCUUUUUCUUCUACGUUCUCUUUUGAUGUCGUGUCUGGUGACGAUUGUUCCUCGACUUCUUCUUUUGUGACCGUCUCUUUAACAGUCGUCGUGUCUUCUAAGAGAGUGGCAUUCGGAGAUACGAUCUGCAAGUUAUCAUAGUAAUUUCUUACGAGAGACGAAGCUAGAAACUUAAAAGGAAAAAAAAAGGCUUACUAUAUACUAUAGUUAUUGCUAUCUAAUAUCAUAUAUAUAUCACAGUUAAAAUUAUCACAAUCAAUUAAUUUUUUUACUUUUUAAAUAACUAUAAAUUUAAUCUUUUAUUAGCAUGAAGAAAAGAAGUUAAUUGAAAAAAAAAAAUAUCUAGAUCAGUAUUUCGUCUAAAAACUCAUGUUAUAUUUUCAAAAGGUUCAUUUUCUAAGUUUCAAAAUUCUAAAUACAUUUCUUGAGAACAGACUCAUAAGGCAAUUAAAAAAAGAUGCAAUUGCACCCUUCUUUUCCUAGAAAAAUUAUUCAAGAAGGUUGUUACUUAAUUAUUAUUAGGGGUACGCAAAUUUUUUAAUUUUAUAUCCAAAGCGUGGUUUAUAUACAUACGUUACUUUGGACAAUCUGAUUGAAUAAUUUUUUUCUCUUACACAAAUACGUAUAUGAAUGGAGAGAUGUAAAACGUGAUGCAUAUUCGAACUGUAAAGAAAGUAAAAAGUGAAAGAAUAUUACUGAGAUACCUCAACGGUGGCCAUGGAAAUAGCUUCUUAGGGAGUAUGAAAGAAGUGCUUAAGAAAUUAAAGGGGGAAGAAGAAGCUAAGGGAAAAGACAGAAAAUGUAAUGUGUGAAACUUUAUGGACCUAAGAGUUGGCUUUAUAUACACAAAUCCAAAUAGCUUUAGCUUAUUAAUUAUAAAAUUAAAAUAAGAUACAUUUAGACAGAGAAAAUUAUAAAACGUUGAAAAUAUUAAAAAAAAACUACACCAGCUGUGUAUUCAAAUAUUGUUGUUGUUAUUAUUAUCAUACGUUAGAUUUGUGAUUUAUACUUUUGCGAUUAGGGAGAGAACAUUUGGCUAGAACUUUAGUUAAAACAUGCAUUAACAUGGUGAUUAAUAUUUAGUUUAAACUUUUGAUGUUUGUUUUAAUUACAUCUUUAAUAUGAUUUUUGUUUAGGUUUAAUUCUAUUCAAAUUUUCUUUUGGUAAAAAUUUGGUAUGGAUGUCAAUCUUAGUUUGACUAUGAAUUGCAGGUAAAUGAUUUGAUUUUUCACUUAUAAUUACUGAUUUUAUAAAAAUUAUUUUUUAAUAAAACAAGUCGAGACUUGGAGAAAUGUCAAUUGUCAUUGAGUCAUGCGAUUUGACAACGCAUCAAAUAAAACAUUUCUUAGAACAAUAUGGGUGGAGGAAUACAAACUUCCAAUCUUUUUAAAUAUCACUAGCAUAUAUUAUAUGUCACUUAAGUUAUGUUUUUCUUUAAUUGUAUGUGAAAUUUGUACAUGCAAUCAUGUGAAAAAGUAAAAAUAUUGUUGUUUUAGGCCCCAAAAUUAACAUAUACAUUUAAAAACAUAUACUUUUUCGAUGAAGGUGCUAAAGGGAUCUACCUAGUAGAGAUGUUCGGUUAUACAUUCUGACCCAUCGUAUUUUAUUACAAAGUAUUUCUAAGCUCAAGUUAAAAAAGUUGGAUUGCUAUUAAUGACGAAUUUACGUAGGGGUCAGCGGGAAACAUGUCCCCUCGCAAUAUUGGUUUUUGAACGUUAGUGUUAACUUUGAAGUGUGAGAUUAUAAAAUAUAUUAAAUAAUGCUUUGUUUUAAACAAAAUAUGUCCUAUAUAAAAUUUCUAGAUCUAUCACUUGUCACAAUGAAAUUCAAACAUGCUUCUUUUAAAGAAUAUUAAUACACAAAUUCAAGAAGGAAUCUACUCCUAACGUAGAUAUUCAAAUUUCUAGGUUUACUAUAGAAUGAUUUUAAUGAGACAAAUUAGUUAACAUAAUUUAGCAACUAAAAAACAUAUUUUAACCAAUAAUCAUACUAACAAGAAAAUACAUCAUUAGUAUAUUUUUCUAAAAUUCCUCAAGUUUAUUUGUUAGCAUUAGGAUUAGACUAUAUGUUGGAGGGUCCAUUUUCCAACCUAUCAAUUAGUUGGAUACGACUUCUAUAAUUUGUGGGGUUCCAUUCAUGACAAUGCUACUCUUAUCAUCUUUUCAUUCAUUUAAUAUUUAAUUCAUCCAUCAACUUUUCUUUUGAUUUUCUAAUUCAUCCAUCAAUUAAUUUUAAGUUGAAAUAUUAAGUAUAUAUAAUUGUUUUUCUUUUCUCUUAUAUUAAAUAAUAAUUAUCAUCAAUUUUAUCAUUAUUGUCAACCCAAUAAAGUUGGCUUUUUGAAGUUGAAACUAAAAUGUCUUAAAUAAAAUAAAGAAUGGACAUGCACUUUCAUUCUUCUUUUCUUAUAUUAAAAUAAAUCAAUUAUUGGAUUUUUGGAUUUGUGACAUACAUUUUCUUCACAGCAUUAAUGAAUCAUCCAACAUAUAUCUAAUCUAUAAUAAUAUGGAUAAUUAAAGAACCAAAGAAGUCACAAUUUAAACUAAAUUCACAUUAUUGUGGAUUCCAAUGAGUGAGUUUAUAAUUGAAGGCUUCAUUUGAUCAAUCUCGUCACCAAAAAAACAAAACAAUAUAUAUAUAGUAAUCAAAAUUUGUGAUUAUAUUCAUUUGAAAGUACAUUAAAAUUAAAACUCUAAAUUAGUCCAUUUGUACUUUUAGAGAGCUCGAGCUCUUGAUGAAAAGUAAAAUGUUAAAUUAUUUAAUUUCCCUUCUUUUUCACAAUUCAUAACUAUCUCUCAAGUGUAAACUUUCUUUUAGAAUUUUUAUAGCAAAAUUAUUUUCAAGUUGUAUAAUACAAUAUUAUUAAAACUUUUUUAAAUAAUGUGAAUACUUUUAGAACAUUGAAGAAUCUUGAAGUAUUUUCUAUCCUUUAGUAAAAAUAAACUAUUAUUGUCUAUGUGUUUUGUUAGAUUGAUAAAUUAAUUUAAAUAGUUUUUAUAUUCAAUAUAAUUUUGUUUAAAAAUAUCCCAUCACUUCAACAUUAUAUAAUAUUUUCAUCGACAUCUUUUGUAAUGAGAUAUCUACAGUUAGAUUAAGAUGGACAUUUUAAAAUUUGAAUGGUGAGUUAUUUGUUCAUUUGUUGAAUAAUGCCUCUUUGGUGUAAGAAGAGGGCAUUAAAGAAGAAUGUAAUUCCAUUUUCUCAAUAUUAUGGAUAAUGACCCUUGGUAUACAAGCAGGGUUCUUCAAUUGUUACAUUAGUUUUGCCCCAUUGAUCAUGAGCACGUGGUUUCCAAAUUUGGAAGGACCUACCAAAUUGAGACUCGAUGUGUAUGUGGAAUCUAUCGACCAAUAAUUUGUUGACACAUUUUAUUUAAUAUCUAUAUGGAAUAUAAGUUAAGAGUUUAUUUAAAGUUGUAUAUUUUCAGAUUUAGUUUUAAAUUUUUGUUAUUAGUAUUGAGAUUUAUGCAAAUGAUAAUGUUUUCACAUAAUUCGGACAUAUAUUUAACUUUUCCUCUUUUAAAUAAUCAAAGAGAUGUAUGGACAUCAAAGAUGUGAGACUUCUUUUAUGAUUAAAUAAUGAAAAAUAAAUAACCUUUUAUUUUUUUAUACGUUUUUAUAAUUAAAUUAAAGAAGCUAAAAAAAGGUUUUCAAUUGGUAAAAACACUUUGUAUGGUCUUUCUAACUUGUUGAUAAGACAGUGGAAAGAAAUUGCAAAAUAGAAUUUAUAAAAAUAAACGUAUAUAAAAAAUAAAAAAGUUAUUUCUUUUUCAUGCAAGUGCAAUUAUUUCCACCUUCAGCUUAUUCACAAAAGAAAACCAAUAUGCAUGAACCUCUUUGGUAGAAAUCCAUAAAGCUUUCCACUAUAUAUUCAUUAUUAAUCCUCGCGAUGGACGAAGAAAUCCUCCGAUCGAAAUUGUGAAAUCGUGAAGUUUUCUACUGCACAUUCAUCCAAAACCUCGCGAUGGAAGAAGAAAUCGUUCGAUCAAAAACCAUGAAUUUGUGAAAAGCCAUGAAACGAGCAAAACCUCGAAUAUGAAUGAUAGAGUCUUCAAAUUUCUGAAAGUAAACAAGGAAAAUUUUCAAAUAAAGGAGGUAAUGGGGUUUCAACUUCAUGUGUGGCAAUUUAAAAUUUUAGAUUUUUUUUCUCAUUUUUCUUUUUUAAAAACGUAUCAAAUGGUUUAAAUAAAACGGUCCACCAAUAUAUUUUUCUAAACGUAUAAUAUACCAACAUACUAUCUAAAAAAUAUAGUAUCAAAUGAUCAAAUCAGAUAUAUUGAAAAUAUUGCAUGUACGACCAUAUACUUUACUAUAAAACUUAUUUAAUUCGUUAUUUCGAAAGAAAAAAAGAUUGAAUAAAUAAAGAAGACUUCUCCAAAUUUGCAAUUUUCCUCCAAUUCACCAAUAUAUAGAGAAUGGGUUUUUCUUUAGUUCAAGCAAAAGGCCCACCAUGUCUUCUUAACCUCACUAAAAUUUGGGCUUAUAUAUUGACAUAUUCAAGCCCAUUAAUCAACUAUAGUUCCUCUUUUCCUUUCUUUUUCCAUAAUUUAUUUUAAAUAGAUUUUAAUAAAAAGGACACACAUUGUUUAGAGAAGAAUAUGAUAAUCGUGGAUUUAUUAAGGGGCCAAAAGAGGCACGUGUCUCCUUAUAUUAUCGGUUUUUGUAUUUUAAUAUUAAUUUUGAAGUGUCAUAUUAUAAUAUUUUAUUUUAUCCAAAUUUUGAUUCUAAUGUAGCGACUGUGCUUUCAUUGCAAAACCACCCGCUCAAGACUCCAAAUAUCAAUUUUAUUGACAAAUUUCAAUAACGUCAUAAAAAUAAUUUUUUAAAAAGAGAAACAAAACCGUGACUUAUUUUCUAGUCGUCGUUUGUUAUCUAAUAAAUAUUUUUAAAAAAAUGCAACUAAAUUAGUGAUCUAAAUUUCUACUCUCCUAACAAUAUUCCAUAAAAAAAUUAUUAUUCUUUUCUUUUUUUUCUUUUCCUUUUUUUGAUGCAAUUUUUAAAUUCACACUUACAUUACAAAAAAAUAUAUAAAAAUUGCUAGUCGAAAAAUAUAUGAAAAUUGCUAGUUUUUUCUUUAUUGCUACAAAUAUACUAGUGAAUGUUAUUAAAGCAUCAGUGAAACGUCGAUAUAUUUUUUAAACACUUUUUAAUGUGUUUAUUAUAUAGUGCCUAGUGCUUUUCUAUAUAAAAUUUCUACGUCAACAUUGAAUAAGAUUGGAUGAAAGUAUGAAAGAUAAACAAAUAACUUAUUUCAUUAAAUUAUUGAAGAUAUUAAAGAGAAUUAUAUUUUACUAAGACUUGGUAGGGCUCAAAUGUGAGAAUGAGGAUUAGAUGAUUCUAAGAUUUGAUCUUUUAUUUAUUAUUUUCUUUUAGUUUUGAACAUUAUUUUAAAUAAGUUGUUUUAGUUUUGAGUUAAGAAAUAUUAUAUUAGUUGCUUAUAUUUUUUUUUAUUAAAAAAAUGGUUAAUUAGCAUGAAAAUAGAUAAUACCAAAUCACGUGUCAUAUAUGUAAGCAUAAAAAAUUUAGUAUUUGAAACGUAUUUGUUAUAUUUUUAGUACAAUAAUUAUACGGUUGGAGGAUUAUGCAAAUUACUUAAAUUCAUUUUGACGUCAUUAUGUAGAGAUACAUCAUCAUGCAUAUUUGAAACUUUCACAAUUUUGUAACGGAUGUUACUCAAUAUUUUGUUAGUACUAAUAUUACUUUAUUUAAAUAUUUAUUCUAUAUUUAUAUAAAUAUUAAAUUAUUUAGUCUCUAAUAUGUUAAACAAAAUUAUGAACUUUCCAUUUUACAUACAAUGGGUUUCACAAAAAAAAAAAAUUUAAAUUUGAUAUACAAUUGAAUCUUGAAAAUUUCAAUUUAGUAAGUAAUUAGUUUUAACUUUUUUGAAAAACCAUCAAAUGUUUGAAUUAUUAGAUGACACAAAGCUAAAAUAUAUAAUAGAAGAUAUAGUUUUUUGAAUUGAAUUUGUUUAUAAAUCAAAUUUGUAAGAAACAUAUUCAUAUAAACUUGAAACUUGAAAGCACGAAAACAAAUGAAACUAUAUGGAAUUGUGUAGUAGUUUAACGUAAUAGUUGACCGUUUCAAAAGAAAGAAAGAAAAAGGAAAAAGUUAGAAAGAAGACAGGGAGAGCGAGGAAGAAGAAGAAGCUUCUGCAACUUCCUAGACUAAAGUCGUCAAACGGGUAUUCUUUGCUUUCAAUUCAAAUUUUAAACACAAAGAUUUACAAUAAUAAUGCCCCCGCAAUUCUCUGCGCUAAUUCCCCCUCCCCCGCUUUGAAUUUUUCAAAUCCCACAUUCUUUCUCUCUUCCUUUUUCCAAAAACAAUCUAUCCAAUCCAUUUCUUUCUUUUUGCUCCCUCUUUCGAGCAUUUCGGAUCACCACAUAGCUCUCUCUCUCUCUCUCUCUCUCUCUUUUGGUUUGAACUUCAAACCUCAUAGUUUAAUUCAACGCCCAUUUCCUGUUUUCCCCUCUGUUGACGGUUUUUCUCGUUCUGCUUCUUCUUCAUUUCGCUUCUUUUCCUCUUUUCCCUUUCUGGGUUUUGUUCGUAUCUACACCACAAAGAAGAAACCCACCCCUGUUUUCGUCCCCUUCUUUCAAUUUCUUUACUGGGUUUUCUCAUAUGGGAUUGAAUCAGUAAUUAGUGCUCUCUAUAUGAUCUAGCUCGUGGGGUUUUCUUCUUUCUGGAUUUUCUUUUGUUUCUUUGUCUUGGUGUAACCCUUUUAAUGUCUUUGGCUGUUGGGGCUGCCUCAAAUUCCAAGAACAUGGGGUUUGAUGAGAAUCGUGAGGAGGGAGGUGCAUUGGAUAACCAUGGGAAUGAGAAUGAAGCUACUGAGAAGAUUUCAAGGCAAAUGAGUGAAACUUCUCUCUCUGCAACUGAGGAUGAGACUGAUGAUGAAGGAAGUAAUAUUGAGUUGGGGCCUCAACGCACAUUGAAAGAAGAGCUUGAAAAAGAUAAGGUUAAUCUUUGUUCUUGUUUCUCACAUUUGAUUCGAGAUUGUAUUGUAAUAAGUUUUCUUUGUGCUUGUCAAGUGUAUAACUAUUGUUUCUGUUGUUUUGUGGUAUGUAAGUUUAGGAUGAUGAGAGUCUUAGGAGGUGGAAGGAGCAGCUUCUUGGAGCUGUGGAUUUAGAAAAUGCUGGAGGUAAUUAUAAUUUAAAAUUCUUCCUAGUUUUGUAGAUUGAUUUCACUUUCUUUGAUCAUUUCAAAAUUUAGUGUUUGGUUCUGAAAUGCUUCUAUGGAAUUAUCUUGGGGUAUUUGCAGCCAUGUUUUUCCCUUAAAAGAGAAAGUUGUUAUUGUAUCUCUUCUUUUUGGUUUUGUUUUUCAGUUCCAUUUCUUAUGUAUUUUGUAGAAACUCUUGAGCCAGAGGUGAAGAUUCUAAGUCUUUCAAUAGUGUCUCCAGAGAGACCAGAUUUAGUUCUUCCCAUUCCCGAGGACGGGAAUCCAAAAGGAUUGUGGUUUACCCUAAAAGAAGGCAGCCGUUACAGCCUGAAAUUCUCCUUCCAAGUGACUAACAACAUUGUUGCUGGCCUCAAGUACACCAACACUGUUUGGAAAACUGGUGUCAAAGGUUUUUUUCUCUAUCUGAUUCGCCUCUUCGUUAAUAUAAGUUCGUGUUUCGAUUGCCUGACUGAUGAUGACUUUUGUAAUCUUGUAUGUUUCAGUUGAUAGCGCCAAAGAGAUGCUUGGAACUUUCAGUCCCCAGCUAGAGACCUACACUCAUGUAAUGCCAGAGGAUACCACACCCUCCGGCAUGUUCGCCCGUGGAUCGUAUUCAGCAAGAUCUAAGGUCAGUUUGUUUUUUUUUAAACACUAGAAGUCCUCUGACGUUGUCACUUAACAAUGCCUAAGGCUCUAGCAUUUUCAAGUGGGGUAGUGUUUGGUUUUUUCUCCUUAUUCCACAUAUCAUAACCUCUUGGGCAUAGUUUGAAAGAUGCCAACUUCCGAGGAAUCAUCGGUAAUACACAUGACAUCAUCUGGUUUUAAGAGAACAAUCUAUGGCGCCAUAACAUUGAUAUUCCUUUGUCUGCAUAGUCAAAUGAGUUCUAACUUCUCUAGGGCUCUCAAACUAGAAUCAAUAUUCAAUUCCCGAUUUUCAACCGAACGAAGCUAUAAGCAUAACCCAUAAAUUUCUUUAACCUUUCCAAGCUAUAUCUAACUCUAUUUUGAUGAUAUUUUUUCCCAGCUAGCAUGAAACUAAGCAUCAUUGAGGUUCCUUUUUGAUUUCCAUGCAAUAAUAGCUACAGUGCUUAAAAACAAAGAACCCUUUUACCAUUCUCAUAAUUAAAGAAGUUUUACAUUAUUCCCAUCCCAAGUCUUCAUUGCUGUCCAAAUCACGUGGCCCAUUAAGUCCAUUAAUUGAUUCCUGUUGUGCUGGCUGGCCUUUCUUUCCUAAGGGACAUGGCCCAUGUUCUUCUGUAUAACAUAUGCUUUACAAAAUGUGUACUUUCAUCUUGAAUGUUUUCUGAAUUCCCCCUCUUCUAAAUCAAAAUCAUCACCACCUUGCAUAAAAAAAAAAAAAAAAAGCAAAGCCCUUUCUUUUCCAUGACUUGACUGUUCUUUUGACAAACCUUCUUCUCGAAAACCUUCCUUGUUCCCAUAAUUUUUCUUUUAAUGAAUACCCUUUCAUUCCACGAUGAAGUUCAUCAAAAUCAGAAACAAAUGACAGAUCUAUUCAGUCUCUUUCAAACGGAUCCUCCCCCUCUCCCUGCAUUUAUCAAGCUCAAUAAAGGGUUAGAUACAAAAAUAUUCAACUUCCAAACUGAACUUUUAUUUCUCUCAUCAGAAAAAUGAGGAUUCUCUCCAUUGUGCUAGCUUCAUAUCGUGCAUAAAAACGAAGUAGCAUUUGCCUCUAUGUUUGUAUUUGUAGUUGUAAAUGAAUUGUAAAUCUUUUUGUGUAUGGCAGUUUCUUGAUGAUGAUAACAAGUGUUACUUGGAAAUUAACUACACAUUUGACAUCAGAAAGGACUGGGCAGCAACAUAAAGGCAAUGAUUUGUGGGCAUUAGGAGCAGUGCUGCGUUCUUGGCUUAAGCAAUCAAAUCCCCAUCAUCCAGCUGAUUAGCUGAUGUUCUGAAAACUGCCAAUUUUAGUAAAUUAAUGUCUUUUAAUUACAUGUAAUUAUAAUUAAGGCCAACAAAUAUUAUGUUAAUUACUAGGUUUACGCUGCAUCCAAACUCUUGCAAGUUUUCAAUGUAUUGGGAUGUUGGAGAAGGAGAUGAAUGAACGGGGAAAAAAAGGAAUAUAUUGAGAUAUCUUGUUUGAUGGCCCCUCUAAUAAAAGGUGUGUUUGGCCUUCCACCUUUUUUUUACCCAUUUUCUUUUUUCACAUGUUUGAAUCACAUCAUAUAUAAAAUUACAAAAAAAAAAAAUUAUAGUUGGGUUGGUGGGCUGGUUUUCUUUUUUCCAUCUUUUGUAAUACAAAAUUUUAUAUUACUUGAACAAAUUGACACAUACAUACAUAUCAAGGUUUUAGGUUUAUAUAGAAUCGGGUUGGGUCAAGUCAAUCCAACUUUUUUUUUUCAAAACUUUCUAAUCCAAUGUAAAAUUGAACCUAACUUUUACCGUCUUUUUUUUUUCAAAACUUUCUAAUCCAAUGUAAAAUUGAACCCAACUUUUACCGUUUAGUUUGAGUAAUCCGAGUUAGUCUCUAAACAAGAAUAUGAGGACUUUAAAAUCGAUUUUUUUUCGAGAUAAAAAUAAAAUAAUCAUUAGGAAAAAAAAAGAAAAAAAGAAAAGAACAAGUGGUGGAGGUAGAGAAGGAAACAGGCUGUGUUGGUUUGGUUGUUUGUGACUAUUUCUGACAGAUUUGAACCCUAAGUGAAAAUUCCAAACAAUCUUAUUUUUAGUCUCUUCUCACCAAUACUAGAUCAUUACCUUUUACCCUCCAUUCCUUUUUUUUCUUCUCUAUAUAUUCAUUCUUCUUUUUCAAAAGUAUAUUAUAUAUAUUGUAUUUAUGAUCAUACUUUAGUUAUCAUAUUAAUGUAUUAAAGCAAAAUAACAAAACAAAAAAUAGACAGUUUAUUAAUAUGGGAAGAUUAAGAGGAAUAGGGCAUAUUCAUUUGUUUAGCUCAAACACCAGCAAAUAUGUUAGAUUCUUCUUGACAUUGCUUCCACAUCUUCCAACCCUCUUCUAUACAUUUUUUAAAUCUUAUUUUACCAACUCUACUUAUUUUAUAAAAUCCCAAAAGGAAAUAAUUUAUUUUAUGUCACAUACUUUAGUUUCAAUCAAAUUUUGGUGUUUUAGGCCAAUUUUCUCCAAACACACAAAUGGAGAGUAAUUAACUAAGUCUUCAUUUUUGUCUCGACUUUUAAUUUUGUUGCUAAGAGCUUUUAAUGUAGUGAAGUUUGUUUUGAUGUCAUCUAAAUGAAUGUCAAUUUUCAUUGUCGAGCUAAACUCGCUUUAAACAUGUAAUUUGUUAUUGAAUCAAACUUACUUUGUUAUCAACCUAUACUUCUUUAAAUAAUUUUUUUAAAAAAAUAUGUUUAUUUUAAAAGAUUAAAAUUAAUAAUUUAAAUGGAUAAGGAUGGAUAUGAACUUUUUUUUCCACUUAAAUAAUAUUCUUCUUAAUUUUAUAAUAGUUUUAAAUGACAAAACUACUAAAAAUAUUUAUAAAGGUAAAUAUAUAAAAGUUUUGUCCAUCAAUAAUAGAUUUUGAUAGAACAUUACUAAAAUUUUACUGUCUAUUAAAGUUUAUCACUAAUUAACCAUAAAAUUUUGCUAUAUUUGUUAAUAUUUUUUAUUCAUAAACUAUUGAAAAUGACAUAAAAAAUUUUAAGAUGAAACAUUUCAAAGUUGGAAGAUAUUUUUAAAACAAAAUCUGAUUUUCAACCAAACUUGUAAUUUGGAGUUUUUCUUUUUAAAAGAAGUUUAAAGAGUUUUUUAUUUUGAAAUUUUAGGAGUAAUUUCAUAACAAAAUAUUGAAAAAUUAUGAUAAAAUUUCAGAUUCUAUCCUACAUUGAGCUUAUUCUCGGUUAUAACUUUGAUUUAUAUUGUUAUAUUUGAGAAUAACCACAAAGUAUUGGGUCAAAUUUAAGCCUAUUUAUUAUUACUAAAUCUAACGAUUAUAAGAAGAAGCAAUUUGUUUUCCACCUAUAUGAAAAAGGAAAACAAUAUAAUGCAUCACUUUCUUGGGAAAAUGAAAAAUUCUUAAUAGUAACAUUAGGGUACACCGACACAUUAUUCAAACUCUUCUAAAACACAUCUCUAUCUCUUUAAAUUCAUAUAUAGUUUAAAAAAUAACUUUACUAAUUUCGAUUUCACACAAAAACAAUCUUUAUUUACAAGUAAUCAAACCCUAAAUUACAAUUUUGGUUUAAAAAAAUAUUAUAGUCAUACAUCAAUAACAUAACAUAUAAUGCGAUAAUAAAACAACUUAAUUUAUCUAUAUCUGAAUUAAUUGAAAGUAUAUAUUAAUUAUUAGUAGUGAGACAUAUGUAUGUGAAAUUGGAUUUAAGAGUUUAAAAUAAGUUGAAAUUAGGUUGUUGUAGUAGUCUGUUAGGACUCUAAUUGGAUUACUUAAUUACACAAACUAAUAUUGAAAUUGAUGAUGUUAUUAAUUUCUUAUAUACAAAUUUAUUAUCCCAACACACAACAAAGAGUCAUAUAUGGAACAUGAAAAAAGCAAGAUAAAAAUGAAUGAGGCAGUUAAUGAGAUUUAAAAUGAGUAAUAUUGAGAAAAUGAAAAGACAUGAGAGAUGAUUUGAUACAUAUGAAAUAGAAAUUGUUUCCAAAUCAAUGAUUAAUAGUUAAUAGGAUGGAUGGAAUUAUUAAAAUGGGGAUUUAAUUUGGGAGGUAUGGGAUCAAUGAUUAAAUAAGGGUGUGGGUUAAUGGGUCACAACUUCUUCUUCCCAUCCUAUUUCCUUCCUCAAAAACACAUCAUUUUAAUUAAUUAGCUGGCUAAAUUAUAAAAUUAUAAAAUUAAGUAAUUAACUAAUUGAAUAAAAAAAAAAAAGAAAAGAAAAAGAGAUUUGAUAAUCACACUUCUCCAAAUAAUAAGCAUAUAAGCAUGAGGUGGCUGUCACCGACGAUUAGGUUGUUCAUAUUUUCUUUCUUCUAAUUAACUCUUCCCCCUAAUUGUCAAAUAUAUAAUUUAAUGGGUUGAAUUCAUAACUUGUUUUAAUUAAAUACCUAAUUGUGUUGGGAAUUAUUUUCAAAUUUAGGGGAAGAGAGAGUGAAUGAAUUUGGAUUAGAAACAACCGUGAUAGAUGGGAACGGCGGAAACAACCGUGAGAGGGCGGGGAGAGGUGGAGGUCGGAGUUCCCUUCAUUUUCAUUUUCUCCUCUCACCAUAUUUUCAUUAAUUUCUCCUUCUCUGGAUCUUUUUCCUUUUUCUUAUAUAAUAAUUUUACCAUUGAGGCCACCACUCUUUCGUGAAUAUAAAAUUCAUAAAUACCAUUAUUAACUUUUACUUCCUCACCUCCUUUUAAUAAUAUAUAUAAAAAGGAAAAAUGUCUAUCCCUAUUUAUUAUUAAUAAAAUUUAAGAUUUUGUUAUAUUUUGUCUUUUUUUUUUUAAUCUUUAGUUAUCAAUUUUUAAUGACCCUAAAAAUAUAAAAGGGAAUUAAGUUAAUUCUUAUGUUAUUUUUUUAAAGAACUGCCUUUCUAUUCAUUUGGUAAAGUUUACAAAUGCUGUUGACUUUAGCAAAGAGGAAAAGGAAUGCAACAUUAGUUGUAGUUAUUUUUCUACUUUUCUAUUAAAAUAUACCUUAAGAUCUAACUUAAAUCAACGUUAAGAAAUGUCAAAACAAGGUGACUUUGGUAUUAUUGUUAAAAAAAGAAGGUGAAGAUAACUUGAAUUUAGUUUGAUUGUUAUAUUAUUGAACUAAAAAGGGUUGUUUUUUUUUUGACAAAGUAAAAAAAAUGUUGGAGAUAAUGGAGUUGAUGGGGGGGGUAGAGUGUAAGGUUGGGUUUAGGAGGAAGAAGGAAAAGAAAAGAAAAAAUGAAUUAGUUCAAAUGUGAUUAAGAAAGACUACCCUACAUGUCCCACUUCUUAAGAAAAAGCCUUCCCAAUAAAGUAUGGUUUUUUUAUGUCUAAGGAAGAUCCCAUCUCUUAGUUUAUCACCCAAUUACUGUCUCUCCUUCACCACCUCUUUGCUUUUUCUUCUCCUUUUCUUUAAAUACUUGCUUCUAUUUUCAAUCCUUAUUUGUAUUUCUCAUCUCCUCCUUCCCCAUUAUUUCUCUGUCAGGCCCCCCCUUCUCUCUUCCCUGCCCUGGUCAGUCUCUCUCUCAUUCUUCUCGCUUUUUUUAAUUUUUUUUUUUUUUUUUGCCUUUUUUACAUUUGGGUUUUGCUUCUUAUCACCUCUACUGCAUGCAACUGAUCUAGAUCUGGGUCUUUCUUACUUUUUUUUCUUCUUUUUGGGAUUUGUUUAGUUGGGUUUUGUGGGAAUGUGUGUGGCUGAAAUGCUGAUGGGACAAUUUGCAUUGUUUGCUUGUGUUUGUAUGUCUUUCAAUUUCUUUUUUCUUUUUGGUUUUACUGUUUGAUUUACUUCUCUGGAUCUUAGAAUGUGCUGUUUUCUUGUGUUCUGUGCUUGCAUGUGUUUGUGCUCUGUUUUAGUUUCUUACUGAGCUUGUGAGAUCUGGGUUUUGGAGGAACAAAUACUUAAAUUUGCUGAGUUUUGGGACUUGUUUUCUUUAGUUCUUGCUGAGAUUUGGUGAAUUUUGAGAGGUAUAUAACCUUUGUCAAUGCAUUUUAUUGAAAUUUUGAUUCCUGCAUGUGAACUUAUUUGUGGAAAUGUCACUGUGAACUUAUGAAGCAUCUCAUCAAUUUCACAUUUUGAUUUGUAAACCUACCUAAGUACCUAAGAUCUGAUCCAGGACACCUUUUUUUUCCUCUGCAGGAAGUUGUGGAAAAUGGGAUUUUCCAUGAUUUUCACUGUUUGUAGUGCAUUGUUGCUUCUGAGCUCUUCAUCUGCCAAUGCCCAAACAGCCAGCCCCCCCUCAUUUAGCCCGACCCCGGCACCGGCGCCAGCCCCAGAUUUUGUAAACCUCACAGAUCUGCUCACUGUAGCUGGUCCAUUUCACACCUUCCUCAGUUACCUCCAGUCCACCAAAGCCAUCGACACCUUCCAAAACCAAGCCAAUAACACAGAGGAAGGAGUGACUAUCUUUGUCCCAAAAGACAGCGCUUUCUCGGCACAAAAGAAACCGUCUCUCUCGAAUCUCACCGCGGAUCAACUCAAGUCUCUUAUCCUAUUUCAUGGGUUGCCACAUUACUAUUCCCUUGCUGAGUUCAGGAACCUCAGCCUUCAGAACCCGAUCCCAACGUUUGCCGGUGGGCAAUACAGUUUGAACUUCACAGACGUUUCUGGGACUAUCCAUAUUGGCUCUGGCUGGACUAACACAAAGGUUAGUAGCAGUGUGCAUUCAAGUGAUCCUGUUGCUGUUUACCAAGUAGACAAACUUCUGCUGCCUGAGGCAAUCUUCGGAACUGAUAUUCCACCAACCCCGGCCCCAGCACCCGCACCUGAUAUCGCUCCUGCUGCUGACGCUCCUUCGGAUGUUAUUGAUGGGAGGGCUGCUCCAUCUUCAGAACCAAAGCCAUCAUCUUCCCAUAGGAUCAUCAAUUGGGGAAUUUUGAUUCACAUUGUUUUGGGUAUCUCUGGUGGAUUUUUGUUUUGAUUGUGAUCAGAAAUCCUACCAUCCAUUUAUUACAUUUAUGAAAACUAUAUUGCCAUUUUGUUUUGUUAUUGAUGUGAAGCUCCAUUUUUUUAUGAACAUAUAUGUUGUUGGAUUUGUGCAUGAGAAUUCCUAUUGUGUGGUCUAUAAAUUAUGACGGGGAAGGAUUUUUGUUUUACAGUUCAAUGAAUUCAUCCUCUAAUAAAUAUACCAAUUCUUGUAUUUUUAUUGACAAAAAUAACUUCAUCUUUCCAACUUUGGUUUGUAUAUCUGUGAUAUGGAAUCCAAUAAAUUGUAAUUAAGAACUCUUUGAUAAUUUGACUAAAAUUCCCAAAUCAGCCUGAUUUUUUCCUAAAAGUAGAUCAAAUUUCUAUUCUUCAAAUGCUACACGAGAUAGGAAGAUCAAAUUCCACUUGAAUGAAUGUUUUUAGCAUUGCAAUUCAUGAUUCAAAAAGCUCUUUUUGGCUAAACUUGAGGAAGACCAACGACUAAAUUUGAUUAUCAUAAUCGGAAUAAAUCAACCCAAUCUCUCAAUACAACUCUCAUUUAAAUGAUAAACCUAAAACAUACUAAAAUUACAUUACAAUUAUUAAAUCAAAUCUAAUUAAUAAUUUGAUGCUUUCAUGGUUCUUUCAUCAAUAAAAUAUAAUUAUUAAAAUCUAAUUAAUAACUUGAUGGUUCCAUGGUUCUUUCAUCCUAAAUCAUUUUCAUUAUGAUCACACCACUCUAGAAAUUAGAAAGAUUUCUUUUACAAAUUUUAAACUAAUAUCUAAGUUCUAUAUUUAAAAAUUUUAAAACUUAUCAUUUCCAUGGAGUGGUUUUGAAAAAAAUGAAAGUAAUUUUUUUCAUUAUUUCAAAAUCACUUUCGAUUGUGUGUAUAACCGUAACGGUUUGAACUUACUCGAGCCUGGAAAAAGAUGGGACCAUUCCAAAGAUUUGAAGAGUUGUAAUUAAUGAGGAUGGAAAUUUUGUGUGUAUGAUUUGGUUAUUGACAUGGAAAGAUGAAACCAUGAAAAGGAUGAGAAACUCCCCAACAAAAAGAAUGAGACAAAGUGUGAAAAGAAAUAAAAGAAAAUGAAAUGAAAGAGUGUAAACUAAAUCCAACUACAUAUUCACUUCAAAUUGAAAUAACCCCAACUUUCACAAUACAUCUACCAAUUUUACCAACAAAAUAUAUGUUCCAUUAAACGAGUUUAACCAUGUUAGGGUUUGAUUUCCUUUAUGCUCUAAACGUUGUAGGAAAUAGGAAAACUAAAUGUAUGAUAAGUACUAUUUUUUUCGAGUUUGAAACUUUGAAUUUUUGUACCCUCAUUGCCUAUUAAUUAAGUUACCAAUAACCUAACACGUGGGAGACUAUAAAAUCUACCAUAAAUAUGUAGACACUAAUGUCUAAUCGUAUUGUAGCUAAUAUGAAUAAAUUUUAAGUUACAAUAACCCAAAUGAUAAUUUCACUAACAAUAAUGAUUCUUCUUUCUGUUUUUUUCGUUCAUCUCCAAGGAAAUAUGAUCUAAAAUUGAAUGUUAAAUCAAUGGAUUGGACAAUGCACCUUGAUCAAGACAAACAUGUAAAAACAAGUAUGUGCCUAAAGUGUUUCCAUGUGUUGGUAUUGUGCUGUGUCCAAACCGAACAAAUAUUUUGUCCACCAAAAUAUGACCUAAAAUUAUACCAUGGAGUUAUGUUUUUGUUGGUAAUAAAUAAUUACACCAACACAAUUAGAUAAUAGAAACUCAGUCUAAAUGAUUAAAUCACUUUAAAGCUAAAUUCAUCAAUUCAAACAUAAUAACUAAGUCGAUACGACACUUAUUACCAUUCUAUAGUUCAAUCUUUCCUUUCAUAAUUGUUUGAACUAAAAAAACGAUUAAAAAGUUGAAUUAUUCUUUGCUUGCUUAGAAGAAAAAUAGGAAGAAUAUUACACCUUCUCUAUUUCUCUUUUCAAUUUCAUCAAAUUUCUCAUCCAUAUUCAAGAAUAAAUGACACUCAAAGAAUGCGGAUUGAAUUAAAGUAUAAAAAUUGUAGAUUAGCAAAAAAUGUAUAAUUUCAUCUUAAAUAUGAGAGUUGAAUUUGUGUUGAAGAUGAAGAACAAGACAUUCAUGCAUUAAUUAAUAGAAAGUAAAGGCACCCAAAGAGAGAGAUUGCGUAAUCAUUAAGAAAUUCAUGAGAAAAGAGAGCGUAAGCAAUGAAUUUUCAUUUUCAAAACUCUCCAUAGAAUGAAAACAUGAAAGAAUGAAAAAGGAAAGGUUGAUUAAAUUAAAUCAUAUAUGAUUAUUUAUUAUAAUUAUAUAUUUUGAGGCUUUCAGUGGCUGAAUUUGGUUUUUGGUUCCCCAUUUUUCUUGGUCUCUCUCAGCAGUUCCUCAAAACAAGCACGCCUUUCUCUCGUUUUCCUCGCCUAUUCCUGUCCCUAUUCCAUUCGCCUUCUUCACACAUCCUCAUUCAUUCCCACCACCUCUCUUUCACUCUUCACCAUGACAUUGCUUUUCUGAUUAAUCUCUUUCUUCCAUCUCGAUUUUAGGACUUUUUCUCUAGGUACGAUGUCUUUUCCCUUGCUCUUCAUUGAUUUUCCUUCUUUUCAUCCAAUUUGUUGUUUUCAGACUAUUCCAUGAAUCCCCAUGUUUUUGUGUGUUAGUAUUCAUGCAUAGUUUGUUCAAUUGCGUCUAAAUUAUGACUCUUUAUUGUUUUUUCCUUUCUGGGUUUUCCUUAUUUCCAUUGAAUUUGUUGAUUUUACAUUAUUCGGUGAAUCCCCAAGUAUUGUGUUUGAACAUUUGUGCAUAGUAUGUUGAAUUGCUUGUAGACUACGCCUCUUCAAUUGGGUUUUGGUUGAUUUUUCGUUUUAUGGGAUCUGUUGUUUUGUCAAUGGUGAUUAUUUUUCCAUGUUGGUUUCAUUGUGAUUGGUGUGGUUUGUUUCAUAGUUGUCUCUCAUGUUUGUAGGAUUGACCUUUAUUGCUUUUGUGGACAUCUCUGUGAUUGGAAUUUAUUGUUUCAGUUCUUAGGAAGUGUUCUUUGUGUUGAGACUUAGAGAUUCUGCCAAAAAAGAGUUGAAGAUGUCAAGCUUUGAGGGUGUUCUUGUUUCUGAUCCAUGGCUUCAAAGUCAAUUCACCCAAGUCGAGCUUCGUACCCUCAAAUCCAGAGUAAGCAUCUACUUUUCUAUUUUCUUGGGCUACUGGAGUCGUUUUGGUUAUUUUUUCUGGUAAAUUUUGAUUUCUUUUCAGUUGAUAUGAGAAUUGGUUUUGUUGGAUUUAGUUUAUUUCGGUAAGGAGCCAAUCGGGUUGUUUCAAGGUGGAAGAUUUGCCUCCUGUUUUUGUGAAAUUGAAAGCUUUCAGCGAAAUGUUUACUGAGGAUGAGAUUAAAGAUUUCUUAAAGGAAACAAGUAGAGACGUGGGUGAAGAAAUAGACUUCGAGUCAUAUCUUCGGGUGAGUCUAUUUAUGAUGGAAUUUGAAUUGUUUUUUGUUUACGGAUGAACUUUAACCAUUUCCUCUCAGGGAAUGUUGAUUUUCCAUUUUACAAGCAUAAGUAGUUGUUUUGAAGUGGUUGAAUUUAUAAGAUUAAUUACUGUAGGCAUAUCUAGAUUUACAAGGCAGAGCAACAGCUAAAUCGGGUGGAUCUAAAAACUCUUCUUCAUUUCUCAAGGCUGCCACAACUACGUUUCAUCAUGCCAUUAACGAAUCCGAGAAGGCUUCUUAUGUUGCACACAUAAACAGUUUUCUGGCUGAAGAUCCAUUUCUGAAGAACUAUCUCCCUUUAGAUCCUAGUACCAAUGAUUUGUUUGACCUUGCGAAAGAUGGUGUUCUUCUAUGGUAGUUGAAACAACUUGAAUUUAGACAUAUCAAUGUUUAACUUUGUGUUGACAGAUGGUAAUAAUUUUUGUUUAUGCUUUUGGUUGCCCUGUGCAGUAAGCUUAUCAAUGUAGCUGUUCCAGGGACCAUAGACGAACGAGCUAUCAAUACGAAAAAAGUCCUUAAUCCAUGGGAGAGAAAUGAAAACCAUACUCUUGGCCUUAACUCUGCAAAGGCUAUUGGAUGCACAGUGGUUAACAUUGGCACACAAGAUUUGGUUGAAGCUAGAGUGCGUUAUAGCUACCUCUUUGGCCAUCUAUAAGGAUCUGCAUUUAAUUAGCAUAUUCAAUUAAAUAAAUUUAUUGUAUAGUUUCCUAAUUUUGUCCCUUUUUUAAUUCUGUUUUCUAGCCGCAUCUGCUGCUUGGGCUGAUAUCACAAAUAAUUAAGGUAUUAAAUAAUUGAUUGUCUUCAUUUUGCUUUUUGAAUGUUUUUUUGUUGGACAUAUUCAGGAAAAAUGUUUGAUCUUCCAAGGUCUUUACUAUCGGGAAUUAGCUUUAUUUAUCUCUUUUACUGUGCUGGUAAUGUAGAUUCAAGUGCUGGCUGAUCUUAAUCUGAAAAAAACUCCUCAACUUGUGGAACUGGUGGAUGAUAGCAAGGUGAUUUUUUUUGGGUUAAUGUCUUCAUAAUAAGAGUUGAUUUGUCUGGCUGUUGGAGAAAAGGAACAAAUCUUCUUGAAGCUAUUAUCAUAGGAUGGUUGAUGAUUUGUAACAAUUCUCACAAAUAUUAUCAAUAACCUGGCAGGAAGUGGAAGAACUCAUAGGGCUAGCACCAGAGAAAGUCUUACUCAAAUGGAUGAAUUUUCAUCUGAAAAAAGCUGGCUAUGAGAAACAAGUUACAAAUUUUUCAUCAGAUGUGAAGGUUAGAAGAUGCCCACUGAUUACUUUAUAAUUGAUUCACGCUUUAGUAGUUCUGCAUAGAUUCUUGAUUAUACAAGUAAUGUUUCUUUCAGUACCUUUACAUUUAAUUUCUGAAUGGGUUCUAGAUGUUUGAUCAAUUGGACAUAGUUAGAUCUGCUCUCUUUUCAAUCAUGAAAUUAAUUGUCUUAGUUAGGUCCAUUCUUUUUGUCUUUUUUGCUCUAGCUUCCAUGUGAAGUGAUGACCUCCGUGAGCAUGGUUUACCCAUUUUCUAACUUCCGUCAAUGUCCAAUUUUGACAAUGGCUUUCCUGGAGAAAAAUUUAUAACGUGCAAAUCAUAUUAUGUGUGAUGGACUCAUUUCAGGACUUAGAAUUAGAACUCAGAAUUUCGUGUAACCACAUUGAAAUCUCUGUUAGAGGCCCCACAUUAAGUAGAGAAAUUAGACUCAUUAAAAUAUUUUGAAAAAGUAUUCAGUGAGGCUGUGUUUUCUAUAUUGGUUACGUAAUCAAAAUUUUCAUUUGCAGGAUGGAGAGGCAUAUGCUUAUCUGCUCAAUGCUCUUGCACCUGAGUUCUCUGGUCCAGGGACUUUGAAUGUUAAAGAUCCUUCUGAAAGAGCUAAUAUGGUUCUUGAUCUUGCAGAAAAAUUGGAUUGUAAAAGAUAUAUUACUCCCAAGGACAUUAUUGAGGGUUCACCAAAUCUUAAUCUUGCAUUUGUUGCCCAAAUUUUUCAGCACAGGUGAGAAACAUCGUUUUCCCCAUCAUGUUUGUCAAAUCCUUUGCAAGUGUACGUACCUCUCACUGUGGAUGUGCCUUUUCUCUCAUUCUAAACAUGUUAUUUCAUUUCUUAAUAUUCGAAGUGAACAUGUGGAUAGUUGAUCAAAAUUUCAAAGGUAAGAAGGUAUCUAACUCCCAGGAGCUUUUUGUCCAAUCUUUCCUACGUUGGCCAUAAUGGAAAGGACCUAAUGCUGGUCACCGUUGUUUGAUAGCCAAGAAACCCAAUACAAGAAAUAUAUUGAGUUGGAGGCCCAUAUGAUUUCGACUCAAUAACUUGGUUGAAAUUUUCUUUAUGGAUGAUCCUUCAAUUUUAAUUCAAUUAAUCUUCCAGCAAGUUGUAAAAUGAAGGAAGAUAGAAAUUCAUCAUAGGAGACGACCUAUCAUAUCAACAAUAGCAGUAUGUUUCAUGGAGUUUCAAAAUAUAUGAUGCUGCGUAGUUGGAUUUUUAAUCUAAUUUGUAUUGGAAACUUGUAAUGCAGGAAUGGGUUGACUGUGGACAGUUCAAAAAUGUCAUUUGCAGAAAUGAUGACUGAUGAUGCCCAAACCUCGCGGGAAGAGCGGUGCUUCCGGUUGUGGAUCAACAGUCUUGGCAUAGCCACAUAUGUCAACAAUGUUUUUGAGGAUGUGAGAAACGGGUAUUGUUUUCUGUUUUACUCUUACUUAUGAAUCAACUAUAUAUCCUCCUUUUUAUGGACAAGCUUGAGAUAUGACGUCCAUACUGCAGAUGGGUUCUUUUGGAAGUUCUUGACAAGGUUUCUCCUGGAUCAGUAAUAUGGAAACAGGCAUCAAAGCCUCCUAUCAAGAUGCCAUUUAGAAAAGUUGAGAAUUGCAAUCAAGUGAUAAAACUUGGGAAGGAGUUAAAUUUUUCUCUUGUAAACGUAGCUGGAAAUGAUAUUGUGCAGGGAAACAAGAAACUUAUACUCGGUAACUACAAAAUUUCUCUCCUCUUUUCUAGAAUAUGAACUCUCCAUUCAUUUGGAUUUUGAUUGACAUUCACGAAUGCUAUUCUGUCAUGUUUUGAUUUAUUGGUCACCAGCGGAAAGAUUAGUAGACCAUACAUUUUAGGGAAAAUCUAUAAAAAAAAAAGAAUGAGAAUGAUUGGGUUCCUUUAGCCAAAAAAAAAAAAUACUUUGCUUGCGCAUAUGUACUUGCUUAUAUUCUAUGAAGUAUGAACUAUAGUUCUUGCAUCAUAGUUAUUAGCACGUUUUGAUGUUGAAUGUACUGAUCAAACCAUGAUCUUACUGCCUAGUUACUGUUGUUGAUUCCAAAUUCCUAUUUGGUAGUAGAAGAGACUUAAGGAUCCUCAAACUAGAGAUAGAAAUUACAAGACCAAAUAUCUAAAGAUAAUUUCCUUCUUAUUGAGCAGCAUUUCUAUGGCAACUGAUGAGGUUUACCAUGCUUCAACUGUUGAGAAACCUGAGAUCACACUCUCAAGGCAAAGAAGGGAAAGAGAUUACAGAUGCUGAUAUCCUGAACUGGGCAAACAACAAAGUAAAGAAAGCCGGUAGAACCUCCCAGAUGGAGGGCUUCAAGGUAAAUGAUUGAAGAAUGUGUUUUUACGUCAAAGUCUAUUGUUGAUUGUUUCACCUGGAUGAUAUAACUUCUGGUUUCAGGAUAAGAACCUUUCAAAUGGUAUCUUCUUCCUUGAGCUUCUUAGUGCUGUGGAGCCAAGGGUGGUGAAUUGGGCUGUUGUCACAAAAGGAGAAACUGGUGAGUCUUUAUGCUGUUUUUCUUAAAGUUCCAUCUUUGGAGCGUAGGAUUGUUUGUUUCAAUUUUGCAGGGAUGGUUCUGUAAGCUAUCUUACGGUGUAAAAUUGUCAAAUUGCAGAGGAAGACAAGAAGCUGAAUGCGACAUAUAUUAUUAGUGUUGCUCGAAAGCUGGGCUGCUCCCUGUUCUUGCUACCUGAAGAUAUUAUUGAAGUAAGUUGCUUAACUUGAUUAUAUACCAUAUCUUUUGAAAAAAUGGUGAGUGUAAUUGUUGGCACUUAAAACUCCAAUUGAAUUCCUGUUCAACCAUGCCAACUUUUGAUAGGUAAACCAAAAGAUGAUCCUUAUACUCACUGCUAGCAUCAUGUACUGGAGCCUGCUGCAACAAGCAGGUGAGUCCGAGCUGUUAAACAUGAACGACGGUAACGUUUCAGAUGGCAACACAGAAGCUUCGGUUGAUGGGACCGAAUUGUCGUUGGCUAACCAAACUAGUUCUUUGGCAAUAGAGGACAAUGCUUCAGUUCGAAAUAAGGAAGAGUCUGAGGAAGAAACCUCAGCCACUUCCUCAGGCAUUAAAAGUGCAAAUUCUUAAUAGAGAGGGAGCUACUCACAAAAGCAAACUCAGCAUAUUUUUUUUCCCCUUUUUGAUUAAAUUUAUUUAUUGAGAGGAUAUAAUACAGGAAGAAAAAUGAUUACAGUUUAGCUUAUUCUACUGUUUGGUUAAUUGUGGUUUGAGGAGAGCCCUAUUUUAUAUGGUGCUCAUAUUAUCCUCAUUGUAGGGUCCUGUAUAUUCAUUUUCUUUAUAUUUUGAACUAGAAAAUUUUGUUAAUUAGGCUAUAAUUUCUGUUGAACAAUUAUUAUUAUAUCAUAUAUACAAUAAUUAUAUGGGAAAGGAGAAAAAAAAGGUUAUUAUCCUUAACCCCUUGUUUCUUGGAUUAUUGUAAUCAGAGGUUUGAUGGUUAAAUCUUUCAUUUUUUAACUCUAAUUGUUAAGACUAGAAAGUUGGGAGUUUAAAUGCCAAAACUGAGUCUGUUUACCAAACUACUUACUCAAAUUGUUAACAUAAUAUCAUCAGUCUUUUACUAUGGAAGAAAAAUAUAUUGAAAAUUAAAGGUUUUUUUUUUUUUUUCUCUUUUAUUAUUUUAUAUUUUUAUUCGAAAUUUAUAGGCUAAAAUAGUUGAAAUUUAUUGAUAUAUUUAUUCAAAUGUGUUAUAUUUUAUUAUUUUGUGAUUUUGUUGAUCACAAGUUUGUUGAGAAGAGGAGAUCCCUAACCUUAACCAUAUAAAAAAUCUCACAAUUAAUUAUGCUUGAAUAUUGUGUUUAGGUUAAAUAGUAAUGUUCUAAAUGAAACGAUCGUAAAUAUUUUAAAAUAUAAUAAUAAGUGUAGCAACAACAAAAUUUAUUAAAAUACCAUUGAUGGAUGGAUAGAUACUUAUAUACUAUUAUCAUCUUAAUAAAUACUAAUAGAUGUCUUAAUAGAGAUGUCCAUUUAAUCCAUGGAGAUCGACGAACGAGACACGAGGAACGGGGGCGUGAAAAAUUCUUUUUACUCUUUUAUGUAUUCCCCGUUCCCAACCCCGACCUGAACAAAAAUAUAGCUAAAUAUAUAUAUAAAUAUAAAUAUAAAUAUUUGUUUAUUUAUUAACUUAGAGUUAAAAAAAAAGAAAAAAAAGAAAGGCUAUUUUGAAACUCUUCCUUUCUUCUUUUUUUUCCUUUAAUUCCAUUUAUGUGUUGUGAACUUUCUUUAAAAGUAUAUGUAUAUGUUGCAUUUACUUAUGAUUUAUAAACUUUUCUUGGUUGUUUCUUACAAAAUAGGAUGUAAUUGAAGUUUUUGUUAGAAUAUUUAGAGAUUGAUUUUUUAUUUUUUGUAUGGAUUUUUGAAUUUUAUGGAUAAAUUUCUAAAUGUAUUUUCUAAUAAUUGAACUUUUACCUUUAUAAACCGUGAGAAUUUGACAUUUUAAUUGUUUUAAAUAAGAAAAUUGAUAAUAUUCUAUUGAAAAAAAAACAAUAUUCAAACAUAUAUACAUUUCAAAUAGCUAAUCAGAUUGGAUAAUGAAAUUAAACUUAAAAAAAAAGGAAAACUUGAUCCCUUCUAAAUCCUCACGAGUAAUCCCUAUCCUGUUUCCCACGAAAAAUUAGUGGGGAUGUGAAAUAGGACAGGGAACGAGGACAGGAAUUGGCAUCCUCAGACCCGUCUCGAUAUCUAGAUGUCUAUCAACGUUUAUCACUAAUAGAUUAUAAAAUUUUGGUAUAUUUGUAAAUAUUUUUAAGAGUUUUAUCAUCUACUACAAUUUUCCAAUUUUUUUUUUUUAUUCAACUUUUUUCCUCUCUAAUUUUUACCUCUUCAUCUGACUAUUUACUCUUAAAAUCUCAAUUCGUCGCUCUUAAUUUUUUUUUAAUCUUUAAAGUUAGCUUGUCAUUCCCCCCAAAGUUUAUUAAUUUUUUCCUAUGCCUUUGGCAAUUUUUGUUAGAUCUGUAUUGUUUUUCUUACAUUUUAAAAAGCAUACGAUUUCAUUUUUAGUAGUUCUUAUUUCUUGCCCUAAAUAAUGCUCCAUUCAAAAUAUAUCAUUUUUAGUUUUGAUUUUACAAAAUACACUUUCAAAAGUGUAGGGAGCACAACCAAAUAUGCCAUCCAAAUCACUUAUUAAUAAAUCAGUUUUUUUUGUUAAAAUCACUGCCCAAACAUGCUGUACUUGUCAUGGUCGUAAGUGGUUAACUUAUACGAUGAGAUCUUUAAAUAAACACAGUCAAUCUCAAGCCAUUCCAUUUAUUCAUUACUUUUUUUUUUUCAUAACAAAGCAUUUAUUCAGUACUUAAAAGCAAACACACUGGACUGCAGACAUUAUUAUAUAAUAUAUGAACUUGAGAAAUCAAAAAACAAAGCAACAAAGUAGGAUUUGUUGUUAAACUUUUGGCUUGAGAUUGUACAUCAACCAGGGCCUGAUCAUCAGCAGAUUAGUGGCAGCACUUGACGCAAUGACCAUGGGAACACUUGCAGCAACCUUUGUGGCAAUGGUGGUGGCAUUGGGCAAGUGAAGCAUCUUCUCCUCCCAAAUCGUGGUGCUUGACAUCAUUGAUUUCAUCUGUUUGCUUAAAAGCUUCAUCUACAAUGUUAAUGAAUAUCUCAUGAGAAUCAACACACACAUAUAACACUAAUGAAAUGAGUAUAAGUAAAGAGUGUGUUGCAAUGUAUCAUCUAAUAAAUGAUUAGACUCACUAGAUUUUAUGUCGUUCGUGGCCGUAACUGCGGUUACCUCUAGGAUGACAGCUGCGAAAAGGAGACCGAGGAGGAUGAAAGCCUUAGAAUUCAUUUUCUUUUUCUUGUAGAUUUAGAAUGAUAUAUAAAAUGUAUUUGGAGAUGGGAUGAGAAUUAGUUUUGGAGGAUUUCAAAUGUAUUUAUAGUAGUAGGAUGGGAUAUAGAAGAAGGGUAAGAUUGGAAUAAGAAUUUUAAUUGCUAGAGUAGAAGUUUCCUUACAAUAUUAUACAAUGUCAAGUUGGUGAAAAUUUGGUCCCAAUUUUCUUUUACUCAUACUUUGUUUUCAUUGCAUUGGCCUCUCAUUCAAAGAAACGUGUAAAUUUAACAUCUUAUUGUUUUAGCUAAUUCAAAUACGGUAAAAAUUGUUUAUAGCAAAUAACAUUCAAAAAGCGACGUACUAGCCCCUGUAAUGACUAGCAACGUCACUUUUGUUUCUUUUAUGCGUUUAAAGUGAAAGUUGUCUCCACAAAUCAAUUUAGAUUCUUUAAGUAUUUUGACAUUAAAAUUUGAAUACAUAUAUAAAUAUUAUUGAGAGAAAGUUAAAGUAUAAAUUUUUUUUAUAUUUUAUAUUGAUGAAAGAAAAUAAGGUUUUCUAUCAUAGUAAUUUAUACAAAUCGGUCAAACUACAAUAUCUUAAAUUCAUUGAUUUCUUCAUGAAUAGCCUAAUGAAUUACAAUAUCGGAUAAAAAUCAAAAUCAAGUCCAAAAUUCAUAUCAUCUCAUUAACUUUUUUACCAUUUACUAUUGUCUUAAAAAAGAGGAUAUUGGAAAAAAGAAGACACAAAUAUGUAAAAAAGAUAUAAAAAUCAUGUGCUAUAAGAUGGUCUAUUUUGUAAAACGAUUUCUUAUCAAAAUUAAUCACAAAAGGAAAAAUUUUUACAUUUAAAGAUUUCCAUUUGUGGAAUCAUUCAAACCUUUUUCAACGAGCAAAGAGGGUACGUUGUGCAACCAUUUCAAUUUCAUAGUAAGGCUCAUAAUCAAUUAUUAUAUUCUUUAUAUUUAGUAGGUAUAUAGUUCUAUAUUUAUAUCAACAUGUGGGUAUAUAUGAAUAAAAUAUAUAAGAUAUCAUGCACAUAUUAAUUGUUAUGACUAAUCUACCAAGCUCUUUAUUCCAGUGUGUGUAUAUAUAUGAGUAAUAUACAAUACAUCAUCAUCAUGUUGUACAAUAACAAUUCAUAUACACCUUGGGAUUGAGAAACACUUAUUUUUAUGUGUAUGUGUAUGUUUAUACAGUAUAUACUCUUCAUAAAAUUUAUAUAUACUGAUUUGUACUACUUAUAAAGUUAAGUUCUGUGUAUGCAUCCGAGAUAGUUUAGAAAAAGUUUGUGUAUAGUUUUCUGAACAAUGGAGAUGCAGAAGCAGCAUUUAUUGGGUUCUCCAAGUAGAGUAAAUUUUGUCUACGAGGACUAAACCUAUAUUAAUAGAUGAUAUAUAAUUAGACGAAGAAGAAGAAAACCAAGUGUCUUUAAAAGCUUAACUUUCUAGUUUUCAAAAGUUUACUUCAUCCAUCUUCUAAUCUAAUGAAAAAAAUUUGAAGAUAAAAGUAAUACUCUUAAACUUAAUUUUAAAAAUAAAAAUUUAAAAGUCAAAUUGUUAUUGCCUUAUUAUUUUUUGUUUUUCCACUUACACACUUCUUCAUCAUUUUCCAAAAUUUCUUAUUAUCUUAUUAUUUUGUUUCUCCACUCACACACUUCUCCAUCAUUUUCCACCUUAAUUAUCUUACUCAUUACCUUAAUUUUCCUCUUCUUACCUAACUCACUUGAACGACUUUUUGUUUUUCUUCAUCUUCCUCACCGUUCAAUUUCCCCAAACCAAUAUCAAACCUUUUCUCUUCUCUCAUAUGACCAACACUUCAACUUUCUUUUUCCUCUAAACAUAAAUUUACCAUCCAUUUCUUGUUUUUUACUUUUGUUUUCUAUCACCUUUAAAUCCACAACUCCAAUGCUAUUGAAUAGCUUCUCUUUUUCAUAAUAAGAAAGAGUAAAAAACUACUCAUUUUUACCCAAAUGCAUGACAGAUACUUCUCCCAUUUUUACCUAACAAGUUCAUACUUUAAUCUACUUAAUCUCCAUUCUGUCAUGAUUUCAAAUCAAUAGUAGAACUAGCUACCUCUACUAAAUGAAGAACAACCCAAGUAUCUUCCUGAAAAAAAAAAGAAUAAUUCAUUUCUUCAUUCCUAAUUUCUAUGGUUUAUUCUUGAAAAAAUUUACAGAAAAACUUCUUCCAGUUUGCUAAAGGAAACACCUCCAAUUUGUCCCAAGGCCAAUCUCAAGAACAAAAAUGCAAAACAUGAAUCUCUCCAAAUGUGUCUCUCUUUCCUUAAUUCUAUUUGGUUGAGAAUCUUGCAUUAAAAAUAACAAAUAACCUUACACUCAUUAUGAGAUAGAUGAACUAUUUCUCCAAUUGUUUAAUUAAUUUUGAGGUGUAACCCGUGUUACGUAGUAUGAUAACAUAUUGGCUCAUAAAGCUCAAACAAAUAUUUGAUUUAAUAAAAAAAAUUAUAUGAUCUAUCUAUUAUACCAAGGGACAUGCUUGAUUUCCUGUUUGACUAGGGUUAGGGGAGGCCGAACAUCUCUCCUUAGUCACAGUUUUUACUAGGACAUAAAUGUUACUUAACGUAAUACAUUAACUAAUUUAUUUUGCUAUGGUUAGCCUAGGUGAAGCAUGCAUAAAUUUGCUUUGAAGCGAAUUAACCCUCCCCACUAUUAUGCACAUUUUGGCCCUAGGACCUUUUAAGUCCAAAUCUUUUUCUUUUCUAACCUUCUUGUUUUUCGAUUUGAUUAUACCCUUCAUUCUAAAAUCACUAGUAAUAUUGGUAAAUUUAAUUAUAUCAAUAGUUUAACAUGUUGGAUCAUUCAUAUAUAGUUUUGAAAGGCUAAGGUCCAUAAAUAGGCAUAUAAUUUGAGAGCGAAUGUCCUAAAAGCUCAUCAUUUUCUCCAUAUAUUUCUUCAAAAGCUCAGUUUUGCUCAAAAUGCUCGAUGUUCGUCCUUGUGGGUAUCCAAAAUUGGCCAUUUACACAUCAAAACAAUUAUGAAAGGGUCUUCUUUAGGAGGAAAGGAACAAAGAGAGAAAAGAAGGAGAUGGUAGAAGAAAGCCUAAUGUCACGUGGUUAUUUUGAUCACUAAACCAACGUGCGACACAAAGGUGUUGGGGUUGCACCAAUGUAAGCCUAAGAGCGAUUGGACUUGUUGGAACAAUCUAAAGAAGAAGGAAAUUCGUAGGCAAGAAGUAGGCAAAGAGUUGUAGACAAGGUGUUUGAUGAAAUGCUUAAGAGAGCUUUGUUGAUGAAUUCCCAAGGAUUCUGUGUUGUCUAUACAAAUGGACCCCUUUGGGGUAUUUAUAGAAGUAUACAACCGACUUACAAGCCCUAAACCGCCUUACAAGGUCGGCAAAAACAAUCUGGAAAAUUUCCGAGCGCUCAUGACACUGUCUGGAAGCUUCUGGAUCCGUCUGGCGCGCACGCGCCUUCGCGCGUGUUCGCGAGCCUUCUCGGCCGCUCGCUAGUCUUUUGAAAACUUUGAGAGGUUCCCGGACCUUCUCUGCGCGCUCCGUGUCUGCUUCCCGCGCACGCUAGUGCCGUGCGCGCGUCCGACUGGCCUUGCGUGCGCGUCCGUGUCGCGCGCGCCCAUCUGCCGUGCGCGUCUGUCUGUCUGCCUACUGCCCUUGCGUGUGCUCGCGUCCAUACCAUGAGAGGGUUGCGCGCGUCUGUCUCCUGCACAUUGGCGUGUCAUAGGCUUGACGUGAACUUGUUCCUCUUCCUUGGGUCUUUGGACUGCUUGGGACUUGGUUGGCUCCCCUUGGGCAAUGUUAAGGAGCCUUAAUUUGCGAAAAAUUUGUUGGGUCAUUUUUGGGGUGUGACACCCUCCCCCACUCGAUUUCGCAACGGGCGUUGCGCUUUCUUGAAAUCUUCUGAUUUCAUCUUGAAAUUGCCAUAGGGUGUCCUCCUUUUCCCAACUUGCUUCGCUUUUGGGUAGUCCUUCCCAAGCAAUCAAAUAUUCAUUAUAGCUGGGAACUCCUUUCCCUCGUGUCUUCCUUUCUGCUAAGAUCUCCUUGAUUUUCUGUUGAAUUCUGAGAUUAUGGCAGUAGGAAUAACAACAAGCUCUGCCUUUCGGCUUAAGGCAUCAGCAACUACAUUAGCUUUGCCCGGCUUGUAUCGUAGAUGAAAAUCAAACUCGGCAAGAAAGUCUUGCCAUCGAGCUUGCUUUGGUGUGAGUUUCUUCUGCGUCUGGAAGUAGCUGGUUGCCACAUUGUUUGUCAUCAUCGUGAAUUUACUGCCUAACAGGUAGUGUCUCCACACUCGUAUGCAUUGGACGAUGGCGGUCAUCUCCUUUUCUUGCACGGUGUAUCGCCGCUUCGUAUCAUUGAGUUUGCAGCUCUUGUAGGCUAUAGGAUGACCUUCCUACAUCAAGACACCCCCUAUUGUAAAGUCUGAUGCAUCAGUGUGCACCUCAAAUGGUUUGGUGUGAUCAGCUAAAGUCAUCACAGGCUCUUUCGAGACGGCUUCUUUCAAUCUGUCAAGGGAUUGUUGACACUCCCCACUCCAAUGCCAGGUUUGGCUUUUCUUUAGGAAGUUGGUGAGGGGUGCAGCAACAUUUGAGUACCCCUUUAUGAAUCUAUGAUAGUAGUUCACGAACCCUAAAAAUGAUCGCAACUUCGGGAUUUUAGUAGGGGGUUUCCAGUCAAGUAUGGCACGUACCUUUGAUGGAUCCAUCAUUAAUCUGCCUUCUCUAAUCCAAUGUCCCAAAAACUCCACUUCUGGUUUGGCAAAUGAGCAUUUUUCCAGCUUAAUAUAUAACUUGUUGUCGUGGAGUACCUGGAAUACUUGUCUGAGAUGUUGAACAUGUUCUUCCAUGGUUCGACUGUAUACUACAAUGUCAUCCAGAUACACGACAACAAACUGAUCUAGGAAUGGUUGGAAAAGUUUGUUCAUCAGAGUGCAGAAAGUGGUCGGGGCAUUUGUUAAUCCGAAGGGCAUUACUAAGAAUUCGUAAGCGCCGUACCUGGUUACGCAUGUUGUUUUUUGCUCGUCCCCUUCGUUGAUUCUUACUUGGUAGUACCCUGAUCUCAGAUCGAUCUUGCUGAACCAUCGGGCAUUACCAAGUUGAUCAAAUAAAUCAGCGAUCAGCGGUAUGGGUACCUAUUUUUUAUGGUCACCUUAUUGAGGGCUCGAUAAUCGAUACACAGUCUCAAUGACCAAUCUUUCUUCUUCUGAAAGAGCACAUGUGCACCAUAUGGGGCCUUCGAGGGUUGAAUGUAGCUAGCUUUGAGGAGUUCUUUUAAUUGCCUCUUUAACUCCUCAAGUUCUGGAGGGGCCAUUCUAUAGGGAGCCAUAGCGGGUGGUUUGGCUCCUGGCUCCAGCUCAAUCUCGUGAUCUACUUCCCUUCUCGGGGGACGUUUUCUUCGGCAACUCGGCGGGCAUGACGUUCUUGUAUUCUUCAAGGACUUUAUGUACUUCUUUGGGGACGAUAUUUUGGGUAGGACUAGUCUCCUAUGGUUGUGCCUCCUUUAGGGUAACUGCAUAGCACUCGUGCUUGGUGACCCCUCUCUUGAAUUGCAUGGCUGAGAGCAUGGUCACCGGCCUUCCCUUCUUUAGUGGGAUGGUUGUUAUUUGACCAUCCACUAUGGUGAGGGUACUUCCGGAAGAAUUAAUGAUGGCAAUUACCUUAUUGAAGAACCCUAGGCCAAGCACAAUGUCAAAGUCAUCCAUAGGUAUCACGGUGAAGUCGAGCUUACCUUGCCAAUCGCCAAUUUUGACUGUUACACCUCUUGCUACACCUUUGAUGGCUUGUGCUUCUGAGUUUACCGCCUUGACAGUCCCCUCUUCGUUUGUGAACUUGAGGCCUAGUCUCUUAGCCUCAUUCACAUUCAUGAAGUUAUGGCUUGCACCGGUGUCAAACAUGGCAAUAGUCUCUCUCCCGUUUAUCUUUACGUUGCCAUGGAGUAUGCCUCCUUUAGUUGUUUGAUUGGCCUGCUUUAGAGCUCCAAUGUGUUGCAAGGAACCAAUCUGUGGUGUAUCAUCUCCUUGCUUGGGCUCAAGCAAUUUAGCAACGAGUGUGUUCAUUGCUUUUCUAUUCGGACAGUCUCUUGUCCGAUGGGGACCAUUACAAACAAAACAGGGAGAAGGUUUGGACGACUCGCCUUGUUGAGUUUUGUGAUACUUGUCAUGUCUGUGGAAUACCUUCUUUCCUUUUUCUCUUUGUUCGGAGUCUCUAUGCUUGUAGUGAUUGCCUUCACGUUUAUUUGGACUGGGUUUUCUCUCCUUUGAUUGGGCUGUAUAAUCGACAAGUAUCUCGGUUGCAGCUAUAGCGUCAUCCAAUGUUUGAACAUUGCGACGGUCUAGCUCAACCUUGGCCCAAUCUUUUAGUCCAUCUCUGAAUUGGAAUAGGGCUUCCUUCUCUGGCAAAUCACUAAUUUCAAGCAUAAUAGUGGUAAAUUCCUUCACAUAGUCGAGAAUGUUACCUGUGUGUCGUAGCCUUCGAAGUUUGGCUCUUGACUCCAUUUCGGCAUUGUGGGGGAAGAAAGUGCUUCCUUAAUUCGAUCUUGAGUUGCUCCCACGUCUGGAUGACAUUCCCGUUUUGGUCGGCGUACCGUCGACACCACCAAAGUUGUGCGGCAUCCCUUAGGAAUGUCGGGGCAUUGUUUAUCUUGGCCUCAUCAUCUCGAACACCGACAGCUGCAUAGUAUCGGUCAAGGCCAAAGAGGAAGUUUUCCACAACCGUGGCAUUCCUCACCCCAUUGUAUGUGUCAGGUUUUGGCACUUUAAUGUGAGUAGUGCCUUGCACAGCGGUGUGUGUACUGGUGGAUGCACCGUCUCCACCAAAGUGCUUGGAACGACAUUCCAUGCAAAGAGUAUCUACCUUUGCAUCUAGGGAAAUAUACUUAGAAUAGAGUUCGCGUAACUCACCUUCAACAAAUGUCUUCAAAGUGGUUACGGUUGAUGACAACUCCUUCAAAUCCUUUUGGAAUGUCUUUCCAAGAUCGCUAACGAGCUCCUUGGUUACGGUAGAGAUUUCCGCGUUCUCCUGGAUAAGCUCUUCGUAGCUAUCACCCAACUCUUCUACCGUGUGCUGGACAUCCUCAAGACUUUGCUCGAGGUUGGCAAGGCAAGUGUCAACACGCUCCCUUGCAUCUGGACCCUUAGAUUUCGAUCGUCGGGUCGGGGAUCGUCGGGUCGGGGAUCGUCGGUCCUUCCUACCUCAUGUGACAGGUCCUUCAAGAACCUGCUCAACUGGGGCUGAAACGUGGCCUUCUUCGCUGGACAUGAUGUUCACAAGUCAAUUGGAGGUAAGUGGGUAUAGAAACCGUGUUCUGUUACCACUUCGACAACGUUUCAAGAACUAGGGUCUUGAAUCUCGGCCUCUCAGUAUCGUGCACUUGAUAGCAACGAUCAAGAGUAUGUCCCUUUGAACGAACACGCUCUGAUACCACCUGUCACGUGGUUAUUUUGAUCACUAAACCAACGUGCGGCACAAAGGUGUUGGGGUUGCACCAAUGUAAGCCUAAGAGCGAUUGGACUUGUUGGAACAAACUAAGGAAGAAGGAAAUUCGUAGGUAAGAAGUAGGCAAAGAGUUGUAGACAAGGUGUUUGAUAAAAUGCUUAAGAGAGCUUUGUUGAUGAAUUCCCAAGGAUUCUGUGUUGUCUAUACAAAUGGACCCCUUUGGGGUAUUUAUAGAAGUAUACAACCGACUUACAAGCCAUAAACCGCCUUACAAGGUCGGCAAAAACAAUCUGGAAAAUUCCCGAGCGCUCAAGACACUGUCUGGAAGCUUUUGGAGCCGUCUGGCGCGCGCGCGCCUUCGUGAGCCUUCUUGGCCGCUCGCGAGUCUUCUGGAAACUUCGAGAGGUUCCCGGACCUUCUCCGCGCGCUCCGUGUUUGCUUUCCGCGUGCGCGCCCAUCUGCCGUGCGCGUCUGUCUGUCUGCCUGCCACCCUUGCGUGCGUGCGCGCCCAUGCCAUGACAGGGCCGCGCACGCUUGUCUUCUGCACAUUGGCGUGUCAUAGGCUUGGUGUGAACUUGUUUCUCUUCCUUGGGUGUUUGGACUGCUUGGGAGUUGGUUGGCUCCCCUUGGGCAAUGCUAAGGAGUCUUAAUUUGCGAAAAAUUUGUUGGGUCAUUUUUGGGGCGUGACACUAAGCCACCCAAAAACAAUAUUAUAUUAAAUUGAUUGUUUUUUGUAUAAACUUGGAGAAUUCAACUUGGCACCUUUAGAUUUUCCGGAUAUAUAUAUAGGUGCUAAUUGAUUAAACUCUUGUUGGUCAAUUGAUUAAUUACCUAAAAUUUUUUAUUUAAUUGAUAUAGCUCCUAAAAUUUAAAGAGUAUAAAUUGUUUUGUGACAAUUUUUAUUCUUGACCCCUAAGAACCCUUUUCUUUAUAUUAUCAUUCUUCAGAAAUUGUUCUUAAUUUGAUAGUUUAAGUUUUUAAGCUUUGAUGAACAUAAAAGUAAACUUUUUUCCUUGUACAAUAAAUAAACUAAUUAUGAUGACGAUGUUAAAGGUCAUUUCAAACUUAACUAGUCAACGCUUAAUUAAGUUCUAAUAUUAAUUAAUACGUACUGACUUUUUACAAAAAAAAUUACAUUAAGAAAAUUAUUAUAUAAAAAUAUAUUUACAAAAUACAGUAAAAAUUCAUAUGCUAUCCAUUCGAAAAGAAGCAUCCAAAAUAGUAGUUGCACGUGACUAUUUUGAUCUUUUACUAAUUUUUGUGCUAUAUAAUGUAAUUGUUUUAUCCUUGUGUACAUGCCAUUAUUCUACCCUAAAACUUAUUAUCUUUUUUCUUCAUAAUUCAGCUACAUCUCAAGACAACAAUCUACCAAAAUCAUCACUCCAACUUUUAGUAUUUUAGUUGAUGAGGGAUUGAUUUGAGCUUGAAGAGCUCUAAUUUACAAAGACUGUUUGAUAGAAUAAACAAUAAUCUACAGAAAUGAUCUUCACUUGAUUACAACUUUUCGGCAUCGCCGUGUUGUAAGAUUGAGUGUCUCAAUUUGUGAAGUGCAUAGCUCUGUGGUGCUUCAAAAUCCUGUCCUCUGAUGAAUUCCGUUUGCACUGUGACACUGUUUUGGAGCUAUUUAUGUAUUGGAACGAUAUCCAAUAUUGAUCGAUAUGUUGGUGAUGAACUAAGGUAACAUUUUCUAGUUUAGGUAUUGAGUAGAUUUCUCUGUUUUGCAUCUUGGAUAGGUCUAGAUCGUUCAUUAUUGGAUUCCUGUAUUAAGAUCCAAUUCUUUUUUGAUUUUUGAGUGAUAUUUGAUUAUAUUUUGGCUUAAUUACAAUGUAUGAUCAAGUGCUAAAUUUAGCCUAGGAUAUAGAAUUAUCUUGAAAUGUUUUUAAUAUCAUCUAAUAUUUGAUUACAUAUAGUUGCUUCCUAGCUAAAUCUUAAUACUAUUAGCUAACUAGUUAUGAUGUGUUUUAUUCAAGUAAUAAAUUAGUUAAUUAGCUAAAUAGGACUAACGUAACCUAGCUUCUUUAGGUAAUAUGGCCAAGAUUAAUUGAUACAAGAAUAAUCAAUGGAGUCGUGUGAUCAAGUUGCAAGAUAUGGAAACAACUCAAAAACCUAGGCAAGAGCUUUUAACUAUCCGAAUUCAAUUCCAAUUUAUUUCGUGACAAAUUUACUUUAGUUUGCAACAAUCACUACAAAAUCCUCCAUCACUGGUUAUUGUCCUUGGCUUUAAACUGUUUAAUUGAUUCAGCAAUUCACAUGUUUAAUGUGCUCCACCCGAUCUUGUCACUAUGACUAAGAAUGUAGUGAUGGAUACCGUUGAUUGAUUCAUUUAGUCCAUAUAUGUGUAAUGAGAUUCAAUCGGACUAUUGGAAAUGACUUAUCAAAGCAUAACAAAAUUUACAACUGGUUGAUACAUGAACUGUUUGAAUUGAGCAACAUUUUUUUUUUAAAAAUUAUAUCUCAAUUCGAAUUUUACUUAAAAGUUUUAAAUACACACAAUUAAUUUCAAGCUUAUGCGUUUAUUCAUCACUAUUUUUUUUUUUUCCUUUUUUAAGAAAGCAUUUAUUCAUUACUUAAAAACAUUAAACAACAAACAUAUACAUACCGAUACAUAUCAACUUGAGAAAUCAAGGCCAUUAUUUGAAGUAACAAAAUACGUUUAGUUGGUAUGCCUUUAGCUUGAGGUUCUACAUCAUCAACCACGGCCUCACCAGCCAAUCUAGCAGCAAUGGACGCAACGACCACGGACGCAGCUACAACAACGGUUCCUGCAACCAUGGAGGCAUUGUUGGAGGAAUCUAGCUUGUCCUCUUCCAAAACCAUGGCGGUUGACUUCGUCAUGAAGUUCAUCAGUUUCCAUAAUAGCUUCUUCUACACAAAUAUAUAAUGUUAAAUUACAUUAGAAUCAACAUAUAUAUGAGAAGACACUAAUGAAACGAGUAGAAGUAAUAUAAUAACUACAUUAUUGCAAUAUGUAUCAUCAUCUAAUAAAGGUGUGGAUAUGAAGUAAAACUCACUGAAUUUUACAUCCCUAGCCGUAACCGUGUUUACAUCCUCUGAAGAGAGGAUGACAAUGGAGAACAGAAGACCGAGGAGGAUGAAAGGCUUGGAAUUCAUUAUCUUUGUAAAUUGGAAUAAUAAAAAGUAUUUGAAGAUGAGAUGGAGAUGAGAAUUAGUUUGGAUUUCAAAUGUAUUUAUAGUCUGAUGAUUGAAGAAGGUUAAGGUUGAAAUAAGGAUAUGAAUUGCUAGAGUAGUAAAAGUUUCCUUAUUACUAUAAUUUGUCGUUUUCUCAUAAUUUACAUUUGAAAAUAUGAUCAUAAAACUUUGUUACCAUUGAUGACGUUGCCUCUCGUUCAAAAACACGUAGAAAUUUAAUUCUUUAACGGAUGCCUAUAUAUUAUUUUGAUUUAUUCUUUUAGUACGAGUUAAAGAGCUAAUCAUAAUGAAACGUGAGUUGUUUGAUAAAGUUUCGUAAAGAAUUUGUUCAGUAACUAUUUGUGUUUUCUUAAAUAAAAUAAAAUAAUAAAAAAAUGUUUGCUAACAAUUACUGUUCUUGUGUAAUUAUUCAUUUGUGUUCAAGAGGGCUUUCACUCUAGUCAUUUUCAUGUAUGCUUCUUUUGGUCUAUUUUCUCGAUUAUUAUUUAAUUUUAACAAAAUGGGUAUUACAUGUAAUAGAAAUUUAAAAUUGUGUCAAUUUAGUUGAGAUACUUUAGUGCACUAUAAAAUUACAGUACCUAUCUUUUUAGAUGAACUUAACUCAUCUGACAUUUGAGUAUACUAAUAACCUCGAGAUUUAUGGUUCAAAUAUACUAACAGUCUUUGGCGUAUGCGUUUAUUCAACAAUUAUUACUUAAUUAGACUCGAGUACUGCACUUCAUUAAUACUAAAUGAAGCUUUAGGUAGUACACCCAAUUAAUCUCAAGCCUAUGGAUUUAUUUUCAUUACUUGACUUCUCUCCGUCAAUCCUUACUGUUCAAAGGUUUUUAGAUAAUCAACACAAGUAACUUAGUUAUAUUGGUUUUAAAAUUUAAUGGGUAGUUAUGUUGGAAAGGAAUUUUUGGAGGUAGGAGAAAAUUUGAAAAAGAAAAUUGAUGAAAGAGGGUACUUCUGUUUAUUAGGACACUUUUUAUUUUUUGGCUUCAUGCGAGUGGUAGGACAUCCCUCCUAAUUAUACUAGUUGGCACUUAGCUUGAUACCCCUAAAUGUACGUAUGACUAGAAUUUUGCCAACACGUUCUUAUCUAUUGGUUAAAAUGACUCUAAAUGUAUGUAUGACUAGAAUUUUGCCAACACAGUCUUCAUCUAUUGGUUAAAAUGACUCUAAAUGUACGUAUGACUAGAAUUUUGCCAACACAUUCUUCAUCUAUUGGUUAAAAUGAUUCUAUAGAACAUUCUUUACAAUUAUACUUCUUUAGAUAUUUCUUCAAUCUUCUUUGAAUAUCGAUCUCCUACAAAAUAUUAUUAAUUUCUCUAAAAUAAUGUAGUAAUUAAUACUUUCUAGAAAUUGAACUUUUAUUUGUGCUAGACCCAAAUAUUGUUAAUCCAAAAUCAAGUUCAUAUUUCAACAGGUUCCAAUCACAACAAACACACUUAUAAUUUUUAACUUUUUUAACUUUUGUACGAUUAUAAAAGGAUGGUGGCUGAAUAGAGAGUAAGAUUGAAACAAUGCUAGAAUAUAUCGAGAAUAAUAAUAAUGAAAAAAAGGGAGAGAUUAACACACACAUGAAUUAAGGUAAAAACCAAGGCAAUGAUCAUAUAAGAACUUAACUAGGAGUAACAAAUUUUCUUUUGUCACAUGAGAAAUCGAUGAUGGAAGUCGUACUAGAUAAUGACAUCUUUACUCGCAAAUAUGAAUUGGUACACCCCAUUGUUAUUAAAUAACAAUGGUUCGAAAUUCGAUGUUAGUUUAUGUUUCUAAAAUCGGGUCAGAAAUCUUUAGAUUUCAUCAUGUUAAGUUGGAUAUCCCUAACGCGAUGUCAAGAGUUAUGAUUCGAAAAUUAGGCAUUCGUAAAAUCGGGUCAGGGCUUGACUCAUGGCGUCAGACUUGCAUAGUUUUCCUAUUACAAGUGAUGGUGAAGUCAAGAGAAAGUCAAAGUGUGCCACUCAUGAUACGAAGUGUCAUUGAUGAUACGAAUUGCCAUCGAACUAGGGAUGUUUGACCGCCUGGUCAAGAAUGUCAUUCCGACUUUGAGGUUAACUAUUAAUGAAGAAAAGGAGCUAUGACUUCAGCAGAAGGUUAUAAAACACGAUAAGUUUGCGAGGGGCAGGUUAAAACGGAAGCAUACCUUUGUGAAAGGGCCAUUAUGAUAAUUUUCCCUAAAAAGAGUCGCAUUAUUAUAACUUAUAAUUGUAUAUUUAAGUGAACUUAAAAAAUAGUUCCAUUAUAACUUGUGAUUCAAGAUUUAAGUAAAUUGAAAGAUACAACAAAAUAUGCAAAAAUAACCAAACUUGUUAAAAUCAUAAUUUCCAAUUUCCUAAAUUAAAAAAUGUCUUUUUACUUCUACGUUAUUGUGGAUCUAACGAGUCAAAAGUUAAUUAUGUUAUAAUCUAACCACUCACCUCAAAGUUAGAUAGUAAGAACAUUAAGCUAGUUGAUUAUUUAAGAUGCAACAAUCAUAUAUACUUUUUUAACCUUUGUUAUAAGCUUGGACGUAGUUUCAAUACUCUCUCACAAAACUUAUUAAAGAUUGAUACAUACAUCCUACUAAACAGCUAUAAUCACAUUUGUUCAAUAUUUUUAAGAAAUCUUUUAAAACUAAACAUAUAGUACUGUGAUACUUAGAAAGUCGAUUCAAACACACUAGCCUAUUGUAUUAAUUUAGUUUAUUCUUAAGCUUUUAAUUUUUUUUCUGAAAAAGAUACGAAUUUUACUUGGUCUUCUUAGCCUUUAAAUUUGAACAUUCCAUUAUUUAUGGUUUGAUAAAAAAAAAAAAAAUCAAGCUAUUCAAUAUGCCUUUGCCAAAGAAAAAAAAAGGAAAAAUUUUUUGCCAGAGGGACUAGUGUCCACCAUUACAGUAUAUUUAUUCUGCAUCAAUACAUCAAAUAACUUUGAUCAUCUCUCUCAUUUAGCUCUAUUUCUAGCUAAGAAAAACUCAAUCUGAAAUAUGAGAGAAAAAUGAUCAUAAAUGAAAAUGAAGAUACAAAAAAGUCUUAAAAUUUUUAUUCAAAGAGGUGUGAAGUUAUAUUUAGUCAGAAGGAUUGUGUAAUCGUUCGUGAAAAUUUGAUGUUUUCCUUUAGCAUGAGAUUUUCAAACUUCUUUAGUUAAAUAAAUGGUUCCACUUCUUCGAACUCGCUAUCCUAACUAUAUAUUUUCUUAGGGGUUUACAUUGGUAACUUCAUUAGCAUAGUUGCAACAUUGGAUGCAUCGACCAUCACGAUUGAAACCACAGCAACCAUGUGAGCAACCAUUUCCACCUCCACCUCUACCGUACCCACCGCAUCUAUAGUAAUUUCCGCAGCCAGGGGUGUCCGCGGAGCUGCCGCGGCCGUCACUUAAAAGGUCUCUUGCUGCCACUUUUGGGGACAGGACAAGAACGACUACGAUGGAGAAAACAAGAGUCGUCACAAAAGGAAAAUGCUUGGAGUUGGAAUAAUUCAUUUUAAAAUGUUCUUUUCUUUCUAGUAAUUAACUUGUAAUUUUGGAGAGGGAAUGAGAAGAUUUUGCACCCUUCUCAUUCUAUUUUAUAGGCAGAAAUAAAAGACAAAAUUAGCUCCAAUUCAAAUAUGGCAACUAAAAACGACUAACCCCAUUCAAAUUUCUUUCUCUUUUUUCUUUUAAGUCAACCAUGUGAGAGUGAUGGAUAUUCGUGCAUCCAAAGGACAUAUAUGUAUUGGAGCUAAACCAUUGCUUAAAUUGACAUUUAAAUGAAAAAUAGAAUGAAUUGAAAAAAAAAUCCUUUUAGUGCUUCAAAUUAAAAUUAAAUACAAAUAAUAUUUAAGUGCAUUUGUAUCAUUGUUGAACUUUUUUUGUAUCCAACUCCAACCAGUACACUUCAUUUAGAAGGAAAAAAGAAAACAGGUUUGCCAAACUAUACAUAUGCACACAUAGUACAUAUAGUUACAUAUUUUCACAUACUCCUUUUUCUUUAAAAAGAAAUUUCUAAAUAACUUUUCCUCGAAGUGGGUUGGGCGAAACUAUUAAUAUUGUUAUGAUUUAUGUCAUUUCGUAGGGGUAGCUUUCAAUUCUUCUAUUAAAUGCUCUUUUGUCUGCCAAGUUCACUUAACAAAUCAAAUAAUACAAAAUGAACAUACAUUAUUGAUAGGUGAAUUCAAGGUAUGCUCUUCUUUUCGCAACUCCAUAAUAAGAAUAAAGAAUAAUUUUUAUAAAAGAGAAGAAUUUACCAUUGAAUAAUUGAGUGGAAAGAAGAAUAUAAGUGUAACUUAAAGAUGCAUUUAGUUAAUAUGGAAAAAAUUGAACUCGUUGCAGCUUAAUUUGAAUUUCUAUUAUCAAAGUACUGCAUCCCUCUAUGAACACAUUUGUCGUUCAAAGCAAAAGGCUAAGAAGAAGAUUAUCAUCUUUAAUUCGGUGCUGUCUCCCUUCUACCAUUUGGAACGAAAGAAAUAACAGAAUUUCCAACGAUAAAGAAAAAUUCAUUUAUAAAGUUUAGAAAGAUAUUUAGGCUUUAACCGGUCUCUAGACUCGCAAAUUCCCCGGUUCAUCAACUAUGGUGCCAACACUAUAUUUGUUCCUUUUGGGUUGUUAGGGGCUUCUCUCUAGCCCUUUUUAUUUUUUCUGCUUAAUUCUUGUAGUUAUUUUUUAUCAUUAAUGAAGCAGAAAUAAUGAUGGUACUAAAGGGUGUUGAUCUAGUAGAGAUGCUCAAGUGAUCCAAAAUCGUAUUCUUAAAAAAAAAAAGAAGAUGGAUUUAAGUAUUAUUAUAAAACAGUUUAAAAGCAAAUAUAAUUAAAAAUAAAAAAUAACCAUAUAAUUCUCUUCUUUCCAAACUCUUUCUAUUAUAACCUCAAGUAUAAUGUUCAACUUGCCACGAAAAAGUUCUCUCGUAUAAGCCUACUGUAAACUUGUAGUCUAGGAUAUUUAAUAGUGUAAGAUUUCAUCUUAAAACCAAUUGAGAAUGAGAUGAGUAACUAUCUGUUUUAUAAUGAGUAUAAAUACAAAUCUUUAGUUUUUUCAACCCGGGAUUCUUAAUCGUUGAUCGGAUUUCAAUUUCAUUUUAUUGGAUCAAAUACAUGUUUGGACUCUUUAUAUGGAUCAUGACACCAUAUUCAAUCGACAACAAAAAGACUAACUCGUCUAUCUUAUAAGUAUGGUUAGUCUCAUGGUUUUUUCGAUGUACGUUUCUCAAUAUUUGAACAUAAGAUAAGAAAAAACCUGAUACUUUUUUUUGGAGAAAGCUACCAUAGGUAGCGAAGAAUAUGCCUGGAAUGGCUAGUUUGUAAUCUCUGUUAAAUAAAAUGUAAAUUUUAACUGAAUGGUAUGAGCUUUAAAUACCAUAUCAGAAUCAUUUCACUUUAUAACUAGGUGUUGCUUUUGUAAAGAAAAACUCAUGAAAUCUUCGAGAAUAGUCACUUUUCUAUAGAUGUGGACGAUUUUGUUGAACCAUGUAGAUCACUGCAUUCACCUUCCUCUUCUCUUUGCAUUUGUUUGCUUUUAUUUGUGAGAUUUUGAACCUAGCAAAACAGAUCGCCGUUGAAGAGUUUAAAUAUAGGUUGAAGAAAAAGAAAGUUUAUAAAGAAUUUUGUUUCUGUGUGUUGGAAAAAGAGAAUAUAAUAGCAAAAAUGAUUUUGUGUCAAAACUAAACAAUUUUGCUUCAUUAUUUCUCACUUACAUGGUUGUCAUUCAGCAUUAAAACAUAGAAGCUUUCGCAUCAUUCAUUUCACCAACCUAAUUAGUAGCAUUUUGGGCUUCAUUCCUUAACUUUCUUCUUUGUUUUGGGCCUGUAAAAGAAAAUAACCCAACAAAAGUGUGGUGUACGAGCAUUAAAGAUUUAUCAAGAAAGCCCUUUUUUCAGAGCUUCAAGAUUCUGAAUUUCGAGUAACAAUGGCAGUAGCAAGGUAUGAGAUAGAGAAUUUUUAUAGAAAUGGUGAUUUUGGUUUGUGGAAAGUCAAAAUCAAAGCCAUUCUAGGCCAACAGAAGGCUCACAAGGCCCUUUUGGAUCCAUCAACCUUACCAAAUAUAGUCACAACACAAGAAAAUGAAGAUUAGGAAUGGUAGCUAUAGAACCUUGGUUUUGAAUUUCAAAAACAAGUUAUUGACCAAGACACUGCCUACAAGAUGUGCCGCUAAGCUGGAAGGAUUUUUUUGCCACCAAAGAUCUCCAAAACAAAAUGUUCUUGAGAGAAAUUCUUUACAUUCUAGAUGGACUCUUGGAAGAGCUAGCCUCACUAACAACCUAGAAUAUGAAUUUAGAAAAUAGUUUAUGAUUUCAAGGAUCUUGGAGAAAAGGUAGGUGAUGAGAAUGAGGCCUAUGUCCCUUUGAGUUCACUAACAUAAACUAGAGAAGUGAAAAAAGCUUUGAAGUGUGGCAGUGGUAUCGUACAGUCUCUAAUGUAUAAUCCUCCGAUGCUUUCUCUUAGUUUCUAACUUUGACUUGAGGGCUGAUGAGCGCGCUUAUUUUGAAACCAAAAGAGUCUAGGUCUUUAAUUUGUAGAUGGGGAAGAGAUGAUCAAUUUGAGAAGAGACAAUUUGUUUGUUUGUUGGAGAAGAGUUGGUCUAUCCAUUGAGAGAUGCCUAGUUCGUUGAAGAAGAUCACUUUGUUGAAUUCUGAAUUCUCUUAUCUAUAGAUCUAUGUGUGAAGGUCCCAAAUGAAGGUAGUCUCUUUUAUUUAUACAGAGUUUUGGGAGGACUAUAUUUUGAUUGUUUUGUGUUUAUUUCAUAAAUAGAGCUCCUUUACUUCACCAUCUUCUUAUUCGAACACUUGUCAUAUUUGUUGGGAUUCUCUCAUUCUGAUGUUUCUUUCCUCCUUUACUCAUGCAGAAAUUUGUAAGAAAUUGAGAGUUUGGAUAGGUUCCAUCCUAAAAAUAUUGGAAGCUUAGCUUAUAAGAGCUAGUGGAGUUUUUAAUUACUAAAGCAACAACAAAUUGAGCGGGUGUAAUCAACUUACGAGUUUAGACUUCAUGUAAUCAAUUAAUAGGUGGAAUUUCACGUGUAAUAUCUUCAUAUAAGAAGUGUGUGAAUUUAGACUUAAGCCACAACCUUCUAAUUAGCGAAAUGCCAUUGAUUUUCAUUUAAAUUUUUGCUCUACCGUUUCUUUGAUUUAUCGUUAAAAUGAAUUUAUCGACAUCAAAUUCCAUUGUUUGUUCAUAUAAAUAUUUCUAUAGUCAAUUACACGAAACAUUACCUAGCGGUGGGAGCGUUUUUAUGGAAAGAAAAAAAAACAAAAACACCACCGAUAGAAAUUUAUAAAUUCUCUUGAAAAAUAAAUUUAACUUUUCUUUUAAAUCUAUAAUUUAGUGAUAAAAUUUAACAUUGAUAGACCGUAAGCUACACAAAAUAUUCAACAAUGAAACAAUCUUUCUUAUUAACAAGUACACUAUAAAAUAACAAAAUGAUAUACAUAUUAUUCUAAUUACUUUCCAUAUCAAAUUCAACUUUUUUCAAGUCUAUCAGUGAUAAAAACUUAUCAUCAAUGGACUCUAAUAAAAAAAAAAAAAAAAAAAAACAAUGGAACUACACAUUUCUUACUUCAACUUUCUUCCAAUCUACCAAUGAAAGAGACCGAAACAUAUCACAUAUAGACAAUCAAAUACACAACAAAAACAUAAUUGAAACUAUAUAUUGUCUUAUUUUUCAUUAAAAAUUCUUUAAGUCUAACACUAAUCGAAACUCAUGAUCGAUAAAUUAUAAAGAACAGAAAAAAAACAAAAACAAAACAAAAGAAAAAGAAACUAUGCGUUCUCUAACUUUUUAUGAAAAUAUAUUCAACUUUCUUCUGCUCUAUCUACUCUAUCACUGAUAGAAACAUAUAAUCGAUAAACAAUACUUAUCAACAAUCUCAAAAAACAACAUUUUAACUAUGUAUUGUCUUACUUUUCAUGAAGAUAAAUUCAAUUUUCUUCAUGUCUCCUGGUGAUAGAAACAUAUAAUUCGUAGACUCGAAACAAAAAAAACAAUAAAACUACAUUUUCUCACUUUUCAUGAAAAUAUAUUUAGUUUUUAAAAAUUUAUUGCUCAUGAACACUAAUCAACAACAUCAAAAAAAGCAGCAUAAAAAACUGUAUAUUUUACUUUUCGUGAUAAUGAAUUCAACAUUCUUCAAGUUUAUUGUGAUACGAACCUACUCGAUAGACUUUAGUUGAACAAGUUAACAAAAAAAAAAAAAAAAAAACACACACACACACAUGAAACUAUACAACACUUCUCAUGAUAAAUAUUAAAUUUUUUUCUAACAUUGAUAGACCCUUAUAGAAAAAACAGCAAAGAAACUAUAAAUUUUUUCUUACUUUUUAUGAAAAUAAAUUCAACUUUUAUUAUUAGGGAUAGAAACCUAUCUAGAUUCUAAUGAACAAAAAAACAAUACAAUGGCAAUCACUUUAAAUAUAUUUUUUUAAUGAUGACAUGGUUUUAUAAUUGAUGAAAGUUUAUCGAUAAUAAAAAUUUAUCAUUUAUAGAAGCAUUAACGAUCCAUUUCUACGAAUUAUUCAAAACUAAAAAAAAAAUUGUGAAACAUGGUAAUAUGUUUUCAAGGAUAUGCGUAUUUUCAUCGUCAAUAGAAGUUUUAUCGAUGAUAACAGUGUAUCAUUGAUAUAGUUUGGAACUAUUAUUAAUCAAUUUUUUUUUAUCAUUUAUUGAAAAUAAAGAAAAUCAUGAACCACACCAAUAUAUUUUCAAUGAUAUGCUUUUAUUGUUGAUAACUUUUAUCGUUUAUAAAAGUAUAUCAUUGAUAGUGUGCUAUCACUAAUAAAUUUGGGAUACAAAAAUAUUUGUGAUACAGGUAUAGCAACAAAAAUUUGCUAUCAUCCAUAAAUCGAUAUUGUUUUUUUUAUAAAAUCAUAUUUAUGAUACAAAAGCAUUGAUGAUAAUAAUAUGGUAUUAAUGAGAUAGAUUUCUAUAAAAUGAGUCUAUUAUCAAUAAUAAAUUGUUAUCAUGUCUAUAAAUGAUAGACUUUAAAAAGUGAAAAUUUUGUGGCUUCAAUGAGGAUUAAAGAAAUUUUUUGUUAUAUUUACAAUUAGUUUUUUUGAAAAAAGAGUCUAUCAAUGAUAAAAUUUUUAAAGCAAUUUAUAUCAAUGAUAAACUUCUAUAAGUGAGAAUUUCGUGCCUCAAGCAUAUUUUGAUGUCUUUAAUAGACUUUUUUUUUUUUUUUUGCACAUUUACAUGGGUUGAAGGUAAAUUUUGUUAUAUUUACCAUUAGUUUUAAGUUUUGCUAUUUUCUUAAUAAUAAUUUUAACCUUGUUUUGGUGCAUAUGCCAGAACCCCUUAAAUUAAUCUAUUUUUAAAAUAGAUUUUUAUUUAAGUUUGAUCCAAUUUAUUUUUUAAAAUAUAGAAUGACCAUUGCAUUUUUUUAUUGGCCAAUUUCCAUGUCUUUAAUUAAUAUUAAUUUGAGUUCAUCUAAAAUUUUAAUAAGUCUCAAAUUAAUAGGGUGAGAAUUUGUGAUUAAUUGAAAAUUUCUUAGACGACAAAAAAAAAAAAGAUUGGCCAUUUAUUUUAAGUAUAUAAAUGGCGAUGCAAAUUAAUAUAUACACGUUCAAUAAAAAAUAUAAAGAGAGGAAUUUUCAAAAAUAACAAAUUUUACAAAAUAUUUACAACUUAUAGUAAAUUCUAUAACUAAUAGUCAUUGAUAUGCUAUUGUGAUAGAAGACUAUCGUUGAUAUAAUUCAAAAUUUUGUUUUAACUUGUUAAUAUUUUAAUUUAUUUUUAUAUUUUUAGAAAUGCUCCAAAUAUAAAAAGAGAACUAUGUAAAGAAAUGUCACAAAGUUAGAAAUUAUCUUUUAGGAUGCCUCCAAAAUUUUAAGGAUGCUCUUCGUCCGUGCAUUAUAGAAUGUUCGAAAAUCUGUAGUUGUUGCAUUUUUAUUGGAAAAAAUGUAAAGAAGUAUUAAAUUUUUUUAAAAAAAUUGCAUUUGGUUUUGAGUUAAAAAAGAAGAGGAAAUAAGUAUUAAAUUUAAAAAAUGGUUGGUGUUGAAAUAAGUAUUAAAAUAAAUAAAAUAUUAUAUAUAUAAAAAAUAAGAAAAUUUGUCGAUAAUAGAAAAUUUGACAAAAUAUUUACAUUUUUUUAUGGAAAAUAAGGCUUAAUAAAUUUUAGAAUUUUUUUUAGUGAUUUUUUCUUUGGAGUAACUAGUUUGUUUUUAGUUCUAUUUGUAAAAUAACUCUAUAAAAUAAUAUAAAUAAAAAUUAAGAAAAUAAAACAUAAAAAAUCUCACAAACUCCCCAUUCUUCUAUUUAUUUGAAAAAAAUUUCAACUUGUAUCUUACUAAACUCAAUAAAUAUCACUACUUAUAGACAAUUUGACAAACUCGAUUAUAUUGACUACUACGAGUUUGAUAUCUUCAAUACAUAUAAUAAAAAAAUUGUGAAAUAACACAUGGCACAAUAGGACACCAACCAGAAUGAUAAUUGAUAAUGGAAAACAUUUUUUGUUGUCAGAGACACAAAAUCAAAUAUUUCCACUCAAUCAUAUUUUACUAAAUUGUUUUAGAACUAAUAUUUAAAUAAACAUUUUGGAAAUGUGAAAUAUUCAUUUAAUUUUUAUUUAAAAAGCCAGAUUUUGUUUUUGCUUUUCGAAUACAACUAAGAAUUGAACGAUCGUAUUUAAAAAAAUAUGCAAAUUAUUGAAAGUUAAAAAAAACACAAUAACAAAAAAAACAUAUAACAGAUGUACCAAACCGAAACUCUAAUUUUUUAAACAUUAAACAUUAAAAAUCAAAUAGUUAUUAAACGAUACACAAACAUUUAUUUUUAAUAGUACAAAUUAUAAAGGUACAGUGCAUGUGGAAGUGUGUUGUUUUAAUCGUUGAAUUUUCCAAUACCAUAAAAGAGAAACGCAAUGACACUGGCUGAGUUUUAGUCGUUUCCAAUAAAUAUUACUUUCUUGAAAUCUAUUUUUAUCAUUAAAUUUAAAAUUUAUCAAUGUUACAAUACGUGAAAUCCUAUAGGCUUCUCUAAGUAUUCAACGACCAACGAAAAGCUUACACUCACGAGCACGUGACAUUCUACUUUUAACCUUAAGAGAAUAAACAUACCCAACUAAUUACGACUAAGUUAAAUUUAUUUGACAAGAUACAUAUAAUUCGAACCUUGCUACUAAAAGUAUUAACAAGUUUUUUUUUCAAUAUUGCGCGAAUAAAAAUUUGAACAUGUUUAAACAAUAUAUGUAAAUAAUGUUUUAACCUAUUGAACCAUGCUCAAAUGAAAAGGAAGUAUGAGGUUACAACAAAUUUGACCAACUUUUCGUAUAGCAACAAUAUUAAAGACUUGAUUAUAUCAACUUUUCUAAUGUUUAUAAAAACUUUUUUUUACAUCUCUAAAGAACUUUUUCUUUCAAAUGUGGGGUUAGGGCAAUAUAUUUUUAUAAUGUCGUUUGGUGUGGGUGUAGCUUUCAGUCCUUCUAUCAAAUUGGUUUCUUUGUACGCCAACUUUGACUUAACAAGUCAAGAAUAAAACGAAUUUCAAAAGAAAAAAGGACCAAAUUCCACUUUAAUUAAUUACCUCUAUUCCAACAUAUCAUGUAGAAAUUUUCAUACCAUGAAAAAGAUGUAUUAUAAACUUUGGAAGGGGUUAAGAUUUUAAGAAUCCUAUUUUGUGCAGUUUUGUAUUUGGUUUUUUGUACACCUAAUAUAUGCUCUGUAUUUAUUAUAUUAUCUCAUAAGCUUGGUAUGCGUGAGAGUUAGAGGUCCAAGAAUACAUGUGUAACCCUAAAACUAAUUUUUAGUUAAAAGAAACAAAUUAAUCUAUAUAAUUGACAUUAAAAAGUUUAUUAGUGAUAGAUUUUGGUUUUAAGAAUUAUUGAUAGAAAUUUCUGUUUGACUAACUUCAUCCUUUCCUCCCUCAUUUCAAAUCUCUUUUAUUCUCAAUUUUGAUCACUGACUUUUCUUUUCCUUUCGUAACUUGCUUGUAAGUAGAUUUUUAAAAGUUUUCGUCACCUAAAAUAAUAAAAUAGAGAAAAGCAAAUCAAUGUUUAAAAUUUGAGUGAAAUUAAAGGCUAUGACCUUUCAAAGUUUAAACAUAUAUACAAAAUAGUUUUCAUGUUAUAUUAUAAGUAAAAGUCUUAAAACUUUGUUUAAUAUAUAUAAUUAGUUAACAUGUUAGCUUCAUGAAAAACGUAUAAAAAAUGAAGGAUCAUGAAAUAUUUGGUACAACAAGUCUUGCAUGUAACGAAGAUAAUAUUAUUAUUUGCAAUUGCAUGAAGUUUCACGCAAACUAAGAAAAAAGAAGAACGAAGAAACAAACUCUUGCAUGUCUUUUAGUUUUCUUUUUCUAUUUCCUUGUUUUUGAUUUUUCCUAUACCACAAAGAAGAGAAGUGGAUUUAUUAGAUACUUUAGAAUAUCUCAACUCAAAUACAUCUAGUAGUGAUGCAUUCAUUCAAUAAAAAAUAGCUUUGCACGAAACAAAAAGAGGAAUCUAUAAAGCAAAAUAAUUGAAUCUUGUGCUAAAUGUCACCAUGUGUCCGAGACGAUGCAGAGUGACCAACGUUUUCAAAUUAAAUCGUUAGUUUUAAAUCAAAUCUUGGACUACAAAAAAUGUGUUCUCUCCUCAAGAAUUUUAGAAAAUCGGAUUUUCAAAUUUUCUAGAUUCUGUCUUAGAAUUUUGUUAAAGGAAAAUGAUAUAUAAGUUAAUAUAAAAGAUAGGAAACCUUAUGAAAUGAUUGAUUAAAAUUUGAAUGUUUGAAAAGCAUAAAAAAUAUAUAUAUAACAUUAUAGACAAAUUUUCUAAAUUAUUAAAAAGGAGUUUUUAUUUUAAAACAUAGAGAACUUUAAAUUGGUAGGAUUUUAAAACAUUGAAAAUAUUAAUUAAGAAAUAGUUGAAAUUUUUAUAUAAGAAAAAAUAUGAGGCUUAAUAGAAAAAUUAAAUAAGUAAAAAUAAGGAUAAAUAAGCAUCAUAGAAAAUUAUGCAAAUAUAAAAUAACAUAUUGAGAUUUUAAUAAAAACAUAUGAGUGAUCGAUCUAGAACUUUAAAAGAAUCAAUUCCUUCACCUCAAUAAUUCUAGAAAAUCGAACUCUUAAAUUUUUUAUAUUUCGUUUUCGAAAAUAAAUAUGCUCGAAACAAAAAAUUGUAAAACAUAUAACUUAACGAACUUUUAAAUGUCUCAAGAGAAAUUUAACAUGUAAAUAAAUAUUAAAUUGAACAUGAAAGUAGCCAUUAAUGAAAAAUAUUAUGUAAACAACCAAUAUCAUUUAAAGAAGCAUAACCAUACAUUAAUAAACAUUAAAAAAACACAUUAACAUUCUAUAGAAAAAUGAUUGGAAAUCGAACUUCUAAAGAAUCGACUUCUCACCUUAAAAAUUCUAAAAAAUUGAUCUUCCAAAUUUUGGAGAUUAAGAAAAUUAAAUGUUAACAAAUUUAAACAAUUAUUAGCAAUAACAUAUUAAAUUGACCACAAAACAAGAGUGUAAAAUAUAUUAAAUAACAUAUAAAAGAAGAUAAUAUUAAUUAAAGAAGCAAUAAUCAAUGCCAUAAGAAGAAAAAAAUAAUUAAAUAAAUAAAAGUGCUAAUUACAAAAAAAGUAAUGAUACAAUAUAUAGAAAAUAAAGCUUAAGAAUAAAUUAAAAAAAUAAAAAAGAGAUAAACAACGAGAUAGGAAGAAAUAUGUUAUAAUAUAUAUAUAAGAGAAGUUCAAAAGAUAAUAAAUAAAUAAUUAUAAGAGAAAGAAAAGUAGAUAAAUAAGAACAAGAAAAAUAGAUAAAUAUUUAAUCAUUUAGUUUUUGUUUUGCAUUUCUUUAAAUGGAAGCUUGAAGAAAAAUAAAUAAAGUAAUGAGAAUAGUAAGAAUAAUAAAGAAUAAAGAAUAAAGAACUUUGAAGAAAAAUAAACAAAAUAAUAAGAUGAAGAAAAAGAAAAGAAAAGAAAGAAAGGUUGAAAUCCUAACUCACGUUUUAAACUGUGGAUCAUUUCCACCAAAACUCUACCAUAUACCUACAUUUAAAUUAGAGUUAUAUUUUUAGAAAAUUGUAUCAGAUGACAAGAAAAAAUUAAAAAAAUACAUUCUACAGUACCCUACAUUUAACUAAAAAAUAUUUUAAUUUAUUUUUUGUGUUGCAUCUCCCAUGAUCAAAAAAGAAAGAAUUAUCAAUGGCAAAAAAAAAGCUUCUUCAAAUGGCUAGUUUUUUUUAAUUUGAAAAUAAUACUAAUUUUGACCUACAUCUCAAAAUGGCAUGGAGCCUCUAAUAAACAAAACAAAAUUAAAAAGAUACUAUAUUUAGUAUUUUUCCACCUACUUAAUUAGACUAACUAAUUGAUUUAGUUACUCCAACUAAACAAUUAGUUAAAUAAAUUUAUUUUUUACAAAGUUGGUUAAUCACAAAAUUAAAAAUUUUAGCCAAUUUAAAGCAAACAUUAAUCUAGCAAUUCAUCCAACAAAAUUAGGUGACUGAAAUAAUUUUGGUACCCCAUACUCCAUAGAGCUGACAAGAGAGAGUAGUGCUCCUGAUUUCAUUGCUUCUUUUUAUAUUAGAUAGUAGUACAUUGUUCUAUUUUUAAAAAUUAUUUACAACAUAUACCAAAUUCUAUCACUCAUAGUCAUUCAUAUGAUAUAGUGAUAAAAAAAUAUGAUUGGUAGAAUCUUUCGUAAUAUUUUAAUUUAUUUUGUAAUUUUUAAAAAUAUCUCUAUUUAAAUAAUAUUUUGUUUCUUACGUGUUUGAGUUUUCUUUUCCCUUUGUUUUUGGCUUCCUCUCUCUCUUUUCUCAUAUUAAAGUAAUGCUCUUGAUUUGUGUGAGAUUGUUUUUCUCUUCCUUUAUUAUUUUGUUUUUUAUUGUGGGGUUAUUUUCUACUUCUUUCUUUUAACAUUUGGUUUUAAGUCCUAUGGUUGAACUUUGGCAAAUUGGAAAUGGUAGCCUCCAAGCACCGUAAAAAAAACAUUAGAUAUUGCUCUUGCUUUUAAAGCAUUAUAUUUCAAGUAACAACACUUACGAUUUAGACGUGGGUAACAUAAAAGUUUUGAGAGAUUAUUCUUUUGUAAUUGGGUCAGGGAGAGAACUGCUUUAUGUGAUUGUUUAAAUUUAUCUCAAUAGAGACUUCAAAUUCCCCAAAUUUAUUAUAUAAGUGAAACGUAAUAAUUAAUUAAUUAGACACGGCAUUGGAUAGUUUAUAUAAAUAAUUAAUAAUAAAGCAGCCACAUUUCUUUGAUCAGAACCAUAUUAUACGUUGUUCAUUGUAAUACGAUUAACAUAUAUAAUAAUUAAUCUCACGAGCAUAUAUGCAUUUAUUCAUAACUUACAAACACCAACUUCAGAAAAUAAAGCCAUUUUAUUUAAUGUUACACAAUAACAUGUGCUUAAUUGUUAGGCUUAGCUUGAGGCUUUCCAUCAACAAUACCAGCCUCACCAGCAAAGCUGCAGCACCUGAUGCAACGGCCGCGAAAGCAUUCGCAACAACCUCGGUUGCAACCGUGGAGGCAUUCCGCAAGGUUCCGAGAAUGAGCUCCUCCAUAACUGUGGCGCUCCACAUUGUCAACUUCACCAGUUUCCAUCGUAGCUUCUUCUGCAAAGUAAAUCAUUGAUAUAAUCAUUAUAUACUACCACAAAUUUGACCUUUAUUGAUAACUAAAAAUAUUAUCAAUGAAGCAGUGUCAACAAAACUUUUGACAUCAACAAAAAUAAUUUUGUUAUCGGCAAAAAUCAACGUCAAAUACAAAUAGUUUCUGUUGAUGUUUAUUGUCCAUCAACUAAUUAAAAAACCUACAUUGAUUUUAAGCUGUAAUUAAAAAUUUCAUUGGCGGUUUGUUUGUCAUAAACCUCAACUAAAUAAAAAAAUUAUUUGUCAUAAGCCCAAGCUGUGGUAUAGUACAUAACACUAAUUGAAGGAAUUAAAAGUAGCGAGUAUACAUCGCAUUGCAGGUUUAAAAAAUGAAACUCACUCAAUUUCGCAUCCCUUGCUGUAACAGUUAUCGCCUCCGAGGAAAAGAGGACGACGGCAAAAAGAAGACCGAGCAAGAUGAAGGACUUGGAACUCAUUCUCUCUCUAUUGAUUAGAGAUAUGAUCAAUUUAAUUUGGAGGUGAUGGGGUGAGAAAGUAUUGUAGGAUUGCAAUUGUAUUUAUAGUAGUGAUGACAUAAAAUUCAUGUCAAGGUGGGACAUCCUUAGUCCCAAUUUUCAAAGGUAGAUAAGUUUUUGUGGAAUAAUUAUAAUGAGCUUAUCUUUAUAAGAAAAGUAGAACAAAGGUUUCUUACCGUGGAGUCUGUUCAAUGGACAGGCACGUCAAAGUAAUAGACUCAGAUUAGAUAAUGUUAAAAAUGUUAAUUGUACAAUUUAACAUUGUUGGGUUCCAUCAACUUUAGUUAUUUCUUUAGGUUAUACAUUCGUAGAAAUCUUUUUGUAUUAAAAUAACAUCAUUUAAUCACAGUUUGGAGGGGCUAAAAAAUAAGUAUAUCAACGGUAGACUCCUGUUCACUAAUAUAUGUACCUGAUCUAUAUUCUCAAGUGUCUAAUAUAUGUACCUGAUCUAUAUUCUCAAGUGUUUUUUAUAUAUAUAUCUAGUUUUUGUAAAUAUUUUUGUUUAUUUUGUUAUAUAUUUGAAAAUGUUAAGCGGAUUUCUUCACCUAUUUUUAGAUAAAAGAAUUUAUUGAAUCACACGCCAAGAUCUAGUCUUAAAACAAUUUAGUUAAAAAUUUCUGAAAUAAAUAAAUAAACGAACGAAAAUAAGAAGUUAAAAGAAAGUUAGGAAAUGAACAACCAAGUAAUAUAAACAUAUAGCGAUCAGGACAGAGAAUAUUUAUUCUAAUAUUACAAAACGGUGUCAUUAGGUUCGAAAGAUGUGUUUUUCAAUCUAAAACAAAAUGGUUAGAAAUUUCAAGUCUUCUUUCUGUGUUAAGGGCAAAUUAAAGAGAAAAAUAAUCUUUGAUCAUAUUAACAAAUAAUUGAAAGAAUAAUGUAUAGUACAUAUGCAUGAUCCAUUAUGUUGCAUGCAUUUCUUAAAUGAAUAAAUAGAAUUUUGAAAUGUAAAAAAAUGAUGAGAGAUCAGACAAAGAUAUAUCCAACUCUUCAAAAAAUGGUUUUGUUUUUGGAACUUCUGUUCUAUAGUUGGGAAAAAGAUCAGUCCGUGGAUGGAGAAUUAACAGGAGCAGCUUCAACACACGCACGAGGAUUUUGCUUUCCAGUAAUGAUGGGAAUCACAUUUCUACACUGAGACGUAAUCCGUCCUUGAGUUCCGAUGUAAGCGAGGUCAAUAUCUGUAACUUCCACACCUUCACACGAAAAGACUGUGCUACAAAUAAAUUUAACAGCAACGAAAGUAGCAGAAGUGCCUCUGAUAUUCUUGAAACUAACGUUGUUGAUCUUAAUUUUUGAUGGAAUCUGAACAAAUGUAUACAUAAAGAAAACCAAAAAUUAAAUCAGGUUAGUUUUGCAUUUGUUAUAUAUAAGAAAAAAUAUUCCUUAAUUGAAGUUAAUUAAUUAAUUAGUUGAAAUUUAUGAAUAAGGAAUAAUUUCAAUACAUAUACCUUUUUGUUGCAUUGAUUAGAUGGACAAUAUUCUUGGUCAAUAAUCACAGGAUUGCUAACAUUAACCAUUUCAAUAUCUUCAAAAUGCAAGUCAGAGGCUGUGUAUGCAACUGCACAAUCUGGCCAUGUCUUGAUUCUAACACCAUUUGAAGUAUUGAUAAGUUUACAUGAUUUCACUGUAACUCCUGCCACCUCUUUCUCCUUGGUGUACUUGCCUAAACUUCCUAUACUUAUGCCAUGACCUGGUCCGCAAGUUACAUUAGUAAUAGUUAUUUGCUUGUUGCUGUCUCCAACAGAUAUACAAUCAUCUCCGGUUGAGAUACGUGUAUUGAAAAUGUUAAUCACUUCUGAACUGCUCACAUGAAUUCCAUCGGUGUUGGGACUAUUCUCUGGUGCAAUAAUUGUCACAUUUUGAAAAGUAACAUUCUUGCAACCCAAAAGAUUGAAGUGAAAAUUCUUACUAUCCAACGAAGUUAUGUCCUUCACCAUUGAAUUGGUUACGAAACUGAACUUCACAUUCUUACAAAUUUAACCCCGGCCCGCCCCACAAAAAGAAAAGGUAUCCGAGUUAAAAACAAUGCAUUAUGUUAAUCGACAAAAUUAUAUAAUCAACGAGAUUAAAAAGAAAGAAGCUAAUACAAUUAGAGAAUUAAUUUACCAUAGGAAGUUUAGUGCAUAUUUUCUUCAGGUGACAAUCAUUCUUUUCCCAACCUUUUUCUCCUUGACCAUCAAAAGCACCUGUGCCUGACAAUGUCAAUUGAUCGAUAUAUUGAAAAAGAACCAACCCAUCUCCUAUUGGAUCUGGAUGAGCUUGUAAUGUUCCUUCCAUCCGAACCUCAAUAGUACUUUUGCAAGGACCAUGGAGAAUGGAUUGGUUUAGAUGGUAAACUCCCAUUGGAAUCAACAAUUUACUAGAAUAGGUCGAUGCACAUGCAUCCUUCCAUGCAUUUGCCAAAGCCUAUAAAUUGUGAAUCAUUUGAUUAAACAAAAAAAAAAAUACAUAAAGUACGAAAUUUAUCAAGUUAAUAUAUAUUUACCUGAGUAAUAUCAGUAUUAGGUUUGGCACCAUAUGUAGUGAUAUCAAAAAUGGAUUGACCUUUUGCAGUUGAUGCCAACAUUAACAACAAAUGUAAUAGUAAUGUCAUAAUGUUUGACCUCAAUCCCAUCAUUUUUAUUUAUUGCCUUCUGCUUUUUGCUUAUGAUCUUCUCUUUAUUCUAAUUGUUAAUUAACUAUGAAAAUGGAAUGAAUGAUUCAAAUAUAUGUGCAGUCAUUCAACCCUUCUUUAUACUUUCCAAAAAAAUUUGGUUGCUAAAUUUGAAAAUGAUCGUUGAAAUAUUGAAGUUAAACCAUUAGCUGUGUGUCAUAAAAUUAGCCAUUUCAUGACAAUUGGAAUUUAUUAAUCAUUCCCUCAAUUCAAUCAAAUUUCUGUUCGAGAACAACUCAAAAAAGGAAGAAUUGAGAAUUUUGGUGAAAAAAGUAUUAGAAAUUUUCACUUUAUUUUUCUCAUUCAUAACUCCUAAUAAGUAGAUAGGUCCACAUGUUUCAUGUUACGUAGAUAUAUUUAUUUCAAUGCUUAUUAAAUUUUGAUGGUGAAAUUCAAACUUUUAAUUAAAUUAAUCAUUCAGUUAUAUUUAUUUACUAUAAAUUGAGUGCGAGGAUUUGAACUAAGUUUUCUUAGUUCUCAAAUAUUUAUGAGUGUUAAUAUUCAUAAGUGUGGAUUGAGGUAAGCAUAUGCUAAAUGAAGUUUAAAAUAUUACUUUUCUGUACAUGUGGUAAUAAAAUAAUAAUAAAAUAUCACCAAAAGUAAAUAAAUAUCUAAUCGAGAUCGAUAUAUUAUUGAUACUUUUAUUGACAUACUCAUAAGAUUGAGAAAUACCAGCAUCUUCAUUUACAUUGACAUCUAUGUGACUAGUCAAUUUUAACAAGAACUUUUAAAAUAUAAACAAAAUUAUAUCAUAAAACUAAAUGAAAAAAUUUUGUUUUAAAUGACAAAAUGGUUAAAUAUAUAAUAUUUAUAAAUAUAGCAAAAUUUUACUUUUAAUUUAUGAUAAGUAGAUGUAAACGUAGAUGGUAGACAUCUCUCUAUUGCUGUAGUCUCUAUUGCAUUUCUAUUAAAGUUAUGGAAAUAAAACCGUAAUUACACUAAAUCAAAAUAUGAUGGUAGAUAUUAUAAAAAUCUGAUAAAAAGCAGAUCUUUGCAAUAACAUACUAAAACCCAAACAUGGGGAAAAGAAAAACUACAGAAGCCACUCCUUCCAUUCCCCAUGAAUUUAUUUCUCAAACUUCCACACUUCACACAUUUCAUCAAACACAAACUUUUUACUUUUUUUAUUAUUUCAUCCCAUAUUCCACACCUUGUCUUAUGGUUUUGCACCCUCUACUACUUCACCAGCGUACCUGCAGCACCUGUACACGCAUGGACCAUAUGUGCAACCUCUGCCGUAGCCACCACUAUAGCCACCAAGACCGAAGUCAUCACGACCAUAGCCACCACGAUGCUAACCACCACCACCGCUGUAGAUUUUGUCGUUCCGUCCUCCAUACUUAGCAUCCUCUACGCCAUUGGUUUCCACUGUGGCCUCUGCAAUGAAGGCGAGAAGAAGGCCGAGGAAAACAAAGGCUUUUGAACUCAUGUUUGUGUUUAAUAAGAGAUUGCUUUUGGGAGAUAUGGAUGAGAAAGAUUUGAAUUCUUAUGGUAUUUAUUGGUACAUAAAAGAGAAAGGGAGAUGAGAAUAUUGAGACAAUUGCAAUUAAAGACUGGCCCGUAAUUUAGUUGGGCAUUAGAUGAACUGAUUGAGAAGUAUUCUGAAAUGAAGAAGGAAAUUAAAAUUUGAGUCAGCUCUCUUAAAUAAUCUUUAUCGUUUAAAUGAUUUGUAAUUAGUCAAACUCUUUAGUAGUGUGACUGUAUCAAACUCCAAGAGCUUCUUUUAGCCAAUUAUCAAUAAUAAUAAUAAAUAUAAUUCUGGAAAAACAAUUUCUAGCAUGCUUUCAUUUUCUAUUCCUAAACUUGGUAAACAAAAUUCUUUGUCUUAAAAAUUAAAACUAAUAUUUUCAUAAAUUAUUUAGCAAAGUUGUUGGAAUAUGGACUGGUUUAUGAUUGUACCAAACAGCAAAAACAAGUUACAAACUACGAACCCAACUAUAUCGUUUAGAAACUGAGAGACCCACGUGGCGGAUGUUGCCUCACCCAAAAGCCACCGGAAAUUGCCUUCACUGGAGACCCACAUGUCGAACAACCAACUGCAAACCCCAAGAACAACCACGGCUGAAACAACCUCUCUGAUGGCUCGAACCCACUGCUAAACCAGCCGCCACACCGCGCGAAAUCCGCCGGUAGAACAUGGAAACUCGCCGACGUUAAAGCUCAGUCAGACGCCGUACUGCCCGAAAAACGAGACCGAAACGCGGAUGCUAAAGCUCUCUCCUCACCGGAAAACGCCCGACCCGACGAAGAACCUCAGAAUCUCCGUCGCGUGGCCGUCCGGUAAACGCCAUCAACGUCAACCCGUUCACCGUCGGCCCCUGCUCUUCUCUCUACUGUGUUUGUAGAAGAAACUUCAACUUUCCUCUCUCUCUAUUCUUGUGUAUUGCGGCAACCCCUCACCUCUCUCCUUUUCUUUUCACUGUAUUAAAAAUGGCAAGUGAUGUGAAUAAUUGCAAAAAUGUGUUCUUGUUAUUCCGCCAUCAACAAAACUAAAAAAACUUUGUUUAUUAAGAAAAUAAAUAAUCCACGUUGUUUAUUUCUUACAUUCUUUCAUAUUUCUUUAAUAAAAUAAGAGAACUUUUCUUUAUGUAUCACGGUGAAGAUAGAUAUUGUAUUAAGAAAAAUAUAUUUCUUAAUGAUCAUUUAUCAUGACCAUCAAGAAAUUAAAAAAUUGUGUUCCAAACCCUACAUCUCUCUUAAUGCAUCCUCUUUCACAAAUACUUCCGUUCCAAAAUAAUUACAGUCUGAGAAAAGUUUAGAGAGUAAAAACAAUUUCUCUCUCAAACAUUAAACCAAUAUAUAUAAAUGAUCCAUACAUAUAUAUAUGUGGAAAGUUCAAUAUGAAAUAUGUUAACAGUAUUGGUAAAAAUACUAUAUAUGGAUGGUCGUAAAAGAAAUACGUACUUUUUAAAAGUUGAACUUCCUCUUCAUCUCUGAUUGGAGAUAUUUGUUGAAAACUCCAAUAACACCUCAAAAUAAUAAUAGUAAUAAUUAUUACUAUUAUUAUUAUUACUAUUAUUGCGUAGGAUAGAACACCAUGAAAUGUUGAUAAAUUUAUUUAAUUGUGUCCUUGUCACUUGUCAGUACCACCAUAAACUUUAGAUAAUGCAGGCUGAGCAAACAUUUUUUUACUUUCUUUUCUCAUUUGUAUGCAAAAUAUAUUGCCACCAUAUAUCGUUUUGACUAAAGACGAAAGAAAGCGUGUAUACCUUAACUAUUAAAAUUUAUGUUCAAGUUAUGGAAAUAAAACCCUUAAUUACACAAAAUGAAAAUAUGUUUGUUGAUAUUAUAAAAUUUUACAAAAACCAAAUCUUUGCAAUAACAUACUAAAACCCAAACAUGGGGAAAAAGAAAAACUACAGAACCCACUCCUUCCAUUCCCCAUCUAUUUAUUUCUCAAACUUCUACCGUUCACACAUUUAACCAAACACACAAACUUUAAACCUUUUUAUUAUUUCAUCCCAUUCUACACCUUCUCUUAGGGUUUUGCACCCUCUACCACUUCACCAGCGUAGCUGCAGCACUUGUGCCCACAUCGACCAUAUCGGCAACCUCUGCCGUAGCCACCACGGCCACCACCAUAGCCUCCACGGCCACCGUAAUGACCACGACCAUACCCACCACGACCACCGCCAUAGCCUCUGUCGUACCCACCGCCAUAGCCUCUGUCGUACCCUCCACCAUAGCCUCUGUCGUACCCUCCACCAUAGCCUCUGUCGUACCCACCUCUUCCAUACUUGGCAUCCUCUACGCCAUUGGUUUCCACUGUGACCUCUGCAAUGUUAUAUUUAAAAUUAAUCCUUAACUUUACGAAAAUGUUAUAUAAAAUCAAAAUCUGUAUAUAAAGAUGUUAAAUAAUGAGUAUAUAUAUUUUACAUGAGUUUUUUCUUAAUAUUCGUGUCUGUUCGGAGUUAGUUUAUGUGUACCUAAACUAAGUUUACCGAACAAAUUUGGAUGUGAAAGGAACAAGCACAAAGAAUAUUAAAUCAUCAAUAGAAGACUACUAUGCAUUCAACUUCUUAGAUGACUUAAAAUUUAUUAUAACAUAAAACUCACCGUUGUCAGUCUUGGAGGAGGUCUCCGCAAGGUCCCUUGCAGCCACUUCAGAGGAGAGGAGAAGAACGAAGGCGAGAAGAAGGCCAAGGAAAACAAAGGCUUUGGAACUCAUAUUUGUGUGUAUUGUAAGAGAUUGGUUUUGGGGGAGAGGGAUGAGAAAGAUUUGCAUUCUUAUGGAGGUAUUUAUAGGUCCAUAAAAGGGAAAGUGAGAUGAGAAUUGAGACAAUGGCAAUGGCAAUUAAAGACUGGCCCAUAAUUUGGUUGGGUGUUAGAUGAACUGAUUGAGAAGUAUUUUGAAAUGAAGAAGAAAAUUUGAGUCAGCUCUCUUCAAAAAUCUUUAUCUUUUAAAUGAUUUGUAAUCAGUCAAACUCUUUAGUAGUGUGACUGUAUCAAACUCCAAGAGCUUCUUCUAUCCAAUUAUCAAUAAUAAUAAUAUAAUUAUGGAAAAACAAUUUGUAGCAUGCUUUCAUUUUCUAUUUCCUAAACUUGGUAAACAAAGUUAUUUGUCUUAAAAAUUAAAACUAAUAUUUUUCAUAAAUUACUUACCAAAAUCUAUCAAGUAAAUACUGUAGGUUAGUUAUUUAGGGUUCAUUUUUUUCACCUUGUGUUUUUUCUUAAAAAAAUUGAUGUUUAAUUAGAUUUUUUUUUCUAUUAAUGAUUGAUUUGUUUUGGUAUAUCAUUUUCGAUCCAAUAUAACAAAAUGAACAAAAUAUGUGACAUUUUUUAAAAUAAAAAAUAAAUUAAAAUAUUUACAAAGUAUAACAAAAUUUUAAAUUCUAUCAAUGAUAGAAACUGAUAUGCUACUAUCACUGUCUAUCCAUCUCACUAAUAGAAACAUGUUAAUGUCUAUCAAUGUCUAUUAUUGAUAAAAUAUGAAAAUCGUACUAUUUGUUGUAAAUAUUUUGUCAAAUUUACUAUUUUUUACCAUUCUCUCUUAAAAAAAUAUUUAUAAAUACAGUAAAUUUCAAAAUCUAUCAAAGAAAUUGGUAGAAAUAUUUAUAUAGUAUAUGUGAUAUAAAUAAACACUAAUAUGAUUGAAGUUUUUUGUGUCUACUAAUAUCUAUAUUUUUUAUAUUUCUAAAUUUGGCUAUAUUUAUAAAUAUUUUCAAGAAUUUUAGUUUAUACAUUUUCAAAUGGUUUAUCUUAUAUAAAAUUUGAAUAGACAAACAUAAAAUAAAGCACAGCACAAUAAAGAAAACGUUAUUGAAUAGCUUCCACUGAACCCAAUUUGCAAAUAUCAUUGAUAUUUGUAAUAUUCUUUUAAUGCUAUGUUUUCUUACAAGAUAACGAGAGGAUAUUUUUAUAUUUAUGUGAAACUCAUCAACUUAUAUGAAAAUGUCAAAACAACAUUUAUUUAUUUCAUACUCUUCAACUUGGUGUCUGUCAUUCUUUAAAUAGAAUUUUCAAAGCUCAUAAAAAUCUCUCGAAAUUUGAGAAGAUAUCAACGCCCUUACGGAUCAUUGGACAAGCAUAUCUCCUCUCUUCAAAAAUUAUUUUGAUAGCUCUAUUGCUCUAAGUAUUUAUGCUUUUGUUUAAUUGUACUGACUUUGGGUCUUUCUUGGACUUUCCUCUAACCCUUGCUUUUGUUUUCCCUUCUUUCCAUAUUAUCUAUUAUAUAUUAAUGAAGCAUGAAUGAUGAUGAUGCUACGAAGGUACUGUUCACAUAGUGGAGAUGAUGAGAUGUCUUAGUGCAUCUAUUGACCUAUCUCGUAUCUUUUUUAAAAAAAAAAAAACAUUUAUAUAUUUCGUAUACUAUAAUUUUGCAAUAAAUUUAAGAGACCUUUAUAAAACUAACUCCCAAACUAUGCGGGGUAGUGAUAGUUGUGAAACCUAUUUCUAAUUUGAGUAUAGAAAGUAAAAUUUGGUUAAGUAUUUUGAAAAUUUGUAUUUUGGAUAAGAGGAGACAUUUUGAAAUAAGACUUUGCGAUAAGAAGUAUGUGUUUGAAUCAAUCCACAGAAAUGAUUAAGUGAUAAAAUCUUUUAUGGUUAAGUAUAAGUUUUGUUAUUAAGAAGUUAAUUCACGAGGGAGUUUUGAGAAAAGAAUGAUUUGCAAUAGGACCUAUAAACACUUUCAAUAGAAAGAGUCUUCACGAGAAAAUGUUGAAGUUAUUCGUAGAAUGGAAAUAGGCGAGAAGUAAGGUCUGGCAAAGAAAACGUCUAUCUGAUUUGACAGGGGUUAAUGUGUAAGAUUAAAGGUUUAAGCAUGACUGAGUUAAAUAUUAAAUUUACAUGUGUAAAGUUUUAAUCAGGAACCAGCGAACUUAAAAGAGUUUAAGCAUGACUAAGUUAGUUUAAGAGCUAUGUAAAUAAAGGACCUAGUCAUUAAGUAAGCACAUAGAUUUUAUUAAAAAAAAAUUACUAAAAUGUUGUUGUUUUGCUUGACGAGAAAAAGAAAAAAAAAAACAAAGUGUUAAGUGCUACGAUGUGUUUCACAAGAAGGCUCCACAAAAGAAAAGGAAGAGAAGGAUUUUUGAUAAAGUGUGGGAAUGUUUUCUCUUAAAUGAAUUAAUUAUGUUAAAAAAUUUAUUAUAAUUUCUCUUUACUUAUUUAAAAGAAGAAUUCCAAUGAUAAGUGUUUCAAAUGAAAUUUAUAUCAAAAGUCUAUAUGUUUUCAAGUAUGAUUUAUAAUGUUAAAGUUGUUUUCUUGAGAUGAUGCUAACUUUUAUGUGCACAUAAAGAGUCAAGGUUACUAUGGGGUGUACAAGGCUACAUGGUGAUAAGAAGCUGGUUUAUGCUUUGAAAUGAGCGUAUAAAGCUUAGUUGGCCUGAGCAACAAGGACAAUCUGUAUGUUUUCGGAUGUUGUUGAUACAACAGUCUAAAUGUAGGGUAAUGAGACCAAACGUAGAAAACGAUUCGAGAUCCUUGAUGAAAAGUAUAAUUGACUAAUGGGUGUUAUUGUGAAAUGAAUCUUGAUGUGAUUCACAAGUUGAACUAAUUUUAUUGUAAAAAUGAUUAUAUACGUUUUGAUAUGUUUUGCCAAAUGAAGUGUUUAUUGAUAAACUGAUUUGUGUUGAAAUUUAUGAUUUGACGAAAAACAUUUUCAAAGAGCAUUGCAAAAAGGAUUUCAUUAAAACCUCACUAAAUCUUUUAAACUUGCAUUUUAAAUUUUAUCUUCCAAGAUUUAGCAUUUAGGCCAAUUAAAGAAGAAGGUUGAAGGGCUUGCGGCAAGUUGAGAAAGCCACGAGGCGUUAAAGAGCUUUGAUCGAUAAAUGUUAAUUAUUUGAUCAAAAUGUUGUAAUUGUUUGUUCAUACCAAACGCCUGUUAUUAAUAUAUUAAAGUGUGUGUUUCAGGUUAUGUUACUUAUUGUACUUGGCAUUUAAAGUUGAUUUUCGCUACGUUUUGAGUUUCACUUCAUAGUUUGAAAGGAGUUGAGAAUAAGCUAGGCAGUAAGACUAAUUGUAAAGUUUAAUUAAAGUUAAAUCUUGUAAAGUUUAAAGUUAAAUCAUGUAAAGUUUAAAGUUAAAUCACGUCCUAUCCGCACAACUUCCUGCAAUUUUGUUGUCGGAACAGAGUGUGACAAUAGCGAUGCACCUAAACUAAAUUUACUAUUUUGGUUGUUACAGUGGUCGAUAUGAAUAUAGAUCAAUGGAAAGAAGAAUAUCAACAUCCUCUCUAAAACUUAAAUAUAUUAAUCUAAAAUUUUCAUUUUUAUGUUAAAUUGAGAAGAAGAAGAAAAAAAAAAGAAACGAAAGCAAAAGUAUUAGGUAAUAAAAAUAUUUUGAAGAUGAAAAAAAUUUGAAGUACUCUUGAAAGCAUGAAUAAAUAAAAUUUGGUUCCACUUGUAUUGUUGAAUAUCCUCUUGUUCCUUUCCAACCAAAUGUUCCAGAUAACCCCAUCAACAGACUGUAAUUGUUGAUUUCAUAACACACAAACUUGAAAUCAACAAUUAAGUAAUAGAAGACCGUAAAGAUCGACACACAGAUAAAACAUGGUUCACUAACAGUGUAUUAGCAACUACAUCCACAAACAAAGGAAGAAAAAAUAUGGUUAGGAGAGAGUGUUUUCUAAUACAAAUGUAGCUGGAUAGAGUGCAUCCAAUGAAAUUCUCAUUGUUUUGGUUGCAGACCGAGCACGCCAACUUGGAUUAAGGCAGUGAUUUGGGAGGCUAUUUAGCAGAAUAAUCUCCACAGUGUUUCCCGGGUAGAAUUUAGCAUAAGAAAAAAUUUCACUUCUUAAUUAGAAUGGGAGAUUUUUACAAAUUAUUAAAGAUUGUCAGGACUAAGAUUUUCUAUCUUUGGAAGAUCAUUUCCUCUUUCCUCGUUAGGCUUAGGGAAAGAUGCUUUGACAUUAUCCCAUAUGCUAAUGUCCCUAUCCCGGAGGGGUCCUCUAGGCUUAAUAUCCCAACCAAUCUUUAAUCGAGCUAUUUGCGCCAAGGGAUGAAGCAAAAAGCUUGGGGAAGCCAAAGGAGAGAGGACCGUGUUGGUUCAAUUUUUUAUGCCAAAAAAGAAAGAGAAAGAAGAGAGCAAGAUGAUUAUACUAAAAAAGAAUUGCCACAGUUUCUAUUUUAAUUAUUAUCCCUGCAUAACUCUUUCACAUAUAUAUUUAUAUCCAUAGGUUGUACACAAGUGAAACUAUCCUCAAAUUUAUAUGCUAUUUAUAUAAUAUAUAUAUAUAAAACUAUAAUAGUAUACUAUAGUCAUGUAGUUCAAACUUCGUUUAUUACCUUUUUAUUUUAAAAAUAUUUUAUUAAUAGUAAAGUUCCUGUGAACAUAAAUUUCUCCAUCAUCUGCUCCUACUUGUAUAUAUCAUCUUUAAUUAAUUAUCAUUUAGUGUCCACAUGUACAGUUUAAUUCCCAAAUAGUGUUCAACAAAACGAAGUAUUAGAAAUUUUCACUUUAUUUUUCUCAUUCAUAACUCCUAAUAAGUAGAUAGGUCCACAUGUUUCAUGUUACAUCUAUUUAUUUUAAUGCGUAUUAAUUUUUGGUGGUGAAAUUCAAACUUUUAAUUAAAUUAAUUAUCUCAGUCAUGUUUAUUUACUAUAAAUAUCACUAUAAAGAUCAAUUGAGCUAAGCAUGCUUAAUAAAGUUUAAAAAAUUACUCUUCUAUACACGUGUGGCAAUAAAGAUAACAAAAUAUCACUAAAUGUAAAUAAAUGUUUGGCAAGUUUUAUUAUUUUUAUAACUUCUUUAGAAAUAUUCAAUCGAUAUGGAUAUGAUAUUGAUUUUUGUUUUAUAAAUUCGUGAAAUUGAGAAAUAUAAGCAUUUUCAUCAACAUUCGCAUCCUAGACAUUACUCCUAUAUGACUAAUGAAUUUGAACUAGCGAAACUAAUUCAUAAAACUAAAUGAACAAAUUUUAAAAAAUUUUAUUUAAAAUAACAAAUAUGAUAGAACGUAUAAUAUUUACAAAUGUAACGACAAAAUUUUACUUUCAGAUCGUGAAGGUUGUGGUAAACCUGAUAGACAUCAUAUAUUAUUUUAGGCGUUAUAUUGUAUUGAUAAUAAAAGUAAAAUUUUAUUCUAUUUAUAAAUAUUUAUAAUAAUUUUUUAUAUUCAAAACAAUUCAAAAAAUUAAGUUGGCCUAAAAUUUCUAUUUUCAAUAUUUAUGGCCAUAACAGUUAUUUAAGUGAUCGGACUCCAUGAGUUCGUAAAAUUUAAAUGAGUUAGGCAAACAAGUAUUAAUUUGUAAUUUAUUUCUUUUUCUUAAUUGCAUUUUCUUGUUUUUGACAUGUUUAUUUAUUUUUAAUCUAAGUUGAAUGAUAUGGUAUUAAAUUUGUCUUUCAUCCGUUAAUUUUUCUUCUUUUCUUAACAUACCUUCCAGUUAUUGUCGCUCCAAUCAUCCUCAUCUUUGUCUCCGUCCCUAGGCCCAGGCAUCUCCCUCAAUGCAUCCUCUAUCACAAAUAGGUUCCAAAAUAAUUACAGUCUAAGAAAAGUUCAUAGAGUAACAACAAUUUCUCUCUCAAACAUUAAACCAAUAUAUAUAUAUAUAUAUAUAUACUAGAAAGAACACGUGUUUUGUACGUGAAAAGUGUAAUUUUAAAUCUUAAAUUUAAUUUUAGUGUCACAAGUUAAAAACUAAUUAUAAACAAUAUCUUUAGUUUAUAUAUAUAUAUAUGCUAUUAUUAAAUUCAAAUCUACCAAUAAUAAGGUGACCAGAUUGGACAAUUAGAUCUUAACCAGAGAAUAUAAAGGACCUAUAUAACAAUAUAAGUUUAUGAAAUAUACAACUAUAUAACUACAAAAUAUUAUAUAAACAAGGAGAGAAAAUUAGUGAGCAACCAUAAUAUAACAUGUACUUUUUUUUCAUUGAAAAUAAAUUAAAAAAUAAGAAAAUAAAAAGAGAUCAAAUGAUGGAUAAAGAAGUCUCUCCAAUCCAAAAUAUAAUGCUAAAAGACGACCAAAAUUUAAUUAAUAGAUUAUAGAUACAUAAAUGAAAUAAAAUUAUAGUGCAUAGUAAGUAUUGUAGAAAUAUUGCUUAUUCGAGACAUAGUUGACAUCGUUGGAGGCCUCCUUGGAUUCUCUAUACAUUUGUUGAAAAACACAGAAAUUCUCCUUGUUUUACACCAAAUAAUUAUUCUCCUAUACGUGGAUUUAUUUGAUUGCUCACAAUUUCAUUAGAUUUUAUUUUAUAUAAAAAUACACAGAAAGAAAAUGAUUGGGAACGUGAACAUGAGUCACAAAGAAGAUGAGAGAGAAUGUGUGAGUGAUAGAAGGGAAGAAGAAAAUUUUAUAUAGCUUUAAAAUUGAGCUAAUGAAUAAUAAUAAUAAUAAUAAUAAUAAUAACAACAACGACAAUUAUUAUUACUAUUAUUGCAUAGAAUAGGAGAGACCAUGAAAUAUAGAUAAAUUUAUUUAGUUGUGGUUGCCAUUUUGAGUACCACCGUAAACUUUGGAUAUUGCAGGCAAGGUGGUUAAUAGAAUUAAGAUUUUAUUAUAUGUAGGUAAAUAUUUUCACCGAUUUUAAUAUUUAGAUGUUUUCUUUUAUUAUUAUUAUUAUUUAGUAUGAGUGAUCAUGUGAGUUUUUUUCUUUCUUUCUUUUUUCUAACGAAAUAUAUUGAAGAUUUUAACUAAAGAUGAAAGAAUGUGUGUAUACUAAAAAUAAGUGAGACGAUCAAUAAUAUCUGAAAGUAAUUAACUGAGAGAAUAGCUAAAGAAACAGACAAAACAAAUAAUACAGAAGACUUUGUUAGCCUAAUUUGACGAAUACCACCUAUAUCUGGAAGCUUCUUAGCUCAUAUAAGAAAUAUUAUUAUAUAAGAUUUAAAUGAGCAAGGAAAACACUUUUAAGUUAUUACAAAAACUUAAUUAAAGACCGACUUUCAUUGAAUUUGUGUUUGAAUCUUUUUGAAGAUAAACUCAAACUCCCUUGAAUUCAUUCACCACAGUUCAACUAUUUCAGUCUUCUUUCAUAUUUCUUAUCAACAGGUGCAGCGUAAAAACCACUUGCAGAACUUCAAUAAUAUUCCAUCUUCAUAUAAAGAAUGCAAUUCGACAACCUUCACAAACAAUAAUUUGAUCUUCGAAAGAGAACUUCUUUGAAAUCAAUUUUCUAUCAAUUUGCACGUCGAACUAAGCCAAUAUAGUUUAAUUAUUUAAAGAUCGAUAUAAUAUAUUUCCGGUAACUUCUUUAUGGAGAGAUAUAGAUAAAAGAUUCAUGUUAGGAAAGAAAAAUAUUUUAUCUUUAAAUAAUAUCCUAAUCUUUAAAUAAGGAAGUUAAUAAUAAAAAGAAAUUUAUUGGUGUUGUUGACAAAAAUAUCAACAUAUACGUUAACUAUUAAAAUUUAUGUUCAAGUUAUGGAAAUAAAAGCGUUAAUUACAGGAAAUGAAAAUAUGUUUGGUGAUAUUAUAAAAUUAAAAUUUGCAAAAGCAAAUGUUUGAAAUAACAUACUAAAACAAACCCAAACAUGGGGAAAAGAAAAACUACAGAACCCACUCCUUCCAUUCCCCAUCUAUUUAUUUCUCAAACUUCUACCGUUCACACAUUUAACCAAACACACAAACUUUAAACCUUUUUAUUAUUUCAUCCCAUUCUACACCUUCUCUUAGGGUUUUGCACCCUCUACCACUUCACCAGCGUAGCUGCAGCACUUGUGCCCACAUCGACCAUAUCGGCAACCUCUGCCGUAGCCACCACGGCCACCACCAUAGCCUCCACGGCCACCGUAAUGACCACGACCAUACCCACCACGACCACCGCCAUAGCCUCUGUCGUGCCCUCCGCCAUAGCCUCUGUCAUACCCUCCUCUUCCAUACUUGGCAUCCUCUACGCCAUUGGUUUCCACCGUGGCCUCUGCAAUGUUAUCUUUAAAAUUAAUCCAUAACUUUAUGAAAAUGUUAUAUAAAUUCAAAAUCUGUAUGUAAAAAAGUUUAAUAAUGAGUAUGUAUAUUUUAUACAUUUUACAUGAGUAUUUUUUUAAUAUUUGUGAACAUUCAAUUCAGGUUAGCUUAUUUGCCUCUAAACUAAGUAAACUGAACAACUUGGUUAGCUCUGUAAUCAUUAUCAGGAACAAGGACAAAGAAUAUUAAACUCUAAAUAGGUGACUACCAUGAAUUAAAACUUUUUGAAUAACUUAAAAAAUUUAUUAUAACAUAGAACUCACCGUUGUCCGUCUUGGAGGAGGUCUCCGCAAGGUCUCUUGCGGCCACCUCAGACGAUAGGAGAAGAACAAAGGCGAGAAGAAGGCCGAGAAAAACAAAGGCUUUGGAACUCAUAUUUGUGUGUAUAGUAAGAGAUUGAUUUUGGGAGAGAGGGAUGAGAAAGAUUUGCAUUCUUAUAGAGGUAUUUAUAGGCGUACAAAAGAGAAAGAGAGAUGAGAAUUGAGACAAUUGCAAUUAAAGACUGGCCCAUAAUUUGGUUGGGUGUUAGAUGAACUGAUUGAGAAGUAUUUUGAAAUGAAGAAGAAAAUUUGAGUCAGCUCUCUUCAAAAAUCUUUAUCUUUUAAAUGAUUUGUAAUCAGUCAAACUCUUUAGUAGUGUGACUGUAUCAAACUCCAAGAGCUUCUUCUAUCCAAUUAUCAAUAAUAAUAAUAUAAUUAUGGAAAAACAAUUUGUAGCAUGCUUUCAAUUUCUAUUCCCAAACUUGACAAACAAAAUUGUUUGUCUUAAAAGUUAAAAUUAAUCUUUUACAUAAAUUAUUUAGCAGAAUCUAUUAAGUAGAUACUGUAGGUUAGUUAUUUAGGAUUCAUUUUUUCCCUCAGGUAUUGUAAAAGAAAUUGAUGUUUAGAUUUUUUUUUAUUAAUGAUUGAUAUUUUGAUAAAAGGAUGUUAAUAUCAUUUUUAAAGCUUGCUUUUAAAUAUAAUAAAAUUAAAUUUCAAAAUUAAUUUAUCAAUUAAAUUUAUAGAAAUAUUUAUAUAAUAUAAUCAGUAUGGACCAAUAUUUAUACUAUUCAUACUUUAAAAUUUUAUAAUAUUUAUAAAUAUUAAAAAAAUUUCAAAUGAUUUUUCUUAUAUAAAAUUUAAAUAGACAAGAAAAAAAAAAACACAGCACAUGCACAUGCACUAAGAAAUGUCAUUGAAUAGCUUCCCCUGAACCCAAGUUGUAAAUAUCAUUCAUAUUUAUAAUAUUUAUCAACUUAUAUGAAAACGUCAAAACAACACUUAUUUAUUUUAUACUAUAUUUGCAAUAAAUUUAAGAGACCUUUAUAAAACCUAACUCGCAGAGCAUGCACGAUACUGGGUAGUGAUAGUGAUAGUGAUGCACCCAAACUAAAUUGACUGUUUUGGUUGUUACCGUGUUCGAUGUAAAUAUAGUUGAAUUGAAAGAAGACAUCAACGACCUCUCUAAAAAUUAAAUAUUAAUGUAAUUUUUUUCAUUUUUAUGUUCAAUUGAGAAGGAAAAAAAGAAACAGAAACAAAAGUAUUAGAUAAUACAGAAAUAAAAGUAUUAGAUAAUACAUAAAUAAAAGUAUUAGAUAAUACGUAAUAUUUUGAAGAUGAUAAACAAUUGAGGUGUUUUGGAAAGUAAAAACCCUCUUUUUAGAAAAAUAUAGGACUGGAUGAGUAGAUGCACUUUAAAGUAUAAACUGUGUGGCAUGAAUAAAUAAAAUUUAUAUGAUUCUCAGAUAGUAUUAGAAUUUUAUUGUUUUGAAGGAUAGCCGACAUAAAUUUCAUGAAAAUUCUGGCAAUAUCUCCAAAUCCUAUCAUCCACACACACAGUCUCUCUUCCUUUCAAUUCAAUGAAUGGAGGAUUAAAUUUUACAAAUGGAUGGAAAAGAUUUCUUCUCUCUUUAAAGGAAAUGACAAAUUGAAAAAAGCACCAAAUUGUAGUGAUGGAAUACUAUUGGCCGUAAAAAUUAAACACCUUACAUUCAACCACCAAACUUAGGUGACGGUAGAAAUGGUAACAUUUAUUUGAGUGGGAGGAUUCAAUUUUUUAUCAUUUCAACGUUCCACUUUUACGGCUAUUGUAAGUUAAUUAGAACACCGUCGUAUAAGUUUGAAGGCUCAAUUUUUAUAAUUGAAAGUUUGAUAAUGUAAUUGCAACUACCAUUCUAUUUUAAAUGUGGUUUUUGUAAUCUUUACAUAACUUGUAAUGUAUGUCAAUUGUAUACAUAAGAUAUUCAAAAUUCUUUACAAAAUACUCAACACACGCAAACUUAUGACCUCAUGUGUUAUGAAUCAACAAAUUAAGUAAAAGAAAAUUGUAAAGAUCGACACAUAAAUAAACAUGAUUAACACUAACAUUGUAUUAGCAGCAACAUCCACGAACAAAGGGAGAAUAAAUAUUGUUAGAGAGAAUAUGGCACCACUAGAUUAGAUAGAACAAUGUUUAUAGUACAAUAUGACAUUACUUGAUUUGAAAGUUUAUAUAUGCACUUCUCUAAACCCUAAAAUCAAAAUCAUGAAUGACUACGUAUGCACAAUUAUGAAAAACUAAAGAAUCUAUGGAGUUUUCGUGUAGUGCUACUUAACGAAUAUAAGGUAUUCGAACAUCAUGUGUAUCCUAGUUGAUCUCCAAACCAGCUACAUAAUAUUAAUUAUAUAUUCGAAUUUUUGAAUUUUUUAUAACAAAUAUACCUCAAUAAAUUGAUCACCACCUAUGAUUAAAGAUAGAAAAUCAUUUAAGAUAUGCACGUAAAGGUAGCUGAGUAAAGUGAUAAGAUUAUCACACAAGAGAACUAAUAGUUAGGAUAACAUAAUGCGAAAGGGUAUUGGCUCAUGAGCAGAUUGAAGAGUUGGGUUUUUCCAUGUCAUUUUCAUCUCUGAUUUGUGUCUGCAAAUGAGCAAUGAUAAGUGUGAAUCAGUUAAAUUGGUUAUUAAAUGCUGAGACUUUAUUGAGUUGAUCCAUUUUCAAACUUUCAAACUUGCAAAUUUAUUGUGCAAUUCAGAAAGUGGAUCCUUUCAAAUUUAUUGAGUGGGGUCUAAUUAUUCAUCUCUUAUUUACGUCAGAGCAAAGCCUUUCUUAGGGGAUGUGUAUAUCUAUUAUUUCAUUGCCAAGGAAUGGGGGUAACCACUUGUGGGAUCACUUUUCAAAAUUUUAUGAUUUUCUAGAAAAUAUAUUAUUUAAUUGCAUCUUAGUCUCUCUACAAACGUUUCUACAACUCAUCCACACUUUAAUGGCAGUUAAAGAAAAAUAUUGUUUUUUAAAAAGACUCAUUCUAUGUUAAACUGAGAUUAAAUAAUAGAGUGUGGUCGAUUGUUAAAAGAUUUGUGUGUAAUCUAAAAUGAUCGGAUUAGUACUUUUCCAUUAAAAGUUUAUAUAUCUAUCCUUUAAAGUGAUGGACUCUGCAUAAGGAUUGAUAUUUGAUUACAAAUUUUUUUACUUAUGUUUGGUUGGAAUCCUUUAUCUACGUUUUUUUAAAGUGUCUAAUAGAUAUUUUAAUUUUAAAAGAAUUUAACAACGUUUAUCUUUGUUUGAAAGUUUAUAAACUAUGAAUUACAUUUUUAUAUCAUUACAGUUGUGUUUAUUUGGGACAUUGAUAAAAAUGAAUAGAAACAAAAUUCAAAUGUUAAUUAGCACCAGAUAUAUAAUACAUUGAUUGACUUAUUAACUAGCAAAAAAAAAAAUUAAAAGUUUAAACACAUAUUACUUAAUAUUUUAAAGCUUACAAGAGUUGUUAUACACAAUUCUAAACAUUUUGUGUGUUUUUAGUUUUUUUUAAAGGUAAGCUUAUAAACAUCUUAUUUCAUCUCUAAAUUUUAAUUAAUUUUGUUAUUAAACUUUAAUUUCUACCUAUAAAUAGAUAGAUAGUUAGAGCAUGAUUAAGUAAAGUUGAAGUUGAUCUCCUUCUUCCCUAAAAAACUUCUUAUCCCUACGUUGAAGACAAAUUAACUUAAGAAGCAUAGUAUUCGUAGCAAACAUCACACGUAUGUAUCUAGUAUUUAUUAUUCUACAACCCGAGCACAAUCUCACUAAACUUUAAUUUAGAGCUUUGUUAGAAUAAUGACUAUAAACUUUGGUUUUUAUUCUAGCCUUUUGAAUAUCAUGGCCAUGCAACCUUGCUUAUUAUUGAAUAUACGAGUGAGGAUUUGAUAGUGCUCAAGGAGUGUCCACAAAUUAAAGUGGAGACUCCUAGAUGCAGUAUAACACAAUUAUUUUUUUUUAAAAAAAAAGAAAUUACUUUGUAGGUGACUUCUAUGUCAAUAUAGAAUUUAUCAUUGACAUCACGUAAAGAUUAGAUCUAAAUAAUUAAGUUGUUAGACUAAAUUUUCACCAUAAAUAGUACCAAAACAAUGAAGCUAUAAACAGAUGAGUGAUUUGAAAAGAAAUUUAUUUAAUUAAUUGAAGCAAAAAUGAAUUGGUUAGAGUAUUAAUUAGUUAAUAAGUUCUAAUAAAUAGAUAGGCAAAAGUAAGUUAGCAUAGUCAAAUCUGGUUGGCGGGGUAGGAAAAAGGUGUCAAUGUUCUUCCCAUUUGUACAAAGCCACCAAGGAUCAUCUGUCUCCAGUCAAUAUGAAUGCAUUUAAUACAAUACUCGAAUGAGAAAAUAUGUGCAUUUAUAGAUUAUUUUUUUAGUUCAUUUCUAAAACUUUCCAACUUUUUUUUUUAUUUUGGUUUCUAAACAUUUUAAAACGUUUGUUUUAAUGUCUAAAUGUUUAAAAAUAACAUAUAUUGUAAUUAGAAUUUUAUUAACUCUUUAACGAAAUGAAAAGAUAAUUUCUACGUAUGAAUGAUUAUAUUGUCAAAUAAGAUAAUUAUAGUAAAAAGUGAGUGAACUACGAAAGAAAUGAGAGAGAUUUGAGUUUAUAAAAGAAAAACAAAGAGAACAAAAUUAGUACUUAGGUUUAUUUGAUAAAUGUGUUAGUUAUGUUUCUAUGUUGACAUAAAAGAUCUAUAAAAUAAAUUAGUAAGAUUUUUCAAUUAUUUAUCUAUUUAAGUAAUAUAAUAAAUCUAGAUUAUGAUCAUCUAGAAGUUACAUCAACAUUCUUUUAAAGAAUUAAUAGAAUUCUAAAUUAAAACAAGAAUUGUGGUAAGCUUUUUAUUAAAGUUUGAAAAACUAUAACAGAACACAUUUUAAAAGUUUAUCACAAAAAUAAAACAAGAUACUUUAUUAUUAUUUUGAUUCAUAUAUAUAGAGUAGAACAUUAUACACAUAUAUACACAAAUGAACAACAAAAAAAAAUUAGAAUGAAAAUUAGAUUGUGGAUGUUGAUUUUUUGAACGCAGUGAUAUUCUAAAUCGCUCCACUUAGCUUAUGUAUGUUUGGUACUUAUUUUUCUAUUAAUAUAAAUGUUGUUUUUGAAAAAGAAACGUUACAGAAAACAAAAUAGGAUGUAAUUACAGAAAUAAAAGUUAAGGUAUAGAUAGAUAAUUUGUUUAAUAAAGGGAAAAGUUAGAGAAGAUAAAUCUUACAGAGUUGGGGGAAAAGUUGAUAAUAUAUAGAGAGAGAAAACUUGAGAAUGGAGAAUCAAUGUUAGAGAGAGAGAAAAAAAAAAGGUUUGAGAGAUAUUUUAAAGAGAGAAUAUUCAGCUAGAUAAAAAUAUCAAAAUAUUAAUUAAAGAGAUAAAAACAAAAUAAUCAUACACAAAUUUGAUAAAUAACAUCACAUAUAAUAAAAAACUGAGAGAUUAUGGCUCGAUUCGAUAACGUUUUUUGUUUCAUGUUUUUUUGUUUUCGAAUGUGUUUAAUAACUUUUAUUGUUUCUUAGAAAAAGAAAAAGAUUUUUUUAAUAAUUAUUUAUUGUUUUUCGUUUCUUUUGUUAUUUUCUCAAACAUUUUUUCUUAUUUUUAUAGUUUAAAUUAAUUACAUAAAAUAUAAAAUAUAUAGAAUUCAUUAAAAUAUAAAAAUUAGUUAUAAAAUAUUGACAUGAUCAAAUAUUUACGUAAGCCGAUGCAAAUUUAAUAGCUAUAGUAUAAUAGUUUUUAUUAAUUAUAUGUUGUUAAAUUUUAAUUUAAAAUAUUAUCUCUCAUUUAAUUCAUUUGUCCUAAAUGAUGUUGAUGUAAUAUGAAAGGUAGUGAUUUGUCCUAAAACUUUUAGAACUUAAAGAAAAUAGAGUAAAACAAAAUUGGGAGAAACUACUCUUCAUGAUUUUUUAAUUUUGUCUAAUUUUUAGAAACGCCUUCAUAAUUUAAAAACGAAAAACAAAAAGAGUUAUCAAUCAUAUUUAUUUUUUAAAAUAUGAGGCAAAAAUAAAAAAAUGCCCUUAUAUUCACUUCCAAAAGAAAAUUAGUAUUGCUUACAGAGAAAGAAGUAUUCUUAGUCAAUAUAUUCUUUUAUGAAAAAAAAUAUUUUUUCCUUUUAUAAAUUUAUUUUCACCUUAAGUACCUUAAACCUGAUUUGUCAUGUCUUUAAAUCUUCCUUUUAUCUCUAAAAAAAUCUCACUCUAAUAUAUUUUUUUUCUCUACAAAAUUAAGCCACUAUCCUAAAAACUUAUUAUAUAUUUUUUUAUAUCAUUGAUGAAGCGAAAAUGAUAAAAGUGGUAUUCGGAUACACCUAUUGACUCACCGUAUCUUAUUAAAAAAGAAAUAUGUAUACUUUUUUAAAUAGACUACUUUUGAAUAUAACAAGAUAAAAUAAAAUGUUUACCAAUAUAGUAAAAUAUAUUGUGACAUUUUAUUAUAUUUGUAAAUAUUUUUAAAAAAUUUCGUUCUAAAUAAUUUUCCUUUAAAAAAUAUUUUAUUGAAAUUAAAAAUUGAUUAGUGGACUUGGCACAUAUUAUCAAAAAUUUAAAAAUUUAAAACUAAAAAAUAAAUUAAACAAGUCUAUGGUUGAAAAAUCAUGUUUUAAUAAUUGAAAAGGCAGACAAAUGACAGAUACUAUUCUAGUAGCAAAUGAUGUGAUAGACUAUUGAAGAAACAAAAAAAACAAAGGUCUGGUGAUCAAGCUCGAUAUUGAAAAAGUUUUCGACAAAAUUAGUUGGAGGUUGAUUGAUUCUAUGUUUAUAAAAAAAAAUUAUCCAUUCGAACAGAGCAAAUGGAUUAAUUAGGCUUGCAUCUCUUGUGUCCAAUACUCUAUUAGGAAGAACUCCGAGGUAUGAUUAAUCCCAGUAGGGACUCAGACGAGGUGACCAUAUACCCCCUUCAUAUUUGUUUAGGCUUUUAUUAACCUACUUGGAGCAAAAAGAUGAAAUCAGAGGGGUCAAGGUCGAGAAUGAUUUCAAUUUAACUCACUUGUUAUUUGCCAAGGACAUCUUACUCUUUGUGGAAGAUAAUGAUGAUCUCCAUGGGCAAAAAUUUACGGCAUCAAAAGAAAAAGGUGUGGCCUAAGUAUAAAUAAAAGUCUUGGACACACAAACUUUGCAUUGCUCAGUAGAUGGCUUUGACGCUUCAUAUACGAACAACGAACUCUAUGAAAAAGGUAAGUUCAGCAGCUUAAAAGCCCCGUGGAGAUCUACACCAAAGAGGAUUGAUUGGUUCCUUGAAAACGUACAUUGGCAACUCAACAAUGUAGGAAAAAUCUCUUUCUGGAAUGGGCCUUGGAAUGAAAAAUUCCUUCUAUUCUUUACAGGCCUAGACAUUUUGUCCUCUCAAAUCUUCAAUCGGGUAGUGUGAAAAAGAGAUAUGUCCAACCUCAAUAUUUUCGACUAGAAUUUACACCUAAGAUCAUUGAGAAGCUUUGAACUCCAACAAUGAGCUAAUAUGAAAUCUUUCCUUCCUGCUCCUAACAUCGUUGGUGGUACUGAUACACCAACAUGGAAGCUGAAUUCUAAUGGUCAGUUCUCUAUUGCCUCCUUAAAAAAAGCUAUACAUAUUGUGGACCAAAGAGAUGAAUCCAACAUCAAUCCUAAUAUCUUCAAAAACCUUUGGAAGUCAAGUAUCCAAAAGAAAUGUCAAUUCUUCAUUUGGACUCUUUUGCACAAAUGUAUCAACACUGGAAAGCUCCAAAGAAGAUUCGCAAAUUGUAACCUUAAUCCAAAUUGGUGCAUUCUCUGUAAGAACCACUUAGAGGAUAUAGAACAUACAUCUUCAUCAAUUGUGCUGUCACUAAAGAUAUAUAUGGGGGCAAGCUGAUUGAACAAACGAUCAAUUGGAGUAACCACAAUACAAACCUGAUUUCUUUAUGUGAGGAUUUCUUUAUGUAACUCAAAUUGAAAAGUUAGAGAUUUAUUAAACACAUUCUAAAGUGUUGUUGGUUUUAUUUCUUAGGUAUGAUUGGCUAAUUUUAUUAUUGGAAAAACUUGAUUGAACAGCUUGUUCCAUGUUAGUUUGUUGAUUUUAUCUUGAGAUUGGUUUGUUUAGAUGUUGGUAUAUGUAGUGCACAUUUGUUGGGUGACUUCCUACCAUCGUCAUGUCUUGCAAAAUGUUGGAAUAUUGGAAAUCACAUUGUAAGGUAAAAGGCAACAAAGGUUGCAAAAAAAAAUUAUUCUUAUCCGUCGGUGAGAUUCUACAAUAUUUGUGGCCUACUAUGAUUGAUAUAUUCGUUCUUUGAAGAUCUGGGUCUUGUUCAUCUUUUGGGUUGACCACUUUGAACAAUAUUUGAGUCGUUUUGUCUUCUGUGUUUUUGAAAAUCAUAAGUCGUGUCAAUCCUUAAAAUUGCGGAAGUUUGUUCUUGAAGCACAAUUAGUAACUUGAGAAAAAAUUCUCGAAUUUAGGAGAGCCUAAAAUUCAUCAAAUGGUUGGAGUACUCUUCAUUUAAAUGUGGAAAGAUGGAAAGUUAGCAAUUUACACUGGUAAUCAUCAAGUCUUUACAAAUAAGUAAAACAUUAUAUCAGUAAAAAUAGUAUAUAUAACAUUAUAUUAGUAAAAAUACCACUCUGCAUAUGUGCUAGUAUUGCUACCAAAACUCUAUGUUAUGUUCUGGUAUUGUAUGCAACAGUUUUGUUAGGUUGUGUGUACUAAAUCACCUUUAUUUCAUUAUAUUAUAAAGGGUAUAAGUACAAACUUGUUGAUGGGUUAACUAAAAAUUUGAGCUUUAAAAAAUCACAAAGAAUAGGAUGGUAAUUAACAAGACACUAAAUUUACCAAAUAAAUUAGUUAUCCUAAACUAGCAAGCUUGAAAUUAAUAGGAAAUUAGGAACAAGUAUAUGCCAGAAGAACAACCAUGAUCAUAUAUAAUAUCGUAGAUCAAAGCUAUGAAAAAAAAAACAGUACUAUAUAACACACCAAAUUCAAACGAUGAGAUACCCAAAUCCAACAAAAUAGAUUCCAACCUAAGCAAAUCAACCUCAUAAGAAACCUAACAAGUAAUUCAAAAUCUUUUUUUAAAGUUCAAAAUUACCACCUGAUUUUAAUUUGAAAGAAAUCAAAAUUGUCUAAGUUAAUAUAAAUUGAUUCAGAUGAAGACACAAACCAAGUUCGCUUUUAUGUGGCCUCAUGCAUAAUUCUAUGACAAAAAAGCAGACCCUUUUUCCUCAUAUUUGGUGAUAUAUUUCUCACAUACGUCCUUUCGGUGACUUUAUCGACACCCAAUGGCCAGCAGCAGGAAAGUGAGUCAAACAUGUAAAAGAGCCAGAGUGCAACAUUUUGUGCAUAAUUGCACACAUAAAUAUUGAUCACAGCAACAAAUGGAAAAACUUUGUGCACUAAACGCUAGAAUUUUCUUUCAAUCCUCGAAGCAUGAGCCCUCAAUCAAAUAGAGAGAAAAAAAAAAAAACUCCAUAUCCAAAUCCAAUAGGAACUACUAAUAUCUUCCUAUCUCCACACUCAUGAUCAAGCCCUUUUCAAUUCCAACCAGAAAAAACAAAGAAUUAAAAAAAAAAAAAAGGUUGAAUUCUUGAUUCAAGAAAAGGCUUUGGUGGCUUCUCUUUGAACAGCUUUCAUCAAGAACCCAUCUUUUUCCAAAGCCAUUUGAAUAGGCAAGAAUCCCAUUCCCUCAGCAAUAGCCAACAUCAUAUUCUUCAUCCCCAUCAUGAACUCAUCCACGUCAACUUUUCCAUCCGAAUCCCGAUCGAACUGCUUGAAGACGGCACUGUAGAGUUGAGAGAGCUCAUCGGCAUCAGGUUUCACAUCGGUUCCAAAGUCAGCUUCGGAGACUCUCAAAGCAUGCAACUCCUUCAGCAUCUCGGCGUAGGAGAGGAAGCCGUCGCGGUCAGUGUCAAGACGGGUGAAGUGCUCUCUAGUCCAACCAUUGAAAGCUUCUUCGUCUUCCACAAAGUUGACUAUGGUGGCGCCGUCAAGUAAUUCUACGCUCAUCUUCGAUUGUUGGUGAGAGAAGAGAUUGAGAUGAGAUUUCCUUGGUGGGUUUGGUAUAUAAAGGCCUCUCUCUAUAACUUAAUUGGCGGUGGUUUCCAAAACAAGGAUUUUCGUUGGUUCAUUAUUGAAUUAGGGUUUUCAAUUAUUUUCCUUUUUUAAUUGGGAAUUAGGAGUAAAUAGCCAUUUUCAAGGUUAAACUUGCAAAUAUGGAAAAAAGAAAAAACGUUUUUUGUUUCUUAGCAAAUUGAAUCUCCAUACAUGCAUGUGUCCAUCUUUCCUUUAUUCACAGAUUGCACUUAAUGAGUUAAAAAUUGCCCUUCAUCAUCAUGAUAAAUAGUAAGUAUAUCCUAGAUUUAAAUUCCUGAUUUUUCUUCGUAAUUAGAUUUAAAUUUCUAAUUUAAGUAGUAUAUCUGUCCUAGGGUAUCUUCUGUUGUUGGUUUGGGUUUUUAUACAUAAUUUGAAUGUGUGUGUGUAUAUAUAUACUCAUCUGUUAUAUAUAUAUUUUUAAGCUUGUUUUACAAAUUUGAUCUUCCAUAUAAUCUCUUUGUUGGUUAAAACAGAAACAUGUAUUAUAAUGGGGGAAAAGAUGGUACAAUAUCGUCGUGAUGGUUCCAAUUCAUGCUACUUGGUUCUUACCUCAAUUUUGCUUACGAGUUCUGGAUUCAACUUUGGGAAUGACUAUGAUGUAAAAGCUCUACGAAAUCGUUAGUUUUAUUAUAAUAAUUUGAUUACUUGUUUUUCUUCUUCUUCUUUUGGUAAUUGUUAAAUUCAGGGAGAAAGGUAAAUGGAAUCAAAUUUGUACUUUUUUUCCUUCUGCAUUGUUUACCUACGAUGUAUUUGUAUUUUAAUUUGGUCCUUUGUUAGAUUCAUGAAGAUGGUCAAGCAAAUCAAAUUUGUUCGGUAUUUAAUUAAAUUUAUUAGGUAUGAUGUAUUUUGUUGUGUUCUAUUUGAUUUAGUAAAUUUAUUUAGGUACAAUUUAUCUUCGGGUGAUGUGUUUGAUUUGAUUAAUUUUUUUUAUUAAAGGUAAAUUAAAUCUUUUUUUAUAUAAUUAUAGAAAAAAAAUGGCUUUUUAAAAAAAAAAUAUAUAAACUGGUGCACCAUAUAAAACAAUGUAUAAACCUAAAAUUAAUUACCUCAGUCAUUCCGCUGCACAUGCGAUACAUGAUAUUGGGCAUAUCGUGCCUCGAGAUGUACGAGAUGCUCCGAACCAUGUCUCGGACUAAAUAAUUCUACCUUUAGUUAUUGAAAUUGGAUAAUUAGAUCUCUGGUCUUAGCGUCACCAAGAUGGUUAGGAGUUAAAGAAAUUUGUUAGGCAUAAAAUUUAUCUUUAUUUUAUUCUAUCUCGAACAUACACCGCCUGAGAUUCCUAAAAAGAAAAACUUUUGACUUUAAUUAUAAAGAUUUAAAUUGCAAUAACAUAUAUGAAAUAUAUGAAACUUUUUAUUUUGUUAUACCAUCUAAAAACAGCUACAAACUCAGUCUUUCAAUCUAAGUCCAAAUUGGUGUUCUUUAUGUAAAAGACACUUUUCAUAGAUUGUUGUACUGCUAAAAUUCGAUGGAACAAGCUUGAAGGACUUCUUGGAUGGAAAAACCAACAACAAAAUGUUGUUUCCUUAUGCUCUUUCCUUUGCUCAAUAAAACUAUCAUCAUUUUUAAUACUAUUGCAUCAGUGUUGUGAAUCUUAUGGUUGGAGAGAAAUAAUCGCAUCAUCAAUUUAUCUUCUGGUGAGCUUAUGCUCUUUCCUUUUCUCAAUAAAAAAUCUACUUUUGAUCUUUGGGAAGACAUCAUUUCUCUUUCUCAUGGCUGUGGGCUAGCAAAUACCCUAUGUUUGCAAAUUAUAGUGCUUCCUCUAUCGCUAUCAAUUUAAAUGCUUUCUAACUUUUUGUUGUGGGCUUAGCUCUAGCUCUUUAGCUUUCGCGCUGUGUUUGGCUUUUGUCCCAUACUGUAAUUGUACUAAUUCUUCAUAUAUUAAUGAAAGCGGGGAUGAUGAGGGUGCAAAGUGGUGUCUCUUCUUCCUAUAUUAGUGAAAGCGGGGAUGUCCACCUAGUAGAGAUGUACUGACCCAAUGUAUCUUUUUCAAAAAAAAAAAAAAAAGCUACAAACAAACAAAAAUGUAACUCAAAAGGAAAAUCGUUAAAAACAAUAUAGGUCAAUCAACUCCCAAUUUUAUAUCGUUUUUCAAAAAAGAAUAAGAAAAGAAGAUUACAAUUUUAUAUCUAAUUAACACCUCCUCAUAAUCCACUCUGCCAAUGGUAAAAACUUAACAAGUAAAUGCUUUGCUUUGCAAAGAAAACACUUCUUCAAAACAUAUGUACCUCUCAGACAUGAAACAAAACUCAUGGACUGUAAUUCUAUUCACCACAACCUCACCAACUGAUUCCACAUAAAGCAAAAGAUUACUUUCUUUUUAGUAUAACCAUAUUAAUAUUUUAUCCUAAAUUUUCAAGACUAAUUUUCAUAUAUUUAAACCUGGUCAUAAUCAGUUCUUCCUUUACUUGGUUAAUAUAAAAAUCAUUCCAUACAAACUAUAUCUUAAACUAGUUGGUCAAAAUGCUAAAGAAAAAAAAACUACUAUUAAAAAAUAGAUGUCAAUACAAAAUUUAGAAAUAUAUAUCUAUAUCAAUAGUGGUAAUAAUAGUUACCAUGAUCUUAAACUUUUGAAAAAUUGCAUCACAUCACACAAAAAUUUUAAAAAAAUAAAAUAAGUAGCCUAUAACACCUCUUUUGCAUAUUACAAAUAUAACAAGUAAGUAGAUAUAUCAAAGAACUAGGACAAAACUAUUUGAUAACUAUCCGUUUUAAAAUUUACAAUCAUCUCGUUUCAUUCUUUUUAUUUAAUGCAUCUAGAAAACCCAUAUUAAAAUAAUCUACAUCCAGGCCAUCUAAUUCCAUAAACCUAUUUUAACUCACCGUUUAUAAUAAUCACACUAUAUAUUGUAACAAAUUUUGCAACCCAAAUAGCGCUAAUUAAAGUGUGGGAGACCAUGAGGUUUGAUCUUUGAAAAUGUUAAAUAAUGUGUAAUUAUAAUAAUCACCUCCACCUCCUGAAUGAAUAUUAUUUAAAAUUCCUCCAUUACUACCAUAAACACUAUUUCAAAAGUCUUUCUAUAGUCUUUACUAUUUUAUAUUAAUAAUUUUAUUAUUAUUUUCUACCAUCUUUAUUAUUUACUUACAAAACUAAAAUAGUUUAUGAACCAAACACACAUAUCAUUAUAACUCAAACUAAUUUGGUUUCAAAUUAUUCUAAUUCAACUAUGAUAACCUAAUAUUAUAAUAACUCACUUGGAGUUCCAACAUCCUUAGGUGUAAAAAUACAAAUUAUCUAUAAUUUUCUUUUUUUGGAAAAAAUAUCUAUAUGUAUAUAGAUUUAGAUUCUAAUUAAUAUACAACUUUUGUAAGAUGAAAAUAAGAAAUCCAAUAAAAAUAGGAUUACAUCUCAUGUUUUUCAUAUGUGUUUAAUUAAGAUUAAGUAUAAACAUUAUUAUUAAAUAAUUUAUAGAUAUAUUUUAUCAUAAAAGGAUUUGGAAGGGUAUAAUUUUUAAUUUGAUAAUUUAUUAUUUUACCAUGUAUGAUCAUGUGAGCCCAUAUGGAAAUGAAUAUAUUAAAUCAUUUUUUUAUAAAGAUAAAAAUUUACUUUCAACUUUUGUUUAAAUAAAGUUAUCGUUUCUUUUUAGAAAAGAUACUAAUGUUUAAUAAAAUUCUAGUUUGAUAAAUAUAAAAAUUAAAGAAAAAGAAGAAGAUAAGAUUAAUCGAAAAAUAUAGAAAGUAAAAAUAAAGAGAAAAAAUAGAUUUUUUUUUUAUAAAUGUAACAUUAAAAAAAGAAAGAUGCGUGGUUAGUUGCUCGAUAAUUAAAUAAUGUAAUUUUCGAUAUUGUUUGUUACUGGAAUUGAAUGUAUUAUAUUGUUUACAUCAACCUUUCCCCAAAAAAAAAACCAUAAGAUUCUGCAUAACAUUUAUAUCCUGUCAAAUCAAUUUGCAUUAUUAGUUUUGAAAAGUCUACAUAGAUAAUUUUGUAUCUUUGUCUUUUCGUUUUCUUGAAUAUCCAAACUAUUAUGUGUAGUAAAAUGGUAUGAUAAAUUAAUUUUUUAUAAAAAAAAUCUAAAUCAAAAUUAAGAAAUUUGCUUUAUAUUUAUUCGUUUUGAAAAAGGUGGUGCAUCCGGAUAUCUCCACUAAGUAGACAUUUAAUAGCACCCUCAUCACUCCCACUUCGUUAAAGAUAUCUCAAGGGAGCAAGAGAGGGCUAGAGUUAAGCCCUUGAAUGUCGUCCCCCAUUUCACCAAAGCUUUUUUCAGACCCUUUGAGCAUUCUAUUGUUUCUUUCCAGACAAAGUCAAUAAAGUUGCAGCAAUGGUAUUGAAGGUGGAAAUUUGCUUUGUUUACCAAUCUUACAAAAUCAUGAUGCAUAUUUAUGAAUAUAUAUUUUUUCCUUGUAAAAGAUAUAGAAUUGAUAAAUGAAACAUUUGUGGUAAUAAAAAAAGAGCAAUACCCGAGGACGAACUCAUGUACACAAGAAUCUAUCAUGCAUAAUUACCCUUCAACCAGUACAUAUAACAAAAAAUAUAUUAAAAACAUCUUUAAAAAUAAGCAGAAAAUAAAAUUUAUAAUUGAAUACUGGAAAGAGUAACACAAGAAUACAUAUAGCUUAAAAUGCAUCCAAAUGAUUUUUUGAAAUAACGACCCACAACGCCACAAACAGACAUGCUAAAUUAAAUUAUGAAGACCAUUGACUUCAAUUUUCCACAUAAGUUCCUUUCCUUGGGGUCUACUUGAUUAAGAAAUAACCUUGUAUUAAACCCAACCAAUAAAAUAGUAUUAAAAACAUAUUUAUUAAAAUGUUAAAAUACCAUUUUAGUCCAUUCAAUUAAAGUUUUUGGCUCCAAUUUUUUUUAGUCAUGCAUGCUACCUUUAAUCAUUCAACUGAUUAUAUACUAAAUAGUCUAUGUAGGGUGCAAUCAAAAAUCAAAAAACAAAAAAUCAAACCAAAAACGUAUCGGAUCCGACCGAAUUUUUAUUAAAAAAGAUCAAUCAAAAUUGAACUAAAUCAAUUAGUUUAUAUAAAAUCGAUUGGUUUGGUUUUAAUUCUUAAUCGACCAUGCAUGCACUUGCACACACAAUAUAAUAUGUGAUAAUUAGUUUAUAUAACCCAACAAUACAAUUUGUAAUGGACGAAGAUACACAUAAAUUAAGAUAAACUGAUCAUAGACAUAGUUAUAUAUAAACUGGGUUUAAAAAUUGAAAUAGAUAGUACUCUAUCGUGAUUCAUCGUAAAUAAAAUGUGAUGAUUUAUAAUUAUACAUAAUAUGUACAUAAUAUGUGUAUCUUUUAUUUCUUUAUUUAUUCACAAAAAUACAAAGAUUGUUUAUGGUAACAUGUUUCGAUUUGUUUGAGAAUUAACUUUAAAAAAUGGAACUAUAUUACAUUUGUUAUUUUUAGCUUUUUAUUAAAAAUACAAAAAUGAAAAACAAGAAAUAAACAAAGUAGUAGUCCAAAUGUUUGGUAAUAUAUAUAUAUGGAAAGUCCAAAUUGAUUCUGAGUACAUAGAGAUAAUCAUACAAUAAAACAUACUAAACUUCAAAGUGACAUAUCAUAUAAACUACUAUAUAUAUUGAUUACACUCUUUUUUUGAAAGGAUAAAUUAAUACACAAAAACUUUAAAAUAGGAUUUAAAUCCAUGUGAUUUCGGAAUCAUUUAUUCAUUUUUUGAAAAACAGGUGAUAGUCCUCAGUCUACGGCAAGCUGCAUCCUCUAACAUAAGGAUUGCACUUUUCCUUUGGUGGCUUACUUCUAGGGAUGCAACGGCUAUAAGGACCGCUACCAUCGCAGAUUGGUUUGUUGCGAAUUGCUGUUCUCGGAGUCAAGUAAACAAUUCCCUUUUCUGCGUUUGGAAACCAUUUAAAAUAAAUCAACAAAAAUAGUUUAUUUUUAAAAACAACCAUUUUCAAUUUAAUGCUUCCUUCCAUGUUCAAUUUUAUCAAAAUUUGUUUCAUAAUAACAAUCAUUUUGAAUGCCACAUAAUAUCAUAAUAUAAAUAGAAGCUCACCGUUGUUUUGGUGCAUCUUCAGCUUCCUUGCUGCAGUCACCUCCGAGGAGAUGAAGAGAACGAAGAAGAAGAAAAAAGCCAGCAAUGAAUAACCACGUCCCUUUCCACUACUCAUUCUUAUUCCUUUCUCACUAUUAUGGAGAGAGAAUUGAAUUUGUUUUGAAGAUGAAGUUUGAGAAUCAUUUCCGAUUAUCUUUUAUAGCCAAAAGAGAGUGGAAAAAAAACGAAAAUUUAAUUAAUAAAUUUUGUUUUGGAUAAUUACUAUGAAAAUUUAAUCAAUAAAUUUGUUAUGGAUAUGGACGUAAAUAAUAUGUAUAGAUCAUAAGAAAACUUGUAUUUAAAAGAUGAAAGACCAAAAAUUAUAUACGGUUCAAACUCACUAAAUAGAAAUUAUAAUGGAUGACCAUUUAUCCUUAAUAAUAAUUAAGGUUAUAUUAUACACAGUUUAGUUUUUCAAAUUUAUUAUACACCGUUUAGUUUUUCAAAUUUAAGAUGUAAUGUAAUCUCUUAAAAUAAAAUUAAAAAAUAUAGCUUCAUAUCAAAUAAAUUAAACUUUUGGGUUCGAAUUUUCUUUUUAUUUUAUAAUAUUUGAUUCAUAACUUUAUAUCAAAGCACUUUUUCCUUGUUUUGUUCUUAAAUUACAAAUUUAAUAGGAAUAUUGAUGUAUGUUUUUUUAUUGUCCAAAAUUAAAUAACUCCUUUUCAAAUCAAAAGUUUAAAUGCAUGUACCUUCACUUUUGUUUGAUAAAUAUAAAAAUGAAAGAAAAAGGAGAAGAAAUGGGAUUAGUCUAAAAAUAUAGGAAGUAAACAUAAAGAGAAUAACUAGGUUUUUUUUUAUAAAUGUAAUAUAUAUAUAUAUUUCCUGUCAAAUCAAUUUGCAUUAUUAGUUUUGAAUAGUCUAAAUAAAUAAUUGUGCAAUGCAUCUACAAACACAUGUAUAUAAUUGUAUAACUAUAAUAAUAUCGAUAAAAUCUGAAAUUUUAUCAACAUUUUUAUUUUAUAAUAAUUUUUCAAAAUUUAAAAUCUUAUACAUUAAUCAUCAUGCAUACAUUUAUAAAUAUUAUUUUUCUCGUAAAAAGUAAAAUAAUUAAAAAAUUGAUAAAAUUGAUGUAUGAAACAUUCAUGAUAAUCAAGAAAAAAGACAAUACUAAAGGCCAACUCGUGUAUGCAUUUAUCUUCAUGCAUUGUUAUCCUUCAAUCACAUAUGACUUUACAAAACAUCUCUAAAAGGAAAAAUAAAAUAAAAUUUAUAAUUGAACACUUAAAUAUGAGUGACACAAACAUAUAUGUAGUUUAAAAUGUAUCAAAAUAAUUUUUUCGUAAACAUCUUAUUUCAAAUGACCCACAACUCCAUGGCAUGCCAAAUUAAAUUAUGAAGACCAUUGACUUCAAUUUUCCACAUAAGUUCCUUUAGUUGGGGUCUACUUGAUUAAGAAAGAAUGCUUCAUUAAACUCAACCAAUAAAAUAGUAUUAAAAAGAUAAUUAUUAAAAUGUUAAAAUAGGAUUUUAGUCAAUACAAUUAAAGUUUUUUGCUCCAAAUUUAUAGUCAUGCAUGCUACCUUUAAUCAUUCAACUCAUUAUAUACUAAAUACCCCUAUGUGGGGUGCAAUAAUGAAAAACCCAAAAACAAAAUAUCAAACCAAAUCUAAGGUUAUAUUUUAGAAUGGUUUUUUAUUAGAAAAAUCAAUCAACAACUAAAUCAAUUAAUACAUCUAGAAUCUAUAGGUUAGUUUUGAUUCUUAAUCAACCACACAAGCAUACAAUAAAUAAAUAUAUGUAAUAUAUAUAUUAUUGAAUUUCUUACUCUCACACACAUGCACCAACAAUAAUAUCUCAACUACUCCAAAAAUUUCACAUACAAUACAAGUCUAUCAGCUAUAAUUUUGUUAUAUUUGCAAUUUUUUUAAAAUGUUGUUGUAUCCUUAAUUAUUAUUCCUCAAAUGGUCAUCUAUUAUAAUUACCCUUCAUUUUAUUAGAGGAAAAAACUUCAUAAAAUUGAAGUGUAAUUAUAAUGACAAUUAAUAGGGCUACCAAUUUGGAAGACGACCAUGCAUUGACUCAUAUUUCCCUACAAAAAUUUUCUUUUCAUUUAGUUUUAACAAACAAAAGUGUCAUUAUUAUAGUUUAAUUGAUUAAAAUAUGUAGCAUCAAUCAACCGUUAAUCAAAAUAUUACAUUCUUUUAAUUCAAGAUUUUUUUAAGAUAAUAUAUUUUAAUUAGGGACAUUUGCAAAAAUAGAGAAAAGAAUGAUAAUAAAGUCUAUAUCACUGUUAUUUUUAAAUUGCAAAAGUAUGAGAUAAUGAAAUUUAAAUGGUAAGAAGUAAAGAUAAAUUUAGGUUUUUUUUUAAAAAAUGUUGCCACGAUAUUUUUAAAAUUACAAAAAAUUUUAAAAAAAUGUCUUUAUCGUUUGUAUAUGUGGACAAAAUUAUGAUGGCUUAUAUUGCAUCAACAAUACUUCUAACAAUGCUACCAUGGUUAGUAUAUGGAUGAAAACAAUUUAACGACCUUGCUCUUUUAUUUUUUUUCUUGUGUCUCUUUCAAUCUAGCUAGACAUUUUUUUCCACUCUCUUAAUCUCAUUAUUUCAUUCCCUACCAAUUCAAUUUUAACUUGGAUCACUAACCAAUCAUAGAAGUUAUAAAUUGGUACGAAACAAUAUGUCUAGAUGGUUCAUAUAAGCAAUAUAUAAUAUACACAAACUUUUCUGUCAUUAAUAUUCUUAUUUUUCUUCCUUUAUCAUACUUUGGUUGGUUUUUUCCUAUCCACUGCAAUUGUUUUCAAAAGAAAAUUUAAAACUAAAAUGAAAAGAAAAAAAAUCUUGAGUUUGUGUCACACGUCCAACUUCUAAAGUGUGGAGUAAUUUCUUUUAUUUAUUAUCAAACGUUCAUUUGAACUUUAAAUUUGUUUGUUAUAUCAUGAGAUAUAAAUAUAAAAUUUUGCUAAUUAGAUUGGUGAUUGAAAUUUAUAAAUAUUUUAAUUUAUUUUAUUAUUUUAAAAAUGUCUCUACAAAUUAUGUUGGAGCUAAAUGUGAUUUGAUAAUUAUUUAAUCAAUUAUUUAGGGUCCGUCCGUUUAAGAAAUAGAAAAAGUAUAAAACUGACUAUUUUUUAAAAAUUCUAAAUUUGUCCUUCCUUGUAUCACUGUCAUUCGUCUUGAUUUUUUUUUCUUGAUAUCCUUUUCAUUAUAUUAAAAUAAAAAACUUCAUGGAAUUGAAGGUGGCGAUUAAUGAUGGAAAUUAUGGGCCACAAUAGGCCUACCAAGUUGGACGACCAUGCAUUGACUUAUAUUCAUUUACUCGAAAUAUGAAGAAAAGUUUUAAUUGAUUAUAGUUUAAUGCAUGGAAUGAAAUAUGGAGAUCAAUCCAGAGCUAAUUAAUCAAAAGAACACAGAGAAAUUUUUGUAACAUAAUACAUUUAAUUUAAUUAAGGUUAAAUUAUACACAAUUUCGUUUUUCAAAUUUAAGAUUUUAUGUAAUCUCUUAUAAUAAAAUUAAAAAAUAUAAAUUAAACUUUUAAAUUCUCAUUUUUUUUUAUUUUAUAAAUUUUGAUUCAUAACUUUUGUAUCAAAGCACUUUUUCUUUGUUUUGUUUCCAAAUUACAAAUUUAAUAGGAAUGUUGAUGUAAGUUUUUUAUUGCCCAAAAUUUAACAUCAACAAAACAUUCAAUAUAUCAAUAUAAAUAUGUGCCAACGUAAAGAUAUAUUAAUGCUAAUUAUUAAAUAACUCCUAAGUAAAAGUUUAAAUCUCUUUCACAUUUGUUUGAUAAUAAAAAUUAAAGAAAAAUGAGAAGAGAUGAGAUUAGUCUAAAAAUAUAGGAAGUAAACAUAAAGAGAAAAACUAGGAUUUUUCUUUAUAAAUGUAAAAGGUAAACAAAAAAAAAAAAAAAAGAAGAAGAAGAAGAAAGAUACGUUAGAAUGUAUUAUUGGAAUUGAAUGUAUUAUGAAAAAUAUUAUUUCAAAUGAAUCACAAUGCCACAAAUUAAAACUUGACUAACAUUGACUCCAAUUUUCCACAUACGUUUCUUUCGUUUAGGUCUACUUGAUUAAGAAAGCAUCAUGCAAUCAAUUCAACAAUAGUAUUUUAAAAGAUAUAUUUAUUAAAAUGUUAAGAUAUCAUUUUUGUAUUGUAAGUCUUUUUUUCUCCAAUUUUUAGUCAUAUCAUUCUAAUGAAUAUGUACUAACUAGUCUAUGUAAGGGUGCAAUAAAAAACCGAAGAACAAAAAAUCAAACCAAACUAAUGGGUUGGUUUGGUUUUUUUAGUAUAAAGUUGGACAUAUCUUCAAUUUAUAUUUGUAGAAAAGAAAAGUUAUGUAAAUGGAACUAAAUCAAUUAGUUUAUAUAAAAUCGAUUGGUGAGUUUUGAUUCUUAAUCGACUUCCAAAUAUUUCCACAAUAAGAUAAAAUAAAAAAAAUCUCAAAUAAUUUCAAACACCCAAUAUAGUAAUAUAUAUAUAUAGAACUUCUAAUUCUCCAAAAUGUUCACACACAAUAAAAAUAAUAUAUAUAAUAUAGAAUUUCUCAAAUUCCUCAAAAAUUUCCACCAACUUCCAAAAUUUUGGAAAUCCACUCCCUUCCAAUUUUUUAAAAAAUUUCAUCGAUGUUGUAUGUUCUUGCGAGAUUUACCAAAUGUUUCUAUUUAAUUAGAAAGAUCAGAGAGACAAGUUAGGUCAUAGAUUUCUCAAAUUUAUUUAAUGUCAUAUGGGCUUGAGCAUGAAAGCUAACUUUUAAAUUUGAACAUUCCAUUAUUUGUGGUUUGAUAAAAAAGAUCAAAGCUAUUCAAUGUGCCUUUGCCAAAAAAAAGGAAAAAAAAUUGGCCACAGGGACUAAUGUCCACCAUUAAUUACAUUAUAUUUAUUCUGCAUCAAUACAUCAAAUAACUUUCAUCUUUCUCUCUCAUUAGCUCUAUUUCUAUCUAAGAUGAUAAACUCAAUUUGAAAUAUGAGAGAAAAAUAUAAGAUGAAGAUAAAAGAAAAAAAAAAGUCUUAAAACUUUUAUUUAAAGAGGUGUGAAGUUAUAUCAGUCUGAAAAGUUGUAUAAUCGUGAAUCCAAACUAGAAGUAUAUAAAUCAUGAAAUUUGAUGGUUUUUUCAGCAUGUGACGUAAAAACUUCUUAAGUUAAACAAAUGACUUCACUUAUUUGAACUCAUGAGCCUAACUAUAUAUUAUCUUAGGGUGUUACAUUUGUGACUUCAUUAGCAUAGUUGCAACAUUGGAUGCAUUGUCGACUAAAACGAUUGAAACGACAGCAACCAUGUGAGCAACCAUGUCCACCUCUACCAUACCCACCGCAUGAAUUUCUAGAUUAAUUUCCGCAGCCAGGGGUGUCCACGGAGCUGCAGCGGCCGUCACGUAAAAGGUCUCUUGCUGCCACUUUUGAGGACUGGACAAGAACGACUAUGAUGGAGAAAACAAGAGGAAAAUUCCUCUUGGAGUUGGAAUAAUUCAUUUUUCAAUGUUCCUUUUCUUUCCAGUAAUUAACUUGUAAUUUUGAAGAGGGAAUGAGAAAAUUUUGCACCUCUUCUCAUUCUAUAAUAUUUUAUAUGCACAAGCGAUAUACAAGAUUAAUAUAGAUAGUUGGAAAGAUGCAAAACAAUUAAGUAUAUAGCAAUAUUUUAAAAAAUUGCAAAUAUAGUAAAAUUUAUCCAAUUCUGUCAAUGAUAGAAGUCUAUCACCGAUAGAUCAUGUUGUAAAUAUAUUAAAAACCAUAAUUAAAUAGAAAAAAAAAUUAAAUUUAUAAUCGAAUAUUUAAAUGAAUAACACAAACAUACAUAUAACUUAAAAUGAAUCCAAAUAAUUGUUUUGUGGAAAAGUUAUUUCAAACGACCCAGAACGCUACAAACAGACAUACCAAAUUAAAUUUUGAUGACCCCCUUUCCUUUCGGUCUACUUUAUUAGGAAUUUAUUAAUAGUAUUAAAAAUAUAUCUAUUAAAAUGUUAAAAUAUCAUUUUAGUUAAUACAAUUCAACGUUUUUUGCUCCAAUUUUUAGUCAUGAUACCAUUAAUCAAUCUAAUGACUAUAUACUAAAUAGCCUACGUAAGGGUGCAACAAAAAAUCAAAUCAAUCUAAUGGUUUGAGUUAGUUUUUUUUAGUAUAAUGUUGGACAUAUCUUUGAUUUAUAUAUUUGGAGAAAAAUCAAAAAGUCAUUUAUUUGGAGCGUCUUUUUAUUAAGAAAAAUCAAUCAAAAUUGAACUAAAUCAAUUAGUACAUAUAAAAUCGAUCGGUUAGUUUUGAUUCUUAAUCGACCACGCUCAUAUACAUAAAGAAUAUAGAAUUUAUUACUCUCACAAACAUGCACACACCAUAUUAUCUCAACUUUAGAAGUUCCACACACAAUACAAUAAAAAAAAUCUCCAAAAAGUACACACACCCAAUAUGUUGAGAUGAAGAGUGAGUAAUGACCCAAAAUGUGAACUAUAUAUUUUAUAAAUGUUCAUCCGUCAAAUUUUUCAUUUAAUAUAAUUCAAGAUCUCCUAGCUACCUAUCAACUUUAACCAAACAUCAAUUCUUGCAUUUAUUUAUAGUUAAAUUAGUGUCUCAAUUUUUUGAAUUGAAUUGGGAAUCUUCAACCCCACAAUUGGGUUUUCAUUUUUUUUUCUUUACUAAUUACUACACAUUUGACAGCCUCCUAAAUAAAAGUGCACCUUCUUUCAUAAAUUGAUAGCAUUUUCUUGACUGGGAGUAAUUUUGGGUCCUCUCAAAGAAACCAACAGCAGAAUGUUGAAGACAAGGUUUCUAAAAAGUUCCACCAACAUUCGAAGAAAAUACUACCAACCAACAAAAACAAAAUUAAUAUGUUAAAAUUUAUUACAACUAUACAAAAUUCUCUCUCGGACUCUAAUUACAAAUUUGGAUGAUUACAUAACGAUUACUCUUUUGAUAUUUUGUCAAAAUUCAACAAUCUCUUUGAAAAUCUACUUCCCAAGGGUCCAUCUAAUCAUCAACUAUAACGGCUUAUUUGAUUGGUUUUAGUGCAUAUUAUUCCCUAAAUAUGAACAGCAUUAUCGCUUUUAUUAUGACAGUAUGGAUUACUUUUGUAAAUCUUUUUUUUAAUAUAUUGCAUUAAUUUCAUGAUGAAUUAAUCCCAUCCUCAACAAAAAAAUCAAGAAAUUAAUGAAUUGAAAGUACAAAUAAAUAAAAUGAGUAUUUUAACAUUAAUAUAACUUAAAGUUAACAAUGAAACCAAGUAAGUUUAUUUUAUUAAUAAAAAAAAUUAAGCUAAAUCCAAUUUGAUAACAUUUUAAUUUCAUUAAUUGGUAGAUAAAUAUUUUGAAAACAAAAAGAUUUGACCAUAAUUACAUAACAAAUAUAAAGCCAUCAGCUUUUUCAUCAUUAUUUGACAGCACAUUCUCAUGCAUUAUUCUGCCGACUAAUCCAUGGUAAUGCAAAACAAAUCAACGGUGGAAAUUAUUGGUAACUCAAAACAAAGAAUCGUAAUUAAACUUUAACCUUAGUUCUUCCAUUAUAAAUAAAUGAAAACCUUAGUUCUGUCGGUGAAUGCACAAACAAUUAACAAACUAUUUACGAUAAAUAGUAAAAUUUUAAUUCAAACCCAAAAUAAAUAAUCAAAAUACUUUUUAUUUUCUUCCAAUUAUGUGAAUUCUCCUUUAAUAUUUACCUAUGUCCAAUGUUGUUGGUAAGAAAAAAAAGUAUUUUCAAAUGUAUCAAUAUCUUAACAUUUUAAAAAUUUAUCAUCUUAUAUUAUUAUAUCUAUUUUUCGUACCUAUAUCUAUAUUUCUACUUCAUAGGUUAGAUAUCUCCAUAAAUAAGAUAUUGACAUGAGAGGACAUUAAUCAAUGUUUUUACUACAUACAUGGUAAAAAAACUAAUAAAAUAAGUAACAAAAUGUAACUUGAUAUAAAUUAACAAACACUUCAAUUUGUUUACAAAAAAGAUGCAACAUUUAUUUACUAUUAAAAAAAUUAAAAUCUUUUGUCUUUAUAUUUUUUUAGAAAUAAUAUCUAUUAAUAUUUAUGUUUUAAAAAAUUGAGACAUCAAGGGCAUGAACAAUAACUAAUUACUUGUAGUAUUUUAAAUAUUUGAAUUUGUAAUGAAACCAUGAAUACAUUUAAAGUAAUAUUAAAAAAUAAUAGUUUAUUACUAAAAUAAAACUCUCCGAUUCCUAUGUUCAACCGAUCCAUUGGUUGGAUGACAGUCAAAAACAUGCGAAAAAAGAAACCAACGGCUCAAAACACCUAAAAAGACUCAAUGAAAAAGGAAACAGCCUUAAACAACGCCCAAAAAUCACUCUAUGCAGUACAUAAAUCCAUCCUAGAAGUGUGUGUGUCUGUGUAUAUAUAUAUAUAUGAUCAAGUUCGUUCUUCAUUAAAUCAUCAAGUACUAUUUGUUUUCUUUGCUUUCAACAAAUUAAAAGCGAUUCAAAAUGAGCGUAGAGAUCUUGAACAGUGCAACCAUUAUGAAUUUUGUGGAAGAUGAAGAAGCUUUCAGUGGUUGGAUAAGAGAGCGUUUUAGCCAUCUUGACAUUGAUAGAGAUGGAGUUCUUUGUUAUGGAGAGAUGUUGAAGGAGUUGCAGAGUCUUAGGGUGUUGGAGACUCAUUUUGGGAUUGAUACGAAACCCGACCCCAACGAGCUUUCGUCCGUCUACGGCUCCUUGUUUUUACAGUUCGAUCGCGACUGCAAUGGAAAAGUUGAUCUUGGUGAAUUUAUGGAAGAAACCAAGAAGAUGAUGUUGGCCAUGGCUAAUGGAAUUGGCCUUUCUCCUGUUCAAAUGUUGUUGGAAGAAAAUAGUUUCUUGAAGAAAGCUGUGGAUAGAGAAUCCACCAAACUCGCUGCGGCUUAAUUGCAAUAUAUAUAUAAGUUCUUUCCGAGAAGGUGUAUACCAAUUAUUACGACAUGCAGAGCUAAGAUUAAUUGAGUUGAAUUUUGAUUUUCUUUGGAAGGAUGCUCAUUUCAUCCUAACAAAAUGUUAGAGCAAAACUGAAAUCAUUCAUCUUUUUUCUUUCGAUUGAUGAACUUUUACAUUUUUGUGUAUGAUAAUGGUAGAAAUCAAAUCUGCCUUUUUUCCAUUUUUGACAAGGAUGUAAUAUAAUCUAGCUUUGAGACAGUAAUUUAUUUAUCUUAUAGCUGCGAAUUUAAUUAGGUGAAUUUCACAUGUUACACGAACCAUAUAUGAUACACAAUUGUUAAAAUUAGCUAGAAGACAAUAAGCAUAAGGUGGAAUUCAUAUCCAAUCAUAUAAACUAUAUAUUUAUAUAAAGUUUUAACUUUUGAAAUUAUUGAAACUAAUUAAUUUGAAUUUUCUUCAAAACUAUAGAUAGAAGUGUUUGUCAUCUCAAUUGGAAUAUACAAAAAAACUUGAACAAUCAACUUUUAAGGAGAGGAAGGAAAGAUGUCAAAUAAUUGGGUCAUUGUAGAGAAAUUUUUGUACAACACAUGUUAUAUAUAUUUCUAAUAAGAAUAAAUAUGCUAUAGGAUUUGUAUUGAAGGAAUACUUUGUUCUAUUUUUAAAAUUCUAAGAAUGUGGUAAUUAAAUUAAAUACGUUUUUGAAUUGAUGCCAACAAAUUUGGGGAAUCACAUCCAUUGAAGAUGCUUCCCUCUUUUUCUUGGGUACUUUCGAGUGAAAAUUGAAGAUUUCGAACCACAAAUUUCUUAAUCACACACAUACGUUACAUAUGGUAUAUUAGUUGAGUUAAAUUAGCGUGGAGAAAUAUGCUUCACUUUUAAAACAGCUUUUAGUCUUGUGAAUAGUAAAAUGAAAAAAAUUCUUGGAUAAUCUUUUAUUUCUUUAUUAUUCGUUUCCGUAUAUAAAUUAUAAUGGCUAAAUUAAUUCAAGAAUUUGACUUCCGACCUCUUGAACUAUAAUACAUGUUUAAAUUAGAAAUAUAUAUAUAUUUUUUUUUUUUUGAACUUUUACGUACAAUACAAUCUAUUGAUUGAACUUAUAAUAAUAAUAUAAUAAUUCAUUCAAAAUAUAGUAAAACAAAGUGAUAAACCAUGUUACAAAUAUUGAUUUGUUUCUAUUCGACUAUAAGAGUCGAUAGCCAUAAAAGUAGAUUGUACUAUAUUUGUAACAUUUUAAAUAGUUAUUAUACACUAAAUUAUUGUCCCUAAAAUUCUCGUUCAUUUUAAUCAUCCACAAAAAAUUCUUAAAACAUUAAUAAGCAGAGGCCGAAAAUUAGUAUUGGAAAUAAGAAAACUAAAGCAUGAAAAGAAGAAGAGAGCAAAAACAUAAGAUUCUCCCUAAUAAAACGUCUCUAUACCAAUAGAAUGGGCCAAAACAACACAUUAUUUGAGCAUUUGUUUGCUUUAUUGUUUUCUUUUUCUUUAAAUAAAAAAUAAUAGACAUAGUUGUAAAUUUAGCAAUUACAUUUAAAAUAAUUAACUUUAUAGCAACAUUUUAAAAAAAUUGUCAAAUUCUAUUCAUACAUACAAGUCUAUCAAGAAUUGUUUUGCUAUAUUUGCAAUUGUUUAAAAAUGUUGUUAUAUUCUUAUUUAUUAUUUUUAAAAUUAUCAUAAUUACAAUUACUUAAUAAAAAAUAAUAAUUUUUUGUUUGGUAAAAUAUUUUUUUUAAAAUAAACUUUUAGAGAGGUAAAGGGAAAUAUUAAACGAUGUAAAGAUAUAAUUUUAUAUAUAUAUAUAUAUAUAUAUAUAUAUAUAUAUAUAUAUAUAUAUAAUUUAAAGAAAAAGUUUAUGUAAAAUAGACAAAGAAAUAAAAAAAGGUUUUAGAGAAAGAACGGUGUAGAAAGAGAAUGAAAUGUUAGAGAGAAUAUUAUAGUAAGAAAUUAAAGAGCAAUAGAUGCUGUUUAAAAAAAAAGAUGGAGUGGAUCAAUAAAUUAAACAUAGGUUAAAAGCAAAAGACAUAAAUUCAAGAUAUACAUCAGAUAAAGAGAAUAUUAGUAAUGGAAAGAGAGAAGAAAUUUGAAAGUGAAGUAAGAGGAUAAUUAUUUAAUAGUAUGUUUUAAUCUCUAUAUAACAUUUUCAAAUAUAGCUAUACCAAAAUUAUUAAAUUCUUUAUAGUUUAUUUGAAAUUUUUUUGCUAUAUUUUGUAAAGCUUUGCUUUUUUUUUUUCUUCAUCAAAACAAAACGUGUCGAAGGGUUUCAUUUCAAAGUAAAAUUUUAUUCUUUAAACUAUUUUUUUACUUAUUCAUGCAGAAUUUUCUCUCAAAUCUUAGUCGUAAUAUUCCUUAACCUUAAAGAUUAUUGUCAAUAGAGUUUGACAGCAUAUCUUCUCAGUAUACAGUAGCUAGUAAGGAAUAAAUUUGUAACUUACUUUAGAGGUUAACUUUCUAAACUUUUUUAAAAAAAGAGAAAAAAUCUCUUUUUUAAAAAAACUAAUUAUAAUAAGCAAUAGACUUAGGUGUUGUUAAAAGCAGGUUUAAAAUAAGUGCAUGUUUAAAAGUAAAUUGUAAUCACUUUUUGAUAUCAAAUUUUUAAUAUUACUAAUAUGUGAUAAAAGUGAUGUUAAGCAUUUUAAAAUCAUUCUCAAACAUGCAAUAAAACUGCCAUGAUUUUGUAAACCGACCAAUUGGAUUCUUAACGCUCUACUCACCGACCUCUCCUUGUGUUGACUUUGGUUCAUUAUUAAAAUGUGUUGUAUAAAAUUCCAUUUGAACAUCCUUUUUCACAUCCAUUAAAUCAAAUCAAGGAUUGGCCCCCAAGAACCUUCAACAGUGGCAUAAACAAAUGGCUAAAAGAGAAAUAAACCCUCCUGAGACCUAUUUAUAUGAAGAAACCUGACCCAACCUUCUGCUCAUAAAAAACCCAACUCAAAAUCUUUUCCAAUACCUUCCAAUUUCCUCUUUAAUUCACCUAAAUAUCAGAACUAGGAAAAAUGAGUGUGGAAAUAUUGGACGGUACCACAAUUGUCAACUUUGUUGAAGAUGAGGCAGCUUUUAAUGCCUAUAUAAGAGCCCAAUUCGCUCACCUCGACACUGACCAUGAUGGUCUCCUUUCCUAUAAUGAGAUGCUGGAGGAGUUACAGAGCCUCAGGGUGUUCGAUGCCGAUUUCGGAAAUGAUGAGAAGCUUGGUCCAGAUGAGCUUUCGUCUGUCUAUAGUUCUCUGUUUUUGCAAUUUGAUCGUGACUCGGAUGGAAUGGUUGAUCUGGAUGCGUAUAAGACUGAGAUCAAAAGAAUGAUGCUAGCUAUGGCUAAUGGGAUUGGCUUCUUACCUGUUCAGAUGGUGCUUGAAGAGGGCAGCUUCUUGAUGAAGGCUGUUGAGCGUGAAACUGCCAUAAUGGCUGCUUGAGUAAAGUUACCUUUUAACUCGCUGUAUUAGUAAAUUCAAGAAACAAUUCAAAAGAGUGAGGUUUUUGUUAACUGAAAUAAGAUGUUUUUCUUUUUGUCAUAUAAAUUUCCUCUAAAUUCAAAAGAUUAGUAGCCAUUAACUUACACGCCAAUUCCACAGCAACAUGAACAGUGUUUUCUACUUGAAAAUGGAUGAUGGUUAUUAUAAGAACAGGGACAAUUCAGGAGCAGGAAUGAAGCAGAACAUACUUUCACCAAACAAAUCUAACAUAGAUGUUAACAACUUUCCAGAAUUAAGAUCCUCCUUCCAGACUUGAGAUAGGACAGCUGAUUUUUUAAGAAUUUGAUCAUCAUGCUUCCCCUUUCUACUAGUGCUGCCCGAUGAUAUGGCUUCAUUUUGCAUCUGUCCAGAAGAUGUAGGCGAAACCAGAUUGGAAUUGCCAGAGGCAGCCGGAACAACUGUUCCUUCCAUGUGUGAUGCCGAUGAAUUAGUUAACAUGACGCCCAUUGGACCAUCAAUUGACAUCCUCUUGAGAGGAGGCUGCCCUUCUAAGUAGUCUGCAUUUGCCUUGCGUUUGUCUAAUAUUACACGUGCAGGAAAAAAAAUGAAUUUUAGCAUGUCAACUUCAAGCAGUAUACAACUUGCAUCAAAAACUAGAAGAUUCCAAAAGUUGUAGGAUUUGAAGGAUUUGGUCACUUAACAAGAGAAAAAAUCAGCAUGCAACAAUUAGGACAAAUCAAAUAUUUACCAUUUUAGUUCAGCAGGCUCACUAUUCAUAUAAUUCAAGGUAUACUAGGGGGACGUUUCUGUAUGCAGUGCCAUUCAUUAAAUAAAACUCAGAAACAAAAAUUCAAGAGAAGUAGGUGCCGAAAAUCACGUCAUUCAAGGAAUAAAACUUUCCAGCUUAGAGAAAAGCGAACUAAAAUUGAUACCAUUUUGUAUCUCAGUUUGAUUCAGAGAAAGUUGCAAGAGCUUACUUGGGAAAGUGGUGGUGAUAGUUCUUGCAUUUGUCCGCAAAACAGAACCUGCUGGCGUACUAAGCAAAGGAGGAAAAAUCUUGAUGCGUUCAUAUAUGCACUGACCGACAGCUCUCUGUAAGCCAUUUUGUGUCAUUAAAAGAUUACAUCAGUUCCCACAGAAUAUUCAGGUAAGAAACUAAGAAUGCUACACCAGAUCCUAACAAAAGAACUCACGAGCAAGGCUCCAUAAACAUGCCACGCUUCAUGCCUCUUCAUCUCAUUCUUUUGAUUAGCAAGAAGCAUCUCAGGUUCCAGAAGUCCCAGAUAUGGCUCAAGAUUUGGUAGUAUAAGAAGAUGAACCUAUAAAAUAUUAAAUACUACAAAUAAUUAUGAAGUCAAAAGACCUUUUUACUUUUCAUAUGUUUACUAUUGCACUUGAAAGAUAUGCGAUCAUCAUUAUCAUACGUCUGAACAUGGAAUGAAUCCGAAGGUCAAAGGCUUUUCUGGUAUACAAUUUUAUUUGGUAAUGAGAAACUAAUACGUGUUUAAAUUAAAGAAAAGAAGCUGCAGGGCCAACAGACCGGAUUCUCUUCGUGUUGGUGAGAUAAAAAGAAAUAUCAAGCUAGAUUAUUUUCACUUCGAUCAUAUCAAGCUUAUAAAGGUUAGAAAACCAAACAAGGAUGAACUCAACGAGGUAAAAAUUCUAUUCAGAUAAAAUCAACACACUAAUCAUAGCCAUCUUUUAAGUUCAACCUGAUUUGUCUUGUUCAUCUCAAAUAGCAAACAGAGGCAAACUAUAUAAACAUGAUCACUUCCCUUCUCUCUAAUAGCAUUGUUUUUCAUACUUUUGAGACAAACACGUCAGUUUUAUUUCCACACGGUCAUGUUUUCUUUUGCAUCCUUCUCCAACCUCCAACCCUCUAGAUAGUCUAAUUAAAGAUAAAGAAGCAUGUAAGAAAAAGCAUACCACAUUCAUCCCUAAGGCAGCUAAUCCUCGAAUUGCACCAUAAUGUUGAGUCAAAGACCGCUUUGGGUCUAAAAAUGCAUUGAGAAGAGUUUUUGUGAGCUUUGUCUGCAGAGUGUUGUAAACAUGACCAAACCUGCAACACUAAAACUGCAACCUUAGCAAAGAGCGAAACAUCUUGGAAGUAAUGUUACAGAUGACAAAGAAUUAUACUAUGCUCUGAAGAAAGAUGUUUUAGUAGUGUGUCUAUUAGUAGUAUUACUUAAAGAUCAAAAACCUACUUCCACUGAGAUAAAUGGAAAAAUCAAAAAGAGCAUACAAAAAGAUAAGAUAACACAAUAAAAGGGGACGUCCAAGUCCCAAACUAGCAAUAAAUAAAGGAGUUCAAUCUAAAAGCACAAGGCUGAAAGGAUAAUUACAAAAAGCACAAGUAACAGAUGCCUAAAAGAGAUAUAUUAAAUCAAACAAGAGACCACACCUCCUCUUGAGAUCCCUCAAGCCCCUCACAAACUCUCAAUCCUCUCUAGCCAUAUUCCCAAACAAAAGUAGAGAAAGCACAAUGCCCCAAAAUCAACGUGUAAUACAACAGGGGAAUGGAAGAGCCCUUCCUAAAUCAUACCUUAGCAAGCUCCCACUAAGUAUUAGAGGAACCUAUUUUCUGCAGAGUGUUGUAAAUUAAAAUUCAUAUAGACCAAAUCCAGUUUGAUAUGCAGUAUACUACAGCUAACUUGUUUAAGGUGGUAGUUGAAAUGAAGCAUUGCAAUUACUGCAAGUGAUCAAUAAGAAGCAAGCCAAUAAAAUAUAAAAUUAAUUUUUAUUUAAAUAAAAACUCUAGAAUAUAUAACUAAUUUAAGUUGAUAUUCCAUACGGGCAUGCAGUUUCAUAACCAUGUAGAAAGUCAGUCUCAAUUGCCUAUGGCCAUAAUAAAAAAUGAUAAGCAUUUGACUAAACAGAACCUGACAAAUCAAAUCUCACCUUUUACAUAUUAAAGCAACCACUUUUGCUGUGAAGUCUCUAAGCUCCCAAUGGUUGUCUGAAAACCUACUCCCUAACCUUUUUGCAACGAGGCAGGUCACAACAGAUGGCAUCAUUUGGUGUAGCUGAGAAGAAAAUAUGCUUGUCUCAGAGACAGAAUGAAUACCUUCCACACAAAGCACCAAACAAAACCAUGUAUUUAUCCUUUUUGUUGAAUUAAAACCGACUCACAAUGUAAGAAUAAAACGCAUACUAAAGAUAUCUUUUGAACAAGUUGAAGAAUGAUCAAAAGCCCAAAUUCGUUUUUUCUUCAGGAAAAUCACAACUUUCAUUGAGAAAGAAGGAAAGAAUAUACAGGCAUUCAAAAAAGCCAAGCCCACAAAAAAAGCCCAAGUUGGUAUUUGAUAGAGAUAAUAGGAGGAAAAUUAUUCACAAGGCCAAACAUUUGAAAUUGGAAACAUCUAUCAGCCUAUUUUAGUGAUCAACUUGAAAUAUUAUAUUCACAAGAAAUGUUACCUUCAUUGAUAUGCAAUUGCAAAGGAAGUAGAAGGAGGGAAAAAAGGGAAUACUACAGAUAAAAGCUAAAGACACCCUGAAGAACCUCACAGAAAAACCCAUCUGAAUUUGAGCUUAUCACAAAAGGAGUAUAAUUGAUAUGUCUAUGUCCUGCUAAUGAAAUAAUUCCACGAACUUUCAGGAUCCACAAAUGAACUUAUCGAUAUGAAUUCCUUUUUAGCAUCUCUACAAUGCAGAUGAAUCAAAUAUGCAUCUUUGUCUCACUCAAUUAUCUAAAUUUGAAUGACUUCUAUUCUAAUUCGUAUUCUAAUAUCAGUUACACUGACUGCCCAGAAUCAUGGAAGACAAGGCAGCACAAGAUGAUGAUAGUAAUACAGCCACUAUAGAAGAUCAAUGAGUUGUCCUCACAAUACUUACUGGACUUGAACAUUCAUGAAUCUCAACUCAACCUUCAGAAAAAGAAGAUUACACAACAUUCAACUCACAUAAGGUUCAAUGUGGAUAUGAGGGUUCUGAAGAAGACUCCAAACAACACGCAUCAAAGCAAAAAGAAGGGAAUAAUCACCCAGUCCACGAGCAACCUGAUAUCAUUGGAGAAUCAACAACAGUAAAUUUAAAAUUAAAAAACAAAUCUCAAGAAAUUCUAAUCCAAUCUUGUGUUCAAACAUUUAUACCUCGUCAGCUAUAUAGCACGUAAAAUAAGGAACCAAUGGGUGAAGUCCCGAGUCCGUAGCUAAACUCACUAAUGCCUUCUUAAAAAGGUCCGUACUGGAUCUACUAACAACAAGCUCUGUGAUUUUGUCAAAAUAAAGCUGCAAAUAAUGUUUGAAAACGUGUAGGUUAGAUAUAAAUUAAACUUUAAUAUAAAAAUAUAAGCCAAUAACAAGUCAUUUACCUGAAGUUCCUUGGAAAGUAUAUGCUUCACUGGUAAUUUGAUGUCAACUGGAACCUCAUCCUUUUGUUCACUACUUUUGGUAUCAGAAGGUGGUAAAAUUACUGUAGAAAGGAAAGAUACAAAAUAGAGGUUACUAAAUAAAUUGGGUUGCAACAACUGGAGAAAACAGGAAAGAGGAAGAAAUGUUAAAGAAAAAGUACAUCCAAUUCCUUCUUCCUUUGGGAAAUAUUAAAAACAAUCUAAGCAUGGUUGCUUUUGACCAUUAAAAGAAUCCCACAUAACCAACAGAGCAGAAAGUCUUGCAUAAUUGCAGAAAAAUCACACAAGUGAUUCAGCAUUUGCAGAAAUUGUUAGACUGAAGAUCAUAAAACCUCAAGCCAAUUCUUAGAACAACCAAACUCAGACAGUUAUAUUUGAACUUGAACCUUGCAAAGUUGUAAUAAAUGAAACAAAACUAAACGUACAUCUCUCCAUUUCCUUUUCCCUCUUCAUUUCAAUAACUACAGUUGGUUUUCACUCGAGCCCUUGAACCACUCAUCACUCUUGAUCCAUGGUUUUAAAGCUCAAGGUGCAAUAAAGCACAAUAGUUUUCAAGGCAUAAAAAAUGUGUGGGCUUUUUUUUUUGUGAGGUGCACUAUAUAUAAAAGUAAUAAACUAAGAAGAGAAAACAUAGUUGAAAUGAAAAUAUGAAAAAUCCAUAAGAAAUAGAAAAGACCCAUAGACACAAAAAGUUUGCAUUUAGGCUUAGUAAUUUUAUUUUUUAGCUAAUAAAGAAUGAAAAAACCUAAUUAUUACUACCAGUUAAAAGUAAUGAAAAAACCCCCAAGCCCCAAGGUUUUGGGGCUUGGGCCUUCAAGAAAGGUGUGCAUCUAGGUACCUCCCGGAAGGCUUUGUAAAACACUGCUCUUAAAGAAACGUUUCUUCUUCAAAACCAACAAACACACAAAUAUCUACUACAUGCUAGCAAGUUAAAUGUUACCAGCAAAAGUUAGUCGUUUACAUUUUGGGGAUCCAAAUACAUAUCUGCCUGACUUGAGAGUUAUAACAAUCAACGUUUUAAUCAGAUUUGAGACAAACCUUCUACAGGAGCAUUUUCUGGUAUUGCAGGCUGUACACCUUCAAUUGCUAGCCAAUGGCAAAAAACUGCUGCAUCAAGAGGAGCUUUUGGCAAUGGGGCGUCAAUAACCUAGAAGUAAAACCCACAUUUACACUAAUUAACAUUGGCCUAAAUGGGACAUGUUGAGUGAUGAACUUUGUCUUACGUCUUUAAAUUCCAGGUCCUUGUCCUCGAGGUAAAACAAAUCCCUAUGUCCCAUGGCUCUCUUAAAUCGCAAGGGCCCUCCUGAGGCAAAGCCAUACAUUGGCUGCCACAUUAACAUCAGAAAGGAGAGUGAAUCAUUAUUAGAAACUGAUAAAAGAAACAUAGGGUAUGUUGAAUUGCUCCAGCAGGAUCUUCAAGAUAAAACGCACAAAAAUCAUGCAUCCUUUAUAUCUGAUGAAUAUAACACAUCAACUUUACAAGAUAUUUUUAUAUUAUGGAAGCGUUUAAGUUAUACCAAAAAAUCAAGAAUAAACGCCUUUCUUAUCUUGUAAAUCAAACACACCAAAGUUUUCCUUUUGUUGAUUGUUUUCUAGGAGUGGUCACUAAUGCAGGGAUAUUUCAAGUCAAACAUUAUGAUAGUUGACGUCAAUAGGCACUAAAGACAGGACAUUAUCAACAAAAAGAGAUCAUACUAAUCCCAACCCAGAUCGCUUAUAUAAGGAAACUUAUGGUUUACAUAGUGCAUCACUUGUCAGAAUUGACAAGGACAGACUAUUACAUCACUCCAAGUCCUAAAUCAAGAUAUAAGAAAUAAAAGAAUAUUUGCAUAUAAAGAUGAUAGAAAAACUACCAUCAAAGGCAUGCAGAUUUAAAACACGCACAGAAGCCAUUUGCUCUAGCAUUGUACUUACCUCUACAUUUCUCAGGUUUAAUGCACCAUCAACAUCAUCUGCUGUCAACGUAGUUCUCUUGGAGUGACGCAUGCAUUUGAUGGCCUCCUAGAUUCCAAGGAAGAUAAAUAUUAACUCCUCCAUCAUUUAUUAUUCUACGACACACUAUAUUUAUAAGAGACUCUUUUUCCACUUUUGAUCGUCUUAUGGAAUUAGUGCUUUCUACUGCUUUUUUUUUUUUUUUUUUGGUACAAAACCAAGCAGUAAGCACCCUUUUUUCACAUUUCAGCUUACCAUACUUAUGCUCUAAUUGGAGACUUUUAUUGUAAACGCCUAUUAAUGUCAGGUUUAUUCUUUAGUUCAUUCAUCAAUGAAAUGUUUCUAUUAUAUAAAGAUUUUACAAGUUUUUGAGUAUCAUGACAUAGAACCACUAGAACAGAUACUGUGACCUCUUAUUCAAUUUAGCCACGCCGUGCAUUGGGCUCAUAAAUGCCAUUGCCAACAUCCAACCGUUUUAAAGAUACCAGUCACCCAAUUCUUCUCUUUGGUAUAAGGCAGCCACGCAGGUGACCCUCGAUUUUUAUGAACCUAAAGUCAUUGUUAAGCAACACCUAAACAAGUAUAGCCUAAAAAAAAAACUCUCCUUGUGCCGAACAUAUACCUUAGUUUAAGCAUAAACAACAAAAAUACCUGCAUGAUCUCCCGCAAACGAUAUUCCACAUCAGGAGCAACUGCCAAUGCGACAUCUGGGGAUAAGUUAUUGAUCCCAACACAUUGAGCAAUGACCUCAAUGUUUUCUUUAGGUACAGCACUCAUUUUGUUUCUUCAAGAUCUCAUGUACGGAGCGCCCAAGUAACCAGAUACGUCCUACAAUGUAAAACACCCAUCAAUUAAAACCUCUGUAAGAGUAGAUAACAUUCAUAUUAUAAGAAAAAGAAGAAGAGUGAAAGAUUAUGUUACGAAACCCACGUCACGUCAGCGCUGUGGUUUGUAGCGAUAUUCAAGGCAUUCCAACCGAUUCUGUUAAGCUUAAGCUUAGACCGCCUUUGGGGCAAAUUGCACAGGCCCAAUAAAGUAAUAAAGGUAGAAAUGAAGAAAUGGCUUCUCCGGAUUUGUUCUACAAUCGAUAAACAGCUUUACUCCAUGGAAAUUGAAUCUAAGAUCAACCAGCAAGAUUUCAAAGAGCCAAAAGCUUACGAUUGGCGAUUACGGUGAUGAAUGGCACUGCAUGAGCUUAAGCGGAGUAGAAAAUUUGAAGCUUUGGCAAUUUAUAUAAGGAAAAUCCGCAGGAUUCAGUAUCCGAGUUUUUUCGCGGUGGACUUUGAAGUUCGAAGAACACAAAAAUAAUGGAAGGAAGCAAACCCGAAUGAAGCGGGUAACCCAACUUCCCAAUCCCAAUUCGAAAUUUUUACAAAUUUCCCCAAAUAUAAUAUAUUUUCUAAAAAAUAAAAGUACAUAUAUAAAAAAACUCACAAAUUUAACCAAAUUUCUUAUUCUAUUCCUAAUAAACAUUUCAUUUCUGUAGCCAUUUAUUUGAUAUACUUCAAAUAUUUUAAUUUAUUUUGCUAUUUUUCUAUCUUUAAAUUAAAAGCGUACAAAUAAUUAGAUGUAUUAAGCGAAUUAUUAAAAAGUUAAUCCUUUAAUAAAUUGGUUAAAGUCUCCAAUACACAUACAAGUUAAUUAUGUUUGUGCAUUCAUGCGUGUUUCUCGUGUAAGAUUUGUUUUAUUCAUUUGCAGUAAUCUCAAACAAUUACUUACAUGUAGGUGUUGAACUUUUCACGAAUAUCAAUAAUGUGCAGUAAAGUAAACUUGAUUUUAGUUGUGCAUUUGAUAUUGUAAUCUCUUUGAUUCUUGAUUUGUUUGUCAUCUUUUUGGAUUGGUUUAUAACUUGUUGGUUGUCUUAAAGAAUCAACCAGCAAUGUGUUUGAAGUUUGAAUUUGAUGGGAUGCAAUAUAAAAGUGUCUUGUUAGUUUAACAAUGUGUAACGAUGAAGAUUCGAUCCUCCAAACUUUUUGUUUUAUUUGACAUUUACUCUUUCUUUCUUGAAGUUGGAAUUUUGAAUUUUUGUAUCCACUUUAUUUAUAUUAAAAAGUCAAAGUUACUUAUUUACCCUAUUAAAUUAUCGAAUGUACCACAAUAAACAAACUUACAUAUUAAACAUAAACUUAUCUUAAAAAAUCACGUAGGAUUAAAAUCUUAACGAAAGAGAUGAAGAAGCUUAUAUCCAAUAAAACAUAAAAUUGAAUGUAAAGACAUGCAAUAAAAUAAGUACAAUUUUGUUUUUGAUUUGAUUCGAUACAACUCGUAAUAAUAUUGGACUUCUCGUUCUCCCUUCCUACGGGUCCAAGAAUGUUUUUUCUAAAGAAAAAAAAUGAAUAUACUAACUUUUGUAAUAUAAUUUAAAUUAGGUUAGGUCAUAUUCAUAAAAUAGUCUUUUAAAAAAAAUGAUAUUUUUUGUAAAGGGAAAAGUUAUAGUAAUGAUACUAAAUGUUCGCCUUAUAUUAAUUUUGAUUUGAUGAGGUUAUGUUUACUAAAUCCAAUGGUUAAAACUGUGUUGUUGAUUUUGAUCUUGAUGCGAUGUGAUUUGAUUUGUAGAAUUUGAUUCUCUUAUUCUCUCUUAGUUGUAUGUGUAUGCUUGAUUUGAGAAAGUGAAACGUGUUGAUGUUCAUGAAAUUAAUGCCUUCGAAUAAUGUUUAUAUCUUUAAAAGAACUUGAGUCUUCAAGUGUGGUCAAGUUUAACUUCUGACUAUGAAAAUUUCUUUAUAUACUUUCGAAGUAUAUAGUUUCUUACCUUACAAAUGAAGAAGAAAUCUUUUAUCUCUAGGGAUCUUUGGUAAGCUUUAUGGAUUUAAAUUUAUUUGAUUCAUAGACCCGUUCCCUAAUCAACUAAUUGGAUUUGGAUCUUAUCUAAAAUAUUUACAAAAUAAGACAACAAAACUUAAAUAAGAUAUAGAGAGGGAUGGAUUUUGCUAUAUAUUCUAUUAGCAAAACUUUUAACAUUGUAUGCACAAAAGGUUACCCUCUAACUUUAGCACAUGAUUAAGUUGUUUACUAAAGAUGAAAUGGACAUGUUGAAAGGCAAAAGAACAUUUCAAAAUUACAAGAACCCAUUGAGAAAAAAUUAUUAAAUUUAAACCUGAGGCAUUAACCACAAUAUAAGAAACUAUAAAUAUUCAAAUCCAAUCCUCAUUUCUAAUCAACUAUUCACAAUUUUUCAGUACAUUACUUUUGGUUAAGUGACAGACUAAUAUGUUUUGGCUAGUGGCCACAGAGGUAAUUAAAAGAUGAGAAGGGAUUAAAAAGUUGAAUGGAUGAUUGUUUGUUAAUUGAAUAAGUGAAGUAUGAAAAAUUAAAUCUACCUUUAACAGAAUGAGUGAAUAUCAAUUAUGGGUAUAGUCGCUUUCAUAAAUUGAUAUUUAUUACUAUGCUACAAGUCAUCAAUAAACACGAUAUAUAUUACUUAAAAAACAGUUAAAUUGUCAUUUUCAUCCUUAUGACUUAUGUUUUUUUGUUCUUUUUUUCUUCUGCUAAGCAAUGGCAAAGGAGGGCUUGACUUGACUUUUUUAAAUGGUAGUAAGUGGAUUGUACACUUAAAUACGUUUAUAUUUGUUUCGAAGUUAAAGAAAGCAUGACUCAAUUGUCAUGUGAAUUCAUAUGUACUAGUAACAACAAAGCGAGAUCUGUUCGAACUUUUUUAUUCUAAGUUGUACUACAAGGAUAGUUAAAUCUUCCCAAAAAGGAAAAAUACUAUCAUCACUCUUUGUGACGUUUUCGUUUUAAGAAACAAAAGCAAAUAAGAAAAUUGUUUAACACAUGAAAACAACCAAAGACACAUCCAAAGAUUUUAGAGAAUCAUAAGGAUUAAAAUAAAAAUUUAUAAAUCGUAGGGACUAAAAUGAAACCGAAUAAUUUUGGGACCAAUAUAGUUAAUUUAAUCCAGAAGGGAAAAAAAGAUGGUUAUGUUAUGUCAGAGUGUAAUGAAAAGGAAUAGACAUAUCCUCAUUGCCAAGCAAACCUUUUUUUCUUUUGAGGGGGGUUUGGUUUGAUGAAACCACAAAGCAGUGUGUGGCAACCAUGUGCAAAAAGUUAUCUGCAAAGCAAUUAAACUCUUACCAAUCUAAUCCUUUACUUUUUCUUCAUCUUCCAUUAUUUCCUUUGAGAUUUAAUUAUCCCAUGUCCAGCUCUAAAGGGUAUUUGAUAAUUUCUCUCUAACAAUUUGCUUCCAUUUCCCUCUUUUUUAACCUUUAUAAUACUGCCCCCAUUUGCAUUUUCUCUGAGUUGUGUCAAUUACUCGCAGGUUUAUUUAUCUCUUUCUCUCUCAUUGCAUGACUUUCAGCACCACAAAGACUUAAAGAAGCUGUUUUUCUGUAGAUUUCCCUUCUGGGUUUUCUCUGUUUUGUUGAAUGUCAUGGGAAUUAAAGGAGAAUUGGUUAGGAAUGUGUUCUUGAGGAAUCGUUCUUUCAAGACCCAUGAGAAAAAUGUAAGUUUGGAGUAUAGUUAGUGUUCAUUUUCUGUGAACUUGUUCUACUUUUUUUUUCUUCUAAUCAUUGCUGUCUAUGUGCUUCAUGAAAUGCCAAGCUGAAUCUUCUUGAUUUUUCUUUUGUUCUUUAACUUGCUUUCAUCUUCAAUUUCAUUUGUAUCCCAAUUAUUUGUUUUCUUUCCAAGAUGAUCGUGGUUUCUGAGUGAACUUUUGUUGUUUUGAUUUCUGAUCCGAAUUUUUCAGACGAGGAGCCAUAGUUCUGUGGAAAGGAAAAAAUGGCACUCUGUUAGAUCUUACCUGUGUGGGGAUGAGUACAAUUCAGUUCUUGUUGAGGAAGAUGCAGCUUCCAUUAGAAGCUCUGAAGCGACUGUGACACAGCCUGUUGAGGAGCUAGAGGUUUCAAAACAGAAACAAGAACCUGGAGUGGAGGAAUCGGAAUUAAGCUCUCAAUUGUUGAAGCGCCAAGAACAAGCAGCAUUCAUCAUCCAGUCAGCAUUUAGAAGCUUUCUGGUCAUUUUAACACUUUUGCUUUGUGUUAAAACAUUUGGAUCCCAAAACUUUUGGUUGAAUCUUCUUUGAUUCAACAAAAUGAAGUGGAACAUCAAACUUCUUGAGCUUUAUAGCGAAAAGGAUAGAAAUGAACUUUGUGAAUUGAUGAAUUUGAAUUGCAGGCUCGGCGUAGAGAUGAGCAAAUAAAGACGAUGGAUAAUGAUUGUAAGGACAUCAUCGAGGGAAUAGAAAGUCCAAGUGGAGAGUCUCUAAGAACGUCCAUUGAAGUUCAGACUGGGAAUUCCGAAGCUUUCUCCGUUCAAGAUGAAAGAACUUUUCUUUCCAACCGAGUACAACAGAAAUCCAAAACCCAAUUACAUAGGCUGAAGGUUGAAGACGACAUGCUCUCGUAAUUCUUUGAAAGCUAGUAAUGAUCAUAUGUAACCUGUUUAGCCCUCUGGAUUUUGUAGGAAGAAUGGGAUGAUAGUACAGUGAGUAGCAAUGUAACAAAAAUGAGGAUUCAAAACAGGCUAGAAGCAUCAACCAGGCGUGAAAGGGCUCUAGCUUAUGCUUUCUCACAACAGGUACAAUUAUAAUAAUUCCUUAGAAAAUAAAGAAGUCGGAUUGUUUGGUGAAAUAAUUCUUGUUACUCCUAUCGCAUCGUUAGUUAAGAAUUUGCUCGAAGAGAAAGCACUCGAAAUCCGACGUCAUAGAAGCGAACAUGAGCUGGAGCUGGCUAGAGCGAUGGAUGGCCACCCGCCUUCCUGAAGGAUCCUCGGUUGAAACUCACACGAGGAAGCCAUCAGAAGUGAUUGACAACAAUCAUAGAUUGAUGAUAAGCCAAAGGCUCUUUGAUAUAAGUGCAGAAGAAAAGGAAAGCUGCGGAUCUAAUGAAGUAUCUGUAAGAUCUAUUAACUUCUCUGCUGAUGCUUUGAAGAAUACAGAUAGCAACUUGGCUAAGAACAGAUCAAAAGGUUCAAGUGAUAUAUCAAGGAGAAAAACAGUACCAAGCCUCCACUUUGAUGGAUAUUUUACAAAGGUAUAUCUCAAUCCACUUUGACUAAUGAAAGACCUAAUCGGAAUGGCUUUUGCUUGAAAACCCUUUUUCACAUUUUUUUAACACUUUAAAAGUCAUUUCGGACCUAGUUCGGAAACCAUAAAAAGCAAAGACCAACCCAAGUAGCUUCAACUUAAAAGGCCCAUUAUUCUCUGUUUUUCAUUGUAUAUUUAUUGUUUCUUCUCAAUUUAGGUGAGCAAACGGGAUUGGGUAACACUAGCAGAGAGUGAAAGAGAUAAAAAGAGCAGACAAAAGCAAGCUGGGGGCAGAGGAGAAAUCAAAUGUAACGAUGCAUAUAUCAACAGUUCUCCAAGUUCCUCUCCACUUGAAUCUAGAAUCGGUGUGUAAUUUAGACAUUGAAAUCUCCCAGUCCAUCAUCUUUGAUGUUAUUUAUGUUAUAAGGCAACCCCAUGUAUAUUAAGGAUAAAAACUCUCAUAAUCAGUCGGUAACCACUUAGAAACCGUUUGGAGCAAAGCUUGUCUAGGACCAUAAUAACUACCGUUUGGAACAAAACUUAUCUAGGACUAGUAAGACCAUAAUAACUACCGUUUGGAACAAAACUUAUCUAGGACUAUAAUAACUACGUAAAUACUAUUUGCUACAGUUUUUAUUAUCUGACAACCAUCAUUUUUUUAUUAUAUUAUUUGCUAUAGUGUUUACUAUUUCCUUAUCAAACUAAAAUAGUCUACACACUAAACACAUAUGUAAUUCAAACGAAAAUAAUCUACACCUCGAACACAAACUAUUCUAAUCAAACUAUAAUAACACAAAACUAUUCUCCAAUAGUGCAAAGUAUUUCCUUAAAUAAAAUGCAGAAAUCUUUGUACAAUAAUAACUUUCCCACCACAAAGACCAAUGGAUCUAAAGUAAAAGGCUUAUAAUUGACCUUAACUAGUGCAGACUGAUGAACACUAUUGAAGCAAGUUGAGAAGACAUCAUAACUAUUUUGUACAUUAAGCAAUGAAUGUAUACCUGACACACGACAACAGAAGAAAAAAGUACAAUUCCAUAUAGUGUAGAAUGUCUAUUCAUUUACUCUUAAAAUAAGAAAAAAUAUCACAUCUUGCAUUUAAAAAGAAUGGUACAAAACCAUCUCAACAACGGGGUGAAGUUGUAUUUCAAUAGAAGUAUUAUUGGCUAGAAGGGGCAUAUGCAAUCAUUCAGUAUAAACGAACAGAUGUUACAUGGGAUUGAACCGAUUCCCAUCUGCAUUUUCAGACUAUUACGAAAUGGAAUUCGGUUAUAAAACCUCACCCCACUUUAGUAUAUAGUUAUCAUUUACUAAGAGAUUAUUCAAAAUAAAGGACUAACAUCUAGAUCUUAUCAAUGUCUUCAUCCUCAAACUCGAUAUAAGCAUCACCACCACCUUCGUCAUCAUCAUCCAUACCCCCAACAAUACCCUCAUUAAGACGUGUAUUCUCAGGUAACUCACCGUAAGCUUUCAAAAGCCUGGCUUCAUCAGGCAUGUAUUUGAGAAUCACAUCAGCUUUGUCGUCUUGAUAGUCACGAAGACCAACUAGUAUGAUAUCCCCAGCUGCAAUCCAAACUUUCUUGUGCAUUUUUCCUCGAAUAUGACAAAGACGUUUAGUUCCAUCAAUACACAUCGCUUCACACCGACCAUUACCUAGCAUUCGAAGCACUUGAGCAUAUUCCUGUCCAUCUUCCUUAAACACAAGCUCACGCUUCUCAUCAUCUGCCUCGUUCUUACCUCUCUUCCUAUUCUUUCCUCCUUUUCCCUUGUUCUUCGGCAUGGUUGCAGAUUAUACUAUCAAUAUAAUGGAAAAUUAGUCACCAGAAACAUAGAUUCAUAAACUAAGCUAGAAAGUAAAAGCCAAAGAAGUGUUUGUAAAAAAGAGCAUUAGCAAAAUCUGAAUUCUCCCUUUCCCUUGUUCUUCGGCAUGGUUGCAGAUUAUACCAUCAAUAUAAUGAAAAAAUAGCCACCAGAAACAUAGAUGCAUAAACUAAGCUAGAAUGUAAAAGCCAAAAGAGUAUUUGUAAAAAAGAGCAUUAGCAAAAUCUGAAUUAAUCAUGAAUUAUCAAAAUAGAUUUGCAUUUGCCAAAAAGGAGCAAAAGAGGAGUUUCAACACUUAUGACCUAUCAUGAAUAGACUAGGGUACGAGCAUGUAUGCACAAAACAAAACCACUGAUCAAUCAACAAAUAUGAUCAUGUGGGGUUUAACUAGUAAAACAGAUAAUUUUCUUUCAGCUCUCUAAUAAUUGCAUGUUUUGGCUAAUUUUGAAAAGGCUAAAAUAAUUUUCUUUUGAUAUUCAAAAUCACUCUGAAACUAAUAUGAUGUUUAAUUUACACUUUUUAAAUGUUAAUUCUUAAUCAUAAUAAUUGGACAUGAUUUUAGUCACUCAUGACCCACAACCCUAGCUAGUUACUGCAACCUUUUAACAUAAUCAAAAUUCAUUUUACAUGCGAUGAACACAAUUAAAGACCAGGAAAUCAAAAAAGAAAGAAAAAAUGAUGAGACAAUACGAAAAUCCAAAAUAUUCACACUAAUCAAGCUAUCAUAAUCUUCAUCAAAAGAAGAAAAUGGCCGAACAAAAGAAGGGUUAAACAUAAUAUUGACAUGCAAAAAUAUGGGUAUGAAUUAGAAGGAAAGGAACAAUCGAAGAGUACCUUUUCUCGCACAGAUGGUUCAAUCGAGCAAUUUUGCAGAAGAAAGCUAUGUAAUCUGAGAAUUAAGAAUGUUCUUCUAUCUUCUUAUUAUUACGCAACCUAAAAGUAUUAAAAAAAUAAAAUAAAAAGAGAGAAUCCCCCAAUGGACCGGGCCGAUUUUUAGCCCUAUAACAAUGAAUUCCUGAUUUGGGCUAGCCCAAAACAACCGCCAAAUUUAGCAGGCUUAACAUCCUAUUCAACUUAAUAAUAUACAUAGUAACGAUUUUAUAAAAAUGGUUUUUAACCUAAAUUGAUGUAUGAUAUUACGUAAAAAAAUCCAAAUUACUAAUAAAUUUUAUAAAAGUCCUAAAUGAACUAGUAUAUUACAUGAAGGCUUAAAUUACUUUAAUACUUAUUUCUAUUAUUUAAUUAAUUUAUAAUAAAUAUCUAAAUAGAAAAAAUGGUGGGAUAUAGUUUUGGAAAGAAGUGAGGUCUAAAUUAAUUUAAUAUCAAUUUCUAUUAUUUAAUUUAAUUGAUUUAUAACAAAUAUUUAAAUGGAAAAAAUGGUGGGACACUGUUUUGGAAAUAAGUGGGGCCCAAAAUAAUUUAAUACAAAUUUCUAUUGUUUAAUUGAUUUAUAAUAAAUAUCUAAAUGGAAAAAAUAAUGAGGUACAGUUUUGAAAAAAUAAUGAGGUACAGUUUUGAAAAAGAAAUGGAAAACUUUUCAUGUUUUCCUUCUAUGAAAAUGGUUGUCUACUCCUUCCAACGUGGAUUACGAUUUUUACUUCAAAAUUUUAGGGAGUUCGGAGGUGAAGAAGAAGACAGUUGACGGCUCACAAAUACAAAACUUCUCGAACAUAAUCUAGUUAAAAACUUUGAGGUUAGUAUUGCAUAUAUUCAACACAUAUAAAACAUUAGGUAUAUUAUGUAUAUUUUAGAUAUUCAAUUAAAUAGUCAAUCAAAUGAAAAUGUAGUUUUAAAUGUGAUACAUUUUAGGGUUUAUUGAGAUUUUGGCGGUGAAAAAAAAAACUUUCGAUGGCCAAAAAAUACAAAACUUAUCCGAGAGAAUCUAGCUAGAAAAUUUGUGCUUAAUAUUAUAUAUAUUUAAAACAAAUGAAACAUUCGGUAUAUUAUGUAUAUUUUAUAUUAUAUUCAAAAUAUAUGAAACAUUUGGUAUAUUAGGUAUAUUUUAAAUAUUAGAUUAAAUAGACAAACAAACGAAAAUUUAGUUUUGAAUGUGAUACAUUCUCGAGUUUAUUAAGAUUUCAACGUUGAAAAAGAACGGUCAUCCUAUCAAAAAAAUAAUAGAACUAUAUGUCAGUAUAUAGUAUUAUUGUAUAUAAUAUGAGGUACAUAUAUACUAAAACAUAGAACAUAACUAUUAUAGAUUGCGGAUAUAUUAAAGUAUAAUGUAAUCAAAUGCAUUUAUAGGAAAAAUAUGUAUGUAUGAUCAUGUCGUUUACUACUAUUUUAGUAAUAUUUAUUCUACAAACAAAAAAUUUAAACACAAAUUCUGUAUGAAUUAUGUAUAAGGUAUUAUUGUAUAUAAUAUGAGGUAUAUAUAUACUAAAUAACAUAUAUGAAUUCAGUGUAUAUUUUAUUAGUGAAAGGUUAUUAUAUAAAUUUGUUUAUGUUUUUUAUUUAAAUAUUCAUAUAUUAUGUGGUAAAUAAUACGUUAUGUUUGAAAUAAUAUUGAUUAUGUAUUAAAGUUGCCCAUUAGGCAGUUUUUUAACAAAAUAUACCUAUUAUAUUAAUAUAGAAAAUGAGAGGAAAUCGUGCAACAUUAAAAUAGUAAACUUCUUUACCGUUUUCUCACUUUCCAUAUUCAACGAAAAGCUUGUCAUUUCGACAAUCAAGAACAUAUACAACCUAUUAUAUAAUGCGAUAAUAUUAUAAAACUAGUAUAAUCAUAAAUAAUAUGUGGUAUAUAUUCAAGGGAAAUAUUAAAAAACUGGUAAAUUCAGAACAAAAUAACGUUAAAAUAAGGGAAAUAUUGUUAAUAUAUAAUAUAUAUAUAUAUAUACGCAUAUGAUAUACUCAAAAUGAACUAAUUUUAAAUUGGUAAAAUAUCAAAUGACAUACUUAUGUUAUUCUUCGUAUAAAACAUCAACUAAAAGUAUUAUAUCUCACAAUUAAUAUAUAAAACUAAUAUAAAUAUAAAUAAGAUGUGGUAUAUAUAUAAUAAAUAACAUAUACAACCUAUUAUAUUAUGCAAUAAUAUUCUAAAACUAGUAUAAUCAUAAAUAAUAUGUGGUAUAUGUUUAAAGGGAAUAUUAAAAAACUGGUAAAAUCAAAACAGAAUAACAUUAAAAUAAGAGGAAUAUUGUUAAUAUAUUAUAUAUAUGCAUAUGAUAUACUCAUAAUGAACUAAUUUUAAAUGAGCAAAAUAACAAAUGACUAGAUUUUAUCGUAUCUUCAGCUGAUGAAUAAUUGUAUAUGGCGGCGAUUUGUUAAGAUUCUGCAGCUUACGGUUAUGAUAAAUUUGAAUACAAAUUUAUAAUAAGAUGUAAUAAGAAGUUCAAAUGAUGGAGAAGAAUAGCAAAAAAAAAAAAAAAAAAAAAAAACUGUCGACGAUGGAGAAGAUAAUGUAAUGGCUGCCGGAGAAAGUGAACAAUUAAGUUAAGUUAUAUUUUUAGAAAGAAUAAUUAAAUAGUUUAUUACAAAAUAAAAUAAAAUUAUAAUUAUUAUAAUAUAUUCUGAUUUAUAAUUAAUUUAAAAGAUACUUGAAAUUUAUUAACGUAUUAAUUCUCAAACAAAUAUUAGGAAGUUAUGGAAUUCAUAUUAAAUACAAAUCGUUUUAAAUAAAGUAAUUUUUUAAAUAAUCUUAAGAAUAUAAUAUAUAAUUAAUAAUUAAUGAAAGGUUAUAAUUGUCCGUAAAGUAUUAUUUUUUAUAUUUAAGAAAAUAAUUUUCAAUGUACGAUAUUUGUGAAAUUUCUUAAUAAAUUAAGACCUUUUGUCUAAAAGUUUCUUAUAAAAAUUAUUAAAACAGAAAAAGUAUUCAAGGUUAAAUCUUAUCAUUAGUAGAUCAUGUUGCAAAUAUUGAUCUAACUACAAGUUGAUAAACUUUGUUAUAUUUGUAAUUUUUUUAAAUGUUGUUAAACUUUCUAUAUAAUUAAUUAUUAUUUCUAAAAUGGUCACCCAUUGUAAUUACCUUAAAAUAUCUGUAAAAAAUUCAUCAUAUAUCAAUAGUAUUAGUAGGCUACCCAAUGUCGACAAAAAUUAUACAUCCCAUACAAGACGUAUGAUGUAGUUAAACCAUUAUUUGUUUGGCAAAAAAUUAACUUUUACUUAAACAUUGGAAGGAUUAAUUUUUUCACUCGAAUAAAUGUAAGUUCUUGCUUGAAGACCAACAUGGAUGUCCACGUCACACAAUGUAAUCCAAUAUACAAUAAAUAAAAUGAAAGUUGAGAUGUUUGAUGAAUUUAUUAAACAUGGAUUCUGAGCAAAACUUAUAUAAGUGUGUAUUUGAAAUAACUUCGAGUGAUGAUAUUUUAAAUUAAGCUCUCAUUCGUUCCAGAACAAAAGGUAUAUUGAUUUUAUUUGAUGUUUUUACACUUGAAUUUAUAUGAAAGUACAUGAAUGAAUAGAAUUCAUAUCCAAAUAAGAAGAUAUAUAACAUGAGAUAUUGAUUAUGAAUGCAUAGUUCAAGUAAAAGCCUCUAAAGAAUUUAUAGUUAUUAUGUUUGAAGUCCAUUAUGAUUUCAUACACACAUGUAUAUAUAAAAGGAAAUGUUUCAUAAUUUUUGGUAAAUUUUUUGAACAAAUAUUGGCAUUUCAUUGAAAGUGACAAAAGCAAUCUAAAUUUAGGAUUACUUCUUAUAUUAAUUACCCAAGAAUUUUCAUUAAUAAAUCUAGGGUACUCAUAUUACCAAGUUUGUCUCAAACAUUUCAGCCUCUUGUUUGUUUGGAAAAGUAAAAAAUAAAAGUAAAUUAAAAGACAAAGGAGUUGUCUUAUAUUCUAAUUAAGGUUGUCCAUCAUUUUGAAGCAGUGGUGUAAGAAGAAGAGCAAAUCGGAGGAUUUUGUAUUCCUGAAAUGAUUGGUUUCACAUUCAUGCAUUCAGAAGUAAUAGAACCUUUUAUUCCAUUAUAAACGAGGUCAAUGUUGGCUACUUUUACUUCUUCACAUGGUAGGUUGCUACUACAAAUAAGUUUGACUGCCACUGGAGUUGCAGAACUUCCUCUAAUGUUCUUGAAGCUCACCUUAUUAAUCUUAAUAUUUGACGGAAUCUGAAAAAUUGAAAGUGAAAAUCAAAGUUUAUUCGUGAAGUUGAAAUGUAUGAAGGAAUUUCAAAAUCAAAGUUUUAAGAAUGUGAUCAAUACCUCACGAUUGCACUGAUUCCAUGGACAGUACUCCUGGUCUAUGAGAAUUGGGUUGCUAACGUUGACCAUUGUAAUGUCUGAAAAAUGCAUGUUGGUGGCAAUACCAGCAACGGGAGAGGCUGGCCAUGUUUUGAUCCUAACACCAUUGGUGGUGUUUAUUAUUGUGCAAUUAUUUACUAUGACACCUUCAACAGGUUCUUCGUUAUUGUAUUUUCCAAGACUUCCUAUGCUUAUUCCAUGCCCUGGCCCACAUAUCACAUUAUUGACUUUUAUUCGUUUACUUCCAUCUCCAAGUGAGAUGCAAUCAUCUCCUGUUGCUAUUCGAGAUUUCAAGAUUGAGAUCCCAAUUGAUCGACCAAUGUGUAUUCCAUCUGUGUUGGGACUAUUUUCUGGUGCAAUUAUGUUAACACCUUGGAAUGUGAGGUUGUUGCACCCUAGGAUGUUGACAUGAAAGUUUUUGCUAUCGAGUGAUGUUAUUCUCCUCACAAUUGAAUUGGUAAUGAAGUCGAAUCUUAAACUCUGCUCAUUUGAUAUGCGAUCAAUAAGUCGUGUCAGAGAUGGGGGAGAAAGUCAUGCACAAACUAUUAGGGAGGGAUGAAAAUUAUGAGUUUUCUCUAUCUAUUUAGUCUUUAUAUUUUUAUAUAAAAAAAUGGCUCUUUUGCCUAAUUUUUUAUGGUUAAGUUUCGUUCAAUAUUUAAUUUCUUAAUCAUUAUCGUAUGGUAUUAAGAACACAUUUACCAAAUUGUAAAAAUGAAAAUAAUAGAGAACGAAAAUCUAACAAACCUCUUCAUAAUGAACAAAGACGAAUGUAGUUAAUGGAUAGGAAAACAAAAGAUAUAGAACUUACAAUUGGGAGUUUAGCACAAUCUAUACGUUUAUGGCAAUCAUUCUUUUCCCAACCUGCCUUUCCUUGGCCAUCAAAAACUCCUCCACCUGAUAGUCUCAAUCUAUCAACAUAUGCAAAAGUAAUCCAACUAUCUCCAUGAGGAUGUUUUGGAGCCUGCAAUGUUCCAUGAACUCGAAAUUCAAUAGGGCUCUUGCAAGGGCCUUUAAAUUCUCCUUCUCUUACUUUAAAUGUUCCUUUUGGAAUAACCACUGCACUUGGACGAUCAGAUGCACAUGCGUCAUUCCAUGCAUCUUUCAAAGCCUAUGUUUCACAAGCAACAAGACUACAAAAGUUAGCAAAAACAAUUAAUUAAUUCAUUAAGUCAUCACUUUGGUAUAUACUUUUAUUAUGUAUUUAUACCUCAGUGACAUCGGCACCAGACACAAUAUUACCAUACUUCCUCAAAGAAAAAAUGUCAACAUGGGAUCGAGCCUCAAUAGUAAAUGAUAGCAAUGACAUCAAGAAUGUAGUAACCAAUAAGAUCAAAUGCUUAAUCACACCCAUAUCGUUUUUUUUUCUCUUUUAAAUUCUUCUUUAUGUUUGAUGUUUGGAAACUUUGUAUGAGGAUGAUGUUUUAUUUUGCAUUCAAGAUCUCUAUAUAUAUAUAUCAAUUGAAAGACAAUAUGCAAUGAACCUAAAAGAGGUUACGAGGAUUGUGAACUUAGUUUGUGAUAUAUUGUUUAACCCACCGUCCAUCACUUUCAUCUAUGCACAAAUUUUGAUAACUAAAAUUUGUUUAUUGUUCACAAUCUGUUUUAUUUUCCAUUAAGGAUCUCUAGGUUGAAUGGGUUUGCUGCAAAAUUUCCUUCACCCACCAAUAUAAACAAUCACAUUUCUUGAUUAUAAGAAUAAAAAAAUUUACAAAACCAAUCAAACAAGAACCCAUCAUGCAAGAAACAGAAUCAACGUUCUUUUUUUUUUUCUUAGCCACACAUGUUACUUAAAAAUGUAAAACCCCUGGGGUUAUUUAUAACAAUCCCUAUAAAUUGGUGGAUUUUUUUUUAACGUCACAUUGUUGUAUUGUUAUUGAAAAUCAUUUGGAGUAUCUAUGAUUUCUAUGACUAGUUGGUUUCUGUCAAGAUAAGGAAAAUGAUUGAUUUUAUAUUGUCAUUCUUAUAUAGUCCAACAAAUUUGAAAGAUUAUUGUUUAUAAUUUUUAUGUUUUUAGUGCCUCACGAACAAAUUUAUGUAGAAUGUGUCUUGUAAUCAAGUUCAUAAUGGAGGUUUUGCAUUACCCAUCGUCUAUCAAAUUUAUUUCUUGUGUACAACUCUUCUUUUUUACUGUUAUUAUAUAAGUUUUUCUUAUUAAAAAUAAGUUUAUUAUAAUAUUUGUAGUUUAAUACUAAGAAUGACUCUUUUGCACAAAAACACUCAAUAAAAUACUAGAUGAAAUAUGUGCCAAACUACAUUUAAUCUAUAUCAAAUGAUGGUAUUAUAGGACGAGGUACCUUUCAACUCGGACUUGGUGAUCAGAUUCAAAUCCUAGGUGUUAUUUUCUUAUUACUAUUAUUAUUAUAACCAAUAAUUUGUUUGUUUUUUUCUAACAAAUUUGAUUUAUUAUGUUUAUUGCCUAUAAGACUUUUAAUUCAAUUAUAUACAUUCAUACAUACAUAUAUACAUACAUUAUGAGACUCGUGCAACACAUAUAGUUAAAAUUAGUAUAUAUAAACAUGGGAAAAUAAAACUUAAGAUUUUUUUGUAUCUGGGUGUGUAUACAUAUAUGUGUAAACUUUCUUUUUUUCCCUUUGUUAUUUACUUUACCAUUAUUUUAAACGAUAUAAAUUUAAUUAUUAUUUUUAAAAUUAUGUCCAAAUAAAUAUCUCAACUUUCAGUUUAAUAUAAAAAUCUUAUAAGAAAUAUUCAACAUGCUCAACAAUUAACAGUCUUUGUUAAAUAAAAAAAUCUGUUUUUAAUUAAAUUUUGAAUAUUUUAAUUGUAUAGUCUACAAUAAUAAUAAUAAAUAUAACCAUUAGAUUCAAAAUAAUUAAGUAUAUAAUAACAUUUUUAAAAAAUUAUAAAUAUAGCAAAAUCUGUUAAAGUGAUAAAUAUUAAUUUAUGGUGGAUAAUAACAAUAAAUUUUCCUAAAUUUUGUUAAGAUGUUAUUAUAUAUCUAAUUAUUAUUUGUGAAGUUGCGACCAAUUAUAAUUAUGGAAUUAUUUAAGCACGAGGGCCAAACAAAGGGAAAGCAGCCCAAUUCAUUGGCUGGAAAAUGAGCCCAUAUUCUAAAACCCAAUCUGGAAAUCCCAAAUGUGAGUAGAACGCGAAAUUAAUUUCUUAGGGUUAGGGUUUUGACCCUCAGGUUCGGUUUCAUUCUCCAUUUUCGCGUUCUAUUUUCAUCGGCAACGGAAAUUCGUUCAUAUUCUUGGAUUUCCAUGGCGACGCCAGCAGCCAAUGCUCCAGCAAAGAGGAAGCCUGUGUUCGUAAAAGUAGAAGAGCUAAAGCCUGGUACCAGUGGCCACACUCUCACCGUCAAGGUUGUGAGUUCCAAAAAUGUUAAGGUUGUUAAUAAAGGUGGACGAUCCACCAUGCUUACUGCUCGCCCUCAGCAAUUAACUCGAAUCUCUGAAUGUCUUGUUGGUGAUGAGACUGGUUCCAUCGUCUUCACAGCUCGAAACGACCAAGGUGUGUUUCUCUGAUGAUUUUGUUUGAAAGCUUACGUUUUUCUCAUCUUUUGAAUGUAUUGAGUGCUUGCUGAGACGAUUUUUUGUAUGUUUCCAUUUCGUUGGAUGUCAUUUGGUGAUUUUGAAUUCUUCUGGAACAGUUAGUGGUCUUCUUUUUUGUUUGUGGAAGUCCUUGAUAACUGAGAAGUUACAAUAUAGACUGCAAAGAACUCUCCUUUACAGUGUUACAUAAUCUUUUAGAGUUGCACCAAUGAAAAUUUAUUUCACCCUAGGGAUGACCUCCUCUGUGCUGAACCACCGUGGAUAAUAGUUAUUUAAUAGUUAUAUUCUAAUAUAAACAGAAUUUGAAUGUUGAGAUAAUUGUAUUACAAGGAAUGUAAUCAUAAUCAAACAUUGAGAUUCAAGAUAACUUGAAAAUGCGUUUAACAAGGUCUGUAAUAGGAAUACACUUUGGGCAGAACACUUGGGUGUUUUGGAUUGACUUUCUACAUGCUUAAAGUUACUUUUUUUUAACACUUAAAAACACUUCUUUUUAGCCUUUAUGUACUAGUUGCGCAAAGUGAACUACAUUGUCAAAAACAGAACACUAAGAAUUACUGUAGGGUAGGAUAUCUUUUGUUCAAGCACUUGAAAUGAUCCUCAAGGACAGUUAGUGUGUGAGUUUUUUAGUCUGUGGGAUUAGAUGUUACUGGUCAGGAUAGAGCUUCUUUUAUGUUUAUCUCCUUCAAGUCAGGACCGUUGAGAUGGUGGAUUUAGGUUCAUGGGUGUAGACAUACUUAGUCUUCAUGUUGCAUUGUUGUCAUUUUAAUUGCAGAGCCGUUUGGCCCGUUUCUUUAUAUAUUGCCUCUUACUUAGUGAUUGAUAUUUUUUUAUGUGUCUGCUUGGUAUCAACAACCUAUUGCUAUGUAUCGUGUAUAUUAUAGGCGGUAAAAUGCUUGUAUUGGUGGAAGUGAUCUUCAAUCGUUGCUCAUCCUCCCCCCUGCUCCCAAACAAACUUGUGUAUGUUUGUAUGUAAUUAAUGUUUAUUGUGUAAUAUUAUCUAAACGAAUGGUUGUAAACUCUGCAGUUGAUCUCAUGAAGCCAGGAAACACUGUGACCCUAAGGAAUGCAAAGAUUGACAUGUUCAAAGGUUCUAUGAGGUUAGCAGUAGAUAAAUGGGGACGAGUUGAAGUAGCUGAACCAGCCAACUUUGAGGCUAAAGAAGACAACAAUCUCUCACUGGUUGAAUAUGAAUUGGUUAACGUUGAAGAAUGACUUGAAAUUAUGCAGUGUUAAUUAUCAUGGAUUUACUUUCUUUAUUGUGUGGUGGACUGCUAUUUAACUGGUAUACAGUUUCUAUAUGGCAACACAAAAAUCUUGCUGAGAGUAAUAUAAGUUGAUUAUUGAUGUGCCCAACUAUGCUUAAUUUGGAUCUGAUGUGAUAAAGAUCUUCAAAGGCAAAGUGCAAACGUUACUAUCUGGUCUACUUAUUAUUUUGAAAAGUAAAUAGAAUGCUUUACCAAUGUAGCUUUGUUUUGGUCCCUUAUUUCUAUUAACUAUUGGGGUAUUCUGCUAACUUGCAUUUGAGGAAAGGUAUAUUUGAUACAUACAUUGUAGCCUUUGCAUUCAUGGAAAUCGACCCCUUAUCGAUAUACUUUGUCAGAUUUACUUGACUCUUCGUAUCAACUAUUAGGAGAAGUCAAUUAUAUUUUUGCAAUGUUAUUUAAUAUUUAUUAACAAAAAUAAUAAAUAUUCAUCUCAUAGAGGUUCACAACACUUUAUACUUAUUAAGAAAUUGAAGUGAAAGAAUCGACAAAAAUAAGAAAUUGAAGAGAUAAAAUACUUUAUACUUAAAGAAAAUUACACACGAACCACCUGCAAGACAACGAACCAUAUCAUUCGCAUUACCUGAGAGUGAGUAAUCACAACACAACAGACCUUUAAUCUCAGCCAAAAAAUCAUUCAUCUCAUAGAGGUUCACAACACUAAGUCGAAGGACACAAGUAAGAUCAAAACAAUCAAACAAUCACAAUGAGAAAUAGAAUGACACUAGGAAAUAGAGAAAACAGAGACUGGAGCCGUUUGAUAAGGCCAAAGGCUUCCAAAAAUGUUAUUGGCCACUUUGAGAGAACGGGCAUGCAACCCGUAGAUGAGAGAGACCUUGAGAGGUCACGAACAACCCCACCCGCCCCAACAUCCUCCAACCACGAGGCGUCGAUAUUGAGCAUCCACACCCCAACGUUAGGCGGAAUCUAAGAAGCAUGAUGCACCGGGUUCCCCCCUCCUAAGCGAAAAUGGAGCCCCAUCUCCCUUCAAGUGUAAAGAAGAUUCUUCUCAACAGAGCAUCACGAUCAGGCUCGAACCCGCAACGCUUCACCACAUUUCCGUAAUUCCACACAUCCCACAGUAGGAUAGCCGCAAACCCUGUUACGCACCUCGGUCGUAGAAACCACCCUAUAUCAGCAGUUCGACAGACUCCAACAAUUCUUGAAAUCGCCAAAAAGCCCAAAUAAGGAAGGGAAGAAUAAUAAUCAAAUGCUUCUACAAAACUUGCAUCGCAGCCCAUAAAACAUUUCCUACAAAGAAAACAAAGCGGGUUAAUAGAGAUUCCAUUUUUUUACAAAUUAUGGCAAAGGUAGGGAGUCGGAGACAGCGUUCACCCUUAGGGGCACCUCAAGUUUCCAUAUAGCUUUCCAUAAAGGUUUCCAUCUAAAGGGGAGCCAACCCCGUCACGGAACACACCUCCCUCAACAGAAAGGUUUUCAUCAUCACCACGACAACCCCUAACAAGGAUAUUCAGGAUAGUCAUUGCAUCACUUGGGAGAAAAUUUUCGAAGACAGAGGACUUAUUCCACGCCCUAUCAUCAAUAAACAAAUCGUAAACCCCUUAGGAACCAUGGCUCCUAUUGAUACGUAUAUGUGUUCUCAACCCUCACCACAAAGCCAAUGAUUUCGUUAAUAUAAGCAGUGUUUUGAGGUAAAUUUGUUUUAUGAUCAGUUUUGUAAAAUCACAUUCUUUUUUCCUGCUAUAUUUAAUUCGUGAUCAUCACUAUUUUUUGCUAAAACAAUAAAAAAAAAUUAUGUGCAUCAAAAUUACUAUUCAUAUCACGACCAAAUGAAAGUUGUGACGUCUAUAAUUGAUGUAUUACUCUUCUUUUGAUCUUUUUGCAAAGCUCUUUCCUUGAGCCGUAAAGAACCUUCACAAUUUUCACUUAAGUUGAGGGAAAAAAAUGUGAUAAGUCCAAAACUUACCAGAUAUACAUAUACUUGAAAAUUAGAAAACUUGUUCGAAACUCGAUUGGAGGUCUAGAUUUUCAUUUAAACUUUAAAAAUUUUGGGAACUGAUUUUAAAAAUGGUUUUAACAAGAUGCUAUGUUUAAUGAAAAUCUCCUCCAACAAAAACUUUAAUGUUUGAAUCUCUGUUGUGUGUAUUACUAACUAAAAUGGGGAAAUGAUAAACUAAGAAAUUCAACAUCUUAUUAGCAAUGAAGUAUAUGAUUCAAAUCCUCCUCCCACUCCAACAACGCCUCUGCCCCCGAAAUGCAUAACAUAACUUUAAUGAACUAAAUUUCUCUAAUUUGUGUGUGUAGGCCUAUUUCGUUUUAAAUGGGCAAAGAUAAGGAGAUGAUUGUUUCAGAAAUAGAAAUAAAGGUUAAUAUAAAGACUACGAAACAAUAUAAGCAUAAUUGAAACCUACUAAAAUUUGGAAGUACAAUUGAAAUUACAAAAAUGUCACACAAUAGCAAAAUGUGCUAAUUUGUAUAAUGUGUAUCCAUCUUUUAUAAAAUAGUUGAAGAACAUUUGAGCUAAAAUAUCAUAAGCUUUAACAAAUUCAUGAAGCUAAACUAAGCAAGCUGAAAAUUCUCGACAAUCAAGAAUUUGUACAACACCGCAAAAUUUCAAUUCCUUCUCUCAUUCAUGAUUAACUGUCAGUCGAAGUAGUGUCAUGAGACGGAAUCUAUGGAAGAUUUCCUGAGGUAUUGGUGCCUCAAAGUGUUUAACCACCACAGCCAAGGAACGUCCCUUCUCUUGUUUCGAACUCAGUUUACUCAACUUCUUUGAUAAUUCUUCUCCUACGGAGUGGCACAGUCGAAAUGCUCCCAGGAGCGCUGUGAGCUUUCCUCCUCUCUUCUUUCCUUCUCUCGGCGUCAAUAAUCGUGCGUCGGAGUGCAGCGGCUUUGAAUAUCGGUUUCGGUAAGUGUCUAUGCCUGUAGUGAAAAACCCGAGUUUAAAGUUUUAAAAUCCCUUUCCAAUACUACUGUUUCCUUAUUGUUACAGCAUAUGAAACGGCAGUUAAGAACAAGAGACGGCAAUGAGGAAUCCUCUUUCCGAUGGUAAAAGAGAAACCGAUUAAAUGUGCGUGUGUAUGAUGCAUACACAUCAGACUUGGUGUCAUGAAAUUAUAGGAUGCAGAUAGAGGCUAAACAAAUAAGCAGUGCAUGAAUACCGGACAAGAGUUUUACCUCACAAUACGCUUAACCUCAGGAAGAUGUUUAUAACGAUUCUUAACAGCCUCUUGAUAUUCAUGUUUUCUUUUCUCCCUCGGAAGAAGCUGCAGCAAAUAUUAAUUUAGAAGUAAAUUGAUAAAUCCCAAAUGUAUUGAAAGAUAAAUGUAAUUGAAAACAAGAUAAACCCGAUAAAUUCAUGUGGUAGAUGUACUUGGACCAUACCAAUCUUGAGAUCACCUCGCUGUAUUAACAACCAUCUUCUCUAACAACUCAACUAAUCGCUAAUAUGCACUUAAUACACUCCAAUCAAAAGAGAAUUUGUAAAAUAAAAAUAGGGCUGUAAACAUUGACGUAUUCAUUAUCCAGCUCGAGCAAGUGCAGAUACUUGGCAAAAAUAAAGAGAGAGAGGAUUCUUACAACUCCUAAUUGUUCAGAUGCCUUGGCUUUCCAAAGCCGAAGGUUGGUGUCAUCACUCCCUGAUAUCACAUAACUUGCAUCACAGCUGAACCUGACGCAGAACACCCUAAAAAACCAAAAAGGAUGCAGUAACAUCAGCAAAAAAGAACGAUCAUUAUUCAUAUUUGAGCAUUCACCAAUCACAUUAAAUGUAUUGAAACUAAUUGCACAUCGGAAGGCUUCAAUCAAAUGAUAAACCUACAAAACAAAUAAUUAACUUGGACCAAAGGCUAGAAUAAUGGUGCAACCUUUGCAUUCUUUUGGUAUGAUAAAUCUCACGGCUGUGACCCCCGUUAUAUGGAAAGAUUCUUAUCUGCAAAAUUAAUUACAUGAUAGGUUAAAAACAUAACUUGAAAAAUAAGAUACAAAAUGUUGAACAUAACCUGGGUUGGAACUCACUGUUCUAUCGUAUGAGCCAGUAACAAAUUCUCGACCACUUGGUGAAAAAUCAAUAUCCAUUCUGAAAGAAAGUGCUAAAUGUUAACACGAGUUUUACUAAAGCUUGAAGUUAAGGAGUGGCACUAUUUAAUUCUUAUAAACCAAAAUAAAAAGUUUGUUUCAUACACUGCAGAUACAUGAUCUCUGUGCACACAUUUUGCCUCAUCAAGUUUCCUAGAAUCGUAGCUAUAACAGUUGCAAUCUUCAUUUGCCUGGAAAGCAUAGAGUAAGAGGAAUUAUUCUUAAGGGAACAAAGAACAAUUGUAAACAUACUAGAUGGUUAAAAGAAUGACAAGAACAUAAAAAGUUAGACUACUUAUAAAAUUUAAUGAGGCCUGCUAUAAACUAUUAUACACGUAAGAACAAAGAAGUAUUUGAUUAUUAUAUUGUCUGCAUUUUGAUAAAAGCAACAAAGCCAAAAAGCUAAGACAACAUCAAGCAAUAUCAAAUCUUAAAGAUCCAUUCAUGUGCUUACAGCAGUGAAGUUCAUUGGCUCCCUUGGAUUCCAACAAAUAGAAUUAGUUUUUGUCUGUCACAAGAAAGGUACCCAUAAGAAUACACAAAACGAAACAAAAGAUUUCAAAGCAACUCUUUUGACUAACUGCCACCAUCAUACCCUCAUAAUUACUUUCCUUGCAGGGGAUGACAUGCGCAAAUCAUACAAUGCAAUACUUCGAUCACUACAAGAUGAAAAAAAAUAGCAUAGAGGGUUAAAAAUACUCCCAUCAUAUAAAAAUGAAAAUGAAGUGAUCAGCAACACGGAAAAUUUUACUGGAUUAAACACCAUUACUAGUUCCAUAUUGCCCUUUUCAUCCUUUUUCUUUUCUUUUUUUCCUUUGAUAGAGCUAGUUCAAAUCCACACUACUUCAUUUAUGAAGAUGUAAUACAUAUAUUUAAUCACCACAAAACUCCCGACAUCCAUAAUAUCAGAGGUUCUUUUAACUCAGAGGGAAAAGAAAUCGUGUAUUUCCAUGAAUGCCCACUAUCAAUAGGAACUAUUUACUAAAGCAUAAACAACUUAUUGAAUCAAAUAUUCACAGAUCCCUGUCAUGGAGAAGUAGGAUAAAGAUAAUGUAAUAAUGCCCCAAGUAACUUUCACUCUGACCACGAAAAAAUUAAAUUAAAAAAAAUAAAAAAGCAAAAACAGAACCUAUUAGCUCAAAUUUUGUUUACGGUCCAAAAAUUGAUGCAACAAAAUGAGGGGCGGGGGGGGGGGGGUUGGAAAUAGUGGAAGGACAGAUCUUGUACAACAGAAAAAUGCAUAACAUGUAUUGACCAUUAUUUUUCUGUUUUAGUUCAAAUUGUGCAAGGUUCAACGAUCCACCCAUCAACCUAUGGCUAUGCUCAAAUUGAUAUGCAUGGACCGUUAGCAAGUAAACUAGCAUUUGUGAUCAUACAUACCUAGCCGACGUUGCCAGGACAUUGGGUUCCCCAGGAUUAAAACGAACAGAGAUAACUGAGUCUGUUCCCCACUCAUAACUGCUCACUGGUUGAGACCUACCAAAAAAAAAAAAAACUUCAAUAUAUAAUAAGGAAAAGAAAGUGCCAAGUGAAAUGAAUGGUGAUGAAUACCUGUUGUGAUCCCAGAUAUCUAAUUGAGCACCAGCAGUAGCAAAAAGAUUUCCAUCCCACUGAUGAUCAAUAGCCCUAUAAUCAGAAACUAAGGGCUCAAAAUUCAAAAAGACCUUUAAAUAAAAAGAAGCAGAAAAAAAGGGUUAUAGCAUUGUCUAAAAUUAGUAGCUUACCAGAAAGCAUUCUUCCAGACAUAAACUGCCAGAGGCUGAAAACAUGGUUUUCAUAAGGUUAGUUGGGAAUAACACAACAAAGAUAACUCAAGCAUUACAACGCAUGGAUAAUUCAAGUGCACACCUCGGAUGAAUUAUUUGAAGUUUCAUAUGAAUUCAGAGUGGGAACUGGAACAUUCCAUAGCCUGACACUAAAACAACAAACAAGAAAAUUUCGGUCCCAAGUAAAAAUUUAUAAAAGUCUUAACAUUCUACAAUGCAUCAAAUAAUGUAAUUACAAAAUUGUGUCUUACGUGCAAUCUGUCCCACAUGAUAUCAAGAUGCGUCCAUCGGUAGAUGCAGUCAAGCCUCGAACAGCACCUUGAUGUCCAGGAAACUGAUAAACAGUUCGCCUAUAACGUAUGUGGGUCAGCAUUUUUUUUUUUCAGAUUUUUAAUUGUAGCCUAAUUUGUGUCAAGCUUGUUGACCACUAUAAAAACAGAACUGCAUAGAACUAAAUGUUAAAAACCAUCAUCUUACCUGUUUGCAAUAUCCCACAGACGAAUAUCUGUAGACAUAAAAAUCAAUUAUUGAUGGAGAUAUAAAACAACAAAAAUGCAAGACAAAUUAAUAUCAUUGUUUUAAUGGAACAAGAGCAUUGCAGCACUAUUUACUGAAUGGAGACUACAAAUUAAAAUGAAGAAAAAGUAAAGCUAUUGCAAAUUAAGUAAAAAAUUCUAGAAUAUAAACACCCAGCAACAGUACAACUAUAAAUGGUUACCAGAACAGCACAAGAAUUAAACACAAACACACAAAGAAGUAAAUUUCCCAAAAACUUCCGACCAAACUUCUGUGAACUCAACAAAAAACAGAGGAAGAAAUCAUAAGGAAGAAGAAACUAACAAUGUUAACCUAGCAGCUGAAUCAUUGAAUAAUUUACCUCCAUCCAUCGAACCGGAAAAUAUCCCUUUCAAGUGAUUAGGAUUCUUCGCCAUACAUGAAACGGAGUCCAUAUGCCCAUCCAUUGCUCCUAUAAAUGGUUUUGCAAACAUCUAAACAUAGAAAACAUAAGAAUCUUUACUAAUUGAUUGAACUUUCCCAACAACUCGGCAACUUGAAACAAUGAUUCAAAUCCCAACAUUACCUUGUCCAAUUUCGCAGCAUUAACAGCACGGACAUACUCAACCGCCUUCUCUUGCGUACGGAGACUGGGGUCGAAGUUCCGAAAUACCCUCUAAUUGAAGCAAUACAGAGUCAAUACUUGAAGCAAGAUGAAAUCGAACAAUAAAUAAAUAAAUAAGUAAAUCCCGCCGGUUAAUCACCUGGAGGUCAUGGCUUCGUUCUCGAGUGAAUUCAUCAGUAGAGCGGGAUAUCACCUUGACCUUCAUCGUUGAGUAAAACCCUAACUAGGGAAAGAGAGGAGAUGGAGAAACGAGGUUGAAGGAGUUAAACCCUGCACUGAUGGGCCAAAUUAAGAACCAUCAGUUAAGUUUGUGAACCGAACCAACCGACUCCGGUUCAUAACGGCCGGUCAGUUUUUAACCGAUUUUGAUGCGGUGGCGAGAUGGAGGCUUUUGGAAGAAAAAUAGAAUUGUUGAACGGUGAAGAUGAAGGCUUGGGGAACUGGAGAGAAGCUGGCCGUGAACGUGGAGGCGAAGAGGAGCAGCUGAAGACGAAGAAUUUCGUGGAUGAGAUGAACGGCAGCUGAAGAUGGCCGCGC
Molecule: long non-coding RNA, 196111 nt
Filed under: Cucumis sativus (cucumber)
Lineage: Eukaryota; Viridiplantae; Streptophyta; Magnoliopsida; Cucurbitales; Cucurbitaceae
Description: long non-coding RNA (CSAT_LNC002604)
Source: RNAcentral